RNAcentral lists this long non-coding RNA (275652 nucleotides) under Setaria viridis. RNAcentral's name for it is "long non-coding RNA (SVIR_LNC003590)". Lineage: Eukaryota; Viridiplantae; Streptophyta; Magnoliopsida; Poales; Poaceae. The record is from RNAcentral.
CUGAACUUCCAGGAAACUGACAGAACUCCCAAAGACAGAACUGAAGCUCGACAGGAACAAGCAAACUGCAACCGAACUGAAGACAAGAAAACCACAUAAAAGAACUACAGAACUCUGAGCCGAAGAACUGAACCUGGAUAAUGGCUUGACUGAAAACAGAAACACCACCAGAACUGAACUAACUGACAGAAAAAAAAAGAAACAGCCACCUAAAGCAAACCACAAGCUCGAAACCAAGCAAACAAGAUGAACACUAUGCAGCGGCAUGAAUGCACAAACAAAAUCCUAUGUUUCAUUAUUAAAUUAGAAAAAUGCUUAAAUGCCUAGUAAAUGCAAAAAUGACCUUAUAUGCCUUAAACAUGCAAAUUGUUUCUAGCAAAUUUUAAUAAAAUGCAAAGUUGUAAAUUUUGGGUGUUAUAUGUGAGGGGUUACGGAGCCGUUUUCAUCCUUAUCUUCAACAUUCUUAGGGCCUCCACCUUGAGCUCACUGAGCACUUUGCCGCCGCACUCGCUAACCCUAGGCGUGCCGCCGCAAUCCACAUUCCGCUCGCGCGCAUUGCUGCUGCUGCCCGAGUUGCCGUACCACCACCACCUGAGCCGCCACGCCGUCGUAUGCACAUCAAGACCCUAGUCCUUUUUAGAUCUAAAUCUCAAGGCAUCGAGCUUGAAGAAAUGGCGUAAUCCAAUGCCCCGGAGCAAUCUUCAAUCUGGAUGAAGUUCGUGAUGACACAAGAGCACAUCCAAUCCCUCGUUGACCGAGGCCUCCUCGGACCACAAGCGCUGCUGGAGUGGAAGCCCAUUGCCAGCCAAGAGUUCCUAUUGGAGGACACGGUGGAGAUGUUGGUGUUCGCGCUGUUCUUCAAGCGCAGAUUCAGGUUCCCAACAGGAGACUUCUUCCACGGCCUCCUCCACUACUACAAGAUUGAACUGGUACACUUGAAUCCAAACUCAAUCUUGGAUAUAUUUGUCUUAAUCCAUCUAUGUGAAGCAUACUUGGGCAUCCCUCCACACUUUCAUCUGUGGCGCUACUUGUACCAAUUGAAUCCCGUGAUUACUAAGGGGAAAAAAGACCGGGUUAUUGGGGGUUGUGGAUUCUCGCUACGGCCCAAGAAGGUGUAGGAGUAUUUUGAUCUGCAGUUGAGGGAGUCCAACCAGGGGUGGCACAGCGAGUGGUUCCUCAUCGCAAAUUAGCAUCCUGAGCUACUGCCGCGCAAAGGGUAUGGGCUAGUGUCUACGCCCGAGUGGUCAAACUAGCCCACCUCGAAAGAGCAGGUCCAAGUAGAUGAGCUGCUAGCGAAGAUCGCAGACUUGAAGGCACGGGGACUGACAUCCACGGCCAUCAAUAUCAACUUCUGUCAAAGGGCGAUGCAACCGAUCAAGUACCAAGUGCAUCCGUCGUACGAGUACUCGGGGCUAGAUGAUUCGACCCGAGAGGUUCAUGGCAAGGUGCCCAACAAAGAGGUCAUCGACAGGGUGUGUGAGUUCUUCAAGGGUGUUGUUAGUAACAGGGACAUCCCCAAAGCCUUCUCAAUGAAAAGGCCGUCGCCCACCUUGGUAAGAUUGUCGUCAGCAUUUACUUCAUGCAUUAUAUAUACUUGUGAUGUUUCUAAAUGAGUAAAUGAAUUGAUUAGGAUGAUGUGUUUGUUUACUUUUGCCCGACGCCACUGCUUGGAGGGGUUGAGGUGAGGCCACCCAAGAUCUGUCCGACCGAUGUACCAGUUGCACCACCCGCCGAUCUUGAGUGGAACUCGGAGUCUUCUUUUGGGUCGAAAGUGGGGGUGACGAAAGAGGUUGGCCAGGACCAAGGCACUGAGCAGGUUGGGUGGUGGACACGGCAGGCCAUCUCCAAGGCACCGCAGCCAGUGGGAAGAGGAAGAAGAUGGCCGGCAACAAGAAGGAGAAAGCUGCACCGAGUCUUGCUGCCUCAACCAGGUCGGUCAGUGAGGCAGAGUCCGACACGCCAAGCCCGGUUGCAAAGAAGAAGUCGGAGCUCCAAGAGACCAUCGCAGCUAACGCGACCCAUGUUAAGGAGGCGCUGAAGGUAAAGAUGCGCAGCGGAUCCAGCGAAGAUACAUCCGUGCCACCUUCGCAAUUGCACCCCAAGUUCUGGGUGAAGAAGAAGAGCACCCUAUAAGUGUCGCCAUCUUAAUACUAUCCAUGUUUAUGAUUGCAGUCUAACUUGCAUGAAUUGCUUGGUUGUAAUGAUGAUGCAGGACCGGUGUUGGGUCUAACGGUGCUAGCGCACAGUUGACCAGGUGCUCGGGCCAGACCGAGGCGACCAGCUGUGGCACCGUCGAGUAGCUGCUGGCCACAGAGGUCAGGAUUGUUGAGGAUGGUCGCACUGUAGAGGUUGCGCCGAAUCCAACACCACAAAGGGAUGAGGCUGUCUCCAAAGAUGAAAACGCCACCAUGGUCGACCCCGAGGUCGAGAAGAAGGCUGAGGUAGAUGCUAGAGUCAAGCCUUAGCAGGAUGAGCUACCCAGGGAUGAUCCGCCACCGGAAAGAUCCAGCAGUGGUGCCGACAUUGGCAUGUAAGGCACUCAUAGGGGUCGACCUCUUGGAGAAAUAGGAACUCGUGCUCACCAGUUUCCUCUGAGAGAACUCGGACAUAUUUGCGUGGAAGUCAUCCGAUAUGCCUAGUAUCCCUAGGGAGCUAGCUGAGCACUCCUUGGACUUGAGCAAGACUACACAGCCGGUCAAGUAGAAACUUCGUUGCUUCACCCAAGAUCGCAAGGAGGCCUUUAGGGUAGAAUUAAAUAAGCUCCUAGUUGUCGGAUUCAUUCGUGAAUAUAAGCAUUCUGACUAGUUAACCAACCUAGUUCUUCUAAGAAAGAAAACUGGUAAAUGGAGAAUGUGCAUUGAUUACAUUGACCUGAACAAGCACUGCCCUAAGGACCCCUUCCCUCUUCCGUGCAUGGACCAAGUCAUAGACUCUACGGCAGGGAGCAUCCUGCUCUGCUUCCUCAACUGCUACUCAGGCUAUCACCAGAUUGCUCUUGAUCCAGCCGACCAAGACAAGACGACAUUCAUAAUGCCCUUUGGCAUCUAGUGCUACAAUAUAAUGACCUUCCGGUUGAAAAAUGCCAGCGCCACCUACCAGAAGGCAAUCCAGGGUUGCCUCGCAACACAGCUGCAGGAAUGCUGAGGCUUACGUCGAUGAUGUGGUUGUCAAAAAAAAAGGAUGAGGAAAGUUUCAUAGCCGACCUCGAGGAGACCAUCAACAGCCUCCGGGCUUACCGCUGGAAACUCAACCCCGGCAAGUGCAUCUUCGGUGUCCCAUCUGGAAAGCUCCUGGAGUUCAUGGUCAGCCAGCGAGGCAUCGAGGCCAACCCUGUCAAGGUGGAUGCAAUCCGAAACAUAGCAAAACCAUCUAACAAGAAGGAGAUCAUGAAACUUACUAGCAUGAUGGCAGCCCUUAGCUGCUUCAUCAGCAAACUUGGAGAAAAAGGUCUACCCUUCUUCAAGAUCCUUAAAAAGGCAGACAAAUUUGUGUGGGAUGAUGAGGCCAGCAAGGCACACAAAGAGCUCAAAGCUUUCCUCAACACUCCUCCCAUCAUGAUGGCCCCGGCCCACCAAGAAAAGCUGUACCUCUACAUCUCCACAAUGACGCAUCUUGUCAGGACCGUGCUAGUUGUAGAGCGCUAGGAGCUCGACCAUGCUUACAUGGUGCAACGGCUAGUGUAUUCUGUCAGCGAAGUCCUUAGCGACACCAAGACACGCUACACCCAGGUUCAGAAACUGUUCUACACAGUGCUGAUGUCAUCAAGAAAGUUGCGCCAUUACUUCCAGGCACACAAGAUUUGCGUAGUAUCUUCGUUCCUUAUUGGUGAAAUCCUACAUAACAGGGACGUCAAUAGUCGAGUUGUUAAGUGGUCUGUGGAGCUCAGCGAAUUCGACCUUGAUUUUUGCCCAAGUCACGUGAUCAAGUCACAAAUCCUGGCUGACUUCGUGGCUGAGUGGACAAAGAUCCAGAAGCCACCCUCUCUGGAGAGGCCAGAACACUGAACCAUGUACUUUGACGGCGCCCUGAACCUCGAAGGAGCCGGCGUGGGGGUCCUCUUCAUAUCCCCUAAAGGCGAGCAACUCAAGUAUGUGCUCUAGAUCUACUACAACACCACCAACAAUGGCGCCGAGUACGAAGCUCUGAUCCACAGCCUCCACAUCGCCGUGUCCCUCGAAAUCAAGCAUAUACUCGCUUAUGGCGACUUCAAGGUUGUCAUCGAGAAAGUCAACAAGUAUUGGGAUUGCACCAAGGAAUCCAUGGAUGCUUACUACAUGGAAAUCUGCAAGCUCGAGGACCACUUCAAUGGCCUUGAGUUCCAUCAUGUCCCCAAGGACCAUAACAUCGCUGACCGACAUCCUGUCCAAGCUCGGCUCCAAGCGUGCGCAGGUUCCGGUUGGCGUAUUUGUACAAGAUCUCUGGAAAAUCUUCCAUCAAAAUUCUAGAUCCGGACCAAGCCAACGACGCUGGCGCUCAGGGCCCGGCUGACCCAAAACCCACUGACGUCAUGAUGAUCAAGGCAGAAGAAGAUUGGUUGCCCCAUUCAUAGCCUUGAUCACUGACCAGAUGUGCCAGAGGAUAAGAUAGAGCAUGAAAAAUUAGCUCGGCGCAGUGCAAACUAUGUCUUCAUUGGCUAGGAGCUCUACAGGAAAGCCGCAUCCAUGAGAAUCCUGAUAAAGUGUAUCCUAUGCAAUGAAGGCAUCGAACUCCUGAAUGAAAUCCAUUUGGGAACAUGUGGCAACCAUGCUGCCUUGGGCACUUUGGUCAGCAAAGCCUUCCGCUUUGGUUUCUACUAGCCAACGAUGCAAAGGGUGUCAAUUCUUCUCCAAGCAGCAGCACUUUUAAGCUUAGACCCUGCGCACCAUCCCACCAUCCUAGCCUUUCGCAUGCUGAGGGCUAGACAUGGUCGGACCAUUCAAAACUGCUUUGGGCGGCUACACACACAUCUUCGUGGUAGUGGAUAAAUUUACCAAGUGGAUUAAGGUCAAGGCUAUUACCAGCACUGAGUCGGCUAAAGCCGCCUAGUUUGUGGAGGAAAUUAUGCACCGCUUUGGAGUGCCAAAUAGGAUCAUAACCGACCUUAGCAUGCAAUUCACAAGCUCCAAGUUGUGGGAUUUUUGCCAAGACAACCUCAUCGACGUGUACUACUCCUCAGUAGCGCACCCACGCUGCAAUGGUUAGGUUGAACGUGCAAAUGGGAUGGUCCUCCAAUCCCUCAAAUCACGCAUUUUCGACGACACGUCCAAGUACGCCAUGAAGUGGCUACGUGAGCAAUGUUAUCUGGGGUCUACGAACGCAGAAAAGUUGGGCUACCAGCUACACCCCUUUCUUCAUGGUAUACGGCUUAGAGGCCGUCCUAUCAUCAUACGUGGCCUUUGUCACCCCACGCAUCCAGUACUACGAGAAAGGCGAUGCAGAAAAAAGUCAGCGGGUCGACAUCGACAGCCUUUAAGAGUAUCGUGUGGCAGCCCUCAUCCAACAUGCAUGCCAUAAGCAGCAGAUACAGUGCUACCAUGAUUGAAAUGUCAGGGAACGCUCCUUCAACGUUGGCGACUUGGUGCUUCACCGGGUCCAAUCCACCAAGAACAUGCACAAAUUGGCUACCCCCUGGGAGGGCCCCUUCAUCAUCAAAGAAGUCAUCCAGCCAGGCACCUACCGACUACAAUUGGCAGACGGCUUCGACACCCCUAAUCCAUGGAAUAUCGAGCAUCUAUGAUGUUUCUACCCGUAUAAAUAUAAAGCUAUGUACCCUAUUUCCCUUCUAUAAUAAAUAAAUAAAACCUCAGUGGUUCUUUCUACGUACCUACUAUCUUAUUGUUCUCCUUCCCAAGCUAUCCCUGACGCUCGGGGGUUGUCCGACCUGUUCAACAGCCCGCUUGCUGACAAGCUCGGGGGCUUUCCCCAGGCGCUAACCUCUGGGUCACGAAUUUUUCUCCUCCCCCUCUCAAGCUGUUGGCGCUAGAAAUCGGUCAACCGAAUCCCAGCGUCCGACACACGACCCGGGAGAAUCUGCUUAACUCCUGUUCGGGUGAUUGCCCUGGUGCGAUUCGCGCGGCGUGCCAGCCAAUCUGACCUGUUGAUUGGCAAGGAAGAAUACGUGUCAGGUCCAAAAAUCACGAUCGGCUAAGUUUCCGAUCUCGAGAAAGCUUAUCAGCGAAUCGGCCGAUUUGCCGUAAUAAAGAAAUCGGCUAUAAGGCAGCCGAUCACUGUAGCCUUGUAGACGGAAAACUACUAGAGUAAUCGACGCAAAGCUACGAUAACAACACUAGGAAUAGAUCUAAUCGGCAAUACAAAAUAGAUGAAUUUAAUAGCAGAACGUGAAGAAAGCCGAAACUACCGAUUCCUAGCUGGAUAACUGGUGAUAAAACUAGAAAGACAGGUAAAACCUAUGAUUCUAGCAAAUAUCGAUAACUAGUGAAUAAAUCUAAACAAAACAACAGCGAUACGCCCGAAGUUAAAGCUUAGAUAUUACUCGAUAAGCGGAACUUACAGAAUCGGCCGGAGAUCAAGCUGAUGCAGCCCUGCCAACCCGCACGAACUCGUGAAAGAGAGAAAAGUAUUGGCGAAGUCGCCUGCUUGAAAGUAAGUACGAGGAAAAAGUAGUUUGUUGUAUUGAUUUGUUGAUGAUUACAGAUUUACAAAGGUAGCUAUUUAUAGCCCCGUACAGAUGACUUCUUAACCGACUAGAAUUCUAUCCCUAAUUCAAACAGAAAACGAAUAUUUACAAGCACGAUUCGUGCUAGGUUGGUUACUCUGCGCUUCAUGGGCUGAUCUCCCCCUUAUCCUUUUAUUCCUUUCCAAGCCCAUACAGGCCCAAUUAAACCAACCUCCUAAUCGGCCGAUUCCUUAUCGGCAAAAGGCAACCGAUUGGGACCCCGGCACGUUCGAUCCGAAGCGAGACAGAAGUCGUCGGCCGAUCUCGCACUGUAGCACCAUUCGACCGAUUCCCAACUGUGCUUCUCCGAUUCCCUCUCUUCUUGGCACCGAUUUACUAGUGACGAAAUCUGGAGUCAACACAUGCCCCCCAGUUUCGGAGUAAAACAUAGUCUUUUACUUCGAAAUUCUUUAUAACCUCCUCUCCGAAACGGGCGCAGUAAAAAUAUCCUUCCGUUUCGCGGUCUUCUAGCUGAUGAUUGCAAUCUUUUCGAAACGGGCGCCCACGACAGCCACUACUCCCGAAAAACUCGAAACGCCGGCGCGGUGAAAAUUCCGUUUUUACCCUCCUUCAGGCAUCCUUUAAAUAGCGCUUCACCCCGCACUUCAUCUUCAAGCUCACGUCUCUUUUUCCAAGCGCGCGCGCCCUCUUCUCUCUUCAGCAUCCUUCCCUUGCCGCCGAAGCCUUCUAGCGCCAUCCUCCUGUUACUUUUCCCCUUCUCUUCCAAUGGCGGCUCCUUCUGGCAGCUCUCCAGCGCGCGACGUUCCAGAAGUAGCGCCUCCAGCGGUAGUGGCGACGGCCGUUGCUCCAUCCACAGAAAAAGGAGCUUCACCGGAGAUCCCGAUGGCGAUCCCCAUCACGGCCUCAUCGUCCGCACCUGCACCGGCGACCACGCCGACCACACAGAACUUCAUCCCAGAGGUAAAUACCGAAUCUUUCUUCUAUCGGCAAUGUAUUUACUUUAGAUCUGUUUCUUACUUUUCCUACACCCCCCUUUCCUUUUUUAGGCAGUUAGGCAUCGUAUUACCAUCCAUCUCACGGGCAAUCCCGGCCUUAUUUGUCUCGGACCUAUGGGGAACCCAGAUCCAAUAGAGCUUAUCAAUUUGGAAACCCACAGGAUACCCUUCACACCGGCCGAUCUCGCACUGUAGCACCAUUCGACCGAUUCCCAACUGUGCUUCUCCGAUUCCCUCUCUUCUUGGCGUUGAUUUUACUAGUGACGAAAUAUAGCGUCAAUACAAGGAUAUACGACUAACUCAUGUGGUCGGUGUCCUAGCUCGUGAAACCUAGACAACAUCAUAUUCACCCCUCCUACAAGCUCGAGAUUCGGUCUCAGCAGGACGCUGGCCAGGCAAGGUUAGGUGCUUAGCGGCUACAUGACAGCUACAUGCUGUCAUGUCGUAUACACCAAGGGAGGGAUGGAGUUUCUCUUCAUUACAUAUAAUUAAGAACAUUGCAUUCAACGUUUCAUCAAACAGCUUGAUACAUCUUAAAUGUUUUUCCUACAGGUCCAAGUCAUUUACAAUGGUCUCAGCCACAUCAUGGUACUGCUCAACCACCUCAGGAAUCAAGUCUUCUUCGAAGUCGGCCGCGACUCCUAUCACAACACGUUCCAAGGGAAGUUUCAGGAAUUAUGAUGCCAACAAAGCAAAGGUGUUCUUGAUGCAUUCCAAUGCAGUAUCCUUCAGUAGCGCCUUGAGCCGACCUGGUGCAUCCUUGAGACGGUCCAGUAGCAGCAUUGGUGCAGAUGGGUCGGCGUCUGCUUGGACCAUGUCCAUCACAUAGCUGGCUGCCUUCCACAGCUGCUCCAUCUCUAACUCCAACCCUGCAAUUACACGCUGGUCAUUUUGGAGAUUACUUACAGCAGCCUCUAAGCAGCACUCGGUUUCCUUGCGUGCAUUGGCUUCGUGGGCCAACUUCUAUGAUACUGCAUACUCACGCUUGACUGCCAUGUCAUGCUCCUGCUCAAGACGUGUGUUGGAUUGUUCGCACUCCUUGAGGUGCUAUUUCAGCCUCUCCUCCCUCAGCAUGGCAUCUAUUUGUCCGACCAAGUCUACAUGAGCAUCAAGAUAUCCAAGAGAAAUAUGAUUUAACAAGUCGGCACAGCAUACCUCUCAAGUGCGAAGUGAAAACUUCCUUCUCAAAAGCAAAGUCAAUCCUGUCCUUCAACAAGUGAUUGGCCUACUUCAUGACAUCCUCCUUGGCCUUCUUAAGGUUGACCUCGAGUCACUCCACCUUAAGGCAGUAGUGGUCAGCUUGGUGGGCCGUAUCCGCCCACUUCUGCGCUUGUUCGGCCAGACCUUGCACAUAUCUUCACAUUUAGAAUUCGGCAACUAAAAGGGAUUUCUGCAACAGGUCUUCUAGGUUGGUCAGCAAACUUACACUCAAAAACUCGAUGAUCCUCGAGGACGACUGCUGCAGCUCGGCAAGAGCCUUGUGGUCCACCUCAACGCCUUCACCAACGCCUUGUGGCCCGGAGGGUCUUCUAGGCCGAGGCAAAUCUUCUUGAGUCGGGGGUCGGGCUGCAGCGUGUUGGCUCCUUACUAAUCUUUUGGGCCUUGGUUACCAUGGCGGUGGCCUUAGCUGAUAACUCCAGUGCUUCUGCGAGCUGAACUGCCUCAGUGUCGCAUCUGUAUGACGUCUCCACAUCACCGUAGAUGGAGAGGACUCCGUUUGGGCCCGGCAUCUUGAGGAAAAGGUAGGUGUGGUGCAGGAUUGCCAUAAAUCUUGCUAGCAUGGGCCGACCAAGGAUGGCAUGGUAGGAAGUCUUGAAAUUUGCCACCUCAAAUGUGAGAUGCUCCGUGCGGUAGUUGGCCUGUGUGCCAAAAGUAACCGGCAAAACAACUCGACUAAUGGGGUAAGAUCCUUUGAUAAGGACGAUGUCGUAGAAGGGUUCUUCACAAGGCUGGAGCCGCUCAAAGUCGAAGUCCAUGCACUUCAAAGUCUUAGUGAAGAUGAUGUUUAGGCCACUGCCACCAUCAAUUAGCACCUUGGGGACUAGGGCCCAAUCUAUAGUCAGGAAAACCACUAGUGGGUAGGACCCGGGAUGUGCGAUGUGGACCUAGUGAUCUUGCUUGGAGAAAGUUAUGGACUGUUCUGACCAGCGCAGAUACUAGACUGGCUAUACAGAGACAAAGUGCACCUCUCACUGGCGUAACUUCUGCUAGCGCUUGCAGCAAAAGGUGUUACGGCCACCCAUGAUGAUCUUGACUUGGUGCUCUGGUCGCUGGAAGUCUUUGUUCUAGUCGACACCGAGCUGUGGGGCGUCUUGAUGUGGCUGGUCGCCGUGCUCCUCUCUGUUCUAGUUGUCACGGUCGUCGUGUCUGCUGUUAUUGUGGUCUUCAUGGUUGCCGCGGUUGUCGCGAUGGUGGCCGUUGCGGUCGUCGUGGUGACGGUCAUCAUGGUCGUUGUGGCGACGGUCGUCGUCACGGCUACGGUAGUCGUGUUUGUUGUGAUCCCGAUGGUAGUGGUUGCGGCGGGGUCGCUUGUAUUCCACCGGGGUGCCGAGCUCUUUCUUUAGGACUGUGCAAUACCGAAAAGUAUGACGUGCGUCCUUAUGGAAGGGGCUUGGAGCACUGAGGGUUCUGUCAAAUUCUUCCCGGAUGAAAGUGGUCGGCCUAGCCGGAUCUCCUUCAGCAACAUAGACCUCUGGGGCCCUUUUUCGAAGUCGGGACUCCGAGCGUGCAUGUGGUUUGUCAUGGAUUGGCUGAUCGUAGUUGUCGACAGUGCAAUGCUUGAUGUUCUGGAACUAAACUUUUGCCGCCUCCUCUAUGUCUACUUGUCUAUUAACAACUUCCAUCAUCUGCCCGACCAUCUUGGGAGCAGCCUCGUACAACUUGCAGAACAUGGGGUGGUUCAUCAAGCCAGAGCGAAAAUACCAGAUGAUAUCACGAAAUUUGAUGCCAGCUAGUGUGUUGCGGUUCUCGAAGAAGCAGUUGGCAUAUUCUCGAAUAGUUUCACAUAUCCUUUGACAAGCUUGGCCCAGUUUCUCCCUAUUACCAGGUCGGCUAUACGUGGCCUUGCAAUUCUAGGUGAAAGCUCUAGCAAGCUGACCCCAACUAUCGAUGCUAUUCGGAGGGGGAUUCUCCAGCCACAGGAGUGGAGCAGGACCCAUCACCAUCGGGAAGUAGGCGACCAUUUGGUUGUAGGUGCCAUUCGCAGCUCUCACUGUGAUACCGUAUGUCUUGAGCUAGAUGGCAGUGUCGGAGCAACCAUCAUACUUUUCAUUAAUGGUCGGCUUGAAUGUGGCUGGCCAAUCAACAGCCCUAAGGUGUGGGGUGAAAGUAGCGAAGCCAUCGAUCAUCAUGUCAUCAUCGUAAUCAUCAUCGAUGUAGUGUUGGAUGGGUGGGGCCCUGUGGCGUCCGCUAUAAUUGUGCCUGGGCAGGUAGUAGGCAUCUUCGGGAGCGCCGUACAUGUGGUCGUAGUCGCACCUUGUCCGGUUGUAGGAGUCUUCAAGGGCGUAGUAUACACGAUCGCAGUUGGUGUGGCAGCGCAUCUCAUCUUCCUGGCGACAACGGUCCUCACGCUCCUCAUUGCGGUUUAGCCCAGGAGCGCCAUAGUCACGGUUGUGCUCGGCACGGCGAUGGAGCUUGGCCCCUUCACGCUCAUGGUGGUAGUUGUUGAGGUUGGCAUGGAUGUCACGAUGCUGGUGGAGGUCGCGCAGCUCAUCACGGAGAUCACAUUGCCAUUCUGGUCGACCUCGGUUGUCAUCAUUGCCUCACCUGCCAUGGAGGCGGUUGUCGUUGUUGUCGUACUGGCAUGCGUUGUUGACGUUGUUGUGGACAGGUGGAUUGACAUGAUUGUUGGCCGGUGGGUUGGCAUUGUUGUUGACAGGUGGGUUGGUGGGUAGGAUGCUGUUCUGCUCCACCUCCUCUUCACGGAUUGGCUCCAUCUGACACCGAAAAUGCAUUUGGUAGGGUUAAGUUUCCAGCGGAAAGCUCGCAGGCUUGAGAAGAUUUCCUCCAAAUCAAUGAUUAGGUCUUCCUUAUUUCUUGUUUUGAUGACUACAUCGUCCACGUAAGCUUCUAUAUUGUGAUGCAAUUGUUUUCAAAGCACAUCUGUAUGGCGCGUUGGUAAGUUGCGCCUGCGUUUUUUAACCCAAAUGACAUUGUUUUGUAGCAAAAAGCCCCAAAUGGAGUGAUGAAGGCUGUUUUGGUUUGAUCUUCUUCUUUGAGACUUAUCUGGUGGUAGCCUGAGUAACAGUCAAGAAAGCAUAGCAAGUCGCAUCCGGCAGUAGAGUCGACUACUUGGUCGAUCCUGGGUAGUCCGAAAGGGUCCUUUGGACAACGUUUGUUGAGAUCCAUGUAAUCGACACACAUUCUCCAUUCAUUGUUUUCUUGCGAACUAGUACAGGGUUGGCUAGCCAAUCAGGGUGAAAGACUUCUUUGAUGAACCCUGCUGCGAGUAGUUUGGCUAACUCUUUUUUUAUUGCUUCUCGUCUGUCUUGGGUGAACCUUCGGAGGCGUUGUUGUUUUGGGGUAGCCUUGGGAUCAACAUUUAGAGAAUGCUCAAUCAGUUCGUUGGGCACACCAGGCAUGUCAGCUGGUUUUCAGGUGAAGAUGUCGUGGUUAGCCCGAAGAAAACUGAUGAGCGCGGUUUUCUAUUUGGGAUCCGUCCUAUCCCAAUCAGUGCUGCCUUAGAAGGAUCGCCGGUCUUGAGAUCGACUGCUUUGAAGUCUGUCUCAUUUGUUGCCUUCACUUUUGCUAUCCCUGAAUUGUUUUCUAGGAUUUCAAGUUCUGUUGGAUGAAGCUUCUUUGAGGCUGAAAAAACUUGUUGCAUGGGACUGGGCCCUUGUGAAGUUGCUGCAAUUUCCACGGCUUCGGUGUCGCAUUCAUAAGAUCUUCUUAGGUCUCCUCGUAGUGUUAAUUCUCCCUUGGGUCCUAGCAUUUUGAGUACCAGGUAGACGUAGUGUGGAAUAGCCAUGAAUUUAGCCAGAGCUAGUCUCCUGAGUAUGGUGUGGUAAGAGGUUUCGAAGUCGGCGACUUCGAGUCUGAUGUACUCGGUUCGGUAAUGCUCCUUAGUGCUGAAAGUAACUGGUAGGAUGACUUGUCCUAGUGGUAUAGCUGCGUUGCCUGGUAUGAUUCCGUAAAAGGGAGAAUCUGUUGGAGUGAGCAUUUCCGUGACGUCGAGACACAUUUUUCUUAAUGUCUUGGCAAAAAUGACGUUGAGUCCACUUCUGCCAUCGAUGAGUACUUUUGUUAGUUUUGAGCCUACCACGACAGGAUCGAGUACUAGGGGAAAUCGGCCUGGCUCUAAAAAGUUUGUCCAUUGGUCCUUUCUGCUGAAGGUUAUGGGUACCUCGAACCAUUUUAGCGGUGUUGGAUCUAUCGGUUCGAUGGCCAUGAUUUUCCUGAGUACCAACUUGCUGGACCGCUUCGAAGCGAUACCCGGGAUUCCGCAAAAGAUGAUGUUGACUAUUUUGGAGGCAGUCUGGAAGUCUCCUGCUCCUUCUUCAUUCUUAUGGACUUUGUUUUUUCCUUUAUCUUUUUUCUGGAUGUACUCCUCGGGAGGUGGUGGUGCGGGUAAUUCUUGCAUUGCUCGGCGCAUGCUGUAGCAGUCUAUGGCAGAAUGUUUGCUGUUUGGGUGCCAUGGGCACUAUUUUUUGAGCAAUUCGGUGAAGCUAGGUCCUUCAUCAUGUUUGCAGGAUCCUUUCUUCCCUGAGUUGGUCAUGGAAGUAAUGGUGUUGUCAGGUUUCCAUUUGCGAUUUUGGUUACUCAAAAAGUUGUUCCGAGUAUCGCUUUGUUGUUUCCUGUCCUGUUCGUGGCUGCUAUUGUCGCACCCACGGCUGCGAUGGGAGCCGAAUUGUUCUUGCUCUUUAUCUUCUUCGUCUGCCCAUUGUUGUACCAUUAUUUUAAGGUCCUUGACAGUGCCUGGUCGUAGUCUACCAAAGUCCUGAUACAUUCAACGAUCAUAGAGGCCAUUUUGGAAACACUCGAUGACGUCUGUUUCUGAAAUGUCGACUAUUGUGGCCUUCUUUUCAAAGAAUCGCUGUAGGUAGUCGCGUAGUGUUUCGCCUUCUUUUUGUUUUACUCGGCUUGGAUCGAUCUUGUUGCCUGGUCUAUUCAUGGAGCCUACGUAGUUGUUGGUGAAUGCUUUUGUCAGAUCCUCCCAAGAGUCAAUUGUUUUGGGCUUGAGUGGCUCAAGCCAUGUUAGGGGUACGGGUUCCAUGCAUAUGGGAAAAUGGAUGACUUUGGUGUCAUUGUUGCCUCCGGCUGCUUGGACUACCAACAAGUAGCAUCAGAGCCAUUGAAUUGGGUCUUGCUUGCCAUCAUACUUGGUGAUUCUUGUUGGCUUCAAUUUUUCGCGUAGUCUUGUCCUCAUUACCUGAGCUGUGAAGGUGGGGAAGUGGUUGUAGUUGUCGACUUCUCAUUCUCGGCGACUAUUGAUUAUUUCGCGUAGAUUGCUGAAAUUUGACACUUUGUAAUUGUUCCUAAUGUGGCGAGGGCUUUUUGCUGAAUUGGUCUAGCUAGCCUCUCUGAGGUCUUUAUGUCAUGCUGGAACUUCAUGUUUACUCUGUCCUUGGCUAAGCUGCCUUGGUUGGUUGAUUACCUCAUUGUUUCUUUGUGUUUUGUGAAGGCCAUUGUCGAUUGCAGUGCCCCUGCUGCCCACUUGAUGAGCCGUGUUGUGAGGGAUAGAUGGGAUUGGUGAUUCUUUAUCGAGUAAUUUGUAUGCUUGCUAUGCGAGUUGCACAAUUAGCCCAUUGCCUCGCUGCACGAGUUGGGCCGUUACUUUAGUGUCUCUAUUUCGAGGUAUCAGAGUUAAUAUGAGAUUGAUUGAGGCAAUCGCUGCAAGUGGAGUGGUGUGUUCUUGAGCUUGUACUGCAUCAAAUGCUCUUUCAAGGUUUGUGAUGGGAAUGUUUGUAGCUAGUAAUUGUCGGCACUCUGCCCGAUUAAUGUUUCGUAUCCUUCUUUGGUUUCUUUGAUCGGGAGUUUCGUCUUGUGGAGCGUUAGCCGAAGACUCAUCUUCUGAAAUGUUGUCGAGCUGCGCUAUCCGUCGAGGUGUUCUCUGCUGGCUAGUACCCACAUUGUUAUUUUUAGUGAUGACAAAGACUUCUCUGUCCGGGUAGUAGCUUCCAGAGCUUGAUGUUGUGAUUUCUGUGGAGCUCUCCUCGCGGCUUGAUGUAAGCGAGGUGCCUUCUUGGUAUGGAAGGUUGUCUAUGUGAGCGACAAGGCGUGACUCGUAGUCGCGGGUAAGGAAAGAUGGCUUCAUUCCUAGCCAGUGAAUGAAUCUGCCUUGUGGUAUUGAGGUUAUUACCAAACCUUGGGUUGGCCCUGAUAAUGGGGUUUCUUGGAUAUAGUCCGAGUCAAAGUCAUGGUCCUCGUCUUCCCCGAGUUCGAGUUGAGUUCGGGUGAAGAGAUCUUGGUAGACUUCGGCUGUAUUACGAAGUCCAUAUGGGAAUCACUUUUGAGUUGAAGUCGACUUGUGAAGUGACUCGGGCUCCAGCUUGUGUCGACUAGUCCGAUCUGAGGCUGAGUCCGGAGUGUAGUCGAACUCGGGGUUGUUGACUUUGAGAAUUUGGCUUUUUUUGAUGAACUCCCUUGUUUUCGGCUGAGGAAACCUUUUGUCGUGGGGUUUCUUCUCCUGGAUGCUGACGAUCUAACGCUGAAACGAUCCAGUGCCAUCGGCGAUGCAGAGCCAGGAUCCAAAAACGAAGGUUGCGCCUGCCUCGAAGGUGAAGACAGGCUUGAUAACGAUCGAUGCCAUUGAACUCGCGUAGGGAAACUCGGCGACUACCCCUACCUGGCGUGCUAGCUGUCGGUGUUUUAGACCAGUAACCCACCUAGAGGGUACCCUAGGAGGUCUUUUGUGCAGUAGGUGUUGGAGGUAUGCCCUAGAGGCAAUCAUAGAGAUGAUGAUAUUCCAUUUGUAUCCAUGAUUUAUAUUGUGUUCCUUGAAUAUCCAUUAAAGGCUACUUGAAUUGAUUUGCAAUUAUCUGAAUUGUAUGUGAAACUCUUUACUUGUAUGGUUAUUCUAAAGUUGUCCCUAGUCGGAGUUCAUGUGAGGAUACACAUGAAUAUUAGACUAGCACAUAUAUUAGUUGAUGACUAUGUUUCAGGAGUCAUGGAUAUGGAGAUGUUGAACUAAUAAUGUGGGCACAUGUGGAGACAUGUGCUAGGACUGACCCAACACGAGAAGUAGUUCUCUCUUUACACAACAUAUACACUUUGUCCUUAGACUUGAGAUUGUCGCAUGUACUCAAGAUGUGGAUCGACUUACUUAGGGGCUAUCCAACGCUACGCCGUAACAGGGUAGUCAUAAAGGUACCUUUCAGGUUUGUCAAGAAGCAUGCUAUGAGACAUGGUCAAUCAAGAUGGGAUUUGCCCCUCUCUGAUUGAGAGUGAUAUCUCUCGGCCCCUCGAGUGAUCGGAUCCGAAAAUGCAUGGCCAUGCUACGUACGGUUAAGAGUUAACCUACAAAGGGAUUCCGAAUCAUAGGAUCGAGAAAGAGCAGUCGGCUUGAAGCUAGACCAAAUAUCGUGAGGCAAAGGGAAUAACACAUAUAUAAUGUUGUGAUGGUUCGUCUGAUAUGAUCUUCGUGUGCGUAUAGGAGUUGGCACGUCUUGCUAGAGGCCGCUACCGACUAUUGGGCCGAGUAGGAGUACUCGAGCCAUGUCUAUACGUAUCCGAACCCAUAGGGUCACGCACUUAAGGGGCUGGAAGCCCAAUUCAGAUGUGAUCCGAGUUGGAUUAGGUUUAGAAGUACUAAUGGGCCUCGAACCCAGAGGCCCGUUAGGAACCUCUAUAAAUAGAGGGGUAGGGGCGCCCUAGGGUUUACACCUUUUUGGCGAAACACAUCUGUUGCACCUCCCAUGCCCUCGCUUGCGAUGCUUCCGACCUAGCAGUCCGGCUUGCGAUGCUUCCUCCCUGCACGUGUGGAUACCUUGGAGGUGUUGCGCCUGUAGCACUUGGACGAGCCGCUGACGAGCCACGAUGAGCCGCCAACGAGCCACGAUGAGCCGACGACGAGCCGCGGCACGAGGGCGAUCUUGCUGCACGUGGACGAGCUGCUGAGGAGCUGCUGGACGUUGAUGUGAUCGACUACAUACGACUACAUUGAUCAACUUCGCUGCAUCAACGCGAAUCUACAUCUUCCGCAUCAGUGCGUCGAGUGGUAAUCCCGUGAUCCUUAUACGGCAAUUUUUCUAGUUUACGCGGUAGAAAUUUUUGAUUUGCGCUAGUGUAACCUACCUCAUAUCCCAAUAGUGGUAUCAGAGCUGUAGUUGUUUAAGUUUUAGAUUCAGGAUAUGUGCAUAUGGAGAUAUGUGAGUUUUCAGUUUGAUCUAUGUCCUGGUUUCGUGUUCUUGCUGCAAUGGUUGUGUAACGACGUACUCCUACCGGUCGGGUUUCCACCAUCGGAGUUAAGUGAUACAUGUAAUGCUAGUUGUAGCGAGCGAAGAUCAAUGUGAAUGGUCAAAUCGAGAUCCAGGUUCAUACCCCAAGCACAUGAGAUGUGCAAUAGUAAAUUGAAUCUACUACCAGGUCGGGAUUUUGCCGUAUGCGAGUGCUUCGGUAAAUCAGCCGUAACUUUUUGGUACGAUCUCGGAUCGGGGCGAAUUUUAUAUGAAAAUUGAUCUACAGAAAAAGUUACACAUGAACAUCAACCACUUCGCCAUUUUCGACAAAAUUAGAGUUCCCAAAUUCAUCUUGGAAGAUGGAGUUUCGGGCCUCCGAAGUUUGGAAUGUUAGAACGCCUAACUCAUUCGUGAUCAGUAUGUAUGUAUCUUGUGAUCAGUAUGGCCCUUUGUGUAUGUGAUGCAUGUGUGUAACUCAUUCGUGACCUGCAUGUCGCGUGUACGGCAACACGGCUGGAGCCAUAUGUGUUGUCACUUUAAUGUAUUUAAUGGUCUGCGUACCAAUCUGUGAUGAUCCAAGCAACUAUGUAAUCUUCAUUACUAGCUUCUUUACUAGCUAUUAGGCGUAAUAGCAUGUUCUAGUUCUUGGAGGACUCAUCACUAGGAGGAUGGCGCACAUGGAACAUGGAGAUGGAGAUCACCAUGGUGAACAGGUUCUGUGGAGAUGGAGAUCACCAUAUGAAAACGGGCCAUACUGUGUCACAACUGUGUGAAUGCUAUUCUGUUUAUGUUUUACGAUCUGCAUGCUGUGAUGUUAGAAGUAGAACGAUCCCUCACAAAGUUUAAGGUAGUAUGCCCUCCCAACUAAAACUUGCACCGUCCCAUGUCUUGUACAAUUAGUGGUGGGUCUAUGAAAUUAGGGUGCCACUAGUUUUCCUUGACUAGACGGGUUUGUGUCGGACACAUACAAGCAUAAGGGUUGGUUUUCUUAACAAGGUUAUCUUAAUGGUUAAGGACCUUAGGGCAUAAAGGUUGGGCGCCGAGACAUGAAAAUGUCACCCAACAACAGGAGUCAUAUGUGAUAUGAUUAGCAAAAGUUGCUUACCGAUCUACCUUGUUUGCUAGCGGUGAUGCUAAAGCUCACUACUAGACUUGUUAGUUGUGGAUCCUGAAUCACUAAGUUUCAAUAGAGGGAUAUUGAUGUUAGUGGGAGUAGAUUCUGUUAAAAUAAGUUUAAUGUGAUUUGCUCUAUCAUGGAUACGUUUGUCUUAGUGUAUUUUGCAUUACUUUUGUUGUAGAUUAAAUGGCACCUAACAGCACUACACCGUUUGCUUUGUGUUUGGUCCUUGAGAAGGACAAGUUGAAUGGAACAAAUUACUCAGAUUGGAUCCAUAACCUGAGAAUUGUUCUCAGGGCUGAGAAAAAGGAAGAUGUUCUAGACAACCCACUACCAGAAGAACCUGCUGAUGAUGCACCCGCUGCUGCUAAGAAUGCUUACAAGAAAGCAUGUGAUGCUAACCUUGAAGUAAGCUGUCUUAUGCUUCCUUGCAUGGAACUCGAGCUGUAGAUGCAGUUCGAAACAAACCAUGAGGCGCACGAUAUGAUCAUGGCGCUUAGAGACAUGUUCCAAACACAGGCCAGGACUGGAAGGUUCAAUGUGUCUAAGGCCUUUGUGGAGAGCAAGCUAGCAGAAGGCGCAGCAAUAGGACCACACGUAAUCAAGAUGGUUGGUUACACUCAACGGUUGGAGAAGCUGGGCUUCCCACUAGGCCAAGAGUUGGCCACUGAUUUCAUUCUUUCGUCUCUUCCGUCUAGCUAUGGGAACUUCAUCUCGAGCUACCAUAUGCAUGGGACGGAGAAGGGUCUGAAUGAGCUGUGUGGCAUGCUUAAAAUAGCAGAGGCUGACAUCAAGAAAAGUGCUAGUAGCAGCCAUGUGAUGGCUAUACAGAAUAAGCCUAGCUUUAAGAAGAAGGGAAAUUCUUGGAAGAAGAAGGGCAAGGCUGGAACGUCCAAGCCAAACCCAGCGCCCAAGGUUAAAGCUGGACCUGGACCUGCUCCAGACAAAGAGUGCUUUUACUGUCAUGAACUUGGUCACUGGAAGAGAAAUUGCAAGUAGUACCUAGCUUCAUUGAAGAAUGGUGGAAGUAAGAGUACUUCCACCUCAGGUACGCUUGUUAUUAAUGUUAUAGACAACAUAUUUCUCGCUGAUACAAUUAUUAAUUCUUGGGUAUUUGAUAUCGGAUCGGUUGCUCAUAUUUGCAAUUCGAUGCAGGGAAUGAUAAGAAGUAGAAGCGUGGAAAGAGGAGAAGUUGAUUUCCGCGGAUUGGUUGCUCAUAUUUGCAAUUUGAUGCAGGGAAUGAUAAGAAGUAGAAGCGUGGAAAGAGGAGAAGUUGAUUUCUACGUGGGCAAUAAUGCAAGAGUUGCUGCGUUGACUAUCGGGACGAUGCAACUCCACCUCCCGUCAGGAUUUAUUAUGGAGUUGAAUAAUUGUUAUUUCAUUCCUAGUUUAAGUUGAAACAUUUUGUCUCCUUCAUGCUUGAUGAAGGAUGGUUAUUCAUUUGCGAGUGAAAAUAAUGGUUGUGUGAUCUCUAAGAAUGAUAUGUUUAUGGCUUUUGCACCCCACCUCCUGUCAGCAUUUAUUAUGGAGUUGAAUAAUUGUUAUUUCAUUCCUAGUUUAAGUUGAAACAUUUUGUCUCCUUCAUGCUUGAUGAAGGAUGGUUAUUCAUUUGUGAGUGAAAAUAAUUGUGUGAUCUCUAAGAAUGAUAUGUUUAUGGCUUUUGCACCCAUUGUGAAUGGAUUGUUUGUUUUAAAUCUUGAUGGUUCACCUGUCUGUAACGUAAGUGCUAAAAGGCAUCGGCCUAAUGAUUUGAGUCCUACCUACUUGUGGCAUUGUCUUUUGGGUCAUAUAAGUGAAAAACGCAUGAAGAAGCUCCAUUCUGAUGGACUUCUAACUUCGUUUGAUUUUGAAUCAUAUGAGACAUGUGAGGCUUGCUUGCUAGGCAAGAAGACCAAGACACCUUUCACAGGAUUUGCUGAGAGAGCAAUAGACUUGUUCGAACUCGUACAUAGCGAUGUAUGCGGACCAAUGAGCAUGACGGCUAGAGGAGGAUUACAAUACUUCAUAACUUUCACUGAUGAUUUUAGUAGAUAUGGCUAUGUCUACUUGAUGAGGCACAAGUCUAAAACCUUUGAAAAGUUCAAGGAAUUUCAGAAUGAAGUUAAAAAUCAGUGUGGCAAGAAAAUUAAGGCCUUACGAUCUGAUCGUGGAGGCGAGUAUUUGAGCCACGAGUUUAGCAAUCAUCUAAAGAGUUGCGGAAUUGUUCCACAACUUACGCCGCUUGGAAUUGUUCCUUGAAUAUCCAUUAAAGGCUGCUUGAAUUGAUUUGCAAUUAUGUGAAUUGUAUGCGAAACUCUUUACUUGUAUGGUUAUUCUAAAGUUGUUCCUAGUCGGAGUUCAUGUGAGGACACACAUGAAUAUUAGACUAGCACAUAUAUUAGUUGAUGACUAUGUUGCACGAGUCAUGGACAUGGAGAUGUUGAACUAAUAAUGUGGGCACAUGUGGAGACAUGUGCUAGGACUGACCCAACACGAGAAGUAGUUCUCUCUUUACACAACAUAUACGCUUUGUCCUUAGACCUGAGAUUGUCGCAUGUACUCAAGAUGUGGAUCGAGUUACUUAGGGGCUAUCAAAUGCUACGCCGUAACAGGGUAGUUAUAAAGGUAGCUUUCGGGUUUGUCAAGAAGCAUGCUAUGAGACAUGGUAAAUUAAGAUGGGAUUUGCCCCUCUAUGAUUGAGAGUGAUAUCUCUGGGCCCCUCGAGUGAUCGAAUCUGAAAAUGCAUGGCCAUGCUACGUACGGUUAAGAGUUAACCUACAAAGGGAUUCCGAAUCAUAGGAUUGAGAAAGAGCGGUCGGCUUGAAGCUAGACCAAAUAUCGUGAGGCAAAGGGAAUAGCAUGUAUAUAAUGUUGUGAUGGUUCAUCUGAUAUGAUCUUAAUGUGUGUAUAGGAGUUGGCACGUCUUGCUAGAGGCUGCUACCGACUAUUGGGCGGAGUAGGAGUACUCGGGCCAUGUCUAUACGUAUCCGAACCCAUAGGGUCACACACUUAAGGGGUUGGAAGCCCAAUUCGGAUGUGAUUCGAGUUGGAUUAGGUUUAGAAGUACUAAUGGGCCUCGGACCUAGAGGCUCGUUAGGAACCUCUAUAAAUAGAGGGGUGGGGGCGCCCUAGGGUUUACACCUUUUUGGCGAAACACAUCUGCUACGCCUCCCACGCCCUCGCCUGUUUCAAUUUGCGGAUCUAGCAGUCCGGCUUUCAACGCUUCCUCCCUGCAUGUGUGGAUACCUUGGAGGUGUUGCGCUUGCAGCACUUGGUUGAGCCGCUGACGGGCCAUGACGAGCCGAUGUCGAGCCGUGGCACGAGGGCGAUCUUGCAGCACAUGGACGACUACGCUGAUCAACUUUGGUGCAUCGACGUGAAUCUACAUCUUCCGCAUCAGUGCAUCGAGUGGUAUUCCUGUGAUCCUUAUACGACAGUUUUCCUGUUUUACGCGGUAGAAAUUUUUGAUUUGCGCUAGUGUAGCCUACCUCUAUCCCAACAGUGGGUGCCAUUGAGAAUUAAGGAGUCAAAUGGUGACACAGGGAACACGAUUUAGACAGGUUCGGGCCGCUAGAUCGCUGUUGACGCCGGAUUUCGUCAUCAGUAGAAUCGGCGCCAAGGAGGAAAAGAAGUCGAGGAAGUACGGAUGGAAUCGGUCAGAAGAUGCUAUAAUACGGAAUCGGUCAGUAGCUUUUACUUCGCUUCAGGGUGGAUGCACCAGAUUCCCAAUCGGCAAUCCUUUGCCGAUGAGAAAUCGGCCGAUCUGGAAGGUAGACUAAGGUGGGCCUGUAUGGGCUUGGAAAGAUGGAGGAACAAGGUGGAGUUCAGCCCACGAAGCGUGGGGUGAUUAGUUUAGCACGGAUUGUGUUUGUAGAUAUUUGUUUUCUGUUUGAAUUAGAGAUAGAGUUCUAGUCGGUUAAGAAGAUUAUUUGUACGGGGCUAUAAAUAGCUACCUUUGUGAAUCUGUAAAAACAAUCAAUCAAUCAAUACAACAAGUUACUUUCUUCUUCGUGCUUACUUUCGAGCAGGCGACUUCGCCAUCAUUUUUUUCUUCUCACGAGUUCGUGCGGAUUGGCAGGGCUGCAUCAUCUUGAUCUCCGGCCGAUUCUGUAAGUUCCGUUUAUCGAGUAAUACCUAAGCUUUAACUUCUGGCGCAUCGCUGUUGUUUCGUUUAGAAUUAUUCAUCAGUUAUCGAUAUCAACUAAAUUCAUAGGUUUUUACCUGUUUUUCUAGUUUUUAUCACCAGUUAUCCUGCUAGGAAUCGGUAAUAUUGGCUUUCAUUACUUCCUGUUGUUAGAUCCAUUCAUUGCCGAUUAGAUCUUUUCUUAGUGCUGUUAUCAUAAGCUUUGUACCGAUUACUUUAGUACUUUUCUGUCUACAAAGCUACAGAGAUCGUGCUGUUUUAUAGCCGAUUUCACUAUCACAGUAGAUCGGCCGAUUCGCCGAUAAGCUCUCUCGAUCGGAAACUUAGCCGAUCGUAGUUACUGAAUUUGACACGUGUUAUUCCUUGCCAAUCAACAGGUCAGAUUGGCUGGCACGCCGCGCGAACCGCACCAGGGCAUUUACCCGAACAGGAGCUAAGCAGAUUCUCCCGGGUCGUGUGUCGGUCGCUAGGAUUCGGUUGACCGAUUUCUAGCGUCAACACACUUUUGGCACGCCCGGUGGGACCAAUACAACCGCUGUCAUGUCGAAAGCUGCUGACGUCUCCGAAGAUAACGUCAUUGAAGUGACGGAGGCAGAUCUAAAGGACGACCAAAAAGAAGAUCUGAAUCAGUAUUUGGAGCAAGUCCGUAAAACUUGCUUGAAAUCCUUCAGUCGUUCCAGGAGCGGGGAAACUAUUAAAAAGUCUCCUUUCCCUACUCCUCGCCAGAUCACAAUUUCAGAAGAUUCGGAUAAAAUGUCCGAUAUGAUUCAACAAUCUCUUCAUCACGCCUUCAUCAAUCAAUCCCCGGUACUUUCAAACAUGGUGCACAAUGCUGUUGUCAACUCCUUCGCCGGAAGUAUACCACAAGGGUACAGGGGACCUACGUAUUUUCAGCCGAUUCCACCAAAUCAGGCUUAUCAGGCUUCUCAGCCGAUCCAAUCCUCUGUCGGAGGAACCGGUGCUUCUACGUCAUCAACUCCUUUGGGAUAUGGCUCUAUCCAACCGUCCUCUGCACCACUCCCUCCAGUCAUUCCUCUACCCUGGGGAACGCCUUUAAACACGACCGGUUUGAAUCAAUCGGUCAGUCAAGGAAAUCCUCCGUUCCAAACACCCUCCCAAACGGCCACUCGGCCGAUCAUACUACCAUACCAGCCUAUCACUCCGGAGGUCAACAAGACGUCAGAGCUCAUGAUAUAUGAUGAAACAAGUGGUGCCUACAAGCAGCCGUCCUUUACUACACCACCGGCCUAUACUCAGAUACCACCUUUUCAUCAAUCUCCUUUUAAUCAACCUCCGAUUUAUCAGCAUGUGCCGAUCCCACCGCCAACUAUUCCCCAGCAACAACCAGAUUGGUCGGCGCAAAUCGCGGAGGUAAUGCAAGAACAAUUCGGCCUGAAGCCGAAGGUGCAAUCGUAUACCUACAGGACACCAUACCCAUCUACGUAUGACUUGUUGCCGUUUCCCCAUCGGUACAAAGUUCCUGAUUUUACCAAAUUUUCGGGGAUGGAUGAUACUUCUACCGUAGAACAUGUGAAUAGAUUCAUCAUCCAAUGCGGGGAGGCAGCUACGCAAGAUGCCCUGCGGGUACGGUUGUUCUCGUCAUCCUUGUCCGGAUCGGCCUUCCAAUGGUUCACCACUUUGCCACCAAACUCAAUUAUAACAUGGGCCGAUCUAGAAAGGCAGUUCCACAAGUACUUCUAUGCUGGGGUCCACGAAAUGAAGCUGUCUGAUUUGACUAGCCUCCGGCAAAGAAGUGAUGAGCCGAUACCCUCGUACAUACAGAGGUUUCGGGAAAUCAGAAACAUAUGUUACUCCCUGGCUCUAACCGAUGCACAGUUGGCCGAUAUAGCUUUCCAAGGCCUGAUGCCACACAUUAAAGAAAAAUAUGCUUCACAAGAGUUCGAGAGCCUGAGCCAGAUUGUCCACCGAUUGUCCGGACAAGAAGUGCGUCCAUUCGAUUCAAGAAGGAAUUUUCAGAAGAAAGUGGCAUUCCUGGAAGAAGUAGAGGAUGAAGAAGACGCCGAAAUCGGACUCGCAGAAUGGAUUAAAGGAAAGAAGCCAAUAUCAUGUCCUUUUGGCAAGAAGGAGCCGGAAGCAUUUGGUUUCGAUACAACUAAAGCCGACAAAAUCUUCGAUCUUCUACUCCAGGAAGGGCAGAUUAAACUCUCGCCUUACCACACAAUUCCCUCUGCCGAACAAUUGAAGAAGAUGAAGUAUUGCAAGUGGCACAAUGCCACGUCACAUGAUACCAACGAGUGUAAAAUCUUCAGACAACAAAUACAGUCGGCCAUUGAGCAGGGCAGACUCAAAUUCGAAGUGCCGGCAAAACUGGCCAAACUAAUGAAAAUCGACCAGCACCCUUUUCCUACCAACAUGGCUGACACGGAAAAGAAUUCUCUCACAACAAAAGUGCUGACGUCCGAGUCGGCCAAAAAGAGUGGCGCUGUCGAUCCCAGAUAUCAAAUCACGUCUGAAGGCAUCAAGGGAAAGCGACGAAUGGAGGACGAUGAUGGUGAGUCAGAAAGGCCACGCAUUACCUCCCAAUUCCUGCUCCAAAAGUACCAGCGCCAACAUGAGCAUUCAAGGUCACGAGAAGAGGCGAUGCGUCGGCACGAGGAGCACUGGAGAUGCCCAUUCUUCGUACAUUGUUGGGAAAAUAACCUCAGGCUACCAUCGGCAGAUACUUGCCCGGAGUGCAACGGUCCCUAUCGAGGCAAUCGGCCGUUCACCAGGUCUCGCUCCAGAGAUAGAAGGCCAGAACCGAUCAGCAGGAAUUGGCGCAACCCAGAUGAGCAGCGCCCUCCCGUGCAUGAUCGGCUGGGGGGCAGGAGUGACCAAUAUGAUCGGUCAAAAGGAAGAAGCCAUAAUAGGCAGGGGGGCAGGGCCGAUCGUCAUGAUCAAUCAAAUAGCAAAGCCAGCGUUCACAGCCGGCUCGAAGACAUGGCCGAUGUUCGGGUAACGGAUGAGAACCCAUUAGGACGAGAGCCAGAAUGGGAACGCGCCAGGAAAGAAGGGAGGCCAAUAAACCCCAGAUGGUGCCCCGAUGGUUUAACCAAAUCACAAAAAUGGAGAAUCCAACGCCUCCGCCAAUGGGAACAGCAAGAAGAAGAGAACGCGAUGGACAAGAAGGAAGGGAGGCCUCGGGUAUGGCGCCCCAAAAGAAACGACAAGGACAAUGAUGAAUCGACGGGUGAUGAAUCGGCAGCCGAAAUCGGUAUGGUUUUCAUAUUGCCGAUGGAGUUCAUGACCCCUGCCGAUCAACAAGACGUGUCGGCGAUAGAGGAACAAACAGCACGGUUGGUUUUAGAACCAAUGAUGGCCACGUUCGAAAAGCCCGAAGACGACGAACGACAACAUAUGAAGGCAUUGUUCCUUAAAGGGCAUGUUGACGGUCGUCCCCUCACUAGAUUGAUGGUCGACGGGGGAGCUGCCGUCAACAUCAUGCCAUAUGCCAUACUCCGAAAGUUGGGAAAGAGCGACGACGACCUAACCAGGACGGACAUGAUGCUCAAGGACUUCGAGGGCAAGGUGUCAAACGCUCGCGGUGCCCUCUGCGUCGACCUCACCAUCGGCAGUAAGACCCUUCCUACCACGUUUUUCGUCAUUAAUGGCAAAGGGUCCUAUAAUAUGCUUCUUGGCCGAGACUGGAUACACGCAAACUGCUGCAUCCCGUCAACUAUGCAUCAAUGCCUUGUACAAUGGGUCGGUGAUAACAUCGAGGUGGUCAAAGCCGACUCCGCGUACAGCAUCGCAGCAGCCGACGCACAGCAAUGGAGCUGCGAAACCGUCAGAUGCAUAUCAGGUAGGGUGUGGGAAACCGAUUUCCUGAAGGUCACCGAUUUUGGCCUACAGCCGAUCCGAGCAGUCGGCUCCGAAGAAGCGCAAUAGAUGGAUCAGUUUGCCCGAGAGGACGGGAAGCUGGGACACGGAUUCACGUCGGCCGAUUCAUUAGAGAUGAUAGACUUAGGUGACGGGACCAAACCAAGGCCGACUUUUAUUAGUGCAAAUUUAGACCCAGAGUAUAAGUGUAAAUUGACGAAUUUAUUAAAAGAAUUCAAGGAUUGUUUUGCUUGGGAGUAUCACGAGAUGCCCGGAUUAGAUCGAUCUAUUGUUGAACAUCGGCUACCCAUAAAGCCAGGGUAUCGGCCGUACCAACAACCCGCACGGCGGUGCAAUCCUAAAAUUUUACCAGACAUAAAAGCCGAAAUAACUCGGCUAAUUGAGGCAAAAUUUAUUCGGCAAUGUCGUUAUGCCGAAUGGAUUUGUAAUAUCGUGCCGGUGUACAAGAAAAAUGGGAAGCUACGCGUCUGCGUCGAUUUCAGGAAUCUUAAUCAGGCCACACCGAUGGAUGGUUACCCCAUGCCUACGGCCGAUGUAUUGAUCGACGCUGCCGCGGGACACAAAAUUAUUAGCUUCAUGGAUGGAAAUGCCGGAUACAAUCAAAUACUUAUGGCUGAAGAGGAUAUACCCAAAACAGCUUUCAGAUGUCCAGGCCAUCUUGGUCUAUUCGAGUGGGUGGUGAUGACUUUCGGCUUGAAGAAUGCCGGUGCUACAUAUCAGAGAGCCAUGAACUACAUUUUUCACAAACUCAUUGGCCUCCUGGUGGAGAUCUACAUCGAUGACGUUGUGGUCAAGUCCAAAAGCCACGAGGAACACCUAGCCGAUUUGCGAAGGGUGCUAGAGUGUACCAAAAAGCAUGGUCUUAAGAUGAAUCCCAACAAAUGCGCUUUCGGCGUUUCCGCCGGACAGUUCUUAGGAUUCAUGGUGCACGAACGGGGUAUAGAGGUCAAUCAGAAGACCAUAACGGCCAUCAACAAAGUCGUUGCUCCACAGAACAAAACUGAGCUACAGUCUCUAAUCGGCAAGGUGAACUUCAUCAGAAGGUUUAUAUCUAAUCUAUCUGGACGGAUUCAGGCGUUCACACCACUUCUGAAGUUGAAGCCAGACCAGGAAUUUAUAUGGGGAGAAGAACAGCGCAAGGCGUUAGAAAACAUCAAACGAUACUUGGUCUCACCCCCAGUCCUGGUUCCCCCUCAAACGGGUAAGCCGUUUAAACUAUAUUUAUCAGCCGAUGAAAAAGCUAUUGGGUCGACUCUAGUCCAAGAAUUUGAAGGCAAAGAACGGGUAAUUUAUUACAUUAGUAGAAGACUCCUGGAUGCCGAAACAAGAUAUCCUCCAGUGGAGCGUUUGUGUUUGUGUCUUUACUUCUCGUGCACCAAACUCAGGCACUAUCUACUGUCGGCAGAAUGUAUAGUCGUAUGCAAAGAUGAUGUAGUAAAAUACAUGCUGUCACUACCGAUAUUGAAAGGACGAAUCGGUAAGUGGAUCUUAGCUUUAUCGGAAUUUGACCUGCGGUACGAAUCGGCAAAAGCCGUCAAGGGUCAAGUCAUGGCCGAUUUCGUCGCCCAGCACUGUGGGCUGGAGGUCGCUUUCGUGGAACUAGCGCCUUGGCAAUUAUUUUUUGACGGGUCAUCAUGCGGGGUCGGAUCAGGAAUCGGCAUCGUUCUCAUAUCGCCUCGGGGGGCAAGAUAUGAUUUUUCUCUGCCGAUAGAGACCGCCGCCACAAACAAUCAAGCAGAGUACAGAGCUGUAUUAAAAGGCUUACGAUUAUUGAGAGAAGUCAAAGCCGAUUCUGUUGAGGUCUUCGGAGAUUCGAUGCUAAUCGUGGAUCAACUAACCGGAAGGGCCGAGUGCAAAGAUGACAUAUUACGGAUUCAUCACGAAGAUUGCUUACAGCUUUUAAAAGAAUUCAGAUCGGCAACAAUCGAGCACGUCCCAAGAGACCGCAACGAGGAAGCAAACAAGCUCGCUCAACACGCAUCUGGGUAUCGGCCGAUUCCAGGCACCAUGGCCUUAGAACUUGCAGCUGACGACUGGCGUAAGGAAAUUGCCGAUUACCUGAAGGAUCCGUCCAAAAAGGUGGAGCGGCGAGUGCGCUUUCAUGCCACCAAGUACGUAUUGCUCGAAGAUGAUCUGUUCUACCGAACGAUCGACGGUGUUCUUCUUAAAUGCCUUGGGAUGGAAGAAGCCAAGACUCUAAUGGGGGAAAUCCAUGAAGGGGUAUGCGGAGCUCACCAAUCAGCACAUAAGAUGAAGUGGAUGAUCAGAAACAACGGGUACUAUUGGCCUACGAUCCUCGAAGACUGUUUCAAAUAUUAUAAGGGUUGUCAGGAGUGUCAAAAGUUCGGAAAUAUCCAACGCGCACCCGCGUCGGCCAUGAACCCCAUCAUCAAACCAUGGCCAUUCAGAGGGUGGGGAAUAGACCUUAUCGGCCAAAUUUAUCCACCAUCGAGCAAGGGGCACAAGUUUAUUCUGGUUGCUACUGAUUACUUCACCAAGUGGGUGGAGGCAAUCCCAUUAAGAACUGUGACUUCGGCUAUCAUGGCCGAUUUCGUAAGGGAUCAUAUCGUCUACCGAUUCGGUAUCCCUCAAACCAUAACAACCGAUCAAGGAACAAUGUUCACAUCGGGGGAAUUUGAGGAGUUUACAACCGAUAUGGGCAUCAAAUUGUUAAAUUCUUCUCCGUAUUACGCCCAGGCCAAUGGUCAAGCAGAAUCUUCCAACAAAGGAAUAAUCAAGUUGAUCAAAAGGAAGAUUGAAGAAUACCCGAAGAAGUGGCACCUGUGUUUGAUCGAAGCCCUAUGGGCAUACAGAAUGGCCUGUCAUGGGGCUACCAAGUUAUCCCCCUAUCAGUUGGUAUACGGUCACGACGCAGUACUUCCGUGGGAGUCGAGGGCAGGAUCGAGGCGCAUUUCACUUCAGGACCAAUUAUCAGCCGAUGACUACUCAUCUCUGAUGAAAGAAGAACUUGAUGAUUUGGCCGGCCAACGACUAAGGGCUCUGAUAAGUAUCGAAGAGAAUAAAAAGAGAGUGGCCAGGUGGUACGAUAAAAAGGUCAAAGUCAAGCAGUUCUCCCCUGGAGACUUGGUAUGGAAGUUGGUGCUACCGAUUGGGUCGAAAGAUCCUAAAUUCAGCAAGUGGUCUCCUACCUGGGAAGGGCCGUAUAAAAUCGGCAAAUGCGCUCCAGGGAAUGCCUAUAUCUUGGAAACAAUAGAAGGAGAAGAAUUCACUAGAGCUCUGAAUGGGAGGUACUUGAAAAGAUAUUACCCAAGUAUAUGGGUCGGUGCCUAAGGAAUCAACACGAUCAUACAUGACCGAUACGAGUCGGUUUUGAGGCGCACAUAAAGUCGACCAGAACGGCCGAUUACAUUCAUUCGGUUCGGGCAACAGAUCACAUGGCCAACAAAACGCUUAGUCGCCCUUAGAACAAAAAAUACAGCAACUAAUUAUUCUUUUUCUUACGCUCCCUCUCAGCCCGACCUAACUCUAUCAUGAGUCGGAGGUAUUCUUCUUCUAUGGCCUUCAUUGAAAUCUCCGCUUCGGCUUGGCGGGGGGAAUCUACGGGAGGGCGCGAAGUCCUUGCUCCCGCGUCUUCAAGAACGACUUGCCGAGGGAGUGGAUGACUCCUGUCGUUGGGAAGUCGCCGGCUGCCGUUCCUCUCCACGAAGUCCAGGAUCGUUCGGGCCGCCGUGACGGUGUCGUCUUCAAGAUCGACACAACGAUGGCUCCUGACGGGUGGAGAUUGAUGGUUAUUUUCACUCACCACGGAAUCCAAGACCACGCGAGCCUCCGUGGUAAUGUGGUCCCGGAGCUCCUCUCGGUGAGCCACGAUCAGCAACUUGUCCUCCGACGUUAAUGGAUCUUCGGAAUGAAUGCACUCAAUGGCGCGCACGAGCUCGGGGCUAAGACGUUGAGGCUGAAACAAAGAAGGAAUGAGGGGGGGUAUUUUCUUCCUUAGGGUCUAAAAAAGAAGGGAAGGUAGAGGUCAAAGACUUCACCUGGUUAACAGAGGAAGAAGAAGACGACGAGGCCAUGGCGAAGAAAUUGCGCCGAUGAAAAGGGGCAGAAAAGUUAAACCGAGAGCCAAGAUUGAUGCUACCAGGAGUAAGCGCCGAGGUUGGUGUUUAUAAAAGGAUGCAUGGAAAUCUGGUAAGGCUACGUCCCAUCGGUAAUAAGAAGGCAAUAAAUAGAAAGGGCGUCGCGAGGGGCGGUCAAAGAAGAUAGUAAAUGAUUCGUACAAAGCGGUCAGUGUUUUACAGAUUACCCAGAAGGGUAUCGAUAGCCGUGAUGGCCCGACGCCGGAUCUGAUCGGCAGAGUCAAGUACCCGUUGGUCUUCUUCCGCCGAUCCAGGAACCUCCGAUGCGCUGCGAUGGAGUCUCAGUGCCUCGUGAGCAAAGCGUUGCCUCUCCCGUGUUAAAUCGGCAAUAACAGAGGGUAGCUCUUGGAGUUUGUUCUCUUCGGCACUGAUUGCCUUGGUCACUUGCUCCAUUUCCUUGGCAAGCUCCGCCCUCCGACGCUUGAGACGGUCUAUUUCACCUAUGAUCGCCGGGCGGGAAUCUUCUAGGACAUGGAUACGCCGGUUCGCCUCUUGAGCCUGACGUUUGAAAGCGUCUUCCUCUUCGCGAGCCUUGAUCAGCUUGGCGCGAUCGGCCAUGUGACAAAGGGUUCUGAAGACCGGGACCCUCAUAGACUCGAUGAAGGCCGCCGGCGCCAAGGCCUCCUCCGCCUCUUCUGGUACUCGUCCGCUGACGUCAUUGAAGAGCUGCCGAAUCGGUGAAGCGUCUUCUACUAAUCGGCCGAUGUCCCCUUGAAGGAGGGAUCGGAUGCUGGAAAGUUUGGCUCGGACGUCAUCAGGAACGGAACUCAAGGCGACUUGGCGAGAAGCAACUUCUUCGUCAUCAGAAAGGGCGACCGCAAAAGAAAAGAGGCUGUUGUCGGGGGUAUCCUGUUCCUGAAGAUAAUAAAGAAAAGAAAUAAACCAGCUGCAAGAAAGAGUAAAUCGGCUAAGAUAGAAGCCGAAACAGAAAAUUACCAUUUUGAAGCGAAUCUCCUCAUGUUGCACUUGAGAAGCCGCCAUGCCUUGCUCGGGGGCCUGCGCCAUGGGUUCAUCAGAUGAAGAGGACUCCACGAUAAUCGGCGUAGUGUUUGGACCAACCUCCUGACAAGAAAUCGGCGAUCGAGGAGCGAUUGAUGUGCCGAUGGCCUGUGUCAGAAGUUGGAAUAAAUACGUUACGAGAAUGCCCAAAGGAAAUCGGUACGAGAGGUUCUAUACCUUAACGGAAGGAAAUGGGGGCGCAUCAAUAGCUGGAGGGGCUGCUGCCGAUUGUGGUACUUCUGUAGGGAUGCUCUGUGCAGUUUAAGGUUAAAGAAAAGUUAAUAUCAAAAUAAUAAUCGGAGGCAGCUCAACUCAGUGUUACCUGUAUGGCCUCCAACAACAACGAUGCGGCGGCCGCCCCAGCUUGCGUCAUGGUUUGAGCAUCGGCGCCUUGAAUGACCUGAGAAGGUGGUACGGCCGAAGUUUCUGCCGAUACGCGCACAGGAGGAUCCGCCGAUCCCGUACGAGCCCGGACUCGGCGACUGGUCUUCUUAGUGGUCCUUUUAUGAAUUUGUUUCGAUCGGCCAGUAAUCAUGUCAACAGACGGGGCGUCAUAGCCGAUAAGGGGAUAAGUAGUGUAUGGAUAACUCUCUAUUAGUCGUCCGCUGCGGCUGUGUGUUGGAGGGGUCCGAUUCUCGGCCUAGAAUAAUAAAAUCAUUAGUACUCGAUCAUGUUAAGAGGAAUAAAAGGGAAUAAAAAUCGGCUAUGUGAAGUACCUCGGCGUUUGGAUCAAUGUUGGUCGGGUCCAGAAGAUUGCAGUAUGCCGAUGCCGAGUUGCAGAAGAGGAAUUGCUUCCAAUCGGCCCACCAAAGUUUGAACGGCUGGACAGCAAAUGGAGCUACUAGCCAGUCGUUCAAGUUAAUUGUACUGGAGUCUGGAAUUCGGUCUCGCAACCGACCGUAAUCUAGGCCAGUUGUGAGCUCAUCCCUAAACUUGAUUUUGCCAGCAAAGUACACCUGAAUCGGCAACUGACCCAUGCCGAAUUGUCGUGCUGCAGCAGAAGGGUUGUAGAAUUCGUAUGUAGGGGCAUCCUUCCCUGAGAAGAAGUUGGCCGGUAGGAGCCCUGGCUUGAUCAACCCUUCAUAGAGAUCUUCAUCAAACCGGCCAGAAGUUGAAUCGAAACAGGAGGGGAGCUCGAAAAUUGGGAUGUCUCGCUGGUAAGGAAACCAGAUAGUUGCGUCCUCAUUAAAUCCAUUAUAAAAGCACCGAAAGUACUCGGUUACCUUUGUAGCGGAAUACGCACAACCUGGGAAAGCUGAUGCCGCUUCACCAUAAGACAUGCAUCGGCGACGCUCGGUAGGGUCUUCUGCCGAUUCAAUAUUGGGAAACGUCAUGUGGUCCACUGGCUGCCGGGUGAUCCUAUUCAUAUAAAGGUUCAACCAUAGAUUGAUGAACCACCAAGGCCCGCCUGGGUUGCCGAUUGGUUCUCCCUUGGAAAGUUUUGUGCCGAUUUGAUGGAGCAUGUGGUACACAGCACCCAGAAGAUGUUUCCUGAGAGGAAUGUGGCUUCCUUUGGAUAGUGCCUCGGCUAAAGAUUGGGUGUUGGUUGUUGGGCCGGCGGCUCUUCCACAGAAAAGGUGUUUUUCUAGCCACAUCAUCAGGAAAGCGGUGUGUUCCCUGUUAUCAACAGUACCGGUGUUCUUGUUAUUACUAAUAAAGCCCUUCCAGCCGCCGAUUCCUCUUGUGUCCAGCCGAUGCGAUGGUACGGUCAGAAGUUGGAAAGGCGUGUCAGGGGAAGAUAUGUCCAGGCCAGUCAAGAGGACCACAUCGGCCAGAGUAGGGGUCAUGGGACCGUGUCCAAAUAAGAAUGCAUUAAGUGCGUCAGACCAAAAAUAGGAAGCCGCCAUCACUAGCGGUUCGUUUCUCUCCAUUUGCGACAGGGAAAGGUUGAUACAUUGGCCGAUUUUGAGCUCAUCCCACGAGACGCUCCUUGACGCGGCUACCCGUUGGUACCAUUCCCUCCAACCUGGGGUCUCAUGCGGCCAAGAUCUAAAAGUGCUGGCCCAUUGAUCUAAGUUCAUAUCAGAUCGUUUGAAAGGUAUCCGGUCAGUUUCCAAGUUUAUGAAGUCUGCUAGGUCCGGGUCUCCCAUAGGACCAAGGCAAACAAGGCCAGGACUACCCGUAAGAUGAAUAGUAAUUCUAUGUCUAACUGCCUAAAAAAGGAAAAGAGGCAUAAGAAUAUAAAGAGUAGAUCUAAGACAAAUGUGUUACCGAUAGAGGAAAGAUUCGGUAUUUACCUCCGGUAUAAAAUUCUGAGUAAUCGGUGUGGUCGCCGAUGCGGAUGCGAAUGUUGGAGUCGCAAUAGGGAUCGCCAUUGGGAUCUCUGAUGAAGCUCCUUCAUCUGUGGAUGGAGUGACGGUUGUCGCCACCGUUACCGGAGGUGCGACCUCUGGGGUAUCGCGUGCAGGAGAGCUGCCGGAAGGGGUCGCCAUUGAAGGGAAGGGGAAGAAGUGACCGGAGCUGGAACUGGAAGGCUUCGAUGGCAAGAUUGAAGAAGGAAGGAGGUGCGCGCGUUGGAAAAAGAGACGUGAGCUUGAAGAUGAGCUGCGGUAAAAUCUUAUUUAUAGGGUGCCUGAAGAAAGGGUAAAGAUGGAAUUUUCACCGCGCCGGCGCGUCAAGUUUUUCGGGGAAGUGGCUGUCGUGGGCGCCCGUUUCAAAAAAUUGCAAUGAUCAGCCGGGAGACCGCGAAACGGAAGGAUAUUUUCACUGCGGUCGUUUCGGAGGGGAGGUUAUAAAGAAUUUCGAAGUAAAAGGCUUUUACUCCGAAACUGGGGGGCAUGUGUUGACGCCGGAUUUCGUCAUCAGUAGAAUCGGCGCCAAGGAGGAAAAGAAGUCGAGGAAGUACGGAUGGAAUCGGUCAGAAGAUGCUAUAAUACGGAAUCGGUCAGUAGCUUUUACUUCGCUUCAGGGUGGAUGCACCAGAUUCCCAAUCGGCAAUCCUUUGCCGAUGAGAAAUCGGCCGAUCUGGAAGGUAGACUAAGGUGGGCCUGUAUGGGCUUGGAAAGAUGGAGGAACAAGGUGGAGUUCAGCCCACGAAGCGUGGGGUGAUUAGUUUAGCACGGAUUGUGUUUGUAGAUAUUUGUUUUCUGUUUGAAUUAGAGAUAGAGUUCUAGUCGGUUAAGAAGAUUAUUUGUACGGGGCUAUAAAUAGCUACCUUUGUGAAUCUGUAAAAACAAUCAAUCAAUCAAUACAACAAGUUACUUUCUUCUUCGUGCUUACUUUCGAGCAGGCGACUUCGCCAUCAUUUUUUUCUUCUCACGAGUUCGUGCGGAUUGGCAGGGCUGCAUCAUCUUGAUCUCCGGCCGAUUCUGUAAGUUCCGUUUAUCGAGUAAUACCUAAGCUUUAACUUCUGGCGCAUCGCUGUUGUUUCGUUUAGAAUUAUUCAUCAGUUAUCGAUAUCAACUAAAUUCAUAGGUUUUUACCUGUUUUUCUAGUUUUUAUCACCAGUUAUCCUGCUAGGAAUCGGUAAUAUUGGCUUUCAUUACUUCCUGUUGUUAGAUCCAUUCAUUGCCGAUUAGAUCUUUUCUUAGUGCUGUUAUCAUAAGCUUUGUACCGAUUACUUUAGUACUUUUCUGUCUACAAAGCUACAGAGAUCGUGCUGUUUUAUAGCCGAUUUCACUAUCACAGUAGAUCGGCCGAUUCGCCGAUAAGCUCUCUCGAUCGGAAACUUAGCCGAUCGUAGUUACUGAAUUUGACACGUGUUAUUCCUUGCCAAUCAACAGGUCAGAUUGGCUGGCACGCCGCGCGAACCGCACCAGGGCAUUUACCCGAACAGGAGCUAAGCAGAUUCUCCCGGAUCGUGUGUCGGUCGCUAGGAUUCGGUUGACCGAUUUCUAGCGUCAACAAUCGCGUAAUACCCUACGUCCUGUGUGUUGAUUGUAUUGAACUUGGGUGAGUUGGGAGUUGUUGUCUUGAGGAGGUCCCUGCCCGCCCUUAUAUAAUCGGGGGAGCAGGGUUACAAGCGAGAAGCCUAGUCGGGUACGGUUACAGAGUUCUACUUGGGGUAGACACUACCUUCCAUAUACCUAACUAGUCUUCAGGAGUCCGAGUGGGAUACGCCUUGCUGCAUAGCCCCCAUCUGAAUUCUGUGCGAGUACGACCCUUGGUGGGCCGCACAAGGCCUACUCGCGGGCCUGGGAUCCAUGCCCAACAUCUGCUAUGCCCAAACCUGCUUCGAGAGUGCUAGGAAGUUGUGGACCGAGAAUGUGUGAGUCGGUUAUUAAUUUGCUCCUGGAUGUGGGUGUUGGUGACUUGGAGUCACGCUUUGAAUCCGUCAUAUUUGUUCUAAAUCUAGAAAAUUUUCAACCUCGGCAAAGGUAGCCCCCAGGUUGGUCUGGGGUGUGGCAAAGAUGUUGUGGCCGACCUGCUUAAGGUUGGCUAGUAAAUUGCAGGCGCGUAUAGGGUGCCUGCGUUUUUCUCGAGGCCAACUUGGUCGGCGUUGUCGCGGUCGUUGCGCGACUACUGGUGCUGCUCACCUGCUGUGUCUGCGUCAGCAACAGGUUGUUGUUGGGUGUCGAGUUGCUCCUGUUGGCGUCAUGCUGCGCGGAUCUGGUUCCUAGCAUUACGACCUUCUUCUUGAGAUUUUGUUUUGCCAUCCCGAGGUGGCUCAUCAGCAGAGACUACGAAAGCUUCAUGAUCUGGCGUGGAGGAGUUUCUCUCAUCACCGCUUCCGUAGGGAUUUGGUGUCAGAAUGAUGUGAGGCACCUAGAAUUCACCACACUCUGAAAACUGGGUGGGUUUGUGUGGGUCUCCAGAUUGGAUUUGGAAAACCUGGUCAAGCUCGACGGAGUACUCGGUGCUCGAUUUCCACAGACUAAAGGGAUGGGUCCUGCGUCGACCUUGUGGAGCGUAGCACUGCCUCAAAUAAUUCUAUACACUUAGCAAUAGUGCUGCUGAUAUGAUCUAGCCCCGUGAUCAGGUCGGAGGGCAUAGGUGGGUGGGUGCCGGUGAGUAGAUCUGGAACCUUCUCGUAGAGAGAGAGUUCGCCGACUUGCUAGGCGAGUGGCAUCAUGAUCUUUGUGUGGAGAACUUGUUCUGCCAGAGCAGAUCCAAUGGAAGUUGAGUCAGUGUUGGGCACCAAGUUGACUGUAGUUGUCGAGUCAACGGGAGUUGCCGAGUCGACCGAAGAAGUGGUCGGAUCGGAAUCCGCGGUCAUGGUCCCGAAUUGAAUUUGGACUGGGUUGGUGAGGAAGUCCUUCAUGCUCUCAAGAAAAACUACACCGGGACGGGAUGCCGUCGAGGUCGCAAGAAGGAUCUCUCAACCCCCCUACCUGGCACACCAACUGUCAAAUUUAUAAGCCCGACAGUUGACCAGGGGGUUACCUAAGUGGUUGAUUCGUAGAUGAGAGUGAUUGCUAAAUCAAGAACUCGAAGGUGAUCACGAGAACACGAAGGGGACACAAGGAUUUUAUACAAGUUUGGGUCUCCGGAGAGUAAUACCGUAUCUGAUGAUGGGGAUACGCUCGGGAUUGUAUUGCUCGAGAUUUAUCUGAUGAUGAGGAUACGCUCGGGGGAAACCUUAGCCACCUUAUAUAGGCUGACAACCAAUAGUUACAAGUCAGUUUGAAUCUAAUCUACUCGGUAGUUACAUGGAAAGAAAUAUGAGUCAGAUUGUAAUACACGUUCCAUGAUAUCCAAGUAGGUUUGGAUAGUCUUGGUGCCUUGACGUGUACUCCAAGUAACUUCAUGCCCUCGGCCCGCAUGCCCUAGUCGGGCGGGCCCACUUGUAAGGUCCGACCAGUAUCCAGGUCGGUGCGGACCCAUAGAGUAGCCAUAUCCCUCAACAUCUGGUAUGGUCACUGUGCUACCGGUCCUGCGCCGAGUACUAGGUCAAUCAAAAACUCCACAUUCUGAUCUAGAGGUAAUUCUGUCAGCUCUUCUGGAAACACGUCGGGAAACUCACACACCACGGGUACCUCUUCAAGGGUCUUGGAAUACAAACUGCAUAGUAUCGGGGCUAUCUUGGGGUACACGGCUCAAACUGUACUUGAACUCUGCUCGGACGCUCCAAUCUGAUGAAGCAGGGGUUACACAAAACCAGUCCCUUGUUCUUAUCCAACCAAUCCAUUCCCAAGAUCACAUCUAUGGCUGAAGACUUCAACACUGUCAAAUUUGUUAGGAACUGUUGCUUCUCGAUCACCAACGGUACUGCCGUGCAUUGUAAGGUGCUCCUAACUUCUCCUAGGGGAGAACUUGUGAUAAUAGGCCUUGGUCGAGGUGUAGUGGGGAGAGACUGUUCUUCCACAUACUUGGUUGAAACAUAGGAAAACUUGGCACCAGUAUCAAACAAAACUAUAGCUUUGAUUAAAUCAACAAGAAACUCACCUAGAGCAAUGUCUGGAGCUACUGCGGCGUCCUCAGCGGUCAAGUGGUUCAGGCAUCCUCAAGUAGGUGGCGGUGCUGUCCUUGCUGGAUUCCUCAGUGGUGGUCCUCCUGGUGCUGGUGUCUUGAUGGGCAUCUGGUACUGGCUGCUGCAGUUCUAUCCUCCUGCCUAAGUCUUCUGUGGACACUCAUAGGACUUGUGCUCGGGCUGUCGCCAUGUGUAGCAGAUGACCAACUUUGUGCCCUCAGGUGCGGUAGGUUGCUGGGGCCUUGGCUUCCAAGUACCUAAACUUCCUCCUCCUACACUGGGGUUCUUGUACUACUGCUGUUGUGGAAGGUAGCUGCGUGGCUUCUACUGCUGAAACGGUGAGGGUCCCGUCCUCGGCCUCUGAGACCGCUCCUGACGCUUCCUCUUGUGUCCACGGAACUCCUCGAACUCCAGCCUCAACUUCCCCACUCGGAGUGCCUUGCCCACAAGUGCGUGCAGAGUAGGGCAGUUGUGAGUGGACAAGUGCAUCUCUAUGCCAUGUGAAGUCCCUUGCGAAACUAGUACAUCUUCCUUUUCUCCAUGUUGGAGUCAUCCGGUGUGUACCUCAUCAGCUCCUGGAACUUGUUGGCAUACUCUUGCACUUUCAAGUUCCCCAUCUUCAAGUUUCGGAACUCAUCUACCUUUCAAUCCAUGACUGCUUCUGGGAUAUGGUGGUUGCGAAAAGCUGCAGCGAACUCGUCCCAUGUGAUGUGAGCUUGGUCUGCGUGAGAGUCACAGAAACUAUCCCACCAAGCACAUGCUGUCCCAAUCAGCUGGUGAGUGGCCAGCGCCACACACUCCUCAUCUGUACAAUAUGUCAGGUCCAACUUCUUCUCAAUCUCCCUCAGCCAAUCGUCUGCAUCCAGUGGGUUAUCAGAGUUGUCGAACGUGGGUGGACGAAGCUUGGUAAACCCUUCAACCUUCCUCUGCAAAGUCUCAACUGGUAGGUUCCUACACUUUCCUCCCUCCUAGUUGUACUAGAGCAAAGCAUCAACCAUGGUCUGCAUCAACUGCGUCUGAAUGGCCAUCACCUCUGCAAGGUUAGGUGACGGUGGUGCCUGCUGGUCCUCUACACCUCCAGCAUUCAUGUUCUGCUCCUGUUCCUCCUGACCCUCCUGGUGAGCUUCUCCCUUAGCACUAGCUGCGUCUUCUCGUACCUCCAUCUCUGGGACAUGUCCACCCCACCCUCUGUGAUGACCUCCAUGAAGUCCACCUCAGGGACCACGACCUCCACAGUGACCACGACCUCUACCGGGGUUAAACCCAUCCUCGUUGGCCGCCUCUUCAAAAUGGUGCAGCAGCCGUCCCGACCUCCUUAAUCCUGACGUCUAUUCCAAAUGAGAUCGUAAUCAGUGGUUACUCUUAAGAAAUUAGGUAGGGGGUUAAUUAAAUUAUAAGAGAAAUACAAAGAUAUAUAAAACACACAAAUAAUUUCACACAGACAAUAAGAAGCAUAAGAACCAUAAAAUCCAUAUCACUCAAGCAAAGGCACCAUACAAAAGAGGUGUAUCUCGAGAUCUACAAUAGAAGCCUUCAAGAUUACAUGAGGAUCAUCAUGCUACUACAUCGAGAAUCAUGGGGGUGGUAGUCUCUAAAGCUACAACAUCAUAGUGAGCCUAACUUGAACCUAGCACUAGAUCAGAAGCGGUCCUAUCAGUCGGAGAGCGGGAAGUCGUUGUUGUCCACGUCACCAUCUCUAGGGUGGUACUCAGGAGUAGGGCCUCUCCAUAGUCCUGACUCAUCAUCCGAGGGCACAGACAGCUUCAGCGGGUCUCCUCCGUAUAGCCGUGAGAGUGUAGACAGGGCUCUAGUCAUCUCCUCUUUGGCAACCCUGCCUGGCGGGUACAACACCUGUGUGUACAACUUGGACAUUGUUAACUCAAAGCUCUCCACACAAGGCUCCUCUUGUACUCGACUGGAACCUAAGCACUCAACUCCUCCAACUCCAUCAUCCGCUUGCGGUUAGAAUGCUCCCACAUGUGUUGAAGCCUCUCUGCCAAGUCCCUGUUACAGUAACAACGUGAUCCACCAGGUUGUAGUAGUUCCUAUGCAAGCGGUGGUGUAGCUGCUCGACGACACCAUUCAUGGCAGCGAGAGCGGCGUCCAAGGUGUCAACCAGCUCCUCAUUCUCCUUGAUCAUCGCGUUCUUCUCAUUGAUCAUCUAGUCCCUGGUCUUCAGAGCCUCCUCCAUACGAGCGACCCUCAUCUCUAGCUUUAGGAUCUUAAGAGCAUCCCUCCCAUCAUAGGGGUUUGGUGCAGUGUUGAUCUCAUGACGAAGGCAAAGAUUCAUUUGGUCCAGACUCUCCAAAUAUCAAUCAAGUCCCUUGAUCUUGCCCUCCAGCAUGGCGUUGGCUCCGAUGCAGUCAUCCCAACCCUUGCGAAGGACCUCCAUCUCUCAGUCGCACCAGAACAGUGCAAGGCCCUGAGCGUGAAUGGAGCAGGAGGCAACUUUUAACCUCUCAUCGUGCUCUUCGUAGGCGUCCUCCUGGUUCUGCCAGGCUGCUCUCUCAAAGUACACCUUGGGUAGGCAGCGGUAGGGAGUCUGUGCCAGUCUAUCUCGAAGCUGCGCGUGCACCUCUCGCACGGCGAUCCUAGCUGCAGUCCGGUGAGCCUCCGACACUGAAAGCUCGAACGCAAACACCACAACCUUCUCUAGCUCGGGCACCCUGGGGUCCGCAGGCACUGUCAACCUCACCUCCAUCAGCACUGUUGGGAUACAAGGUAGGCUACGCUAGCGGAAAUCAAAAUUUUUCUACCGCGUAAACCAGGAAAACUGCCGUAUAAGGAUCACGGGAUUAUCGCUCGACGCACUGGUGCGGAAGAUGUAGAAUCGUGUGGGUCAGCAAAGUCGAUCAGUGUAGUCAAACGUAGUCGAUCAUGUCGAUGUUGAGCAGCUCCUCAGCAGCUCGUCCACGUGCAGCAAGAUUAUCUUCAUGCCGCGGCUCGUCGGCGGCUUGUCGUGGCUCGUCGACGGCUCGUCCAAGUGCUGCAGGCGCAACACCUCCAAGGUAUCCACACGUGCAGGGAGGAAGCGUCGCAAGCCGGAGUGCUAGGUCCGCGAGUUGCAACAGGCGAGAGAGUGGGAGGCGUGGCAGAUGUGUUUUGCCACAAAGGUGUAAACCCUAGGGUGCCCCCACCCAUCUAUUUAUAGAGGUUCCUAAUGGGCCUCUGGGUCCAAGGCCGACCCAGAGGCCCAUUAGUACUUCUAAACCUAAUCCAACUCGGAUCACAUCCAAAUUGGGCUUCCAGCCCCUUAAGUGUGUGACCUUAUGGGUUCGGAUACGUAUAGACAUGGCCCGAGUACUCCUACUCGGCCCAAUAGUCGGUAGCAGCCUCUAGCAAGACGUGCCAACUUAUAUACGCACGCGAAGAUCAUAUCAGACGAACCGUCACAACAUUAUGUACAUGCUAUUCCCUUUGCCUCACGAUAUUUGGUCUAGCUUCAAGCCGACCCCUCUUUCUCGAUCCUAUGAUUCAGAAUCCCUUUGUAGGUUAACUCUUAACCGUACGCAGCAUGGCCAUGCAUUUUCGGAUCCGAUCACUCGAGGGGCCUAGAGAUAUCACUCUCAAUCAGAGAGGGGCAAAUUCCAUCUUGAUUGACCAUGUCUCAUAGCAUGCUUCCUGACAAACCUGAGAGCUACCUUUAUAACUACUCUGUUACGGUGUAGCGUUUGAUAGCCCCUAAGUGAGUCGAUGCACAUCUCGACUACAUGCGACAAUCUCAGGUCUAAGGACAAAGCGUACAUGUUGUGUAAAGAGAGAACUACUUCUCGUGUUGGGUCAGUCCUAGCACAUGUCUCCACAUGUGCCCACAUUAUUAGUUCAACAUCUCCAUGUCCAUGACUCGUGAAACAUAGUCAUCAACUAAUAUAUGUGCUAGUCUAAUAUUCAUGUGUGUCCUCACAUGAACUCCGACUAGGGACAACUUUAGAAUAACCAUACAAGUAAAGAGUUUCACAUACAAUUCACAAAAUUGCAAGUCAAUUCAAGUAGCCUUUAAUGGAUACUCAAGGAACACAAUAUAAAUCAUGGAUACAAAUGGAAUAUCAUCAUAUCUACGAUUGUCUCUUGGGCAUACCUCCAACAGUCUCCCACUUGCACUAGAGUCAAUCUAGAAGGUACCUAAUACCCAUAGCUCUUACACGCGCAUCAUUCUUAGCCUGCGGGAGUGGUUUUGUCAACGGAUCAGAAAUGUUCAGAUCCAUGUGUAUUUUGCAUAUCUUGAUCUCACCCCGGAUAACGAAGUCUCGAAUGAGAUGAAAUCGCCGCAUUACGUGUUUGUUCUUCUGGUGGUUCCUUAGCUCCUUUGCUGGCGCAAUUGCCCCAUUGUUAUCACAGUAGAGAUUCAAUGGGCUGGACGCAUUUGGGAACACACAAAGCUCAAUGAGGAAAUUCCUUAUCCAAACACCCUCCUUCGCGGGUUCCGAAGCCACGAUGUACUCAGCUUCUGUCGUAGAAUCGGCUACCGUCUACUGCUUGGAACUCUUCCAACUAACAGCACCACCAUUUAGUGUGAACACAAAUCCUGAUUGUGACUUUGAAUCAUCUCUGUUGGUUUGGAAACUAGCAUCGGUGUAACCUGUUACAAUGAGCUCCUCCUCACCUCCAUAGACGAGGAACAUAUCUUUAGUCCUUCUCAAGUACUUAAGAAUGUUUUUCACUAUUGUCCAGUGACUCUCACCUGGAUCAGACUGGUGUCUGCGUGUCAUACUUAGUGGAUAUGAAACAUUUGGGCGAGUACUUAUCAUUGCAUACAUGAUAGAUCCAAUAGCCGAGGCAUAUGGCACUCACUCAUGCGCUCCCGCUCAUCAGCAGUCGAAGGACACUGAGUCUUGCUGAGAUGUAUACCAUGUGACAUAGGCAAGAACCCUUUCUUCGCCUCUUCCAUGCUGAAUCGCUUCAACACUUUGUCAAUGUAAGUAUCUUGGCUUAAUCCUAUAAGCCUUCUCGAUCUAUCUCUAUAGAUCUUAAUGCCCAGAAUAUAUGCCGCUUCCCCUAAGUCCUUCGUCGAAAAACUAUUUUUCAGUGAAGUCUUUACGGGCUCAAGUAUAGGAAUGUUAUUUUCAAUCAGCAAUAUGUCAUCCACAUAUAAGAUUAGAAAUACUACAGAGCUCCCAAUAACCUUCUUGUAAACACAAUACUCUUCUUUGUUCUUUGGAUAUCCCACGAAAAUGCACUUAUCCGACUUGGGUGUGAUCUUGUCCGACUGAAGUCACUUGACAAACACUUCACAUCCCCAAAUCUUUAGAAAAGACAAACUGGGAACUUUCUAGUCCACAUCUCAUAUGGUGUCUUAACUACGGAUUUAGAUGGUACCCUAUAAGUGUGAAAGUUGUUGUUUCUAGAGCGUAUCCCCAAAACAAUAAUGGUAGGUCCGACUGGCUCAUCAUUGAUCGAACCAUGUCUAACAAAGUCCGAUUACGUUGCUCGGAUACACCGUUUCUCUGAGGUGUUCCAGGCGGCGUAAGCUGUGGAACAAUUCCGCAACUCUUUAGAUGAUUGCUAAACUCAUGGCUCAAAUACUUGCCUCCACGAUCAGAUCGUAAGGUCUUAAUUUUCUUGCCAUGCUGAUUUUCAACUUCAUUCUAAAAUUCCUUGAACUUUUCAAAGGUUUCAGACUUGUGCCUCAUCAAAUAGACAUAUCCAUAUCUACUAAAAUCAUCAGUGAAAGUUAUGAAGUAUUGGAAUCCUCCUCUAGCCGUUGUGCUCAUUGGUCCGCAUACAUCGCUAUGUAUGAGUUCCAACAAGUCUACUGCUCUCUCAGGAAAACCUGUGAAAGGCGUCUUCAUCAUCUUGCCUGGCAAGCAAGCCUCACAUGUCUCGUAUGAUUCAAAAUCAAACGAAGUUAGAAGUCUAUCAGAAUGGAGCCUCUUCAUGCACUUUUCACUUAUAUGACCCCAACGACAAUGGCACAAGUAGGUAGGACUCAAAUCAUUAGGUUGAGGCCUUUUAGCACUUACGUUACAGACAGGUGAACCAUCAAGAUUUAAAACAAACAAUCCAUUCACAAUGGGUGCAAAAGCCAUAAACAUAUCAUUCUUAGAGAUCACACAAUCAUUAUUUUCACUCGCAAAUGAAUAACCAUCCUUCAUCAAGCAUGAAGGAGACAAAAUGUUUCGACUUAAACUAGGAACGAAAUAACAAUAAUUCAACUCCAUAAUAAAUCCUGACUGGAGGUGGAGUUGCAUCGUCCCGACGGUCAAUGCAACAACUCUUGCAUUAUUGCCCACGCGGAAAUCAACUUCUCCUCUUUCCACGCUUCUACUUCUUAUCAUUCCCUACAUCGAAUUGCAAAUAUGAGCAACCGAUCCGGUAUCAAAUACCCAAGAAUUAAUAAUUGUAUUAGCAAGAAAUAUGUUGUCUAUAACAUUAAUAACAAGCGUACUUGAGGUUGAAGUACUCUUACUUCCGCCAUUCUUCAACAAAGCUAGGUACUGCUUGCAAUUUCUCUUCUAGUGACCAAGUUCAUGAUAGUAAAAGCACUCUUUGUCUGGAGCAGGUCCAGGUCUAGCUUUAACCUUGGGCGCUGGAUUUGGCUUGGAUGUUCCAGCCUUGCCCUUCUUCUUCCAAGAAUUGCCCUUCUUCUUAAAGCUAGGCUUGUUCUAUAUAGCCAUCACAUGGCUAGAACUAGCGUUUUUCUUAAUGUCAGCCUCUGCUAUUUUGAGCAUGCCACAUAGCUCAUUCAGACCCUUCUUCGUUCCAUGCAUAUGGUAGUUCGAGAUGAAGUUCCCAAAGCUAGGGGAAAGAGACGAAAGAAUGAAAUCAGUGGCCAACUCUUGGCCCAGUGGGAAGCCCAGCUUCUCCAACCAUUGAGUGUAACCAACCAUCAGUAAGCAAGCAUAAGGCAACUUACUUCGAGGUUAGCAUCACAUGCCUUUUUGUAAGCAUUUUUAGCAGCAGCAGGUGCAUCAUCAGCAGGUUCUUCUAGUAGUGGGUUGUCUAGAACAUCUUCCUUUUUCUCAGACCUUAGAACAAUUCUCAGGUUAUGGAUCCAAUCCGAGUAGUUUGUUCCAUUCAACUUGUCCUUCUCAAGGACCGAACGCAAAGCAAACAGUGUAGUGCUGCUAGGUGCCAUUUAAUAUACAACAAAAGUAAUGCAAAAUACACUAAGACAAACGUAUCCAUGAUAGAGCAAAUGACAUUAAACUAUUUAACAGAAUCUACUCCCACUAAAAUCAAUGUCCCUCUAUUGAUACUUAGUGAUUUAGGAUCCACAACUAAUAAGUCUACUAGUGAGCUUUAGCAUCACCGCUAGCAAACAAGGUAGAUCGGUAAGCAACUCUUUGCUAAUCAUAUCACAUAUGACUCCUAUUGUUGGGUGACAUGUCCAUGUCUCGGCGCCCAACCUUUAUGCCCCAAGGUCCUUAACUGUUAAGAUAACCUUGUUAAGCAAACCAACCCUUAUGCGUGUAAGUGUCCAACACAAACCCGUCUAGUCAAGGAAAACUAGUGGCACCCUAAUUUCAUAUACCUACCACUAAUUGUACAAGAUAUGGGACGGUGCAAGUUUAAGUUGGGAGGGCAUACUAACUUAAACUUUGUGAUGGAUCGUUCUACUUCUAACAUCAUAGCAUGCAGAAAGUAAAACAUAAACAGAAUAGCAUUCACACAGUGGUGACACAGUAUGGCCCAUUUUCUUAUGGUGAUCUCCAUCUCCACAGAACCUGUUCAGCAUGGUGAUCUCCAUCUCCAUGUUCCAUGUGCGCCAUCCUCCUGGUGAUGAGUCCUCCAAGAACUAGAACAUGCUAUUACGCCUAAUAGCUAGUAAAGAAGCUAGUAAUGAAGAUUACAUAGUUUGCUUGGAUCAUCACAGAUUGGUACGCAGACCAUUAAAUACAUUAAAGUGACAACACAUAUGGCUCCAGCCGUGUUGCCGUACGCGCAACACGCAGGUCACGAAUGAGUUACACACAUGCAUCACAUACACAAGGGGGCCAUAAUGAUCACAAGAUCCAUACAUCCUGCAAAACAGAGUUAGGCAUUCUAACGUUCCAAACUUCAGAGGCCCGAAACUCCAUCUUCCAAGCUGAAUUUGGGAAAUCUAAUUUUGUCAAAACUGGCAAAGUGGUUGAAUUUCAUGUGUAACUUUUUCUGUAGAUCAAUUUUCAUAUAAAAUUCGCCCCGAUCCGAGAUUGUACCGAAAAGUUACGGUUGAUUUAUCGAAGCACACGCAUACAGCAAAAUCCCGACCUGGUAGUAGAUCCAAUCUACUAUUGCACGUGUGAUGUGCUUGGCGUAUGAACCUGGAUCUUGAUCCGACCAGUCACAUUGAUCUUCGCUUGCUGUAACUUGCAUUACGUGUAUCACUUAACUCCGAUGGAGGAAACCCGACCGGCAGGAGUAUGUCAUUACACAACCAUUGCAGCAAGAACACGAAAUCAGGACAUAGAUCAAACUGAAAACUCGCAUAUCUCCAUAUGCACACAUCCCAAAUUCAAAACUAAACAACUACGGCUCUGAUACCACUGUUGGGAUACAAGGUAGGCUACGCUAGCGCAAAUCAAAAUUUUUCUACCACGUAAACCAGGAAAAUUGUCGUAUAAGGAUCACGGGAUUACCGCUUGACGCAUUGGUGCGGAAGAUGUAGAAUCGCGUCGGGGUAGCGAAGUCAAUCAGCGUAGUUGAACAUAGUUGAUCACGUCGAUGUCGAGCAGCUCCUUAGCAGCUCGUCCACGUACAGCAAGAUCGUCUUCGUGCCGCGGCUCAUCGGCGGCUCGUCGACGGCUCGUCCAAGUGCUGCAGGCGCAACACCUCCAAGGUAUCCACACGAGCAGGGAGGAAGCGUCGCAAGCCAGACUACUAGGUCCACGAGUUGCAAUAGGUGAGAGCGUGGGAGUCACGGCAGAUGUGUUUCGCCAAAAAGGUGUAAACCCUAGGGCACCCCCACCCCUCUAUUUAUAGAGGUUCCUAACGGGCCUCUAGGUCGGAGGCCCAUUAGUACUUCUAAACCUAAUCCAACUUGGAUCACAUCCGAAUUGGGCUUCCAGCCCCUUAAGUGUGUGACCCUAUGGGUUCGGAUACGUAUAGACAUGGCCCGAGUACUCCUACUCGGCCCAAUAGUCAGUAGCGGCCUCUAGCAAGACGUGCCAACUCCUAUACGCACGCGAAGAUCAUAUCAGACAAACCGUCACAACAUUAUGUACAUGCUAUACCCUUUGCCUCACGAUAUUUGAUCGAGCUUCAAGCCGACCGCUCUUUCUCCAUCCUGUGAUUCGGAAUCCCUUUGAAGGUUAACUCUUAACCGUACGCAGCAUGGCCAUGCAUUUUCAAAUCCGAUCACUCGAGGGGCCCAGAGAUAUCACUCUCAAUCAGAGAGGGGAAAUCCCAUCUUGAUUGACCAUUUCUCACAGCAUGCUUCCACAUGUGCCCACAUUAUUAGUUUAACAUCUCCAUGUCCAUGACUUGUGAAAUAUAGUCAUCAACUAAUACAUGUGCUAGUCUAAUAUUCAUGUGUGUCCUCAGAUGAACUCCGACUAGGGACAACUUUAGAAUAACCAUACAAGUAAAGAGUUUCACAUACAAUUCACAUAAUUGCAAGUCAAUUCAAGUAGCCUUUAAUGGAUAUUCAAGAAACACAAUAUAAAUCAUGGAUACAAAUGGAAUAUCAUCAUUUCUAUGAUUGCCUCUAGGGCAUACCUCCAACAGGCACAGAGUCCAUACUACCCCUCAUGUGGCCCUCUUAGAACACGCCGUCAGUGCCAACCCCGGCCCUCUCCAAGCACUCGUUGAGGAGAGUGCAAAAGCCUCCAUAGCGCAUUCUGUCUCUAGAAAAUGAAUGCCACUCCUUAGUCAUCAUCUGAAACACAUAGUUAAGGGUUGUUAGAAAGUCAUAUAAGUCAGAGUAAACAAGGUAAUAAUAGUAACAAUUCAAGGAGUUGUAUAGUAAUCAAGGGGUAUAUACUCAAUCAAGGGUAGUUUGGGCUUCCUGAACUAACAUGCUAGGGAUCAUCCUACGGUAAAGUAUGGCUGUGAUACCAGCUGAAAUGGACCCAAAUUCCCAUUUCUGAGAAUUCAAGCCAACGCACAUUGGUGAUAGUCCCAGGAAGGCUAUCACAUGCAAAUCCUUGUCUCAGAUAGUACAAAUCCAUACCAACAUAGAAACAGAGAGAGAAACAAAGUACAAAGAUCAUAGUUAACAUGAGUACGAGUACAUCUCAGCAGCACAUGCCAGUACAAGUCCAUCAGGACUGAAUCAGGAAAGGUAAAAUAUCUACGUAGUGGAAACAAAAGCUAUGGUGAUGUCCAUCUUCACAGGUGACUCGAGCGAAGAACGGUCCCUAGUCCUCCCAACCGUCAUUGUCAAAGUCAUAGUUAGGCUCUGACCCUAAAAAGCCAGCAUCUACCCAAGAAGCGGGUAGGCCAUGACAACUCCUAAAAGCAACAAAGCCAAGGAAAUGGAGGAAUUAUACUAUAUGCAUGAAUAAGACCUAUAUAUGGUUGUAGAGGUUUAUGCAGCAGCAACAACAACAAUCAAGGUAGCAGCAAAGCAACAUCAUCUUCGAGGUCAACACUCAAACAAGAAAGUUGGCACAAAUCACCAAAUCUUUCACCCAAGGGUCUGGCACCCAAACACACUAGGUGAUGUGAGAGCUCCCUUCCCUCACAUCUCAACAACAAACACUGGCCUAUCUCAAAAAGGGGAAAGGUAGAAGCACGAGAAAAGUCUAGUUAGAAGUAGCAAUAGACAACAGCACUGUCCAUAACCAAUGGACAUGGACUAUAGCUAUAGCUUUAUACACUCUACAGAGGUUGUACAACUGUACCCGCAUAGAUAAAGCCUGAGCGGUAGCGAUCUGUCUAAACCCCACCUAUCAGCCGGAGCCCUAGUAAGUGGAUAGCUCUCUCUUGUUUCCUCGAGUCUGGAACCAUCCUCAGCUGCAGGGCACGUUGUCACCAGUGAGGACCUCAAAGCUGUGAAACCUACCCAUGCCGAGGUGCAGUUUGGUCCAAGCAGGACAAUGCCUCAAACUCCUAAAAUGAUCCUCCAAUCCGCCUACAGGCAGAGCACUAUCUAUUACUAGUCUCAAACCGAACCCUGCCCAUAACGUAAGCGAGUAGUAAGUACGAAAAGUAGCUACUGUGAUUGGUGGUAAACUGACUCGGUCCUUAAGCUGCUGAGAGCAAGCACUCUACCAACAAGUAUGUGCCAAAGCACCUGCAACGAACAAGUAUGCCACCUGCUCCUCAGUAAUAAACAAGGUACCCGCCACAGGUACGGGGUAUAGAGAGAGUCCAGAAAGCUCUCUCCCGGCUAGGCACUUCUCUAUACCAACCAUGGCUCGCUCCCGCCAAGAACACAUCAAGGAGUCACACUCACCCAAAACACACGUGAGAGUGUUCAAGGAAUCUGUUGACGCCGGAUUUUGACAUGUGUUAACGUCGGCAUCAAAGGAGAGGAAGGUGGUCGAUGCGGUAAGCAAGAAGCUACAGUUGGAGAAUCGGCCGAUAGAGCUACAGUGUUCCGGCCGAUUGGCCGAGGGAGUCAAUGAAGACUGGCCGAUUGGGAGCCAGAACGGCUUGGCCAAUGUGGACCUAAAAUGGGCUAGGGUGGUGAUUAGCCGAAGAUGAAGAUUGGCCCGUGGAAAAAUAAUAACCAACUCUGAUGCGGGUUGUGUUCGUGUGUAUAUAUUUGUGAUUAGAGAUAGAUCCGAGUCAGUUAGGAAAUCAGUUGUAACAGGGUAUAAAUAGGUGCCUUGUAAGGUUUGUAAAAAAUACAACUAUAAUCAAUACAGAUCUACUCUUUCCAUGUACUUUACUUUCAAGUCGGCGACUUCGCCAAACCCUUUUCCUUUUCAUGAGUUCGUGCGAGGUUGCAGGGCUGCACGACCUUCGGCCAAUUUGUAAGUUCCACAUAUCAAAUAGUAUCUAAGCUUUAACUUCAGGAGCAUCGACGUUCUUUUUUUUAGAUUUAUUCACCAGUUACCGAUAUUAACUAGAAUUAUAGGUUUUACCUGUUGUUUUAGUUUUUAUCACCAGUUAUCGAGCUUGAGACACGAAUUGUCAGCUUUUUAUCAAUAUCUUUGUUUAUCACUAUAUAGCCGAUUAGAUUUGUUCCAAGUGUUGCUUUUGUAGCACUGUUUAGGUUGCUCUAGUGGUUUCUUUUGCAAUCGCUACGUGGUCAUCGGCUGUUUUAUAUCCGGUUAUCUCUACAGUAAAUUGGUUGAUUCGCUGAUACACACUUUGAAAUAGAUCGGAACAUCAGCCAAUCAAAACCCUAGACGCCUUUCUUUCCUUGUCAAUUAGCAUGUCAGAUUGACUGGCACGCCGCGUGAACCGCACCUGGGAGACAACCCGAACAGGAGCUAAGCAGAUUCUCCUGGGAUGUGUGUGCGACGUAGAAGCCGGAAUCUCCGUUCGAUUUUUAGUGUCAACACACUUUUGGCAUGCCCAGUGGGACACAAACAAGAUCUAACAUGUCGAAGGCUGCUGAAAUCUUGGAAGACAAUGUCAUGGAGAUCACUGAGGCAGAUCUGAAAGACGACCAGAGGGGUGAGCUGGCAAAGGCUAUGGAAGACUACAAAAAGGCAUGCCUGCAAUCCUACAGUCGCACCAGAAGCGGGGAACCCAUUAGAAAGACCGCUCUUCCGAAUCCUCACCACAUCACCAUCGCUAAAGACUCAGGGAAGAUGUUUGAGAUGAUCCAGCAGUCUAUCCAUCAGGCCAUGAUCGAUCAGUCCAAGGUGAUGACCCACACAGUGUACAAUGCCGUCAUCAGCUCCAUGGCCAAUGGCGUCGCUCAAGGAUAUCAGGGGCCAGCUUACGCCCCUCCCGUCACCUCACCGGUCAGAGGCUUCUUGGCGGAGCCUAACGUGUCUCAAUCGGCUCCUCAACCGAUGCAGAUGCAGAGUGGGGGGUACAACACCAUGAUACCCCUAGGUUAUAACGGUGCAACACCCUAUCAAUCGCAAGCGUCGUUUACCCUGCACCGGUCACCCCCGUGCAGCCACUGUUUGUAACAUCAACGCAGUGGGGAAUGGCGGGAAUACCUGCCGAUCUAGAUCCGUCUACCAGUUACGGAAAAUCUCUGGUGUAGGCGUCGUUUCCAUCGGCCUCUCGACCGACAGCUCCACAGUACCAGCAGGCUACCCCGGAGGUCGGUAGGGCGGUAGGCGCUCCAGAUCCCCUCAGAACUGCGGCGCCGAUAGUAUUGUACGACAAGGUGGCAGAUGCACUACAUCAUGUUGAUCCCACAUGACAGCAGCCAUCGUCUCCUCAGCCGGUAGUCCAGCCGCAAGUCCUACAGCACGCUCCGGUCUAUCACCCAAUCAUGGUGCCGCAACAGCAGCAUCAACAGUAGGUGGACUGGAUCACAGGAAUAACUGAUAUAAUACAGGAUCAGUUUGGAUUAAAGCCAAGAGUGCAGACUUAUAUGUACAGGACACCAUAUCCACCCACCUACGAUCUGUUGCCGUUCCCUCAUCGAUACAAAGUGGCAGACUUCACCAAAUUUUCAAGCUAAGAUGAAACAUCCACGGUGGAGCACGUUAACAGAUUCAUCAUCCAGUGUUGAGAAGCUGCUGCACAAGACACUCUGAGGGUAUGGUUGUUCUCGUCAUCCCUGUCCGGGUCAGCCUUUCAAUGGUUUACGACGUUGCCGCCCAACUCCAUCGUGACUUGGGCCAAUUUGGAGAAACAAUUCCGCAAGUGCUUCUUUGUAGGGGUCCAUGAGAUGAAGCUGUCAGAUCUAAUUAGCCUCAAGCAGAGAAGCGAUGAGUCGGUGGCCAGCUACAUACAGAGAUUCAGGGAGGUUAGGAACAAGUGCUACAUCCUGGUCUUGACCGACGCCCAGUUGGCCGACACCACUUUCCAGGGACUCCUACCGCAUAUCAAAGAGAAGUACGCGUCCCAGGAGUUUGAGAGUUUGAGCCAAAUUGUUCACCGACUAUCCGACCAAGAGGUGUGCCCCUUUGAACAAUGAAGAAAUUUCCAGAAAAAGGUGGCAUACGUGGAAGGGUCCGAGUUAGAAGAAGAGGCAGAAAUCGGCCUAGCAGAGUGGGUUAAAGGGAAAAAACCAAUCUCAUGCCCAUUUGGUAAAAAGGAGCUGGAAACAUUCGACUUCGAUACAUCUAAGGCCUAUAAGAUCUUUGACUUGCUGCUACAAGAAGGACAAAUCAAGCUUUCACCCUACCAUACGAUUCCGUCGGCCGAACAACUCAAGAAGAUGAAGUACUGCAAGUGGCACAAUGCUACGUCUCACGACACCAAUGAGUGCAUAGUCUUUCGUCAGCAGAUACAGUCGACCAUCAAGCAAGGGAAACUUAAGUUCGAAGUCCCCACAAAGCUAACAAAGCUGAUGAAGAUCGACCAGCACCCCUUCCCUGCCAACAUGGUCGAUGUUGGAAGGAACGCGCUCCAGACCAAGGUGCUGACGUCAGAAUCGGCUAGACGGAGUGGCGUGGUGGACUCCAGAAAUCAAACCUCGGUCGAAGAUGUUAAGGGAAAAGGCCGGGUGGAGACGGAAGGCAAAAGCUCGGAGAGGUCCCGUCAGCCUAUCACAUCUCGAGAUCUGCUCAACAAGUACUAGAGACAACGGGAGGACACGAGGCGCCGCGAAGAGAUGAUGCGUUGACACGAAGAUCAUUGGAGGUGUCCAUUCUUCAUCCAUUGCUGGGAAAACAAUCUCAGAUUGCCAUUGGUUGACAACUUCCCUGAAUGUAACGGUCAAUAUCACAGCAGCUGCCCAUUCAAGUGAUCACGCUCCGGGGAUCGAGGACGAGAGCUGAUUAGCAGAAAUAGGCUCAAGCAAGAAGAAUGGCCCAUUUCAGUGCAUGAUCGACUGGGGGGCAGAGUAGACCAGCGUAAUCGGCUGGGGGGCAGAGUAGACCAGCGUAAUCGGAUGGGGCGUAGAGCCAACGCACAUGAUCGGUUAGGGGAAAUGGCCGACGCAAGGGUUUCUGAUGAGAAUCCGUUGGGCCGAGACCCGGAAUGGGAGCAUGCCAAGCCGCCGAGUAAACCAGUGAACUCUAGAUGGUGCCCAGAUGGUUUGACCAAGUCCCAGAAGAGAAGGGUCCAACGUUUGCACCAAUGGGAACAGCAAGAAGAAGAACAAGGCAAGCGGUAGACAGAAGAGGAGUCAAAUCUCAAGUUUGGCACCCUAGAAGAAAAGCUGAUGAAGAAAACGAUGAUCAGGAUUCGGCUCUUUACGUCAAUAUGGUGUUCAUCUUGCCGAUGGAGUUCAUGGAUCCCGUCGACCACAACAAUGCAACAGAAAUAGAGGGGCAGAUGGCACAAUUGGCUUUGGAGACAAUGACCGCUACUUUUGAAAAACCUGAGGAUGAAAAAUGCCAGCAUCUCAAGGCUCUGUUCCUAAAAGGCAAGUCAACGGACGACCAAUCACUAAGCUGUUGGUGGACGGAGGCACUGCCGUGAACAUCAUGCUAUAUGCUAUGUUCCACAAGCUGGGCAAAGGGGAAGAAGAUUUAAUCAAUAUGGACAUGAUGCUCAAGGAUUUCGAAGGCAACAUAUCUCCGGCCCGGGGGGCACUCUGCGUCGACCUCACCAUCGGUAGUAAGACCCUACCCACCACUUUCUUUGUUAUUAAUGGUAAAGGGUCCUAUAAUAUGUUGGUCGGGCAAGAUUGGAUCCAUGCAAACUGCUACAUCCCAUCUACGAUGCACCAAUGCCUCGUCCAAUGGAUCGGUGACACCAUUGAAGUAGUCAUUGCCAACUCCGCUUACAGCGUUGCUGCAGCCGACGCGCAACAAUGGAGUUACAAGCACAUCAGAUGCAUAUCUAGCAGGACUUGGGACACUGAUUUCUUGAAAGUGUCCGAUUUCGAUCUACGUCCGAUCCAAGCAGUUGUCUCGGAAGAAUCAGAUUAAAUGGAUCAGUUCGUCCGAGAAGAUGGAAAGCUUAGGCACGGGUUUACGUCGACCAAUUCAUUAGAGAUGGUGGACCUUGGAGAUGGUAGCAAGCCAAGGCCGACAUAUAUCAGUGCUAGGUUAGACCCCAAGUACAAGCGCGAGUUAAUAGAUUUGUUAAGAGAAUUUAAAAAUUGCUUUGCUUGGGAGUAUCAUGAAAUGCCUGGUCUAGACUGGUCCAUUGUUGAACACCAGUUGCCUAUAAAACCAAGGUAUCGGCCAUAUCAGCAGCCUGAACGAUGUUGUAAUCCUAAAAUUCUAUCUGAUAUAAAGGCCGAAAUCACAAGAUUGAUUGAAGCGGGGUUUAUUCGGCAGUGUCGAUAUGCUGAGUGGAUUUCUAAUCUUGUUCCUGUAUACAAGAAAAAUGGAAAGUUGCGUGUAUGCAUUAACUUUAGAAAUCUUAACCAGGCUACACCGAUGGACGGGUACCCAAUGCCGACGGUAGAUGUUUUGAUAGAUGUGGCCGCGGGGCAUAAAGUCAUUAGCUUUAUGGAUGGUAACGCUGGGUAUAACCAAAUACUAAUGCCUGAAGAAGAAUCUCAAAAACGGCCUUCAGGUGCUGUGGUCACCUCGGCUUGUUCAAGUAGGUAGUUAUGACUUUUGGAUUGAAGAAUGCUGGGGCUACGUAUCAAUGGGCCAUGAAUUAUAUAUUCCAUAAGCUUGAUGGUGUCCUAGUGGAGAUUUACAUUGAUGUUGUCAUCAUCAAGUCAAAGGGGCAUCGACAGCAUCUGGCUGAUUUGCGCGAGGUAUUGGAGUGCACAAGGAAGCAUGGGUUGAAAAUGAAUCCAAACAAGUGCUCUUUUGGCGUUUCGGCUAGUCAAUUCCUGGGCUUCAUGGUUCAUGAGCGCGACAUUGAGAUCAACCAGAAGAUUAUAGCCACCAUCAAUAAAGUUGUGACCCCACAAGACAAAACUGAGAUACGGUCCUUAAUCGAUAAGGUGAACUUCAUCCGGAGAUUCAUAUCGAACUUGUCUGGGCGCAUUCAAGCUUUCACCCCAUUGUUGAAAUUAAAACCUGACCAAGAGUUUGUUUGGGGCGAGGAAUAGUAGAAAGCAUUAGAUGACAUCAAACAGUAUCUGGUUGCCCCACCGGUGUUGGUUCCUCCGCAGGCUGAUAAGCCUUUCAGACUAUAUCUAUCGGCCGAUGAGCAAGCUAUCGGCUCGACGUUGGUCCAGGAGUUCAAGGGAAAAGAAAGGGUAAUUAAUUAUGUCAGUAGAAGAUUUUUGAAAACUGAGACUAGAUACCCUCUGGUGGAAUGGUUGUGCCUUUGCCUAUAUUUUUCUUGUACCAAACUCAGGCACUACCUGUUAUCGGCAGAGUGCGUAGUUGUGUGCAAUGAUAAUGUUGUCAAGUAUACGUUAUCUCUGCCAAUCUUGAAAGGGAGAAUUGGAAAGUGGAUUCUAGCCCUCUCGGAAUUCGAUCUAAGGUACGAAUUGGCCAAGGCUAUAAAGGGUCAGGUAAUGGCCGACUUUGUAGCCCAGCACUGUGGACCAGAGAUUACUGUAGUCGAACAAGCUCCAUGGAUGCUGUACUUCGAUGGAUCUUCAUGCGAGGCCGGAUCAGGAAUUGGCAUCAUCCUCAUAUCGACUCGGGGGGCAAGUUAUGAUUUCUCUUUGCUGAUUGAGGCAUCCGCCACUAAUAAUCAAGUGGAGUAUCGGGCUGUCUUAAAAGGUAUCCAGCUAUUGAGGGAGGUCAAGGCCGACGCAGUAGAAAUAUUUGGGGAUUCCAUGCUUAUCGUAGAUCAGUUGACUGGAAAGUGUGAGUGCAAGGAUGAUAUUCUAAGGAUUUAUCAUGAAGAGUGCCUCCAGUUACUGAAAGAGUUCAAGACAGUAAUUAUUGAACAUAUCCCCAGAAAUUACAACGAAGAAGCCAACAGACUUGCUCAACAGGCUUCCGGUUACAGGCCGAUUCAAGGUGCUAUGGCUCUGGAGCUUGCGGCCGAUGACUAGAGGAGAGAAAUUGCCGACUAUCUGAAAGAUCCAUCCAAGAAAGUCGAUCGAUGAAUACGCUUUCAGGCUACAAAAUACGUACUGCUUAUAGAUGAUUUGUUUUACCAAACAAUUGAUGGGGUAUUACUCAAAUGCCUUGAAGUAGAGGAAGCUAAAACUCUGAUGGGUGAAAUUCAUGAGGGUGUAUGUGGGGCCCAUCAAUCGGCUUAUAAGAUGAAGUGGAUGAUUAGAAAUAAUGGGUAUUGAUGGCCGACGAUACUUGAGGAUUGUUUUAAAUAUUAUAAAGGGUGUCAAGAUUGUCAGAGAUUCAGCAAUGUACAACGAGCACCGGCUUCGGCUAUGAACCCAAUAAUAAAGCCAUGGCCAUUUAGAUGCUGGGGAAUCGACCUCAUCGUUCAGAUCUAUCCACCGUCAAGUAAAGGACAUAAGUUCAUAUUGGUGGCCACUGACUAUUUCACUAAAUAGGUUGAGGCAGUUCCCUUAAAAGUCAUGAUGUCGGCCAACAUGAUUGAAUUUGUGAAAGAACAUAUAAUUUAUCGGUUUGGUAUUCCUUAGACUAUUACGACACUAUUACAGCUGAUCAAGGGUCGAUGUUUACCUCUGGAGAAUAUGGGAAUUAAGUUGUUAAAUUCUUCUCCGUAUUAUGCUCAGGCCAAUGGUCAGGCCGAAUCGUCUAACAAGGGGGUCAUUAAAUUGAUUAAGAGAUAGAUCGAAGAACAACCAAGGAGGUGGCGCAUACGAUGCUGAAUGAGUCCUUGUGGGCCUACAGGAUGGCUUGUCACGGUGCCACCAAGGUGCCCCCUUACCAGUUAGUAUAUGGGCAUGAAGCAGUACUGCCUUGGGAGUUGAAGACUGGGUCUAGACGCACAUCACUUCAAGACCAGUUGACCGCCGAUGACUAUUCCGUUCUCAUGAAGGGGGAGUUGGAGGAUUUGGCAAGCCAGUGGUUGAGGGCCUUGAUUAGUAUUGAGGAAAGUAAGAAAAGAGUCGCCAGAUGGUAUGACAAGAAGCUCAAGGUCAAACAGUUUUCCCAAGGAGACUUAGUCUGGAAGUUGAUCUUGCCUAUAGGAUCUAAAGAUCCAAAAUGUGGGAAGGGCCGUACAAAAUUGGUCGAUGCGCGCCAGGUAAUGCAUACAUAUUUGAGACCCUUGAGGCAGAAGAAUUUACAAGGGCCCUUAAUGGAAGGUAUUUGAAGAAGUACUACCCUAGCAUAUGGGUAGAAGCUUAGCCAGUAAUGUAGCAUAUCAGGUUCUUACGGCCGAUACCUAUUGACCCACGUUCAUAUAGCUGAUACAGAGGGUAUCGCCUUAACGAUAAAAAAGUAAGAAAGCAUUCAUGCAAAUAGGCCAGUUAAUGUUCUGUACAUUAACUGGAUACAUGGCUGACAUGGUACAAGUCACCCUUAGAAUAAAAAGUACCAAUACACUCAUAAGUCAUAGAUAUUCAAAGGUGUUUCAGUUGGGCUUUUCUUGCGUUGAUCUCUUUCUGAAUCCUGCCCAGUUCAAUCAGAAGGUGGGUGUUUUUCUCCUCUAUUUCCGUCAUUGCAUCCUCGAGGGCGAUUUGAUGAGGUAGUUGGUGACUCCUUUCGACCGGCGGCUGGGUUGGCCUCCCGGAAGUGUUGGCUUCAAUGUUGUCUACGAUCUUCUUGAUAUGCGUGGGGAGGUGGUCCUUGAGUUCUUCGCGAUGAGCCUGGAUUAGAUCUUUGUUCGCCUGGGUCAGCGGUUCAUCGGAGUGCAUAAUUUCAAUUACUCGUUCGAGUUCGGGGAUGAGCCAGUUUGGCUGAAGGGAUAAUAGGAAAGUCAAUCAACAAAGCAAAUCAGUCAAGAAAUGAAGGAGUUAAUGUUGCACCUGAUUGACUGAGGAGGAAGAAGCCAUCCGGAUCCAUGAUUGGAGAUCUGGAAGCGUCUAUAGGGGGGAGUAUAUGGGUGUUAUGUGAGUGCCUCUAGGGAGGAUGUGAAGGUCUCGUAUUUCUAAGAUGAGAAGGCGAUGAGCAACGGUUAGUAAAGGAAGGUAUUCAAAGCAAAUGACUAUUGAGUCAAAAAGCUGUGGAGAAAGCCAUUCGGAUUCAUAUUCACAUAGAAACGUUGAAAGUGUUAAUGCUUUACAAGACAUUCAAAGGGUGUUCAAGUUUAGUACAGUUAUCUGAGGAGGGCAUUUAUGGCCUCAAUCGCCUGUAGGCAGAUCUGAUCUACCGAAUCUAAUACUCGCUAGUCGUCAUUGGCUGAUCCGGGGAUUUCUGGCAUGUUGCGGUUUAGUCGGAUGGCCACGUGAGCAAGGGUUUGCCUUUCCUGUUUUAAAUCGGCAAUGACGGCCGGGAGGUCUUGGAGCUUCUUCUCCUCAGCAGCGAUGGCCUUCACGACUUGCUCCGUCUCUUUGGCGAGUUCCGCUCUACGCCGUUUAAGUCGAUCUAUGGCACUGACAAUGCUUGGAUGGAAAUUUUCAAGAGCGCCGAUCCGGUGGUGUACCUCUUGAGCUUGGUGCUUAUAAGAUUCCUCUUCCUCGUGUGCCUUUUCCAGCUUGGCACGAUCAGCCAUAUUUCGCAAAGCUCUGAAAACUGGAAUUUGCAUCGACUCAAUAUAUGCCGCAGGCGCAAGAGCUUCUUCCACAUCUUCUGGAACUCGGCCUUUGAUUUCAUUGAAUAUACGCCGAAUUGGAGAAGCAUCCUCUACCAAUCGGCCGAUGUCGUCCUGGAGAAGGGCUCGUAUGUUCUAGAGCUUGGCACAGACCUCUUCUGGUAUUAAGCCCAAAGCUAUCUAGCGUGAAGCAACUUCCUCGUCAUCGGAGACUGCGACCGCGAAGGAGAAAAGGCUAUUGUUGGUCGUGUCUUGUUCCUGUGAGAAAUAAAGGGAAAGAGUGCCUUAACCGACAGGAGUAAAAAAUUGGCCGAUAGAGGUAGAGGUUCCUUACUUCUUUGAAACAGAUUUUCUCUGCUUGGGUUGGCAAGAUUGCUGCUCCCACUUCAGGAAUCGGUGUCGGCAGUUCACCAGAAUAGGAGGAUUCAACAAUGAUUGGUGCGGUACUUGGUCCUGCCUCCUUGAGAAUGGGAAGAGAAGUUCUUAUGAGUAUGAAAGGAUAAUUGGAUCUGGGAAUGGGUUUUAGUUAUCUCACCUCUGAAAACCACACAACCAAUGUUUGCUUGAAGGGUACAAUCAAUGUGUUCGAGAUAUCUUGCGCCAGAGAUCAAUCAGUUUUAGUUAAAGAUUGGGGAAAUCAAGUGAAAAGCAUACUCUUCACCUCAAUUGGGAGGUUUGCUGGUGCAGUCUCUUCUUGAGGAUCGGCUGGUUGAUGAGUGGUUUGCUCCGGAAGAAGGUGCACAACCUAAUAAGAAGAGGUGGAAUUAAUGUUGACAACAUACUUAGAAGAGUUAGAGCAUGUGAGAUUACCGAUGCAACUUCCACCAGCAGAGAUGGAGCUGCUGAUCUAGCUUCUGAAACCACUUGGGGGUUAAUCUCCUGAAUUGUCGGCACGACUUCUGAUGGGGCUAGUAUGGCUGAGGGCUCGACCGAUGGCGUCGCCGAUUGAUCAACCGUCAGAGUUACUGUUGAUUCGGUACGGGCUCGUACUCGGCGGCUUGUCUUCUUUGAAGUAGACAUCUUUAGCUUAUGCUUCAAUUGACCGGUAGCAAUGUCCUCCAUUGAUGGUGCGUGAUAGCCAAUGAGUGGGUAAAGUGUGUACGGAUGACGGUUUUCUAUCGGCCUACCACUUCGGCUGCGUGUUAGAGGUGCCUGGCUAUCGGACUGCGCAAAGAGGGGGAGUCCGUAAUGAGAACCUUGUGGCAUAACGAGGUGAAAAUGAGAAAUCGGUCGAAAAGGUUUUGUUACCUCUGCAUUUGGGUCGACAUGAGCAGGGUCCAACUGAUUGCAAUAUACUGCAGGAGCUGUGCAAAAAAGAUGUUGCUUCCAUUUGGCCCACCAUAAUUUGAAUUGUUGAGUGGAGAAGGGUGCUACCAGCCAAUUAUUCAAGUCAAUAGUGCUGGAGUCUGGUAUCAAGCUGCAUAAUCAGUUAUAUUCAAACCCUCUUGAAAGUGACUCUCGAAACUUCACCUGGCCGAUGAAAUAAAUUCCAAUAGGCAUCUAUCCUAGGCCAAAUUGCCGGGCUACCACCGACAGGUUGUAGAAUUCAUACAUCGGGGAGUCCUUUCCAGAGAAGAAGUUUGCUGGCAAAAUCUCGAGCUUGAUAAAGAUCUCCAUAAUCCUGUCUUCAAAAGAAUUGGUGUCCAACCCAAAGCAAUCAGGAUUCUCAAAAAGUGAAUCCUCUCUCUGGUGCAGGUACCACCUCGUGGUCUCUUCACUGAAGCCGAUAUAAAAGCAUCUAAAAUAUUCGGCUGUCCUUGAGGGAGUGAGUUUGCCUCCUAGAAAAGAUGAUACGGCUUCUCUGAAGGAGGUACAGCAGCGCCUUGCUGUUGGGUUGGUCUCUGACUCGAUGUUGGGGAAGGUCUUGGUCUCGAUCCGUUCUCUGGAGAUUUUGCUCAUAUAUAAAUUAAGCUAAAGGUUAAUAAACCACCAGGGACCGCUAGAGUUCCGAAUGGGCUCUCCAGACGAUAGCUUUAUAGCAAUCUGGUGCAUCAUGAAGUAAACCGACCCCAACAGAUGUUUUCCCAAAGGAAUAGUAGCACCUCUUGCCAGCGCUUCAGCCAAGGUUUGUGUGUUGGAGGUGGGGCCGACCGAUCUGCCACAGAAUAAGUGUUUUUAUAGCCACAUCAUCAAGAAGGCCGUAUACUGUCUGUUAGUAAUGGGUCUGGUCUUCAUGUUCUUUUCAAUGAAACCUUUCCAUCCGUCGAUGCCCUUUGUUUCCAAAUGGUGAGUUGGCUUGAUUAGAAGGUCAAAGGGCAUAUCGGUGCAGGAGACGUCAAGACCAGUCAACAUCAGGACAUCGGCCAGAGUGGGAGUCAUCGGCCCAUGGCCAAAAAGAAACGCAUUGAGGGCGUCGGACCAGAAGUAAGAUGCUGCAAUGAGUAGGGAGUCGUUCCUCUCCAUAUGAGACAGGGACAAAUUUAUACAGUGGUUGAUUUUCCCCUCAUCCCAAAAAACUCUCUUCGAGUUUGACAUCCUUAAGAACCAUUCUCUCCAACCGGGGGUUUCGUUCAGCCAAGACCUGAAUGUGACUAUCCAGUUAUUCAAAUCCAUCGUUGAUUGCUUGAAAGGGAUUCUGUGAGUUUCCAGAUUAAUCAGCUCAGUUGGAUCAGGGUUCCCCAUGGGGACAAGUCCGAUGAGGCCAGGAGCGUCAGAUAGGGGGAUGGUGAUUCUUUGCCUAAGCUCCUAAGAAGAUAUGAGAAAAAACUUAGAACAGAUCUAAGAUUCGCAGAACGGUGAAAAGUAAAAAAGGGAGAGUUUCGGGGAAUUUACCUCCGGGAUGAAAACCAUAGUGGCUGAAGGAAUCGCCAUUGGAGUUUGAGGGGCUAGCGCAAUUGAUCAAAGGAUGAGAUGGGCUCAUCGGAGGGCACUGGAAUGCUCCUAGAAGCGGAAUGGGCGCCGGAGUGCGUUGGAAGAUGGUUCACCAGGAGAGAAAACUUUUUAGCUCGGGGAAGAAGAAGAAGCGGAAGAGGUGAGUAUUUAAAAGAUGGUUUGAGAGAAGGGUAAAGAUGGGAUUUUUACCGCGUCGUCCACGCAAAUUUUGAAGAGAGUGGUUGCCCGCGGGCGCUUUAUUCAAGAAAAUGCAAUCAUUAAAGAGUAGACUCCGGAGCGAAAUGGGUUUUGCCGCGUUUACUAUUGCACUUUCUCCAAAGGGAAGAGUUGGAGUUGAGACACUCUGAAAUUGGGGGGCAUGUGUUGACGCCGGAUUUUGACAUGUGUUAACGUCGGCGUUAAAGGAGAGGAAGGUGGCCGAUGUGGCAAGCAAGAAGCUACAGUUGGAGAAUCGAGCGAUAGAGCUACAGUGUUCCGGCCGAUUGGCUGAAGGAGUCAAUGAAGACUGGCAGAUUGGGAGCUAGAAUGGCUUGGCCAAUGUGGGCCUAAAAUGGGCCAGGGUGGUGAUUAGCCAAAGAUGAAGAUUGGCCCAUGGGAAAAUAAUAACCAACUCCAAUGUGGGUUGUGUUCGUGUGUAAAUAUUUGUUAUUACAGAUAGAUCCUAGUCGGUUAGGAAAUCAGUUGUAACAAGGUAUAAAUAGGUGCCUCGUAAGGUUUGUAAAAAAUACAACUAUAAUCAAUACUGAUCUACUCUUUCCACGUACUUUACUUUCAAGUCGUCGACUUCGCCAAACCCUUUUCCUUUUCACGAGUUCGUGCGAGUUUGCAGGACUGCAUCAACACGACCUCCGGCCAAUUUGUAAGUUCCACGUAUCGAAUAGUAUCUAAGCUUUAACUUCGAGCGCAUCGCUGUUGUUUUGUUUAGAUUUAUUCACCAGUUAUCGAUAUUAACUAGAAUUAUAGGUUUUACAUGUUGUUUUAGUUUUUAUCACCAGUUAUCCAGCUUGAGACACAAACUGUUAGCUUUUUAUCAAUAUUCUUUGUUUAUCACUAUAUAGCUGAUUAGAUUUGUUCCAAGUGUUGCUUGUGUAGCAUUGUUUAGGUUGCUCUAGUGGUUUGUUUUGCAAUCACUACAUGGUCAUCGGCUAUUUUAUAGCCGGUUGUUUCUAAAGUAAAUCGGCCGAUUCGCUGAUACACACUUUGAAAUAGAUCGGAACUUGAGCCGAUCGAAACCCUGGAAUUUAAUACCUUUCUUUCCUUGUCAAUCAAUAGGUCAGAUUGACUAGCACGCCGCGUGAACCGCACCAGGGCGACAACCUGAACAGGAGAUAAGCAGUUUCUCCUGGGACGUGUGUGCAACGCAGAAGCCGGAGUCUCCAUCCGAUUUUUAGCGUCAACAAAAUCCCAUCACCAAAUCCAUGGCAAAUGCCCAUCCAUAACUCAAAAGCAUGUAUAUGGAUAAAUGAGCGGUGGACUAGCUAGGGGUCGGUAGCUAGUCCACAAAAGUAGGUGAAUAAGGAAAACAUGAUAAACAAUUAUCAAGGUAGGACUAGAAACAUUGGCUAUGCAAUCCAUCAUCAUCAAGCAUUAUAAAUAAAGCGCUAGCCACUAAGCAUGCAUAGGAUCUAUAUGAUUGGGAGUGACAUGACAUCUUGUCCGUAGUCGAUCGGGUCCUCCUCGACGUAGUUGGGGUCUUGAAGGUCUUCCUGGUCAUAGCUCGGGUCUGAAUAGAACGAGAUACGAGGAAGCGGAAGCAUAAAUUAAAUGGCAAUAUAUCUAGGAAAAAACUCCAAGAAAGCAAGAUUUUGAAGAUCCAAAUAACACCAAACUAGCUACAAACAGCACGGGCUCAAUUUUACGAAUUUAAUGCAAUUGGUUUCAUAUUUUUUUGAGUUAAAAUGAACUAGUUAUGAAUUUUUAAAGAUUAAAGAAUUUAUUCAAUUAUUUAAUAAUUUCAGAAAAUAUUUAUUUCAAGGUGACACAUGUCAGCUCGGGAUUGGUCCAUGUGGUAGCCCUAGGGUGCCACUUGUCCAGCUGACGUCACGCUGACAUCAGCGUUGACCGGUCAACGAUCAUAGUGGGCCUGGCCUGGCCACAUUAAUGCCACGUGGUGCGUAUGUGGCAGCCACGUGGGCUGCGGCGGCAGUGUGGGCGUGCACGGUGCGGCACGCGGCGGCCGUUAGCGUGCACAGGCGAGUGAUGAGCUGCAAGCACGCGGGUGAGAGCGCGAGCGGGUGUGGCAUGCAAGGCACGGGUAUGACAUGACGCUGAGCGUGCGGGGUCUCAAGCGUAGGUGAGCGCGAGCGGCAAGCGCGGGUGCGGCGGCCCUUGCCCAGCCAAAGGCGGGGCCUUUGGUCAUGGCGAAGGCGCGGGUGGGAGGCACACGUGUGCGUGGGCACAGGGCUUGCCCUGGUCACGGCACAGUCGUGGUGGCGUGCAAGGUCCUGGCGCUACGGGCCGUGGCGGCCGGCGGCAAGGCGGCGAUGGCGGCAGCCUACGGUUACAGCUAUACUACCAAGGCAAAAAUAGAGAGAGAGAUGGGAGAAGUGGCUCACGGCGCAGGCUUGGUGGAGACGACGGUGUUGGUGGCAAGUGGCGGUGACAGCUUCGGGCGGUGGCAUGCACGGCGCGGCUACAACUUUUCUCCCCAUGAACAACCUCCUCCUUCCUUCUUCUUCUUCCUCUUCUCCCCCUCUUCUUCUCCUCUCUCCUUUCCUUCCCGUAACGCUCUUCUCCCUUUCCUCCUUGGUGGCGGUGGACGGGCGGAGCCUGAAUGGAUGAUGAGCGGGAGGCACCGGGGGUGCUAUUUAUAGUGGCAAGCAGCUAGGGUUAGGGCUCGGUUAGGUGGUGGAGGCUUCUGGAGCAGCCGACAGUGCCCUAGGGGGUUGGUGGCGUGGCGCCGGCGACGUGGGUGGCCGGGAUGCGCCGGCGGCUCGGGCGCGGCGGCGUGGCGUGCAUCAAGGGCUCCCAGCACAAAAGCGAGGCACGGCCGGGGGUCACGUGCGCGUGGGCGAGCGCGGAAGUGCACUCCAGCUUGGCGCGGCACGAUGCUUGCGACGCGUGUGAGCGGGCACGGCGGUACGACGAGGUGGAGAAGAAGAAUAGUACAUGACUAACCUGUGGGCUUGUGGCGUUGACAAGAGAAGGAGGGAGUGGCCCAGGCGUGAGCUGGGCUGACUGUGGCCUACUGGGCUUGGGGGCAGCAUGGGCGAGUAGGCGGGUGAGCGCGGUGCGGCGAGCUAGGCUAGCAAACGCAGGUGCGCGCGCCGCACGUCAGGGCGACACGAGCUGGGCUGAGCGGUUAGCGGGCCGGCGAGCGGACCAGGUUAGCGGGAUGAGUUAGUUUAGGUUAGAUUUAUUUUUUUUUGGUUUAGAUUUUAGGUUUAAUUUAGUUUGAAUUCAAAAUUCAAACAACACUUAAGCAUGAACUCCAAAUGAAAUUCAAGAAGAUCCAAAUCAUGCCACACAUAUUUUUGAAAUGGAAUUUAGGGUAAGAGAGGAAAUAUCUAGCUUUUCAAAUGAGCACACAGUUCAAACAAGAAGUUUUAAAUUUUUGCAAAAAUUCACUCAUUCAAAUAUUACAAAUUUUGGAGUAUUACAGGCGCCCCCCCCCAAACCGGGGCCCUUGCUGAUGCAAGCCCGGGGCUUGCUGGUACAAGGGCCCCUUUUUUACUGUUUUAAUUUCAUUAAAAUUGUGUAUUACUAUUUUUAUUUAAUUAUAAUUGUGUCUUACUGUUUUAUUUAAUUAGCUUCAAAUAGUUUAAUUGUUUACUAGUAUGGAGUAAUUCAUUAUAAUUGUGUAUUACUGUUUUUAUUUCAUUAUAAUUGUGUACUAAUUGCUUUUAUUUAAUUAUAAUUAUGUAUUACUAUUUAUGUAAUUACUAUUUUACUGUUAAUUGAUAUUCCUAUUAAUAUGGAGUAAUUAAACUUAGAGUUAUGCUUCAAUAUUUACCUACAAUAAACUUAGCUUCAAAUAGCUUCAAGUAAUUUCCAAAUCCAUUUACCCGAUAUUCCUAUUAAUAAAAGACGCAAUUUCCCUUAUAAUAUGAUUCAUUUAUGCUACAUCACACUUUGAUGCUGAAUGAUUCAUUGAUGCUAUAUCAAAGUCUAUGAUACAAUUUUUAAUUUAAUGUAUCUAUGAUUUCAUGUGUUUAAAUUAGGUGAGAUGGGAGACGAAGAGGACACUACUAGAUUUUUAGCCUAUGGCAAGGGUGGAAAAAUGUGGCAAUAGGGCCAAAAUAGUGGCAAUAGGUAGCAUUUGCAUCAAUGUCAGUUUGGUUGGCAGCCGUUGCAAAAAACUUCGUGGUAAUAGGUGCAUUGCAAUGGGUUUUUUUAUUUUGGUGCAAUGUUAUGGUAAUUACCACACACUAGUUCAUUGCAUUAUAGAGUAUUGCAACUUUUGAUGCUGUGGCAUUAGCAUGUAUUGCCACGCAACUAGGCAUUGCUAUAGUAUGUAGUUGCAAUGGACUGACACUGUGGCAAUAUUGUAUUUGGCCAUGACCAACAUGGUGGCAAUAGAAUAUAUUACCACGCAUAUUUUACGUUGUGACAGAUCCUACGGCAAUACAAUUUCUUUCGUGGAAAUAAACUAUAUUGCCAUGGAAACAAGUUUGGUGGCAAUAAUUUGUUUUGCAACGGAAAAUAUUUAGAAGCAAGAAAAUAUGUUGCAACAAAAUAUUGGUGAAGGUUAUUAAGUAUUAUAGCAUCUUUUUUCAUUUGUGGCAAUAAGUUGUUUUGUAAUGAAAAAUAAAUAGAGGUAAGAAAAGAUGUUGCAACAAAAUAUAGGCCGUGGCGCACUAUUUGUUUUGCAAUGAUAUAUAUUUAUGUCAAUAACUUAUAGCAACCAACUAGAAUUGUUGCAUUUAUUUCUUUUUGCAACAGGAAGAUGUAUUUCUUUUUGCAGCAGGAAGAUGUAUUUCUUUUUGCAACAGGAAGAUGUAUUUCGCAACACAUAUUGCAUUUUAUAUAUUUGGAUAUUGAAUCAUUUGUGCAACAAAUGAUUUCAUCAAAAUAUGAAUUGUAUCAUCAUGAAUAUAAAACGAAGCCAUCCUGACAAUCAUCAAGUAAAAGUGCCAACUACAUUCUCCAAAUCGAAAAUAGUUCAUAACUAGUGUUGGGUGAUCAAUAGUACUAAAUCUAUCUUAUGUAGACUACAGCAAGCAUGCACUGCAUUGAUUUUCCUUGUGUCGAUCAUGGCAUGACUCUGAAUCUGUGCGAUCCAUUCAAGAUGAAUGUUCCUGUUGAAAAAAAAGAAUGUAGUGUAUCAGCAAAAUUCAUGAGUAAGUCACAGCCACAUAUGCUGUCACAGCAAGAGCAAAGGUCAUUCAAUUCUGAUAAUAAGAAGGCAUUAAUUUGUCAUGAUUAUAUUAGUUAUAACCAAAAUAUGUUCAGUUAGAAAUAACAUUCAAUGCUAGAAACCUUCAGCUCUUAUUAGGUCACACACAGUUCAGCUCUUUAUAUUAUAACGACACACAGUUCAGGUCAGCGGUGGAUCCAGCGCUCUUUAACCUUGAGGCGUGAUUCAUUUACAUGAACCUUAUCAUUAGGUUUUGUAUCACCACAUGAACCUUGCUGCAGUUUUAUUCCUCAAAUACUGAACUGUAUCCAGUGACAAUGAAGUGAGGGCCAUGCUGGAUACUGAAUUGUAUCCAGUAUUCUUACAUGCUUGUUCAGGCUAUUACAAACUUGCAAUGCAAGGACACCAAAGUGUUUCCAGAUUACUACUAAAAAAUCCAUGAUGUCUAUGUUAAGACCAGUUGACUUACAUUUUCAUAAACUACAUCCUGGCUACUAAUAGUUUCUGCAUUAGUCUAGUGCUGCCAUGAUUGUUAUUAGCAAGACAGAUGUCUAAACUGUAUGAUUGUUGCACUGAAUUGUUGUUAGCUUUUGAUAAUGUAAUGUGAUCAUAUUUUACAGGAAUAAAUUAUAUUUCUAUAUGAUUUCUAACCAAGUACAACCCUUGUUUUGUGUAGAAAAACAAAGAGGCUACUGGAUGCAGCACAAGACUUUCUUGUACCGGGAUGUGAUCAGCUUGGUAUAUGGAAAGGACCAUGCAGCAGGUGAUGCAGUGUGGACUACAGCAGAAAGAUGAGAUGAACAAGGAACAGAGUGGCAACAAAGAGCCUACUUCAUCGGUAACUUCAGCGAGUUUUAAGAGGCAAAGGUCUGGUGAUUCUUGAACUUCAAUGAUGGCUGAAAAUUUGGAUAAAUUUACUGAAGCACUUAAACAAGAAGCACCUAAAGGCCCAACAUCCAAAGAGAUCCUUGAUUCACUAAACAAGAUAGACGAACUACAUGAAGACACUCUGUUGGACCUAUUUGAUAUUCUAACAAGUGACUAAUGCAAGUAUCAGUCUCCUUUGGCCCUACCAGUGAAGAUGAGAAAAAGAUGGCUGACAAUGGAUGGUAUUGGUAAGUCUCCAUAAAUUAUAGUAUAUACCUGACCUGUCAAGUGAAUGGAUGGUUUGCAUCCAGAUAAUUGGUGAAAGUUACCCAUUUCUGUUCGUGCGUUAUUUGAUAUUACUAGUGUAGUAGUGCUUUUGCAAAUUUAUGGCAUAUUUGAAAUCCAUAAAUUUAAGGCGUUGAGUCAGUCUGCUGCUGUGGUUGCUCCUUUGGGUUGUGUUGGAAGCUAAAAGCACAAGACCAGCAGCAGGUACAUCUCCCCGACCUCAUUACUGACCCCCUCACAUUGGUGCCUCAUUUGUCUAUGCAAUGCAAAUGUGACUCCCAGACUCGCGGCUGCCAGCCUGCCUUAUGCCCAGCAGCUAUGCAUGGCCUAAAGUCCAUACUACAGGCUACAAGCCCUGCUGAAUAAUGCAUGAGCACUUUGAUUUAAGGUAAAAAAAGGUGUUGACAACAUUAAGAAAUUAUGUGAUAAACAAUAUAGGGAAGUUUUGACAUGGGAUUAUUUCUGUGCCACGCACAGAUCCAGCCCCCAUCACAGUCGAUUUCUGGAUCCGCCACUAGUUUAGGUCAUAUAGAGUUCGCAACAUAGAUUAGAAAUUAGAUUUGCUUUUUCAUACAUGUUGGCUUCUUGUGCAUACAUGUUUCGUAGCAGCAUUCAGUAGUUGAUGUCAAGUAAUAAAACCUCCUGCCAUAUUGCUUUUGCUGUUUUGAAAAAGACCUCGAGACACUGUACUAGUUCUAUAUUUGCUAGCAUUUUUGUCAAUUAUUGGCGUAGCUGCACUUGGGAUGAUGCUCCGUGGGUCAGUCUGCAUAGGAAAAACAAGUGGAAGGAAUUUUGCUACAAAACACAUUCCAAUAUGCUCAUGUGUGUAACAAAUAUCCAAAUUGCUUUUACCUGAAGUAAUGGGGUUUGUCUCUAUUCUACAAUCUUUGAUAGCAACUCUAACAUGAUUUCUUCCCUAAGUGCUUGCCUUUUCCUUUUCUCUUCUUGUUGAAUCUGUACCAAUUUUUCUUCAAAUAUCCUUUCCCUUUCAGCCUUUUCAUUUGCAAGUUGUUCUUCUAACUUGUCAACCUUAUCUUGGAGCACAUUAUUUCUCUGGUUGGCUGCAUUUGUAGCAUGAGCUUGCUCUUGGAUCUGAGCGUUCAGCAAUUCACUGCGUGAUGGAUUUUUAGAUGGAUUUUUAGACAAGUAACCAUGACCAUAUUUUUUGGAGGUUUUGCAUCCUGUACUUUGCUUGUAGGAUGUUUGGAAAACAUCAUUUUCCUCUGCAAUCAAGAUGGAAUAUGUAUCAUGAUUGUGUUCUCUCUCCGAAAGUAUUAGGCAUGCAUUGUCCUAAUUGAAACAGCAGCAUUGGUGUUAGCAUUGGACAUAAAAAAAUAUUAUGAAUCUUGUUGUUACCAGUGAAUUGUGUAAAUUACUUACAUAGACAGGCUUAGAUGCUUCAUCUGACCAUUGCCCAUUCUUCAUAUGAGUACUCAUCCAAAUACUUAUAUCACUUGGUUCUUCUCCUGUAUCCAGGUCUCUUUAAGAUGGUAUGAAUGAAGCACAUUAGUUUGACACGUAUGCAAAAAGAUCAUACAGUAUGUCAAAUCAUUACCUGCUCAUGGCUAAUUUUGGAAAAUAGUUUGGACCCUAUGAUAUGCUUUGUCUUUUGUUCCUUACCGUUUUUUGGAAUUCCAGUUUCUAGCUUUCUACAUAAGGUUUAAGUAAAAAAAUACGUUAGUAGUGCACUCAUCAAAAUAAUAAUUCUAACAUAAGAUUUAUGAAAGGAUGAAAAGGAAAUGCUAUCAGACCUUGAAAUCAGGAGAUCCAAAAUACAACAUCAGGUAGUGCCAUUCAGCUAUGUUAAUGUCUUCUAGCUUGUGUUUCAUUCUUGCAACAUAAUUGUUGCACACCUUGUACGUAGCACUGAAUGUUGAUCUCCAUCAUUUGUAUCGCUCCUUCGCGAUGGCCCAAAUCUUCUCCUUUCUUAUCAUCAACGUUUAGUAGAUCCCACCUAUUUUGUUUAUGUGAGAACACAUUCAAAAGGGGAAGUAUUUGGUUAUUUGAGAUUUCUUAUAGCAAUCAGGCAACAGAAUUAAACAUCGUACAUACCAAUAUGUCAGAUGCUAUAGAUUUUUUCACAUUUUGCUCUAUGUCUUUCCACUUUUUUACUCCAAUAAGUGGAGCCCUUUUCCUUGUAAACAUUACCACUUCAUCCACAAAUGACCGGUUGUUUGGGCCUAUGGGACCUCCCAGCCUUGUGGAAAAUUCAACUUUCAUUUUCUGUGAGCCGCUCUAUAUUCUCUUUGUGGCUUCUGAUAAACCCUUGAGGGCACCACGUCCACCUUUAUUGCGCCCUUCACCGGAGUCUCCUACGAAUCCAUUAGGUAAAAAAUGGCCAGAUAAUUUUAGCAGGGAAGAUGACAUUAAAAAAAAUUUACAAUGCAUAACACACCAUUUCUCACUUGAUGCCUUAACCAUUCUUAAUAUGUCUUGAUGGUUUCAUCCCUGUAAUUAUCUUUAAAUUCUGCACGUAAUGAAUAUAUAAGUUUACUGGAUAAUGACACACGUAUCUUAUAUUAAUCAUUAUAAGGAACUUUACUUACCCGUGUCUAGUUGAUCUUGUUGCAGGGCUGCAAACCAAUCCUUGUAUGCAUCAAUUGGUUCUUCUGUACCUGGUCCAUCAAUUGGUUCUUCUGUAUUUCUGCCCCUUGCUCGCUUCAUGGGUGUUAUGCUCACUAGCAUGUCAGUAUGUUGGUCUUUUGUUAGCACCAUCUUGACCCGCCUCUCUCAUAAUCAAUAGAGAUUAGGCUUGCUGUGUCCCUGCCACAUCACUUCUUGUAGUACAUGUAGUCCCGCCUAGAAUACCGGAGCUUUGAUUUUAUAGAAAUCAAGUUGUAAAAUGUGAUAUCAGCCCUAUCACAAUCAAACUCAACAUAAUCUUUAGGCUCAGAUACACCGAUGCAUUGCAAAUGUAGAGUCCACUCCUGACCUGUGAGUCUGCAACAUCAUUAAUACGGUCAAUGUUAGUAUAUUAACUUAAUGUUGUGGUCACCAAUUAAGAAUAAAUAAUAUUCGAUGUACUGCACAAUUGAACAGCCUUUACACUACAUGUACUGUUUGAUAGCAAAUCUGAUGGAAAAAUGAUAAAUGUGCAGUGCUGGUUAUAUUUGAAGCAACUGCAAAUCUGAAAUCGAAUGUUAAUGUACAGUUGAUGUUAAUGUUAAUGGUUAAGGGUGAAGUAUAUGACAUUGGUUUAAAACGAACCAGAUUUAUGGCUUUCUUUGAUUUACAGAUGAGGGAACUGCCACCGCACAUUAACACCAAGGAUCAUCCCAUGCAUAUUAAUGGAUGCUAGUACAAGCCAUAAAAGUUCAGAGUACAAGCAAUCAACAAAGAGUUGUUUUCUGAUCAACUAAUGUCAAUUCUACUACCAUCUAGCACCACCAUGAACCAAAUCGUAUCAGUGCAAAGUUUGAUCACAACCUUGGCAUAUUAUGCAGCAAACUAACAAUAUAUAUUCAGAAAGCUAUUUCUGUUGAUUGCUUUGUCUAUCAGCCAUCAAUUUUGACUGAUCUGGAAUGACAUUAGCAUAUGGCUGAAACUUGUGUCAUGGUUAUGCCAUAAUAUAACUUCAAAGUAGACUAUGUUCGGUAAAGAGUGCUACUGCCCAAACAUGAAAGGCUGAAACUAUUUAUAGAACCAAACAAAACCUAACAUUAGUUGAUUUUUUUGGACAUAGAGAUUAACUUCCACGAAAGCAUAGUGAAAAUGAUCUACAAAAGGACAUUGUAUCUAAUUUUCUUCCACCCAAAUGCAUAUGACUAGAAGUAAUUAAGCUUAGAAUCAAAUUAGGGCACAGGGAACUAACCUCGUUGGGGGAUUAAGAAAUCCUAACCUCAUCCCCAUGAUUGAACCCUACAGAACGAAGGCCGUUGUUGGUUGCAUUUGGAGCUGGAGCCCCUUGGUCGGCGGUGGCAGCAUGAGGACCAGGAGACCCUUGGCUGCCGGCAGCGUGAACAUCAUAAGCACCACAGUCACCGGCGGCGUGAAGAGGAGUCUCGCGACCGGCGGCGUGAAGAGGAGUCUCGCGACCGGCGUCGUGAGGAGUAGGAGUGUCAUGGCCGGCGGCAUCAGGUACAGGAGUGUCGUGGCCAUGCGGCGCGAGGUGGAGCAGGAGUCCAUCGGUUUGCAGUCUCCAUCGGGAGGAAUAGAUGGAAACGGUGCCCCCUCCCACACGUAUGAGUCUGGCGAUUUUAGGGGAAGGAUUGCCGGCCUUUUAGUAUAUCUACUCUGGAAAAUAUGGAGGGGAAAUUAGGUGGGGUGGUGAGAAUCGUGGGAAAAAAUUGGGGAGAAGAGGUGGGAGAGGUUUAGGGCCCCUUUGGUAGCAUGCGCGCGGAUGGUAGGGGCCAAGCGGCGGAUGGUGCGAUGAGCGAUGAGCGGGGCACGAGGCCGGGUGCACCGGCGUGCGUGCGUGGCACGGCAUUGGCUAGCGGGUAGGGGUCGGUGCAGCGCGGGCAUGGGGCUGGGGGGCACGGCAGGGAGGUGGCGGUGUGCGGUGCAGCCAUGGCGCGAGGCGGGGUGCACGCGUGGCGAGCGGCAGGGCAUAGGGCGCACGGUGCGGCCAGGGGCGAGCGGGGCGUGGGGCCAGCCUGGUGGGAGCGCAGCAGGGUGCAAGGUGGGGCUGGGGCACGACAGGGGCGUGAGGUAGUGCCGUGGUGGUGCCCCUGUUCCAGCAGCACUAGUAGAGAAUUGGCUUUCGAUCCGCCCCCUUUUGUCCCGGUUUAAAGUUGGCCCGGGACAAAAGGGGGUGCGCCACGGUAGGCAAAAUUGGAGGGGAGCUUUACUCCCGGUUGGUAAUUGCAACCGGGACUAAAGGCCCCCCUUUAGUCCCGGUUGCAACGGCUAGCUGGGGGGUGUCGGUGGCGGGACCCUUUUAUCCCGGUUGGAGGCACCAACCGGGAUAAAAAGGUUAGUCCCGGUUGGUGCCUCCAACCGGGAUAAAAGGGUGUCCCUUUUAUCCCGGUUGGAGGAUCCAACCGGGACUAAACUUCCAACCGGGACAAAAGGUGUUCCUUUUUGUCUCGGUUGGAGUUUUUAACCGGGAUAAAAACUCAUCCCCAUUAUAUACGGCCAAGAUAGAGGACUUUCUUCCUCCUCCAGCCCGAGCCAGUCCAGCACAUUGACAGAGAGAGCUGAGCUUCACCUACUCUCCAGUGGUGCCGAAGCAAGCAAGGAAGGUGCUGCCCGAAGUUUUUUCCCUCAUUUUCGUGGGAAUUUCACUCGGCCAACACAAGUGUUGCGAAGGUUUGCUACUUCAUCCUCGUGUUAUGCUUUGAUUUAUGCUUUGGAGAUGGAAAGAUUAUUUGCUACAAUGUGAUGAUGAAGUAGAAAAAUGGAGAGGUAUUUUAAGCUAGAAUGUGAGGGAGAUUGAUGUGUCAUAUAUAGUAUGCAUUAUUGCAGUGGUUUAAAAAUGAUGCUACCUUGUCUAGACGGUUUAUCUUAUCAAAUUCAAUAUGGUUUUUUAAAUCCAUAUACUUGUUGAACUUGCAUACCGUGUUCAUUUCGGCGAGAAUGUUCUCCGCCGAGCAGCAACGUAUGUCAAGAAGGAGGUUCGAUUCUACGAGAAAGAGUGGAUAUGGACAUCGUGACCGUGUCCCCUUUUUCGUAGCAUCUAACCUCUUUCAUGACGAAGUGCGGUGCCGCCCAGCUGAGGACAUCCUCGCGAAAUGAACACGGUCUUCAAGUUCAACAACUUCUGUAGUGGUAAGGAAAGAAUUUUUGUACAUAGAUGACUUCUGCUACUUGUUGAACUUGCAUACCGUGUUCAUCUCUCCGAGGAUGUUUUCCGCCGAGCAGCAACGUAUGUCAAGAAGGAGGUUCGAUUCUACGAGAAAGAGUGGAUACGGACAUCGUGACCGUGUCCCCUUUUCCGUAGCAUCUAACCUCUUUCAUGACGAAUACCGGUGCCGCCCAGUUGAGGACAUCCUCGCGAGAUGAUCACGGUCUUCAAGUUGAACAACUUAUGCAGUGUUAAGAUAAUAAUUUUUGUACAUAGAUGGCUUCUACUACUGGAGGAAGUGGCGAUGGUGGGGACGAUCGUGGUUCCUAUUAUGGCAAGGUUCCAAUCAUAGUUGGACCUCAGCAUAAGCCGAAGAAAAAGAGCGCGCUGGAAAAAGCAAUGCUUCAUUAUUUGCAGCAACGUCAUGAAGAAGCUGUUGCCGCGGGUCAGGAACUUCCUUUUGGUGGUCGUUAUGAUCCACCCUCAAUCCCGAGUGUUUCACGUCCACUUAGUACUACCGUUUCAGGCGGCACAAAUAAACCUAAGGAUGAGGUUGGGUCAGCGGAACCUUCGUCUUCACCGUCCAAGGAUGCUUAAAGUCCUCCUUGAUAAUAACCAGUGGAUGGCUUGUUGUAUUGUAUCAUGUUGUUUGGGACUUUAAUUUAAAUAUGUGUAUUUGGAUCUUCAUGUUGUUGUAUUGUACCAUGUUGUUUGGAUCUUUAAUCGAUUUUCACGUGUAAUCCAUUGUCAAGUGUAAUCCAUUUUCAUGCGUAAUACGAUGCAGAUGGACCGGCAAUGGAUGUAUAAUGCAGACAGGCGGAGCAAGGCGUUUAUUGAUGGCUUGCAUUAUUUUCUCGAAGUGGCAAAAGCGAACAAGCCAGAGAAUGGGUUCGUAUGUUGUCCAUGCUUCCAAUGCAAUAACAGGAAGGAGUAUUCAAAGGAUUCCUGGGGGACUAUUCACAGCCACUUGUUUAAAUACGGUUUCAUGCCUAACUAUUUGGUUUGGACCAAGCAUGGUGAACUAGGGGUUGUAAUGGAAGAUGGCGAGGAGGAGGAGGAAGAUGACACCAUUCCGGACUGGGUUGCAGGCCAAGCUUUUGCAGGUACUACAAUGGGCGAGGCUGAUGAAGAUGAGUUUGCAGAAAAUGACCCUACUGAUGACCUUGGUCAGGUGAUACGAGAUGCAUACAGAGAUUGCGAAACUUAGAAGGAAGCAGCAAAGUUGCAGCGCAUGAUAGAUGAUCAUCAAAAAUUGUUGUACCCAGGUUGCCAGCAGGGCCAUAAAAAACUAGGUACGACACUAGAAUUUGUGCAAUGGAAGGAAAAAAAUGGUGUGUCCGAUAAGGCAUUUCAGGGGAUGUUGAAUAUUGUCAAGAAGAUUCUCCCCGAGAAUAAUGAAUUACCGUCCACAACAUAUGAAGCUAAACAGAUUAUUUGCCCUCUCGGAUUGGAUGUUCAGAAGAUACACGCAUGCCCUAAUGAUUGUAUCCUCUAUCGUGGUGAUGAAUACGAGAAAUUGGAUGCUUGUCCCGUCUGCGAAGCCCUGCGGUAUAAGAUCAGGCGAGAUGAUCCUGGUGAUGUCGAGGGGCAGUCUCCCAAGAAGAGAGUUCCCGCGAAGGUGAUGUGGUAUUUCCCUAUAAUACCACGCUUGAAGCGCUUGUUCAGGAACAAGGCGAAUGCUAAGUUGAUGCGAUGGCACAAAGAAGACCGUAAGGAAGAUGAGAUGCUGAGACACCCCGCAGAUGGGGCACAGUGGAGAUCAAUUGAUAGAACAUUAUCAGACUUUGAAAGUGAAGCAAGGAACAUAAGGUUUGGUUUAAGCACUGAUGGAUUCAAUCCAUUCGGUGAGUUGAGUAGUGGCCAUAGUACUUGGCCUGUGACCCUUUGUAUGUUCAACCUUCCUCCUUGGCUGUGCAUGAAGCGGAAGUUCAUUAUGAUGCCGGCGCUUAUCCAAGGCCCAAAACAACCCGGCAACGACAUUGACGUGUACCUAAGGCCGUUGGUUGAUGACCUUUUACAGCUCUGGAAGGAAGAAGGUGUACGUGUGUGGGAUGAGGAUAGACAAGAGAUCUUUAAUCUACGAGCACUGUUGUUCGUAACCAUCAACGAUUGGCCUGCAUUGAGUAACCUUUCAGGACAGACAAAUAAGGGAUAUCGGGCAUGCACCCACUGUUUAGACGACACAGACAGCAUGUACUUGAAGCACUGUAAGAAGGUCGUCUAUAUGGGUCAUCGUCGAUUUCUCCCUGCUCACCACCAGCUGAGAAAGAGCGGGAUGCAUUUCAAAGGGGCGCCAGACCAUCGUAAAAACCUGCACACCGUAAUGGAAAGCGUGUGUUCGAGAUGAUGAAGGAUGUAUAUGUAGUCUUCGGAAAGGGACUUGGUAGCCAACCUGUUCCGAACGAUGAUAACGGACAUGCACCCAUGUGGAAGAAAAAGUCAAUAUUUUGGGAGCUACCUUAUUGGGAAAUCCUAGAGGUUCGCAACGCAAUAGACGUGAUGCACCUGACGAAGAAUCUUUGCGUGAACGUGCUAGGCUUCAUGGGUGUUUAUGGAACCUUAAAAGAUACAUUGGAAGCACGACAGGACCUGAAAGCCAUGGGGCAACGAGAUGACCUACAUCCAGAAAAGAGAGAUAAUGGACAGCACUACUUACGUCCUGCCAGUUACACUCUCAGCAAGGAAGAGAAGGAUAGCAUGUUUGAAUGCUUGAAUAGUAUGAAGGUCCCGUCUGGGUACUCCUCGAAUAUAAAGGGAAUAAUAAAUAUGAAACAAAAGAAGUUUACAAAUCUCAAGGCUCAUGACUGCCACAUGUUGAUGCCCAGUUGCUUCCGGUUGCACUGAGGGGUGUUCUACCAGAAAAUGUCCGGUUGCCGCUCGUAAAGCUAUGCGCGUUUCUCAAUGUGAUUUCGCAGAAGGCAAUCGAUCCAUCCAAGCUAUCAAAGCUACAGAACGAUGUGGUGCAAUGUCUUGUCAGUUUUGAGUUGUUAUUUCCACCAUCCUUCUUCAAUAUUAUGACGCACUUACUGGUUCACCUAGUAAAAGAGAUUGGUAUUCUCGGACCUGUAUACCUGCACAAUAUGUGGCCUUUCGAGAGGUUCAUGGCAGUCCUAAAAAACUAUGUUCUUAAUCGUGCCCGUCCAGAAGGAAGCAUCGCCAAGGGAUAUGGAACAGAGGAGGUGAUCGAGUUUUGUGUUGAUUUUAUUGAUUCAAUUGACUCGAUUGGGGUUCCAACUUCACGCCACGAGGGGAGGCUCCGAGGAAUGGGCACCCUUGGAAGGAAAUCAAGUUUGAGCAAUGAUACUGAUUUGUUUGACAAGGCACACUACACUGUUCUACAACAGUCAUCCUUUGUGUCUCCGUAUAUCGAGCAGCACAGGCAGAUGGUAGCUUCCAAAAACCCAACCAAAUCCGAUGCUUGGCUUACCCGUCAUCACAUGGAAACUUUUCCCUCCUGGUUGCGCCAACAACUUAUGGGUAACUCUGAGAUUCACCCACAGCUUGCCUGGUUAGCCAGGGGACCUACUACCACAAUCGUCAAAUUCCAAGGCUAUGAGAUAAAUGGUUACACAUUUUACACGAGAGCCCAGGACCAGAAAAGCACGAACCAGAAUAGUGGUGUCCGCAUAGAUGCCAUGGACAGAAAUAAUAGCAAGGAGUCGUAUUAUGGUUUCAUGCAGGAGAUAUGGGAACUCGAAUACGGACCGCUGUACAUCCCUCUAUUUCUUUGCAAUUGGGUGAAGCUAACUGCCAUCACCAAAGAUCAGUACGGAAUGACAAUAGUAGAUCUGAGCAAGACCGGAUACAGUGAUGACCCAUUCGUACUUUCCAAUGAUGUGCAUCAGGUGUUCUAUGUGAAGGACAUGUGCAGCAAACCCAAGAGGAAUCCAGAAGAGACAUGGGAGCCAAAGUGCCACAUAGUUCUUCCAGGUAAAAGAAAAAUCGUGGGAGUUGAGGAUAAAACAGACCAAUCAGAUGAUUAUGAUCAGUUUGAUGGCAUGCCUCCAUUCGCCGUUGAAGUUGAUCCAAGCAUCCUGCUAUCCAAAGAAGAGGCUCCGUACUUACGCCGCGAUCAUGAUCAAGUAACUUUCGUGAAGAAGAAAUUUUACAACGCUGUAUUGUAAUGCAUUAAAUGUACAUGACCUUUGUGUAUUAAUUGAUACAAUUUGUAAUUUACCCUAUGUAUGAUUUCAUGUGUUAUUAAAUUUGGUAGGUGAAGAUUUUUUAGAUAAACAUGAACAUUGUUAACCACAUACUAACAUGGAUUUUUCUGCGCAUUGAAAUAGUUUAAUUGAAUAAUUUCUUGAUCACAGCAAUGCAGUAAAAUAAAUAUUUUACAGGCUAAAUGAACUGGUAUAGAAUUAAUGAUUAAUUCAUACUUAUUAUCAAUUCACUCGUUAAUUAAAUAUAUUUUUGCAUGUACAAAAUCUGUGAAGGUUUUGUUUUUCAUCCUGAAAUGCAGUGAACAGAUAAAAUAAAAUCCAUUUCCAAAAUACAGGCGGGAGAAGAAAAAUAGGAAAAAAGACCUUUUGUCUCGGGUGCUAACAGCAACUGGGACAAAAGGCCCCCCUUUUAUCCCGGUUGCAAACGACAACCGGGAUAAAAGGGUACGUUUCGUCUCCCGCCCGAACGUACCCUUUUAUCCCGGGUCCCGUCACCAACCGGGAUAAAAGGCCCCCCCCCUUUUAUCCCGGUUGGUGACGGGACCCGGGAUAAAAGGGUACGCUCCCAGCCCCACCUGGCGGGGGCACCCUUUUGUCCCGGGUCCCGUCACCAACCGGGAUAAAAGGGGGGGCCUUUUAUCCCGGUUGGUGACGGGACCCGGGAUAAAAGGGUGCGCUCCCAGCCCCACCUGGCGGGGCACCCUUUUGUCCCGGGUGCCAUUACGAACCGGGAUAAAGGGGGGGUUUAAAAGGCACUGUACUCCCUUCUACCCCCCGCCAGUUACACACUUAGCCAAAUUUUCGCCAAGUCCCGUGCGUUCUCCGCCGUCGCCGCCCGUCCGCCUCCCUCGCCGGCCGCCGCCGUCGUCGUCCCCCAUUGCGCCGUCGAUGUCCCCCAUUGCGUCGUCGUCGUCCCCCGGCCGGCCCGCCUCGAUCCCCUCCUCGUCCGUCGACGCGCCCGGCCCCCAGCCCCCUCGUCGCCUCCGGCCACCGGCUCCACAUCCUCGUCGCCGGCUCCAUCCUCGUCGCCCCUCGUCGCCCCUCGUCGUCGUCUCGUCGCCGUCCCGCCUACGCCGCCGUCGUCGUCGUCGCCUCGGCCGCCGUCGUCCUCGUCGCCUCGGCAGCUGCCGUCCUCGCCGUCCCGGUCGCCGCCGUCCCGCCGCCCGGCCGCCGCCCCGCGCGCGAGAGGUUCGCUGCCGCGCCGGCCGGCAGCGCCGCUGGGAGGGUUUUCUUUUUAGGUUAGAAAAUUAAGUUUUAUUUUUAGAUAGAUUUCUAAUUUUGUUAAGUUAGAUUUUUAGAUUUCUAAUUUUGUUAAGUUAGAUUUUUAGAUUUCUAGUUAGUUUGUUAAGUUAGAUUUCUAGUUAGUUUGUUAAGUUAGAGUUGAUACAGAGAAAAUGAAGUUAGAAAUUCGUAGGAUGCACCGCCGUCCCCUCCGCCGUCCCGCCGCCGUGAUCGCCGCCGUCCCGCCGCCCGUCACAACCUAGUUCCGGUGAACCGUCCGCGCCUCCGCCGUACCGUCACCGCCUCCGCCGUCCCGUUCCCGCCUCCGCCGUACCGCCGCCCUGACCGCCGCCGUCCCGCCUCCGCCGCCCUGAUCGCCGCCGUCACAACCUAGGCACCGCACGUGGAUAUUGUUACAAAUUCGUAGAAAUUCGUCAAAAUUCGUAGAAAUUCGUAGAAAUUCGUCAAAAUUCGUAGAAAUUUGUAGAAAUUUGUAGAAAUUCAUAGAAAUUCGUAGAAAUUUCUAGAAAUUCAUACAAAUUCGUAGAAAUUCAUACAAAUUCGUAGAAAUUCGUAGAAAUUUGUAGAAAUUCGUAGAAAUUUGUAGAAAUUCGUAGAAAUUCGUAGAAAUUCGUAGAAAUUCAUAGAAAUUUGUAGAAAUUCGUCAAAUUCAUAGAAAUUUGUAUAAAUUCGUAGAAAUUCGUAGAAAUUCAUAGAAAUUUGUAGAAAUUCAUCAAAAUUCAUAGAAAUUUGUAUAAAUUUUGUAGGACUUUGUACAAAUUUAUAGUAAGACGAUUUCUAUGACUGUCAUGUAUGAUUCCAUGUAUGUUUCCAUCAAUAGUUGAAAUGGCAGACGAUGAGAUCGCAAGGUAUAUCAUGGAGCAGAUAAUCGCUGGUGAUGGUAGUGGCGACAACGUUCCACUAUCAUACACGGAUGAAGAGGGCACCCAGGCGGACAUGUUCCUCAACAUGUCCGUCGAUAGGAAUGAAGAGCAACAGCCACAGCAACAACUUGCCGUGGCGGAAGGUUCCGGCGAGGUAUAUACAACCAUUCUUGUAUUGUUUCACGCCACCGUUACUACUACGUACUAAUUAACGAAUCUUGAACUGUUAGCCCUCCGGAUCGACACAAGGGCAGAAGACCCGAGGUCGUACAAAGGUGAUGGAAGGGAGGCUUGUCAUCACCGAAGUUACAGAAGAGGGCAGGACGGUUGCUCCCGAGAAAGUAGCAAAGAAGUACGUGAGUCAAAUCGAGGCAAUCGUCCGGGACAACGUGCCUAUCAGCAUCAGAGAAUGGAAGGGCAGAAGCACUAAUCCGUACAUCCUUCCAGAGACAGAAAAGAAUAUGCUGUGGGAAGACGUGAAGAGACAUUUCAUAUUCCCCGAAGGAUAUAGUGAGAAGGAUGUCAAAGCUUGGACGCUUAAGAAGAUGGCUACUCAAUUCCAGACAUUCAAGAAGAUGCUGGAUACCCACUACAUCAAGAAGGGCAAAACUCCAGACUUCAACGCGUGGCCAAAGUUGAGGGACCACUGGGAUGCAUUUGUUGAAUACAAGAGGAGUGAAGAAGAUGUGAAAAAGAUCACGACCAACAUAGCAAAUGCUAGUCAAAAGGGCUACCACCAUCAUUUGGGGCGAGGUGGGUAUGGCUCAGCAAUUCCCAAGUGGAGGAAGAUGGAACAAGAUCUGAUCGAACGGGGAAUCGUACCUGCAACUAUUGAAUGGCCCGAACGAUCAAAAAAUUGGUACUACGCUCAUGGAGGCUCCCUAAGCCAAGAGGAUGGGACGUUGAUUUUCAAUGACACAAUACGUGAGAAGGCCGAACAUCUCAUGAAGAACAUUGAAGAUUCCAAGGCUAGGAGGUUGAAGGUGGACUGAGAAAAUGAUGAGCUCACAUUGGCCCUCGGUAAUCCAGAGCACCCAGGACGUUGCCGAGGGUUCGGGGUGGUUCCGUGGAAGUUCGCUUUCCGAGGCGACAACGCCUCUUACAGAAGCUGGAAGCGAAGAAAGGAACAGAUCGAGGAGAGCUGGCGGCAGAUGCUAGAACAAAGAAUGAUGGAUGAAAUCAAUCGGCGGGUGGCCGACGCAGUUGCGGAGUUGGACCAAUCUGGAGCAAUGCCGAUUCCUAACACCGCCAGCCCUUCUCAACGCCUCGGGAGCAGUUGUGCUUCUACAGGGGUCCCCGAUGCGCAGACGCCCAGGUUACCCGUGGAGGAGCAACGAUUCCCCGUGGAUGCCAUCACGCAAUGGACCUCAUGUGAGUUGCAUGCACCGGUCGGCAACCUAACUAUUAAGGUAUACUUAUACAUAAUAUUUAUGCAAUCUUGUCAAUUGAUCCAGGCCUCGAGAUCGGAGUUCAACUUGUUUACUUCUGCUAUAUGUACAGGUAGCGUACGGGAGUGCAUUAGCAACCCUGGCAGGGCAGAGCAGUCAUGGCAUGGACAUUCCAACAGGCUACGCCAGCGUCUGCGUCGAGCAAAUAGUUGAUCCCCAGUAUGAAGGUCUAGAGCUCGACUUCCCGGGAGGCGACGGGGAAAAGACAUUGGCAAAUGCGCUUCAUGGGAUCAUUCUAUGGAAGAAACGCUACAUCAUUAUUCCCAGCACGGAGCCAUCUCCUCAGACCUCAAGACCGCUCCCUGUAGAUCCCCAGCAGCGACCUUCUCCUCAUACCUCGAGACCGGCAUCUCCUGCUCCAGGACCGUCCCUUCCAUCUGUAUCAAGGUCUCCAUCUCCACCACAUCCUGGUGCUGGGAGCGACGACGACAAUAACAACACCCCUCCCCAAUCACCAUCGCCGGCACCAAGAGCGGCCCCCUUGAAGGAACCUGCAGCACCACUAAAGAAGUCACGAGCACCGCCUCCCAAGCAAAGACAAAGAAAGAAGAAAACAAAGGAGCCUGAAGUGACUCGUAAGGAACACUGGGAGGCAAUGUCUCAUGAAGAACAGUGGGCAGAAAUCCAACGAGAGGCCAGUGAGUGGUUCAAGAAACAAGCCGAAUUAAAAAAGGCAAGGGAGAUGGAGCCACCGCCAGUAAGUCGGCGAGAUUUAAACUUUUUUAUCAGGAUGGAAGAAGGAGCCAAGAAAAGGAUACCACUCUUGUCAAACUAUGAACGAGCUCUAGUAAAGGCUGAUGAAAAGGAUAAAAGGAAAGGAAAAUCAUCCUCCAGCGGUCCAGUCCCCGACCUCAGCCAUUUAUCAAAAAAAGAUGCUCAACGGGUAAAAGCAAUGCCCUUGGAUCAACAAGCAAAUGUAUUGAAGUUUAUGGAAGAAACAGGUCUGGGACUUGAUGAAUGCAUAGGGCAAGUUGAGACGCCAACUGCACCGCCCCCUGAGCCAAAGUGGCCUUAUGAGCUAGGCAAACCUCUAGUAAAGCCUUCAUUGGUACGGAAGCUAUCAACAAAGAUGUACGAAUUCCAUCAAUGGUACAUGAUGGCAUCCGCCGACUCGAGGGAGAUGAUCGGCAUGAAGGUAAAACCGAUAGAUUUUCACGGUGAAGGGGAGAAAGUGCUGUGGCUAGACUUCAAGGAUAUAUACGAAGUGUACCAUCAUGAUGCCCUGGACGUCUCUCUGAUCAGCGCUUGGAUUCUGUAAGUGUCCGUUUAUCUCUACAUGUAAAUUUUGACGUGCGUCACCGUACUAACUUCAUCUUCCAUUUCAUGUAGGAUGCUAAUUCAGACAUGCCGCCGAGAUGCGUACCUACAUAUAGGCUUCAUGGAUCCAUCUGUAGUUAACCAACAACAGAUACAAUUAGCGCCGGAAAAAACCUUUGAGGAAAUAUACAAUUUCCUACACAAACAAACAUUCAAGGAUUUCAUACUACUUCCAUACAACUUCAAGUAAGUGUGUGUAUACCGUCUACUUUCGAUGUCUUUUUCCUUAUCUCUACAUGUUAGUUAGCUCUAAUAUGCAUGAACAUUUUACGCACGCAGCUUCUACUGGAUCCUUAUUAUAAUUGAGCCUGAAAGAAGCCACGUCACUGUCUUUGAUUUGUUAAGGAAAGAUCUGGUGGACUACCAAGAAUUGCAAGACAUGCUAGGCUUGUAAUAAUUCUGGACCUUUAUCUCUAUGCAAAAAUUUAUUUCCUAAAUUUUAUCCCUGUUACACUAUGUCAUUCAUUAUUCUAAUCCGCAGCGCAUGGAAACAAUUCAUAAGGACACACAAAGGUCCAUUCAAAGAAAAUCUUACAUGGAACAUAGACUUCCCGGUACGUAUGCAGUCUGCACAUUUAUUACAUUGUAUAACACGAAUAUUUCAUAACUUAUUUUUUUCCGCACUGAAGUGCUUAAGACAGGAACCCGGGAAUAAUCUAUGUGGCUACUACAUCUGUUAGCACAUGCACAAUUUUUUGGGACCCAAGCGACCGAAGAUGACGCCGCACAACUUUAAAGUACGUAAAAUAAAUAUAUUACUAGUUAAUUAUUUUCUAGCUCCUUAUAUGUAUUUGUUCAUGUAACAUUCACAAAUUUCAAAAUUAUAGAUGUUAAAUAUUCAACAAGGACUCUUGAAGGAAGAAAGAGUAGCGGCAAUAUGUGAAGGUCUCAUUGGAUUCAUAAUGGACGAGGUGGUAAAUCCAAAAGGAGAAUUUUAUUACGAUGGACGACAAUUAGACACUCCGAUCAGCAACACCACGACGGGAAGAUUGUAGGAAGAUACUUUGAUUUAUUUGUAUAUAUAAUACGCGCUAAUUAUGAUCGAUUUGUACUAAGCUAGUUGAAUUGUGUAUAUGAAUUGUGUAUCAGGAUUGUGUAUAUAUAUAGUAAUUGUAUAAUUACAAAUCCCAUUCGUUUAAAUACUAGUUGAUUUCGUUCUAAAAAAAUCUCAACUACAAGGUUAACAAAUUAAAAGGGCCGCGGUACUACGUAUACGUGAUGCAUGCAUGAAAAAUUCAGGCAUCACGGCAGUGCCAUGCAAGCGCCAUUUAGUCCCGGUUGGAAUCGAGCCGGGACUAAAGGGGACCCCUUUAGUCCUGGUUGGGAAAUCCAACCGGGACUAAAGGGACCCCUUUAGUCCCGGUUGGUGUCACUAACCGAGACUAAAGGGCCUGCCUGGCGUGACAGGCCCUUUAGUCCCGGUUGGUGACACCAACCGGGACUAAAGGGGGACCUUUACUCCCGGUUAAAAGACCCGGGACUAAAGACCCCCCCUCCUUUUGUCCCGGUUGGUUUAUCCCGGAUGGAUUUUCGAGAGAUAUGCACCCUACCAACCGGGACUAAAGGCCAAUUCUCUACCAGUGCAGGUAGAUGGAAACAGCGCCCCCUCUCAAUCUACUCAGAUGGAGAAGGCAAUGGAAGCAGAUCUCGGGGAGACGGGGAGGUUAAUGUACAGGUGGGAAGUUGAGCGACACGAUUUAAUCGCUAAUCUUGGGAUGCGCUGGCCAUUAGGUGGGGAAUAACUGCAAUCAUCUUGGCGGCAUGUGAAUUUUUAGCUAAAUUCAUUGUGGCAGGUGAAUUUUUUCAUUGUGGCAGGUGGCAAAUUGAAUGUACCAAGUUAAUGAUUUUAUUUGUAUGCAUGAGAAUAUUUUUUUUAAAUAUAGUUUGACAUACAUCUAAAAAAAUUACUAAUUAAUAAGUUAUUGAUAUUCAUGACUACCCAUAUCUUAUAACAAUGAUUUUAUUUUGAAGCAUUGGAAAUCUUUAAUAUUAUCAUAUUCAUACUCAACGAAAGAAGAGGACCAGAAUGAUAUAUUGAUAGAGCAAGUGGCGUGCUAUGGUUGGACUUGGUAUAAUAAUGGCUUUCAGAGUGGCACUCAUUCGGAAGUAACGACAAAAAGAUACGCUAAUAGACCAAGUGAUGUGUUACAGUUUAGGCUCGAUGUUAAUAAUAAUCUGAAAAAGAUGACAGGAAAGAUAUAUGAUGGACGGUGCAACUUGGAUGAUUGUCUUUGAUACAAGUGACGUGGAUGUACCUGUCCGGUAAAUAAGGGAGCUAGCGGCGUGAGGGGUGGGGUCUCGAUGCCAUCGCCAUAGGCCACCGCUUCGACGAGUGAGCAAGCAUCUGCUAUCGACAAGCUGCUCCGUCAGUCGUGCACGGGCAUCCGCUACGGAGUUGCUGCUUCGUUGCGCCACUCUUGCUGUUCUUGCCAACUGAACCGCCAUCGUCCUCGUUGCUGAUGCGGUGAGCUCGCGAGGUCAAUCCCUCCCUGCCACCUGGAUCGUCUUGGAAGCGGAGCUCGCAUGAGGAGGAGGCAGGGCCUGAGACGCAGCCACACGAUAUGGUAGACGCGAAGCAGGCUGGAGCUUGGCUGCCACCGCGAUGAUCCGUUCCUCGACCUCUGACGCAUAUAGGAGUCGGGUGUCGGAGCAGGGAGAUGGGAGAUGGGAGGUCGAUUUCAACAAAUACGGAGGAGGAACGUUCGACACUGUGGAAAGGUCUGCUGUAAUACGCCCAAUACGGCUUGGUAUUGGAAGGGUUUUUCAAAUUCCAAUUCCAUGAACAUCCAAACUAAGAUAUUGAGUGUACCCAAUACCAAUUCCAUUUCCCAAGCUUCAAUAUCUACAUCCAAAUGGGGUGUUAUACUUUUAUAUCACCUAUAAGAUUUCUAAUGAUUGCAGGAUGAAGCCAUAUAUUGGAAUCGUUAUUGCAAACUGCAGAAAAUUCAACAUUAGGUGUUUCUCGGAAUUAAAAGAAUAGCAAGUUUAAAAGGGUAGAAAGAUAAAAACAUAGAGCUCCAAAUAUGGAGUCGAUCUGUUACAUCCAUGUUCGAAACCAUGACGCUAGUGAUGCCUAUUAUGACAGGCUAUAAGAAAUAUAUAUAUAGAUAGAUAUGUUUCUCGCUAGCUACAGAAUAGUCAAUUCUAUGGUCAGAUCAUCCAACCCAGCGGAUCCACCCAUGCUUCGGAGCUUCAGUUCAACCCAAGGGUGAAUGAUAAUGCACGCUCUGUGCUUGCAUAAAUACCCCAGCAAAGCUGAGGACCAGCACGGGCAGAGCAUAGUUCAUUCGUUUCUCUGUGCAGGUUUGCAGCGGGAGCAAGAAAAGAGUUCAAACCUGAACUACAGAUGAGGUUGAAUGCUGCGUCAUGCAGGUCUUUGCUUGUACGCUCAAGAAUCCCAUUUUUGACAGCCCUCGAUGAAAUUCUUUUUUCUGUCAAAUCUUUUUUCUGAUAUAGUCAAGGAGCAAGACUUAUCUACUGGUGCCAGUUAGCUAGUGAUGGAUUUGCUUUGAGUACAAAGUUAUUCCUACAGAUUUCAAAGUAUUAAGAAAGCUCUGUAAAUUUCUCAUUAUUUACUGUUGAUGUACAUGUACUACUCAAUUUGGCAAGGAAAGAUAUAUCAUAUAUUAUUUGGCUUUGAACUGUGUAUAAGAGACUAAAUUGUAAAAGUAAUCUUUUCCUGUAAUAUGGACUCUGAUUCUGAACGAAAGAACUUAAAGAAAGUGGUAAAUUGAUUACAAUAGUGUCUGGUAACUACCAUUGUCAUAAACUGAUGACGCUACACUUGUAAAGACCUCUGGUAAAUUCAUGACACUAUUUUUGUAAAUACCUUUUUGGUAAGUUGAUGACGAUAUUCCAGUAGGUACUUUGUGGUAAAUUGAUGAUGCUAUUCUGGUAAGUACCUUGUGGUAAAUUGAUGACACCAUUUUGAAAAUAUUAUCAUCUGGUGCCAUUCGACUUACACAGUAAAUGGUUUCCUGGAAUAGCUUGACAAAAAGUUGUGGUACCUCCUGAUCCUGAUAUAAAGUAAAUUUUCAGACAUUUCUCAUGCAGUAAGUCCUAUUAUGCAUCAUUGUUAUACAUGCUUCAUUUUUUCGAUUUUCACCAGGAUUGACUAGUUGUUGCUGCCUCGCAUUCCCAGAAACAUUUGUGUCUUGAUAUAGUUCAGUCCUGAUUAUCUUAAACUAAUAAUGCAGGAAAAUGUGCCUCACUAUGUCGUAGCGGCUCUGAACCUUUACCACCCACUGAACAGAAUCUAGAAGCUCCCUGCUGGACAUGAGUCGGCUAGAUCUUGAUCUUUGCUGAUGGUUGUAGUCAAAGUAAAUACUGACAGUAUCUUAGUUGCCAUCAUUUGUGUUUGUUUUACUCCCAGGGAUAAAAGGAUGAGUACCCUGUGCAACAAAACAGUGUGUACCCAACACUUUUUCUGAAAGCAACGUUUUUUUGUUUUCAGACACACCAAUUCAAUUAUGGUGACUUUUGUAUCGCUGUCAUUAUUUGUGCCUUGGCACUUGUGGUAAAUCACCUGCCACAGUUUUGUCACUAGACUUUUUAAUUAUGGUAAAUACCCAUUGCCCUUAUGCCUUGUGUGGUAAAUCACUUCAUAACUAUCGUCAAUAGACAGUUGAAUUAUGUCAAAUUGUACCAUUUUGCAUCACUAAAUCAUCUCUUCAAACCUCAUUUUGCUCACUCGUGGUAAAUCACCUGCCACAUUAUUGUUACUAGACGUUUAUUAUAGUAAAUCACUAUUAUUGUAAAUUGAUUCCUCAAUGCUAUAGCUUGUGUAAAUUGUACCUCUCGUUGUAGUAAGUAUGCAUGAAACAUCAUGUGCUAUUGCUUGCAUUCUCGUAAAUAAUCCUCUAUCUAUUUUUAAUUGUGUCCAAAAUAUACUUGAAAACAACACAACUAGCACAUGCCGUUUAGUUUCUUGUAAGUGAAUUACCUUGUUUACUACUACUCGCUGAGCAAAACAGACUAGUUUUGUAAUAGCCGGGAAUCACUGAAAGCGUGCAAGCGCUGGGCCUCCAUCUCCGGUAAAUAUGCUGCUGAAAUCGGAAGGACUGAUCCGACGCUCGGCUAGUUAAUUGCCAUAAUAACACUCGGCUCCGCUCGGUCACCUCGCUCGCUUGUGGGCUCACGUCCAGACCCGAUCUAUCAUAAUUAGUUUAUGAUAAUCUCGUCAUUGCAGUAACAGGUUCCUCGCAAUAUGAGAAUGUCUUGUCGCAUAUAUUGUACAUCUAUAAGUUAUAGAAAAAAUUCCAACUUUCAAACUUUGGAUCCAAAUAAUAAAAUAAAGAAAAGCUACUGACGUGUGCCUGCUGCAGCAGACGUGCUCCGCCCACCUGCCCGUGGCGGCGUGCUAAUGACACUAAUGACGCUAAUCAUUGUUAUGUUUGGCUCGUAAUGACGCUGCGUUCGGCUUGUAACUGCCGGCUUGCCUUGUCGGACCACCGGCGGGGACCUCGCCGCUCGGCUUGCGACAACCAGGAGUGGACGAGUCGGGAGGAAAAAAGGGAAUAGUGGCAGAUCGGACCAGUGCUGGCUGUCGGAUGGGGUGGCCACAGAAUAACCUAUGCUAGGAUCAGCUACAGAAUUUACUCUUCCUAGGCAAAGCUACUCACGUCGUUUCACAUAGCAACAUGGGUUUUUCUAGUAGUGAUCCCAGAACUCAAUUCAGUCACAAGAAGGCAAAAUUAACAAGAAGGAAAUUGUACAGCUACCAAGAACUACGAAAAGAAGCUACAAGUAACUUGUACCAAAAUUUUCACUUAGUAAGCAUAUGGUCUACUACCAAUCACUUCCUGCAACAUAAGACCAUGGAUCAGUAAGUGUUUUUGUUAAACAAACUUUCCUCUGAUUGUUAAAUAAACAAUGAUAUAUACUUGUAGGUGAUAGUAAAACUUACCAUAUAGAUGAGGCACAGGGAUGCUUAUAUAGUGUUGGUAAUGGUUGGCAGGCUGGGAUGCCGAUCUGGUUGUUGUUCAACUUGGACAAAAUAUAAAGGGUACAUAGAACAAGAACAUAUCAGAAAAUAUCAGAGAACCAAAAAGGAAAAAACAGAGCAACAAAAAGAAGAAAUAUGUCAUAUGCCUAUAAAUUGAACUAUGAUUUUAAUUAUACCAAAGAACUGAGCCUGAUGAUUGAGUGAACCAUGUAGUGCCAUCCCGCCCGGAAUUACAGGGCACAAUACGAAAUAAAAUCACCCAUGACCUCAUACCAUUCCAGUGAAUUUUUGUUGGCAAUGACUACAUGGUUCAAGUAGUCAUUAGGCUAGUAACAAGCACAUUUUUCUGAAACUCUAUGAAUCCAAUCAACAGCUAAGUAUGUAUCCUAUCACCAACUACAAAUCACAAAAACUGUAUAUAAGAUCAUUGCUUCUAGUUGAAUCCACUGGCCUCUCAUUAGUUCUAUGGUAACCAUGACAGAAAACAAAAAUUUAGAAACCAAAGUAUGUUCAGGCAUCAAAUAGAUCACUAUUAUUUUGGGCAAUCACAACUAGCAUGCUAGGAUCCUUGUGAGCAUCUUUCAUGAGACCCCCUUCAAAUCCCUCAUGAAUUUGACUUGGAUUUGAAGUUUUUCCAAAAAUUCAUGUUCUUGGUAGGGUCUCUGUUUUCUCCAAAAUCCAUGAUGAAUAUUUGAGCAUAAAAUCCAUGAUGAAUAUUUGAGCAUUUUGAGAUCCACCGCCAACCCUCCAUUCAUUCCCCACCGUCGCGCGUGCUACCUUUUCCUCUGAAAUCAGCUGCCCCGCCACCAACCCCUUCUUCCAUUCCUCCAAAUUGCCGCCGCGCGGGCUCCCCUCCCCUCCGAAAUCAGCUGCCGUGCGGGCUCCCUCCCCUCCAAAAUCAGCUGCCCUGUCCCUCCCUGACCUACAAAUCUCCCGCAACCCCCAAAUCCUGCGCCUCCCUCCCCUCGCACGCAUCCUCGCCCCUCCCCACCCGCAGACCCUCGCACCGCCCCGGCAUUGAUGAGUACCUGCGCCAUCCCAGCAUCAACGAGCUCCUGUGCCGCCCCGGCUCCGUCCGCAACCAAGGGGCUCGCCACUUGGAGUCCGACCCCGGCGCCGCUUCUAUGCUGACCCAGAGCUGGAUGCCGGUGCCUCCCUGAUUCGACCCCGAGCAGGAUGCCUCCACCGCCUCCCCAACCCAACUGCCAAUCCACACCAUCGCCACUUACCCUACCCGACCCACCCAAGCGCCACCACCUGGAGACCAACCCACACACCACAACCUGCUCCUUCUAUCGCUCGGCACAUCUACCAUCACUUUCAGAUUUACUCCUGCGCACGUUUGUGUGCUUUGAUUUGGUCAGGUAGUCAUAGAUUUUGAGCCUUUCGGUGAUGUUGAUGCUUAGUAAAUCUGUUAAGUAAGAGAAUCUACACAUGAUAUGAAAUAUUGCUAAGUUAUGAAAAGAAGUGAAGGUACCAAUUUUCUUACUGGUUGCUUUAUUUAUCUGUAAUCUAUGUCUUCUAUGUCACUUAGUGUUGCCUGCAGAUCAUAUCAGUCUUACUGUUUAUUCUUUUUUUCUUCAUUUAGGCCAGCCUGUGAGAUAUGAGGUGUAGGGUACGACCACACUCACCUUCAUUGCAAAGAAGUACCCUCCUCCAUGCUACUGCCAAGCGUUUCUACAUCUCAUCUUAGAGGUAUGUUACAACCUGAAAUAUCUAGAGAAAAUUGAUAUCUUCACUGCUAUGCUCAUAUGGAAGUCAGAAGUGUGCUCGUUUGCAGUGGUUGUUACUAAGGAUAGCUAUAUAUUUGCAUCAAGUGUUAUCUACUACAAAUUAAAAAUUUAUAAAAUGAGUAUUCUAAUUAAUCUUUCAUAAUUUCUAUCUUGGCCAAUGUCUUAUUGAUGCAAUGAAUCUACAUGAAAUUUCAGUGAAUGAGUAACUUGUGGGAUUGAUGAGGUAAUUAAAAAUGAAUAUUCUAAUUAACUUUCAGAAUCUCUAUACUUAAUGUUCUUGGCCAAUCUCUGAGGUAUGAAAGGAAAUGCGUGUGACCUUUUCUUUUAUGGAAUCUGUCACAUCGUGUGCCACUAAUACGCUUUUCUAUAAGGUGUGCUGUUUAAAAAAUGCACGUGCUGAGUAAAUGAGUAACCUGUUGGUCCUUAACCAUCCCUUUUCAGAUAAAAACUGCUGAUGUAGAAUUUUCUUCCUUGCAUUAUUUUAAUCAACAGUUAUGCAAAUGUUGUGAGAAUAGGAGUGGCGGCGGCAAGAAAAAUGGAGGGCAGCAGGAGCAAGAAUAGGAGUAAGUUAUGCAAAUGUUUUGCCACUGAGAUUGAAAAAGAAGAGGUACUGAAAAUUACAAAUGUCGGGUUAUCAAGGGUCCAAUGAAGGCAGGGGCGCACACCCUAGGCAGAUGCGCGGAUGGGACUAUGGUAAGUUCAUGCGUCCAUGUAGCAGGUAGAACAGUAGGGAUUGACCAUUGGAUUCAGUUCAAUGCUGAAAACAGAACUGUGCUCGUUCAAAGCUGAAAAGUUUAUUUUUAAUUAAAACAGGUCAAACUUAGGUGCUACAAAUUAUCACACUUAAACAUAAAACACAUCCUCCACUCCUUCCACGGUAGAAUUCACAGGUGCAAUGUAUCCAUCAUCAAUGUAGUCGUCGGUAUCAUCUUCUUCUUCUUCAUCUACUAAGCCAAUAGUUCUUGGUUCAUGUAUGGAUGCAGCAAGUGCUUUUUGAAUAACAUAAGCGGCACCAGUGACACCUUCAAUGCCUGACCUAGUCUAAUUUGUCAACUCUUCAUGUCUGCCCGAAUCGAUCAUAUCUCCCACUCCGACGUCAAGUGAGUCAACAUCAAUUUCUUCCUCGUUAUAUGUACUUACUUAUUUGGUGCCUCAUCGCAAUUUGUUAAUAUCCAGUGCCUAAUCCGCUGCAUAUCUAGCCUAGAAAUUGAGUCAAUUCAAAAUCCUUUCUUAAUAUAAUCAAUGUUGCUAAAUAUGCUUAAACCAGCCGGUGGUUCAUUUACUACCGCUUUCAUGACGCUCUGGACGAUUAACCUUGGUGUCGACGUCAUCCAAAAAGCGAGAGCAAAAAGUCACACACUCCUCUAGUAUAUAUCCCUCUGCUAUUGAACCUUCAGGAUAGCCUUUGUUCCGCACAUAGCCUUUCGAUGUACGUAGAAACCUCUCUAUUGGAUACAUCCAUCUAUAGCAUACAGGUCCUCCUAGUUUAGCCUCUUUAGCAAGAUGAACCGGCAAAUGCAUCAUGAUAUCAAAAAAAAGCUGGUGGGAAGAUCAUCUCAAGAUGACAAAGAGUCUCUCUAAUCGAAAUGCUCAAUUUUUCUAACUCUUUGGUGCUCAACUCCUUUGAACAUAUUCCACUGAAGAACCUACUAAGCUCAAUCAAUGGUUUAACAACCUCUUCUGGAAGUAUGUUACAAACCACAAUGGGUAAUAGUUUCUCAAAUAUAAUAGGCAGUCAUGAGUCUUGAGUCCAGAAAGGUUACACCUUGCCACAUCCACACAUCUCUUGAUAUUAGAUGCGUAACCAUCAAGCAUUUUGAUACUUUGCAGAAAUUUGCAUAAAUAUACCUUGUCAUCUUGAUCCAAACUGUACAAUGCUGGAGGCAAAGUGUAUUUGUCAUUCUUCACCAAAGGAUGUUGAUCCUUCCUCAUGCCCAAAUGUUCCUUGUCAAGACGAGCCUUCUCGCUAUCCUUGGGUUUACCUGCCAUGUCAAGCAAAGUUCCCAAAAUGCUCUCACAGAUAUUUUUUUCAAUGUGCAUCACAUCCAAAGUAUGCCUUACAAGCAACUUUUCCCAGUAAGGCAGUUCAAAAAAACUACUCUUCUUCCUCCAAGUGUGCCAUCUAUUAUCCAUUUCACGCUGCUUCCUCUUUCUUGUCGUGUUCCCAAAUGUCACUUGCUCAAAGCUUUCAUACUGUUGCAGCACCCCUUCCCCAUGUAGUGGCACUGGAGGCUCCCUAGUUUCCACCUAGUUGUUAAAGCUAAUCUUGUUGCGGUGCCACCUGUGAUCCAUUUGCAAAAAGCAGUGAUGACCCAUGUAGCAAUGCUUGGAACCAAGUUUCAACCAUAAAUAGUUAGUAUCCUUGUGGCAGUAUGGACAUGCAAACUUGCCUUUUGUGUUGGGAUAUGAGGUAGGCUACGCUAGCGCAAAUCAAAAUUUCUACCGCGUAUAACCAGGAAGAACUGCCGUAUAAGGAUCACGGGAUUACCACUCGACGCACUACUGGUGCGGAAGAUGUAGAUAUGCGUCGGUGCAGUGAAGACGAUCACGUAGUCGUACGUAGUCGAACAACGUAGUCGUACGUAGUCGAUCACGUCCAGCGGCUCCUCAGCAGCUCGUCCACGUGCACAGCAAGAUCGCCUCCGGUGCCGCGGCUCGUCGUCGGCUCGUCGUGGCUCGUCGGCGGCUCGUCGAUGGCUCGUCCAAGUGUUGCAGGCGCAACACCUCCAAGGUAUCCACACGUGCAGGGAGGAAGCGUCGCAAGCCGGAUUGCUAGAUCCGCGAGUUGCAACAGGCGAGGGCGUGGGAGGCGCGGCAAGUGUGUUCAGCCAAAAGGUGUGUGACCCUAGGGCGCCCCCACCCCUCUAUUUAUAGGGGUUCCUGAUGGGCCUCUGGAUCCGAGGCCCAUUAGUACUCCUAAACCUAAUCCAACUCGGAUCAGAUCCGAAUUGGGCUUCCAGCCCCUUAAGUGUGUGACCCUAUGGGUUCGGAUACGUAUAGACAUGGCCCGAGUACUCCUACUCGGCCCAAUAGUCGGUAGCGGCCUCUAGCAAGACGUGCCAACUCCUAUACGCAUACGAAGAUCAUAUCAGACGAACCAUCACAACAUAAUAUACAUGCUAUUCCCUUUGCCUCACGAUAUUUGGUCUAGCUUCAAGCCGACCGCUCUUUCUCGAUCCUGUGAUUCGGAAUCCCUUUGUAGGUUAACUCUUAACCGUACGUAGCAUGGCCAUGCAUUUUCGGAUCCGAUCACUCGAGGGGCCUAGAGAUAUCACUCUCAAUCAGAGAGGGGCAAAUCCCAUCUUGAUUGACCAUGUCUCAUAGCAUGCUUCUUGACAAACCCGAAAGCUACCUUUAUAACUACCCUGUUACGGCGUAGCGUUUGAUAGCCCCUAAGUAGGUCGAUCCACAUCUAGAAUACAUGCGACAAUCUCAGGUCUAAGGACAAAGCGUAUAUGUUGUUUAAAGAGAGAACUACUUCUCGUGUUGGGUCAGUCCUAACACAUGUCUCCACAUGUGUCCACAUUAUUAGUUCAACAUCUCCAUGUCCAUGACUUGUGAAACAUAGUCAUCAACUAAUACAUGUGCUAGUCUAAUAUUCAUGUGUGUCCUCACAUGAACUCCGACUAGGGACAACUUUAGAAUAACCAUACAAGUAAAGAGUUUCACAUACAAUUCACAUAAUUGCAAAUCAAUUCAAGUAGCCUUUAAUGGAUAUUCAAUGAACACAAUAUACAAAUCAUGGAUACAAAUGGAAUAUCAUCAUCUCUAUGAUUGCCUCUAGGGCAUACCUCCAACAGUUUGUACUCCAACUGGAUAGCAUGUCGUAUGCUGGGUCAUUAAUUGUCCAAAGUAGAAUAACACGUAGAGUGAAAUUCUUCUUUACCUUUGCAUCCCAUGUCUCAACACCGUUGAGCCAAAGAUAUUUUAGCUCAUCGAUGAGGGGCUGCAAAUACACGUCAAUGUUAUUCCUAGACGAUUUUGACCCCGGUAUCAAUAUUGACAUCAUCAAGAAUGGUUGUUUCAAACACAACCAAGGAGGCAAAUUGUAAGGGAUUAGGAUCACAGGCCAUGUAGUGUAUGUCAUGUUCAACAUCCCAAAUGGAUUGAAACCAUCAGAUGCAGGACCCAUCCUUACAUUACGAGGAUCCAAAGCAAAUUCCUUAUAAUUUUCAUCCACUUGCUUCCAUGCCAUAGAGUUAGCAGGGUGCCACAUUUUUCCAUCUUUGACAAGUCCCUCCUUAUGCCAACACAUAUAUUCAGAUGUGGUCGCUCUCAUGUAUAGCCUUUGCAUACGAGGGGUCACUGGAAAAUACCUUAGGAUUUUUUGUGGAACAAGCUUCUUUGGUGUAGCAUCACCACUCGCUGCCUCCUUCUCACUUGAACCAGCAGCUUUCCAUCUAGACUCUCCACAUGUUAGACAUUUAUCCAAGUCAGCAUAUUGCUUUCUAAAUAAAAUACAAUCAUUGAUACAUGCAUGUAUCUUUUUGUAGUCCAGGCCAAGAUCAUGAACUACCCUUUACACUUUAUCCAAAGUAUCUAGAACACAACGACUGUCGAGCAUGCUCCCCAGGCCCACGAGUAGACCUUGGGCAGCCCAUAAGGGACGUACUCGGGCAUGAUCAAAACAAGGGGAUAGGCUUAUCCCGAUCGGACUAGUUAAGUAUGUAUAUGGAAACUACACAGACCAUACCAAGUAGAACUCUGUAAAUGUACUCGACUAGGACUCAGACUUGUAACCCUGCCCUCCCGUGUAUAUAAGGGUGGGCAGGGACCCCCUCAAAGAACAACUCCAAGGUAUCUGAGAUCAAUACAAACAAACAUACAAGACGUAGGGUAUUACGCGAUCUAGCGGCCCGAACCUGUCUAAAUCGCGUUCCUUGCGUCACCAUCGACUCCUUGAUUCUCGAUGGCCCUUACUGCACAAAAUACCACCUAGGGUACCCCUUAGGUGGGUUGCUGGUCUAAAACACUGACAGCUUGCGCGCCAGGUAGGGGAGCUCAUUGAGUUUCUCAGCGUGAGCUCGAUGGUGGCCGUUGUUUUUAAGCCUGUCUUCACCAUUGAAGCGGGCGCAACCUUUGUUUUUGGAUCCUGGCUCUGCAUCACCGACGAUGCUGGUUCGUUUCGGCGCCAAGUCAUCAAUGCCCAGGAGAAGAAAUCGGAGGAUUCGGUCAGGAAAAGCCAAAACUUCAAAGUCAACAAUCCCGAGUUAGACCACGCGUCGGACCCGACCUCAGUUCGGACUAGUCGGUCCCAGUCACUUCCCAAGUCGACUUCGACUACAAAACGGUUUCCACACGGACUCCGCAAUGCAGCCAAAGUCUACCAAAGUUUCCUCACUCGAACUCUACUCGAACACAGGAACAAUGAAGACGACGACUCCGACUCGGUCUACCCCCAGAGAUCGGACUAACAGGACCAGCCAAGGGACUUGUAAUAACUUCGACAUCGCAAGGCAGAUUCAUUCACUGGCCAGGUAUGAGACCAUCCCUUGCUCGCGACUACGAGUCGCGCCUUGUCGCUCACAUAGACAACCUCCCAUUCCAAGAAAGCGUCCCACUCACUUCAAGCCACGAGGAAAGUUCAACUAAAAUUGCAACAUCAAGAUCUGGCAGCUACUACCCAGACAGAGAAGUCUUUGUUAUUACUCAAAAUAACAACCCGGGUACUAGCCAAAAUAGAACCCCCAGGCGAUUAGCACAACUUGACAAUGUUUCAAAAGACGAGUCAACAGCUAACACCCCACAAGAUGAAACUUUCGAUCAAAGGAACCAAAGAAGGAUGCGCAAUACUACUCGGGCUGAGCGAUGACAGACACUAGCUACAAACAUUCCCAUCACGAACCUCGAAAGAACAUUUGACGCAGUACAGGCUCAAGAACAUACCACUCUACUCGCAGCAAUUGCCUCUAUCAACCUCAUAUCAACACUCAUACCUCGAGACAAAGACAACGAAGUCACAGCUCAACUCAUGCAACGCGGUAACGGACUAAUCGCGCAACUCGCAGAGCAAGCUUACAAGCUACUCGAUAAAGAAUCGCCGAUCCUGUCUGUUCCCUACAUCGCAGCUCAUCAAGAAGGCAGUAGAGGUGUUGUAGCUAACGACAACCCCAAUGAAGUGCAAAGGAAUGACAACGAAGUUGUAAACCAACCAAGGCAACACAACCAAGGUCCGAGUAAACACAACGCCCGAAUACACCAGAAGGAUGUUGGAGAAGUCAGCUGCACUAACUUGUUGGAGGUAUGCCCUAGAGGCAAUCAUAGAGAUGAUGAUAUUCCAUUUGUAUCCAUAAUUUGUAUAUUGUGUUCAUUGAAUAUCCAUUAAAGGCUACUUGAAUUGAUUUGCAAUUAUGUGAAUUGUAUGUGAAACUCUUUAAUUGUAUAAUUAUUCUAAAGUUGUCCCUAGUCGGAGUUCAUGUGAGGACACACAUGAAUAUUAGAAUAGCACAUGUAUUAGUUGAUGACUAUGUUUCACAAGUCAUGGACAUGGAGAUGUUGAACUAAUAAUGUGGACACAUGUGGAGACAUGUGCUAGGACUUACCCAACACGAGAAGUAGUUUUCUCUUUAAACAACAUAUACGCUUUGUCCUAAGACCUGAGAUUGUCGCAUGUAUUCAAGAUGUGGAUCGACCUACUUAGGGGCUAUCAAACGCUAUGCCGUAACAGGGUAGUCAUAAAGGUAGCUUUCGGGUUUGUCAAGAAGCAUGCUAUGAGACAUGGUCAAUCAAGAUGGGAUUUGCCCCUCUCUGAUUGAGAGUGAUAUCUCUGGGCCCCUCGAGUGAUCGGAUCUGAAAAUGCAUAGCCAUGCUAAGUACGGUUAAGAGUUAACCUACAAAGGGAUUCCGAAUCACAGGAUCGAGAAAGAGCGGUCGGCUUAAAGCUAGACCAAAUAUCGUGCGGCAAAGGGAAUAACAUGUAUAUUAUAUUAUGAUGGUUCGUCUGAUAUGAUCUUCGUGUGCGUAUAGGAGUUGGCACGUCUUGCUACAGGCCGCUACCGACUAUUGCGCCGAGUAGGAGUACUCGGGCCAUGUCUAUACGUAUCCGAACCCAUAGGGUCACACACUUAAGGGGCUGGAAGCCCAAUUCGGAUCUGAUCCGAGUUGGAUUAGGUUUAGAAGUACUAAUGAGCCUCGGACCCAGAGGCCCGUCAGGAACCUCUAUAAAUAGAGGGGUGGGGGCACCCUAGGGUUUACACCUUUUGGCGAAACACAUCUGCCGCGCCUCCCACGCCCUCGGCUGUUGCAACUCGCGGAUCUAGCAGUCCGACUUGCGAUGCUUCCUCCCUACACGUGUGGAUACCUUGGAGGUGUUGCGCCUGCAGCACUUGGACGAGUCGCCGACGAGCCACGAUGAGCCGCCGAUGAGCGACGACGAGCCGCGGCACGAGGGCGAUCUUGCUGCACGUGGACGAGCUGCUGAGGAGCUGCUGGACGUUGACGUGAUCGACUACAUAUGACUACGUUGAUCGACUACGUACGACUACGUUGAUCGUCUUCACUGCAUCGACGCAAAUCUACAUCUUCCGCACCAGUUGUGCGUCGAGUGGUAAUCCCGUGAUCCUUAUACGGCAGUUCUUCCUGGUUUUACGUGGUAGAAAUUUUGAUCUGCGCUAGUGUAGCCUACCUCGUAUCCCAACAUAACUCUAUAAAAAGUCCUCGCCCUACUCGAAAACAUCAUGAAGUAUCAAAUUUCAGUGAUCUACGAGAAAUUAUCAACAGUCAGCGUGAGUGAGAAGUCGACAACUACAACCACUUUCCUGCUUUCACAAAUUGGGUAAUGAGGACACGACUACCCGAGAAGUUCAAACCAACAGGAAUAACCAAGUAUGACGGCAAGCAAGACCCAAUUCAAUGGCUACGAUGCUACUCGCUGGCAGUCCAAGCAGCUGGGGCCAAUAACGACACCAAAGUUAUCCACUUUCCCAUAUGCAUAGAACCAGCACUGCUGACAUGACCUUCAGGGAGCAUAAGCGAGAAUAACUAAAGUAUAGCCUCUAGUGCACUGUUACUAAGACCAAACAUGCACUUAAUCUGAAAUAGCCUGACAAUGAAUGAGACCUUAAUAGCCUCCUUGCAACCCACAUAUAGUUCCUUCUACGCCUUUGUUAAUAAUUUAAAGAAUUUCUUAUCGCUUUCAUUUGGCUCUUCAGUUCCACUACCUAUGAUGUCUCCAUGUAUUGCUCCACUGAUUAGUGACGAAACCAAAUCCUUCAUAGAAGGACCAUCACCUGAUUCACCAUCAUUGCCAACUCCUUCAAUGAUGCUCUCAUAUGAAUCAUUUUCUUCUCCUUCCCCUUGGAUAAAACUUUCAGAAAAUCCUCUAAAAACCAAAUGACUUCUAACUUUGUUAACUGUUCUGUAUGACAUGGAACGGCAUCUUGAACAUGGACAUGGUGCCGUAUCUCCGUUAGAUGUGCCUGCAAAUCUAGUCUCUAUAAAUUGCUUGAAUCCUUUUUGCCACUCAUCUUAUACAUAAAGCAGUCGCAUCUAACUCCUAUCAUCAUUAUGCGACAUACUUCCAACUCUUUACAAAUCAAAGCCACACACACUGAUUAAUCUCUUGCAUAUAUACAACAAAAGAAAGCACACAAUUAAACUGUGAUUGUACUAGGGUUAUGAAAUUGUAGUGGGAACUAGACCAUAGUGUUUGUUCAAUUGUCCUGUAGUAAAAUUCUUUUGAAAGGGCAUUUGUUUUCCUUCUAAGUUGAGGCACGUUGUAAUACGAAGUUGUAGCUCCAUUUUUUUGGUACAUUUCACUCCAUGAGCAUAUUUAGUUUUUCAUUUGAAAAGCAGAAGAAAAAAUGCAUGUGCUCAUUCACUUGCCCUUCCAUUGUCUGCGGCUAUACUUCUGCUCCUUUGUGUUUGUUUCUCAAAGGACAGUGACAAAUUUAACCUGCAUUCAACUUAUUCUAACUUAACUUGCCAUCCUUGUUCCUGUUAUUCUAAGCUGGUACUACCUGUGUCUAGAUUGUUUUGUAAGGGUAUCUGUGGACAAAUCUGCACAUACUUGGCUUCUGCUCCUGUAAUAGUCCUCGAAUGUUUGUAACAUGAUAUUUGUCUGAACGAAAAUCAAUAGUUUUCUUCCAGGAUUUUUCUUGCUUUGGAGUUUGCAAGUUGCUGGCUACAUUCUCAGUCUCCUUUAGUGAUAGAUAGUGUGCUUAUCUGGUCUUUUUCUUUGCUAGGAAUAUCUGUAUUGUUUACAAAGUAUAACUGUUUGGUUAUCUAUCUUCCUCCUAGAGCCCAGGCUGACAUGUUAAAAUGGGCCAUUUGCAUGUUCGUACAUAUGCCUGAUGCUCUAGGAUUCUCACCACUUACAUGUUUGUUUUUGGAACUAAUGAGCUCAUAAUUUAAGUGUGCAGAGAAUGGGUGUCAUCCUUCAGGAUUUCAGCUUUGGAGCUAACUGAACUUAACUCGAGCGCUUUGGCUAGCACAGUUAAACUUUCAGAAGAGCGUUGUUAUAAAAAAAAAACUUUCAGAAGAGCGUGAAGGAAACACCGAAUCCCAAAUUACCUUAGCAAGCGCCGGAUAGCAGGACCGAUGAAGACAGGUAGCAGCCGAAGCAGAGAGCAGCUCGCCGUGUCAACAAUGUGCGAAUGGCUCUUUUGAUUCCAAACUCACGUCACCAUGACGCGUUAGUUGCAAGUCAGCAAGUGAUUAGUAUUAUACGUCGAGUGAUAAUUCGAGGCACGGUGACAGUUAAUUUUGAAUGACAGCGUAGCUUUAGGUUUAUGGUCAGCAUCUUGCUUUUGCAUUUGAAUUGAAUUCACCAUGAACUAUCCAUAAAGUGCUUUGCAUGAUAUUUUUUAAAUAAUAAUUGAUAUUUUUUCAAAUUUUGUGCCCGUGGCAAAGCACGGGCUAUUACCUAGUAGUAUUAAACACUAUUCUUGAAGACCAUGGUGAAAGAUUGGGGCCUUAUAUGCUGGGGUUUAAUUUUGAGCCAAAACAUCAAUGGUGUUUACUUUACAUCUCCAGAUGUCAAAACAGGUGCAGAUUAGUUCCUGAGGAUGGUUUCAUGGGUACCUUUGGGUCACUCUGUGGCCAUGUCACACUGUCCUCCACUUGGCAGCAGACCUGUAUAUCAGUGGCAUAUUUGCUAUAAUCUCUACCUAAUAUUAAUAUUAAAGUACAGAACAAAACCUUCAUUCUGCCACCUUAGUUUCGACCGUCAUCCUUUGAAAAGUGGUCUAGCACCAUACAACAUGAGUUGAGAACGAACUGAUGGCAACUUUUAGACGAUAAGGAUCCGUAGCAACGCACGGUCAGUUCUACUAGUUUUACUCACUCCCCACAUGGAUAUCAAAGAAUGGGAAACAUAGCAUGCAAUUAAUUGAUUUUGCUGUAGUAGACCAAGUGACUAAAUUAUAACUCAUAAAAGAUUACCAUGCCACCAGAUCAUCACAACUAAAUAAAUUAUAACCACAAUGAAAAAAAUCGACAGCUGCUCCCAAGUCUAAAGGACGAUUAUUGUCGGCUGAUGAGAAAUCAGAAAAAAAUUCGUGCAGGAGCCAUGCAUCAAUUUAACUUGCCAAUUAGCAAUGUUUCCAGAUGAUUAUUAUAGAGGAAUAUACAUGCUGGAAGAGCAAUUUGAUUAGAGGGGCCUGGACAUACGAAUGUAGACUCGCAGUUGAGUUAAUUUGCAUUCUAAUCUAAAUUCACCUGCACGUCGACCGGCCAUCCUUUUCCCGUCAUGCUGCUGCCGCCUCACAGGUGACCACACGGUAUGGAGGACCUGCUGCCACCCUCACCAACGAGUAACACCGGCCGAGCAGUCAGCACACUUGCGCCUAGGAUCGGAGUCAGUGACCUCCAAUCGUGCGAUCUGGAGGUGGUGCUGGGCACACCGAGCCGCCGCUCCCCAGCCCUCUUGUCGCGAGCUCACAAGGAAUUUCAAGAGCGACCUUCUGGAGAGAAUAGAUGAAACACGCACAUGGAGAGAGGCCUCCUGGAGAUACACACGUACAUGUUUUUGCUCAUGCGCGACGUUCAUGUGGUUCUUUGAUGACGUCCUGUCUAGGAUUUGCCCAACUCAAUUUUUGGUCUCCACAUAUGCAAUGCCCACCAAAAAAUUUGUGGCAAAACCUUGAACCAUUGCAACAACAUAAACUACCAUGUACCAACAAAAAUAACUAGUGGCAAUAGCAUUUUCUUUCAUGCAACCACACUUAGUUUUGUUGCUAUAUAGACAAACAUACCGCAACGCACAUGCGGAUUAAGACAACACACCAAAUUUGUGGCAAUACUGUUUACGACUUGCAACCAUUUUGAAUUUAAUGUCAAUAAGCCUUGCAUAUAACAGCGAAAAAAAGUUUAUAACAACGCAAAAUAAUUGUGGCAAAUUUUUCAGCGACUUGCAAUCAUUUUUCAACUGGUGGUGACAACAUUAAUCUUUUGCAAUGGAAUGAUAAAAUGGUGGCAAUAACACCUAUCUAUUGCAACAUAUUUUCUGUUGUUGCCAUGGACUCUGUUGCAAUAGACCAAAAAUCUAGUAGUGGGAUGCAAGGUAUAUAAUGGAGCAGAUUAUUGCCGGUGGUAGUGGCUCCAACAUUCCAAUAACGUACACCGAGGAUGAGGGUAGCCAGGCGGACAUCUUCCUCAACAUGUCCAGUGAUGGCAAUGAUGAGCCCGAGCACCGCGUUGAUGACAAUGCGGUUCAAAACCUUGCCAUGAUGGAAGGUUCCGGCGAGUGUUGACGCCGGAUUGUGACACGUAUGAAAUCGGCGUCAAGGAAAGAGAGGGCUGGCCGACGCUGCAGAUUAAAAGGUCACGAUUGGGAAUCAGCCGAUUGGUUCUACGAUUGGGGAUCGGCCGAUUGGAAGGCUGGAGCGAUUGGGCCAAUAUGGGCUUAAAGUGGAUUAGGAAAAGAAGAUAGAGUAAUAUUAGCCCGCGGGAGUAUAAUAACCAACUCCGAUACGAGUUGUGUUUGUAAAUAUUCGUUUUCGUUUAAGAUUAGAGAUAGAUCCUAGUCGGUUAGGAAAUUGGUUGUAACAGGCUAUAAAUAGCCGCCUUUAGAGAUUUGUAAAGAACACAUCAAUCAAUACAAACAAAUCUACUUUUUCAUUGCACUUUACUUUCAAGUCGGCGACUUCGCCAAUACUUUUCUUCUUUAACGAGUUCAUACGGGUUGGCAGGACUGCAUCAACACGAUCUCCGGCCGAAUCUGUAAGUUUCGUUUAUCGAGUAAUAUCUAAGCUUUAACUUCGGGCGUAUCGCUGUUGUUUCGUUUAGAUUUAUUCACAAGUUAUCGAUAUUUACUUGAAUUAUAGGUUUUAUCUGUUUUUCUAGUCUUAUCACCAGUUAUCCAGCUUGGGACUUGAGCUAUCGGCUUUGUUAUUAUUAUUUUCAUUCAUCAUAUAGCCGAUUAGAUCCGUUUCAAGUGUUGCUUUCGUAGCCUUUUUCAGUUUACUCUAGUAGUUUCCUUCGCAAUCGUUACGUGAUUGUCGGCUGUAUUAUAGCCGAUUAUAUUCAUUUAGCAAAUCAACCAUUCACUGAUACGCUUUUCGAGAUCGGAACCUUUAGUCGAUCGUAACCCCUGGAAUUUGACACGUUGUUCUUCCUUGACAAUCAACAGGUCAGAUUGGCUGGCACGCCGCGCGAACCGCACCAGGGCAAUCACCCGAACAGGAGCUAAGUAGAUUCUCCCGGGUCGUGUGUCUGACGCUGAGGGUCAAUCGGUUGACUUUUAGCGCCAACACACUUUUGGCACGCCCAGUGGGACCAAUACAACCUCUAACAUGUUGAGAGUUGCCGAAAUCUCUGAAGACAACGUCAUCAAAGUGACGGAAGCAGAUCUCAAGGACAAGCAGAAAGAAGAGUUGGAAAAGCAGAUAGAACAAUACCAGAAAACAUGCCUGCAAUCUUUCAGUCGUACCAAGAGCGGGGAGACCAUCAAGAAAGCUCCUUUCCCAACUCCCCGCAAGAUCACCAUCGCUGAAGACUCGGGCAAGAUGUCCGAUAUGGUUCAGCAAUCCGUCUACCAGGCUUUCAUUGAUCAAUCCCCGGUGAUGGCCAACACAGUAUACAAUGUCGUAAUCAGCUCCCUAGCCAAUGGCGUAUCUCAAGGAUAUCAGGGGCCAACAUACGCCCCGCCCAUUACGGCCCCAGUCAGGAGCUUUCCAAGCACAUCUCACUCGGCUCCUCAGCCGAUGCCAACUCAACAUGGAGGACACAAUGCUUCACUGCCUUCAAUGCAUCCAGGAUAUAACGGUGCGCCAUGCUUUCAGUCGCAAGUGCCACCUCAACCUGCUCAAAUUUCCUCCGCGCAAUCAUUGCCAUCAAACUCAGUGUCUUGGGGGGGCACCGUCGACAGCGGCCGUUCUAGAUCAAUCGGCCGGCUCUGGAGGCCCUCCGAUCCAAGCACCAUUCCAAUCGGCCAUUCGGCCGACGGCUCCACAGUAUCAACCUGCCACGUCAGAAAUCGGCAGGGGAACAGACGCUGCUGAGGCUCUCCGAAGUGCAGCGCCGAUGAUGCUGUACGAUGAGAUGGCCGGUUCGCUGCGCCACUAGAUGUCAAUCGCUCAGCCGGCCACGUUACCACAGAAUCCGCCACACGCUUUGAUUCAUGACCCGGUCAUCCCGCCGCCAAUCCACCAACAUGUGCUGAUUCCCAGCCAGUAAUUCAUCAGCAGCAAGUAGACUGGACGGCAAGGAUAGCAGAGGUGAUCCAAGAUCAAUUCGGGUUGAAGCCAAAGGUACAAACUUACACGUACAAAACGCCGUACACACCUGCCUACGAUCUACUGUCGUUUCCCCAUCGGUACAAAGUUCCCGACUUGACUAAGUUUUCGAGGCUGGAUGACACCUCCACCGUGGAACACGUAAACAGAUUCAUCAUCCAAUGUGGAGAGGUGGAUACACAGGAUGCUUUGCAGGUGCGCCUAUUCUCAUCGUCCCUGUCCGGGUCGGCUUUCCAGUGGUUCACUACGCUUCCGCCCAAUUCCAUCGUCACCUGGGCCGACUUGGAAAAAUAGUUCCACAAGUACUUCUACGCGGGAGUCCAUGAGAUGAAGCUCUUAGAUUUGACCAGCCUCAGGCAGAGGAGCGACGAGCUCGUGACCAAUUAUGUGCAAAGGUUCAGAGAAGUCAGAAACAAAUGCUACACCUUGGUCCUGACCGAUGUGCAGCUGGCUGACAUUGCCUUCCAAGGCCUUCUGCCAAAUAUCAAGGAGAAAUACGCUUCCCAUGAGUUCAAGAGCCUGAGUCAGAUCGUCCAGCGAUUGUCCGGUCAAGAAGUACGCCCCUUUGAUCAGCGAAGAAAUUUUCUGAAGAAGAUGGCAUACUUAGAGGGAUCUGAAUCUGAGGAGGAAGUGGAAAUCAGCCUAGCAGAGUGGGUUAAGGGAAAGAAGCCGAUAUUGUGUCCUUUCGGAAAAAAGAAACCGAAGGUGUUCGGUUUUGACACGUCAAAGGCUGACAAAAUUUUUGACCUACUUCUCCAAGAGGGUUAGAUCAAACUCUCACCUUAUCAUAUGAUCCCAUCGGCCGGACAACUAAAAAAAGAUGAAGUAUUGCAAAUGGCACAAUGCUACAUCCCAUGACACAAACGAGUGCAAAAUCUUCCGACAGCAGAUACAAUCGGCCAUUGAGCAAGGCAGGCUCAAGUUCGAGGUUCCGACAAAACCAGCAAAGCCAAUGAAGAUCAAUCAGCAUCCUUUCCCCACUAACAUGGUUGAUACGGGAAGAAACGCGCUUCAAACCAAAGUGCUGAUGUCGAAUCGGCUAAAAAGAGAGGCGCUGUGGACCCCAGGAAUCAAGCUACGAUCGAAGACGUCAAGGGGAAGAGACAGGUUGACGAUGAGGGUGAAGGAUCAAAAAGGCCGCACAGACCUAUUACCUCCCAGUUCUUGCUCAACAAGUAUCAGCGGCAACAGGAUAGUUCGAGAUAUCGUGAAGAAAUAAUACGACGACACGAAGAUCAUUGGCGAUGUCCUUUCUUCAUCCAUUGCUGGGAAAAUAACCUCAGGUUGCCAUCGGUUGGGUCUGGAUUCCCCAUAGGACCUAGACAGAUGAGGCCAGGGGCUUCGGAAAGGCGAAUGGUGAUUUGGUGUCUAACCGCCUAAAAAGGUAAAAAGGAAAGAACUAAGAAUGGAUCUAAAACAAAUGCCUGGGCGGUAAAGGUAAAAAGAAAAAGUUUCGGAUGAGUACCUCCUGGAUGAAAGUCAUCGUCGCCGAUGGGGCUGUUGGUGGGGCUACCGCCACUGGAGCCUCUGUUGCUAAUGGAGCUGCUGCCGCCACUGUUGGAGCUGCCGCUGGAGUUUCUGUUGCUGGUGAGGUUGCUGAUGGUGCCGCCAUUGGGAAGAUGGAGCAGAAUGCAGAUGAAAAGGGGGUCGCUGGAAGAUGUGGUUGGAAGCCAAGAGGGCGCUGGAAGAAGAUGGAAACUAGUGCACCAAGAAGAAAGUUACUGGCUUGUGAAGAAGAAGUACGGGGCGUGCCAGUAUUUAAAGGCAGUCCGAGAAGGGGUAAAGGCGGGAUUUUUACCGCGCCGUCUACGCGAAUUUUGGGGGAGUGGUUGGCUCAGGCGCCUGUUUCGAAAAGAUUGCAAUCAUCAGGUAGGAGACCACGAAACGGAAGGAGAUUUUUUGAUGCAUUUGCUUCGGAGGAGAAGUUCAAAAGGAAUUUUGAAGUAAAAGUUAUGUUUUACUCCGAAACUGGGGGCAUGUGUUGACGCCGGAUUGUGACAUGUAUGGAAUCAGCGUCAAGGAAGGAGAGGGCUGGCUGACGCUGUAGAUUAAAAGGUCACGAUUGGGAAUCGGUCGAUUGGUGCUACAGUUGGGGAUCAGCCGAACAGGAGCUAAGCAAAUUCUCCCGAGUCAUGUGUCCGAUGCUGAGGGUCAAUCGGCUGACUUUUAGCGCCAAAAAGUGUGAUUGCCCUGGUGAUUGCCGAAAAGUCAGCCGAUUUACCCUCAGUGUUGGACACAUGACCCAGGAGAAUCUGCUUAGCUCCUUGUAACGGAUCUAAUCGGCUAUAUGAUGAAUGAAAAUAAAAUAACAAAGCCGAUAGCUCAAGUCCCAAGCUGGAUAACUGGUGAUAAAACUAGAACAACAGAUAAAACCUAUAAUUCUAGUAAAUAUCAAUAACUUGUGAAUAAAUCUAAACGAAACAACAGCGAUGCGCCUGAAGUUAAAACUUAGAUAUUACUCGAUAAACGAAACUUACAGAAUUGACCGGAGAUCGUGUUGAUGCAGCCCUACCAACCCGUACGAACUUGUUAAAGAAAAAAAGUUUUGGCGAAGUCGCCGACUUGAAAGUAAAGUGCGAUGAAAAAGUAGAUUUGUUUGUAUUGAUUGAUGUGUUCUUUACAAAUCUCUAAAGUCGACUAUUUAUAGCCUGUUACAACCAAUUUCCUAACCGACUAGGAUCUAUCUCUAAUCUUAAACGAAAAUGAAUAUUUACUAACACAACUCGUAUCAGAGUUGGUUAUUAUACUCCCAUGGGCCAAUCUUUCUCUAUCUUCUUUUCCUGAUUCACUUUAACCCCAUAUUGACCCAAUCACUCCAGCCUUCCAGUCGGCCGAUCUCCACCAACUCUGUCCGCCAAAAUACUGUAGCGCCAAUAAGCCGAUCCCCAACUGUAGCACCAAUCGGCCGAUUCCCAAUCGUGACCUUUUAAUCUGCAGCGUUGACCAGCCCUCUCCUUCCUUGAUGUCGAUUCCAUACGUGUCACAAUCCGGCGUCAACACAUGCCCCCAGUUUCGGAGUAAAACAUAACUUUUACUUCGAAAUUCCUUUUUAACUUCUCCUCCAAAACAAACGCAUCAAAAAAUCUCCUUCCGUUUCGCGGUCUCCUACCUGAUGAUUGCAAUCUUUUGGAAACAGGCGCCUGAGACAACCACUCCCCUGAAAUUCGUGUAGACAGCACGGUAAAAAUCCCACCUUUACCCCUUCUCGGACCGCCUUUAAAUACUGGCACGCCCCGUACUUCUUCUUCACAAGCCAGUAACUUCCUUCUUGGCGCACUAGUUUCCAUCUUCUUCCGGUGCCCUCUUGGCUUCCAACCACAUCUUCCGGCGACCCCCUUUUCAUCCGCAUUCUACUCCAUCUUCCCAAUGGUGGCACCGUCAGCAACCUCACCAGCAACGGAAACUCUGGUAGCAGCUCCAACGGCGGCGGCAGUAGCUCCAUCGACGACACAGGCUCCACUAGCGGCCUCAGUGGCGGUAGCCCCACCAGCAGCCCCGUCAGCGACGAUGACUUUCAUCCUGGAGGUACUCAUCCGGAACUUUUUCUUUUUACCUUUACUGCCUAGGCAUUUGUUUUAGAUCCAUUCUUAGUUCUUUCCUUUUUACCUUUUUAGGCGGUUAGACACCAAAUCACCAUUCGCCUUUCCGAAGCCCCUGGCCUCAUCUGUCUAGGUCCUAUGGGGAAUCCAGACCCAACCAAUCUGAUAAAUUAGAGACUCACAGAAUUCCAUUUAAACAAUCCCCAAUGGAGUCGGACCAGUGGUCAGGCACCUUUAGAUCUUGGCCGAAUGAAACCCCCGGUUGGAAAGAAUGGUAUCAAAGGAUACCCAACUCCAAGAGAGUUCAAUGGGACGAACAAAAAAUCAACCAUUGCAUCAAUCUUUCUCUGUCUCAGAUGGAGAGAAAUGAGCCCUUGGUGAUAGCAGCCUCCUACUUCUGGUCUGAUGCCCUUAAUGCGUUCCUCUUUGGCAAUGGGCCUAUGACCCCCACUUUGGCCGUUGUUGUGAUGUUGACCGGCCUUAACAUUUCUUCCCUGGAUACCCCCUUCCAUUAUCUGGUCAAGCCGACCCAUUGGCUGGAGACAAAAGAAAUCGGCGGGUGGAAGGGGUAUAUCAAGAACAACAUGAAGACCGGGACCGUUUCAGAGAGAGAAUAUGCAGCCUUCCUGAUGAUGUGGUUUGAGAAACACAUUUUUUGUGGCAGGGCAGUUGGUCCGUCUUCCAUCACACAAGCUUUGGCCAAAGCAUUAUCAAGAGGAGCCUCUGUCCCCCUCGGGAAGCAUCUACUAGGAUCGGCAUAUCACAUGCUGCACCAAAUCGGCGUCAAACUAUCCAACGGAGAGCCGAUUGGAAACCCAGGUGGCCCCUGGUGGUUAAUCAAUCUCUGGCUCAAUUUGUAUAUGAGCAAGAUCUCACAGCAUCGGGUGGAGCACAUGACAUUUCCCAACAUUGAGUCAGAAGAAAACCCCACCGUACGGCGCCAAUGCACUUCUUUCGCGUGAAGCAGCAUCAGUCUUCCCUGGUUGCUAGCUCACUGCCACCAAAGUAGCUGAAUAUUUCAUAUGUUUUUACAACGGCUUCAGUGAAGAAACCACCAGCUGGUAUCCGUAUCAGAGGACAGAGCCGCUUUUUGAACUCCCCUUUUGUUAUGAUUCGACGUCCAACACCUUUGAUAAUGAUAUCAUGGACAUCUUGAUCAAACCAAGGAUCUUACCGGUGAACUUCUUCUCGAGGAAGGAUGCCCCUACUUACGAGUUUUACAAUCCAUCCGUUGCAGCACGGCAGUUCAGCCUAGGUCAGCUGCCGAUUUAUGUUUUCUUCGCCGGUCAUGCAAAAUUCUGAGAUGAGCUCACCAAAGGUCUUGAUUACAGUCGGCUGUGCGAUCGAGUGCCCGACUCCAGCACCAUCGAUCUGACCAAUUGGAUACUAGCACCUUUUGCUAUCCAACAGUUCAAACUAUGGUGGGCAGAAUGGAAACAGCACCUCUUUUGUGCAUUUCCUGCGAUAUACUGCAACAUCCUGGAUCCCGACAACAUUGACUCGAAUGCAGAGGUAUCGUUCUUCCCUUAGCCGAUUUCGAUGCCAUUUUCCUUUUUAUACUACUAACUCUUAUUUCUUUUACAGUCCGAGAGUUAACUCCCUCCAAGGCGCAGCCGGAGUGGCAGGCCGAUAGAGAACCGUUACCCGUAUACGAAAUUCCCACUCAUCGGCCAUCACACCCCAUCCAUUAAUGACAUCACCACUGGCUGAUUAAAUCAGACACUGAAGAAAACCUUAAAGAAGACAAGCCACCGAGUGCGCGCCCGCACGGAAUCGGCCGAUCAGUCUGCGGCAGCAUCGACGGAAUCUUUGGCUGCGUCGAUUCUCCCGGUCAUCGAGGAAGUUGAUCCCCAAGCUACUACAGAAGCUGGAGCGGCCGCUGCAUCACUGCUAUUAGAAGCCAUUCAGGUAACCUCGUGUUCACAUCCUCUAGAGUAUUCUCCCGAUACUGACUUCUCCUUUACAUUAGGCCGCACAAGUUGCCCCAGUGCCUCCAUAGCAAUCGACGAUACCCCAAGCAGAAAUCGGAGCACCAAUAAUUCCUUCCACUGAGGUAAAGAAUCCCUUAACUCAAUUUUUUUAUACUUAAUCAAAAUCUUGACCGAUUCUGAUGCAGGCUACCCUUGGUACGUCAAUUGUACCUUCUCAACAGCCAUCAGUCAGGGAAACCACGGAGGUACGGCAAUCACCACAUGUCAUCAGAUCUAACCAUCUAUAUUAUACUCAUAAGAACUUGGUCCUCGUACCUUUCCAGGAGGCCAGUCCGAGCAGGACACCAAUAAUCAUCGAAUCCUCCUCCUCCGAGGAGCUGGUCGCACCAGUUCCUGAACCAAGGACAGCACUCCCAUUGACGCAAACAAAAGAAAUCCGCUUCAAAGAGGUAAGAGACUUGUCACCCGAAUUGGCCGAUUUCCCUAUUACCAUCAGCUAAUCGAUGCUUAUCAUUUUACUUUCUUGCAGGAACAAGAUACCCCCAAUAAUAGUCUCUUCUCCUUCACGGUCGCACUUUCUGAUGAUGAGGAGGUUGCUUCACGUCAAGUCACUCUGAGCUCAAUUCCUGAUGACGUCCGCGCCAAGCUCGAAAGCAUAAGGACCUUCCUCCAAGAUGACAUCGGCCGAUUAGUGGAGGAUGCCUCGCCGAUUCGGCAACUCUUUAGCGAUAUCAGAGGCCAGGUUCCCGAGGAGGCAGAAGAAGCUCUGGCACCCGCCGCAUAUAUUGAAUCAAUGCGGAUCCCAGUGUUCAGGGCCUUGCGCCAUAUGGCUGAUCGCGUCAAGUUAGCUAAAGCUCGUGAGGAGGAAGGCUCUUACAAGCACCGAGCCCAAGAGGUACAUCAUCGAAUCAAUUUCCUUGAAAACUCCCGCCCGGAUAUUGUUGGUGCUAUAGAUCACCUCAAGCGCUGAAGGGCAGAGCUCGCCAAGGAGAUGGAGCAGGUGACCAAGGACAUAGCCAUUGAAGAGAAGAGACUCCAAGACCUCCCUUCUGCCAUCGCCGAACUGAAGCAAGAGAGACAAAGUCUAGCCCAUGAGGCAAUCAGACUCCAUCACCAUAUGCCAGAAGUCCCAGGAUCGGUCGAUGACGACCAACGAAUUUUAGACUUGACCGAUCAAGUUAGGCAACCAGCGAUUGCGGCCAUUAAUGCCCUCCUUGGGUGAACUGUAAAGGUGAUGGCUGCUCUGUAAAAACAUUAAUAUCUUUUGACUGUUUGACGUGCGAAUCCAAUCCUGACCCGUCCUUCAUGGUGGAUUUUCAUUUAUUACCCCUUUUAAUCUGAUGGGACGUGUCUUACCAAACUCUCGCCUCUUUUCUUUCCAUAAGUACGAGACCCGAUAUUGUUUCCACAGGCAUUCGCCUUGCUCGUCCUCUUCUCCUCUAGUAGUUCAUACCACCAGACUAUUCACCAAGAUGUCUUCUUCAUCUUCCUCCUUUUCCUCCUUCUCCGUCAACUAGGUACGAGAUCUUCCUACGCCCUCUAUUCCUCGGUCUGACAUUUUAACCGGUCUGACGUCGAGCGGUUAUCCGUUAAUUUUUUCAGCCGAGACGUCUUAGUCCCGAACUGGAACGGGCAAUCGAGAUCAUGCACUCUGAUGAACCGUUGUCGCAGGAGGACAAGAACUUGAUCAGAGCCCAUCGUGAAGAAAUCAGAGAUCAUGUCCCUGCUGAAGUCCAGAGGAUCUGGGAUCAUAUCGAUGCCAACUGCUCCAGGCGGCCGCCAAUCGAAAGGAGUCAUCCACUCCCCCGCCUAGUCACCCUUGAAGACGUCGUAGCGGGAACGUCUCAACGACCGCUUGAUCGGAGCCAUCCUGUUCCUCGCCAAGUUGAGGCUGAAGCCGCGAUGAAAUAUCUAGAGGAAAGGAGCAUCCGCCUCUAGAUAGAGUUAGGUUGGGUAGAGAGGGAGCUUAAGAAAAAGCGUGGUUAAUAGAUGUGUUGGUACUUUUAGUUCUUAGGGUGACUUGUACCGUGUCAGCCGUGUACCCCAUCGUUCACACCAAAUAAUAAAUCGGCCAACUCGGACAAAUGUUUUGUUCUCAAGGUGAUUUUAUCUUUGCAUCGGCUAUAAGAUCUAAUAGGAACUGGCCGCGCCAUCUUGAUACACUUCAUAACUAGUUAUGCAUCGACCCAUAUACUAGGAUAAUAUCUCUUCCAGUACCUCCCGUUCAAGGCCCUUGUGAAUUCCUCUGCUUCGAUCAUCUCCAGUAUGUAUGCGUUUCCCGGAGCGCAUCGGCCAAUUUUAUAUGGACCUUCCCAAGUGGGCGACCAUUUAAUGAACUUGGGAUCCUUGGAUCCUAUUGGCAGUACCAACUUCCAUACCAAUCUCCUUGGGAGAAUUGCUUGACUUUGACCUUCUUGUCGUACCACCUGGCCACCCUCUUUUUAUUCUCCACAAUGCUGAUCAGAGCCCUUAAUCGUUGACCUGCCAAAUUGUCGACCUCUCCUUUCAUGAGGAAGGAAUAGUCAUCGGCCGUCAACUGAUCUUGAAGCGAUGUGCGUCUUGACCCCAUCCUUAAUUCCCAAGGCAACACUGCCUCGUGACCAUACACCAAUUGAUAAGGAGAUAUUUUAGUAGCCCCGUGGCAGGCCAUCCUGUAAGCCCAUAAAGCCUUGGUCAAACAUAAGUGCCACUUCUUAGGUUGUUGCUCAAUCUUCCUUUUGAUCAACUUAAUUAUCCCCUUAUUGGAUGAUUCAGCUUGGCCGUUAGCUUGAGCAUAAUAUGGAGAAGAAUUUAGCAACUUGAUUCGGCAGUGAACUCCUCGAAUUCUCCCGAAGUGAACAUCGUCCCUUGGUCGGUUGUGAUGGUUUGAGGAAUACUGAAACUAUAAACAAUGUGGUCCCUUACAAAAUCGACCAUAGUGGCCGAUGUCACGGCCUUCAAUGGGAUUGCCUCCACCCAUUUGGUAAAGUAGUCAGUGGCUACCAAUAUGAACUUGUGCCCCUUACUUGAUGGAGGAUAAAUCUGUCCGAUGAGGUCUAUUCCCCAACCCCUGAACGGCCAUGGCUUGAUUAUCGGAUUCAUAGCCGAUGCCGGCGCACGUUGUACGUUGCCAAACUUCUGAUAGUCUUGACACCCUUUAUAAUAUUUGAAGCAGUCUUCGAGUAUCGUCGACCAAUAAUAUACAUUAUUCCUAAUCAUCCACUUCAUUUUAUGAGCCGAUUGGUGAGCUCCGCACACGCCUUCAUGGAUUUCUCCCAUCAGGAUCUUUGCUUUUUCCGUCCCCAGGCAUUUGAGCAGAACUCCAUCAAUCAUUCAGUAAAACAAAUCAUCAUCGAGUAGUACAUACUUUGUGGCUUGAAAACGCACUCGCUGAUCCACUUUCUUGGACGGGUCCCUUAAGUAAUCAGCGAUCUCCUUUCGCCAAUCGUCGGCCGCGAGUUCCAGAAUCAUGGCGCCCUGAAUCGACCGAUACCCGGACGAGUGUUGGGCAAGCCUAUUGGCCUCUUCAUUAUAAUUUUUGGGAAUAUGCUCAAUAACUGCAGUCUUGAAUUCUUUUAAAAGUUGGAGACAAUCUUCGUAGUAAAUCCUCAGGACAUCAUCUUUACAUUCUGAUCUUCUUGUUAGCUGGUCUACGAUGAGCAUGGAAUCCCCAAAAAUCUCCACAGCGUCGGCUUUGUUCUCUCUCAAUAAUUGAAUGCCUUUUAGGAUAGCUCGAUAUUCCGCCUGAUUAUUGGUUGCGGAAGCUUCUAUCGCCAGAGAGAAAUCAUAACUUGCUCCCUGAGGCGAUAUGAGAACGAUGCCGAUUUCUGAUCCGGUGCCACAUGACGAACCAUCAAAGUAUAGAGUCCAUGGAGUCAUCUCAACGACAGCGAUUUCUGGUCCGCAGUGCUAGGCCACAAAAUCGGCCAUGACUUGACCUUUGACAGCUUUGGUUGAUUUGUACCUUAGGUCAAACUCUGACAGAGCCAGGAUCCAUUUUCCAAUUCGUCCUUUCAAAAUCAGCAAUGAUAGCAUGUCCUUUAUCACAUCAUCUUUGCAUACGACUAUGCACUCUGCCGACAAAAGGUAGUGCCUGAGCUUGGUGCAUGAGAAAUAAAGACAGGCAUAGCCGUUCUAUCGGUGAAUAUCUUGUCUCGGUGUCCAGAAGUCUUCUGCUAACAUAAUAUAUCACCCAUUCCUUUCCUUCGAACUCCUGUACCAGCGCCGAUCCGAUGGCCCGUUCAUCGGCCGAUAAGUAUAGUCUGAAUGGCUUGUCAACUUGUGGUGGGACCAAUACAGGUUGCGAGAUCAAAUAUUGCUUGAUGUCUUCCAGUGCUUUCUGCUGCUCCUCUCCCCACACAAAUUUCUAGUCGGGCUUUAAUUUCAAUAACGGCGUGAAGGCUUGAAUACGCCCGGACAAGUUGGAUAUGAAUCUUCUAAUAAAGUUUUAUGUCCGGGCUGCUGAUAUGGCCGAUAUCCUAGUUUUAUGGGCAACCGGUGUUCAACAAUGGACCGGUCUAGGCCAGGCAUCUCAUGGUAUUCCCAAGCAAAACAAUCUUUAAAUUCCUUUAAGAAGUUUGUCAAUUUACACUUGUAUUCGGGAUCCAAGUUAGCACUAAUGUACGUUAGCCUUGGUUUGGUGCCAUCACCUAAAUCUAUCAUCUCUAAUGAAUCGGCCGACGUAAACCCGUGCCCCAGCUUUCCAUCUUCUCGGACGAACUGAUCCAUCUAAUCUGAAUCUUCAGAGCCGACUGCUCGGAUCAGCUGUGGGCCAAAAUCGGACACUUUCAGGAAAUCGCUGUCCCAAGUUCUUCUGGAUAUGCACUUGACAUGUUCGCAGCUCCACUGCUGCGUAUCGGCCGCAGCAACACUGUAGGCGGAAUCGGCGGUGACUACCUCGAUGUUCUUACCGACCCAUUGUACGAGGCAUUGGUGCAUUGUAGACGGGACGUAGCAAUUCGCGUGUAUCCAAUCGUGUCCGAGCAACAUGUUGUAGGACCCUUUGCCAUUAAUAAAGAAAGUAGUGGGAAGGGUCUUACUGCCGAUGGUGAGGUCGACACAGAGCGCCCUGCGCGCGGGAGACACGUUGCCCUCGAAGUCCUUGAGCAUCAUGUCCAUCUUGGUUAGAUCCUCGUUGCUUUUACCCAGCUUCCGGAACAUGGCGUACAGCAUGAUGUUGACUGCAGCGCCUCCAUCUACUAGCAGCCUAGUGAUAGGUCGACCAUUGACGUGUCCUUUGAGGAACAGUGCCUUGAGGUGUUGCCGUUUUUCAUCUUCGGGUUUCUCAAAAGUGGCUGUCAUUGGCUCCAAAGCCAAUUGUGCCAUCUGUUCCUCCAUCUACGUCGUGUCGUACCGAUCGGCGGGAGCCAUGAACUCCAUUGGCAAGAUGUACACCAUGCUGAUGUCAGCUGUCGAUUCUUGGUUGCCAUCUUCUUCAUUGUUGUUUCUUUUGGGGUGCUAGACUCAAGACCUGUCGUCUUUCUUAUCCACCACCUGCCUCUGCUCUUCUUCCUUUUGUUCCCAUUGGCGCAGGCGUUGGAUCCUUCAUUUUUUGGAUUUGGUUAAUCCAUCAGGGUACCACCUGGGGUUCACCGGUUUGGUCGGUGGCCUGACGCGCUCCCAGUCUGGUUCUCGUCCUAGGGGGUUUUCAUCUAACACCCUAGCAUCAGCCAUCUCCUCUAGCCGAUCGUGUGUGCUGACUCUGUGUAACGGCCUCGGACAAAAUCCUUCACGUCAAUCUUAAUCCGAGUCCCUGAUCACCUGUCUUAGUUUUUUUUUCCAAGCCUAAGUGUUCAACCUCCAGAUCUUCCAACCCCUGCGAUCCGACCCCUCGCCGUGGUCUCCCCAGUUCCGACCCCGCCGACCCCCAACCCACCGUCGGAUCUUUCUAAGCCAUCCCGCAGCAUCACCCUUCAGUCCGAGCAGUGGACCACCGAGACUGACCGGUGGGCCCAUGAGAUCUUUUCCCCCAGAUCUCCCGCGACAGGCGCACUCGAGUUGCAUGCCCGCUUCAGAGUUCCCCCGCCACGUGGCUCAACUCCUCCGACGUCCGUUGCUCCGCCUCGUCUUCGGCCCGCGACCGGGUGGAUUCUCGCGCCCCCUUCCCCAAUCACGGCGGAAGCUCCUUUGCCACCCUUUCUGCAGCACCUCACCACCCGCGCCCAUCAUCACAUUGCCAGAUCCCGGCCGUAGAGCCCGAUGCCGCCUGUCUUUUCCGUCACCUCGCCACUGUCGCACCGCCCCGGUCUUCGCUACGCGAAGAUUCCUCCUCCGCCAACCCAGACCGCGGCAGCGACAGCUCCUUUUCCCGCCCUGUCAGAAGCCGCCCCGACAAUCUGUUGCUCCGCGCUCGCCCGCGUGCCCGCAGCCGCCUGUCUUCUCACCUGUGCGCCCUUGUUCCUAGCGCCGUUAUCCCGGUCACUUCCAUCAGAUCCACCGCAUGACGACGCCCACCUCCGCCAAAUCUCAACCACCGGCAAACCCGCGCUUGCGUCGCCCUAACGUCAGUGCCCAAUGACCACUGGCGUCAUCCCCGAAGUCCUGCUCCACCGCCCUCGUCGCGCAAUCGCCGCCCGGGCAGAGCACUCCAUCGUUUCUUCCCCAGCCUUCGCGCCUCUCCUCCCUCCCUCUUCCACGCCGCUAUAAAAGGGAAUGCAGAAGUUCCGCCGGAGUUCCCCCUUUUUCCUUCGCUGCCAUCUCUCUUACUCCCUGUUCGAGCUCACAGCACCACCAGCUAAGUCUGAGGAACUCUCCUCUCUGCUCAAGCACCGCCGCCGCCGGAAUACCGCCGGACAUCCUCACCACACCCAAGCCAUUAGUCCUUUCCACCCCAAGCCUUCUCUGUAAGACGAAGGUAGGCUGCCGACCCCUGCUCGCUUCGUCCGACCCCUCUUAUACGCCCGACCCUGGUUCCGUCUCGCCGGACCCUGUCUGUUCCGCCGACCCUUCUCCGCCUCGCCUGAGGGCUCGGCUGUAUCUUUUCUUUGAACCGAGGGUGUAUGUGUAAAACUUGGGGACCUUUCAGCGUUGAGUCUGAGGACCCCUAGUACAUCAAAUCCUCUAGAUUAAGGGUCAGAUCAUAAGUUUCUUCCUUGCACCCCUUACAUCCUGAUCUCCAUCAACUCCAUUGAACCUCCCCACCCUCCUGUAACUUGUCGCAAGUUUCUGGGCUCAAACUUGCAAGUGUUGCUGUUGAAAUAACUGUCUAUGCUAACGAAUGCAUUGCAUUUGUGUAGAACUGCGUCUUGCCGACGGCUACUAUGAGCUGCACCCGGUGCCAGAAGACGAUGGUGUAGCUGAGCUCCUGCUUCCCGAAGCCGAAGCUUCCCAAGAAGACGUGCAGUUCCCUUCCUCCUUGCUCGAAGGCAAGCCCCGGAUGCAUGAAUCCCCUAUGUUUUACCAGACUUGCGCAUGCCUUCUUUAACAUGCUUGUGCAUUUACAUAUAGGAUUUGUUUGGAACCCUAGAUGCAUAACUUAGCUCCCUUGAUCUGAACACUAGCUGUUGGACCGAGUAGAUGCUUUGCUUAAAUAGGAAACGGUAAAAGCCGAGUUAUUCCCUGUCACUCGCGAGUUGUAGGAGUUGGAUGUUUACCCUUCUGUCACAACUAUAAGGAUGAUGGACGGGGCAGGGUUUGAGGUAACCCUUUGGUGGUCGGUUGAUCGCCCUGUCUGUCUAUGCAACUUGCUAAGGCCCGACAGUGGUGGUGUUCGUGAUCAAGUGUUUGAAAGUACUAAUCUCAUACCUAGUAUGGGAUGGGGAAGCCUAGUACCUGAUUGAACUAGGGCGUGGCUUAUACCCCUGCUGUCCCUGGAACGAGGUUCCCAUGGUGCGUCAUGUGGGUGCAAGUGCGGUCACAGUACGGCAGAGGCCGGGACUGUGGAGCAUUGCAUGCCAAGGGAAGUUUGGACCUGACACGCGCCUGGGAAUUGAUGGGGAUGGCCAACACAGGAAGCGGCCCUGGUGGUACGCGGAUGUCGUGAGAUUAGGUUCGCCAUGCAUGGUUAAGAAACUCGAAUCGAUUCGUCUGCCUCUCACAGUUUGAGACUGCUUGAUCGCUAUGUCACCCUGAGUAAGUAAGGAAUCUGAUGAUGACAUGGUUUUGUUGAUGAUGUAUAUAACUUUUGGUUGGUUCUAUGUUUGCUUAGAAUAGGUUGCAAACUUAGAACGGAUAAUGAACUUAGAACCGGAGCUAAAACUUGAAAGUAGGGAUACAUCUAGCGCUUUUGGCAAACAAACCCCUCAGCCAAAAAGCCUUGCAUGUCUAGAAGAGGUAGUUUAGAGCGCUCCCUGUCGGUUAAGUCUUGUUGAGCUUAGUAGCUCAGCCUUGUUGUGGCUCUUCUUUUUCAGGUGAAGUUGUUGCUUCUGAGCCCCCUUCUGCUGGCACUUGGCCGCCCCAACUCCCUCCGGGUUGGACGGUUGAGUGGGAUCCCUCCUCAGACGGUGAGGAGAGGGAUCAUUGACGUCCCGGUUGGUCUCACCAGGGAUGUCCGACCCCGACGAAGUAGCUUCCGCUUGUUGUUUUAUCUUUUGUGGUUUUCUUUCAAACCUUGUAAACUCUGAUGAUGUUUAUAGCCAAACUAGAUGGUUAAAUUGCUUAACUUAGUGGACUUGCUGUAUUCUCUGGAACCGCUCACCUUCAUGUGGGUUUGCUAUUCGGUCCUGUUCAAGUGGUUAAAUCGGAUGAAAUCCGACGGCACUUCGUGUUUACUUGGUUAAGGCAUGAGUGUCGCAUAUCAGGCGGCUUAAUCAUGUUUAAUCAAGCAAAUCCGAAGUGGAUCCGCCACACUCUGCCCCCCGGUCGGUCAUGCUGUUCGCGUCUGUCCCUUGGCCGAUCGUAUCAGUCAACGCUGCCCCCCAGUCGAUCACGCACUGAAAGGCACCGAUCCUCUUGCUCGCGCCAGUUUCUGCUAAUUGGCUCUGAUCCUCUAUCCCUUGAGCGAGAUCUCUUGAACGGAUGAUUAUUGCGAUAUGGACCGCUGCACUCUGGCCAAUUAUUAGCCGAUGGCAACCUGAGGUUAUUUUCCCAGCAAUGGAUGAAGAAAGGACAUCGCUAAUGAUCUUCGUGUCGUCGUAUUAUUUCUUCACGAUAUCUCGAACUGUCCUGUUGCCGCUGAUACUUGUUGAGCAAGAACUGGGAGGUAAUAGGUCUGCGCGGUCUUUCCGAUCCGUCACUCUCAUCGUCAACCCGUCUCUUCCCCUUGACGUCUUCGAUCGUAGCUUGAUUCCUGGGGUCCAUAGCGCCGUUCUUUUUAGCCGAUUCCGACGUCAGCACUUUGGUUUGAAGCGCGUUUCUUCCCGUAUCAACCAUGUUAGUGGGAAAAGGAUGCUGAUCGAUCUUCAUUGGCUUUGCUGGUUUUGUCGGGACCUCGAACUGGAGCCUGCCUCUCAAUGGCCGAUUGUAUCUGCUGUCGGAAGAUUUUGCACUCGUUUGUGUCACGGGACGUAGCAUUGUGCCAUUUGUAAUACUUCAUCUUUUUAGCUGUUCGGCCAAUGGGAUCGUAUGAUAAGUUGAGAGUUUGAUCUGCCCGUCUUGGAGGAGUAGGUCGAAAAUUUUGUCGGCCUUUGACGUGUCAAAACCGAACACCUCCGGUUCCUUUUUUCCGAAAGGACACGAUAUCGACUUCUUUCCCUUAACCCACUCUGCUAGUCCGAUUUCCACUUCCUCCUCAGAUUCAGAUCCCUCUAAGUAUGCCACCUUCUUCUGAAAAUUUCUUCGCUGAUCAAAGGGGCAUACUUCUUGAUCGGACAAUCGGUGGACAAUCUGACUCAGGCUCUUGAACUCCUGGGAAGCGUAUUUCUCCUUGAUAUGUGGUAGGAGGCCUUGGAAGGCAAUGUCGGCCAGCUGCGCAUCGGUCAGAACCAGGGUGUAGCAUUUGUUUCUGACUUCUCUGAACCUUUGCAUGUAAUUGGUCAUGGGCUCAUCGCUCCUCUGCCUGAAGCUGGUCAAAUCUGAGAGCUUCAUCUCAUGGACUCCCACGUAGAAGUACUUGUGGAACUAUUUUUCCAAGUCAGCCCAGGUGACGAUGGAAUUGGGCGGAAGCAUAGUGAACCACUGGAAAGCCAACCCGGACAGGUAUGAUGAGAACAGGCGCACCCACAGAGCAUCCUGUGUAGCCGCCUCUCCACAUUGGAUGAUGAAUCUGUUUACGUGUUCCAUGGUGGAGGUGUCAUCCAGCCCCAAAAACUUAGUGAAGUCGGGAACUUUGUACCGAUGGGGAAACGGUAGUAGAUCGUAGGCAGGCGGGUACGGCGUUUUGUACGUGUAAGUUUGUACCUUUGGCUUCAACCCGAAUUGAUCGUGGAUCACCUUUGCUAUCCUUGCCGUCUAGUCUACUUGCUGCUGAUGAAUUACUGGCUGGGGAAUCAGCACAUGUUGGUGGAUCGGUGGCGGGAUGACCGGGUGAUGAAUCUAAGCGUGCGGCGGAUUCUGCGGUAACGUGGCCGGCUGAGCGGUUGACAUCUGGUGGCGCAGCAAACCGGCCAUCUCAUUGUACAGCAUCAUCGGCACCGCACUUCGGAGCACCUCAGCAACAUCUGCUCCCCUGCUAAUUUCUGACGUGGCAGGUUGAUACUGUGGAGCCGUCAGCCGAAUGGCCGAUUGGAUUGGUGCCUGGAUCGGAGGGCCUCCAUAGUCAGCCGAUUGAUCUAGAACGGCCGCUGUCGAUGGUGCCCCCCAAGGCACUGAGUUUGAUGGCAAUGAUUGGACGAAGGAAAUUUGAGUAGGUUGAGGUGGCGCUUGUGACUGAAAGCAUGGCGCACUGUUAUAUCCUGGAUGCAUUGAAGGCAGUGAAGCAUUGUGUCCUCCAUGUUGAGUUGGCAUUGGCUGAGGAGCAGAGUGAGAUGUGCUUGGAAAGCUCCUGACUGGGGUCGUAAUGGGCGAGGCAUAUGCUGGCCCCUAAUAUCCUUGAGAUACUGUGGCGGAACCGUCCAACUUAAACUGGUUUAAAUGCACCUAAUCACUGCUGACGCAGCCAUUAUUCGAAACACACUUAAAACAGUAUAAGUCCGGUCGUCUGUCGAGUGUCCCUAGGACUCCUCGAAGAUCCACGUCGUGUCUCAUAGCCAUACAUCAGGAUUGUAUCCGCGAUGGGAUAGCAUCAACAAAUAUUACAUUUUUACAUACAUACACGAGGUACGAGUUAAUACAAGACAUAGUUUGAAGCAAACUUAACAGUGCAGUGUUAGACAGAGUUCUAGGAUUUAAAACAUAAACGGUUUGGGUUGAGAUGAGCAUUAUAAGCCUUCUUCUAAGGGUAUUGUGAGAUUCAUAACAAUACCCUAGGGUUUCGGGGCUUCUUCCUCGGUGGACUCCUGCGGUGUUUCUGAAAAUAGCCACAAGGGAUAACCCUGAGUACGAGGUACUCAGCAAGGCUUACCCGACUAACCAAUAUAAUAGUUUUUCUUGGAAGUAUAUGAUAGCUUUUUCGAUGUGCUAGGCUGACACAUUUUUGCCAAAAAGCUUACUAAAAAAAAGAGACCUUAGCUUUAUCUUUUAUUCGGAUUAAGUCAUUACCUAACCAUUUUAGGUGAUGAUAAAAGAUUAUUUGUAAACAAUAAGGUAUUAAGUCAUACACCAAACAUUAUUAGAAAGAUAUGGCAUUCAUGAAUUUAUGCUACGAUGCUCAACAGUGAUCAAGUGCAUUCAUAACCGAGAAUUGCGGCGAUCCGGAUCAAAUUACAUCCUGCAGGAGAGUACCCUAAUCACCAGCUAUAUACGACUGUCCAGGUUGUACGUAACGACUUUUCAAUUAGCAAAACCCAUGAUUGGGAAUAAGACUACCCGGACCUAGGGACGCACCCCCACAUGGGACCCCACGUCUGGCCCGAUCACCAUGUGAGUUUCAGGCUACGCCCCUGCCAAUCUCCAGCACGUCAAGCAUGGGUACGAAGUAUUCCCGAUCAGAGGGUUUACUAACCUACUGGGCUUUACUGGUCCCAUACCCAGUAAGUGAUCAGAUGUCUUUCACUUGAUUAAAGGUUAAGACAAUGAAUCGGGCCUUAACCAGAUUAAUCUAGCAGACAGAACUACAUCCUUAGCUUCUGUCCACUUCUUAAUUUCCAAGUCAUGUUUCCAUAAUUAACAUGCAUGACUCAAAAUUUACCUUAAGGUUUGGUAAAGCAAGUAUUUAAGCAGCUAAGCCAUUCUAGACUUGGGUUAUCUACUAAAGGUUUGAACAAGUGGCAAAGAUGUCCUUAAAACAAGGUAUGAUCAUGCACAAGAAUGGGUUUCAAGCAACUCCUAGACUUAGUGCAUAUAUUUAGCAAAUAACCGAUAAUGGGCACAUGAAAUAUUGACUCCAAAUAAUAGGUAUAAUGCACUGGGGCUUGCCUUGUUCGCCAAAAAAGUUAGCACUGUCCGAAGGGUUGGCCUCGUAGGGGACCAAUUCAAAGACUUCCUCAAAUUCCGGAGAUCCUUCUGAAUAAUCCGAGAAAUCUCCUUCUGGUGCUUCGGUGUCUAUAACACAACAUAUGCACAGGUUAGGAAUGCAAAUUUUUGAAUACAAGACUAUAAAACUUUCCUUCAUGAUAGAGUUGCAAGCCAACAAGGACUAUACAAUUUAUCAUGAUAAAGUUGCAAGCCAACACACGAAAACCCGAAAAGAUUAACCCAACAAUUUUAUUUCCUUAACUAACCUUACUUAGGGCCUUUUCUUUUAUUUUAGAAGAUGUUAUAAUUAUUUUCUAGCUUUAAAACCUAAUUUCCUAUGAGUUAAUACUAAUUUGUGAUUAUGAAAAUGUUAUUCCAUAUUUUAUGCAUUUAAUAAAGAUUAAGUAUUUAUUUAAAUACCUUUAAAAUAAAGGCAUUAAACAAAUACCCAAAUUUUUAUUAUUUUCCUAGGGUAUAAAAAUUUUAAUGCAUAAAGGAAAAUAAAACAAGCCUAACAGAAUUGGUUUCAAUAAUUUUGGACACUCCUAGAAAUUUCUGUGAUUUAAAUGGUGAGAUUCGGAUUUAAACUAAUUAUUCUAUAAAGGAAAUCUAAUUUUUCGCGAAAAAAACCCCCGGCAACUUUUCUCACGCGACCCUAUUCUACCCCCUCUCUCUUACACUGGGCCCGCGACUCGGACCUACCCCUUCUCCUAUUCAUCCUACCCGCCGGCCUACCCCCUCCUCUAACGGGCUCUCUAGGCCGAUUCUUCUUUUCCUUUUCUCUUCUCGGACCGGCACCGGCCCAACGGCCCACUCCUUCUUUUCUUUUUCUCCCGCAAAACCUGGCCUGUUGAAAGCUUGGGCCUCUGGCCUUUCUCUUAACGGCCGACCACACCGGCUCCUUGGGCCUCCGAAACGCUGGCCCAACUGACGCCCGCGCCCGACCGGCCUGCCUCCUUUUCUCCCCCGCCUCCUCUGACUUGCGGGCCCGUGGGGGCGGCGCGGCUUGCCGGCCGGCACCCUACCGGCGACGGGGCUAAGCCGGGGAAGCAUCCCCAUGCCCUAGCGCACCCGUGCGCGGUGACAGCUUCCCGGGAGAUGACCGGAGUUACUUCCUCCACGGUGGCGGGCGGCGACGCCUACGGCCGGUUGUGGCUAGGCACAACGAUGGCGCAACCUACCCCGACAACCACUGCUAUAGCUUCCUAGCACCCUAAGGACUCGCCUACGACUACCCAAGAAGAAAGAGAACAAGAGCAAGGAGGUGCUCACCGUGAGCAGGAGGUGCGGCGACGGCGGAUGGAAACGACGACGGUGCAGGGUAUUCCGGCAAGGAUGUUGGACAACGACUCGACUGGGGUGUAGCUGGGGUAUCUGUGGAGGAGUGGGAGAGAGGAAUCGACGGGAGGUGAGGCAUGGCAGAGGAAUUUGGCCGACGGCGAUGGCUUGGACAGAAGGGCGGCGGCGGUAAAAAGAAUAGGCAGUAGAAACGGUCGGCGGGAGCGGUAGUUAUUCAAGGCUUUCACCGCGCGCAUGGGUGACACCGUGGUCUACUCGUAGGCUUGCGUGGUGAGGAGGUGGCGUAGCUGCCGCGCUGGCGGGCGACCGAGAACACCGGCGGCGACACGUCGAGCUCGGCUCUGUCAUCCUCCCCCUCUUUAUUUGUGACGCCCGAAAUCUUCAGAGCUCAAUCACGGUCAAAAGUGCAUCCGACGGCCCACAAGUGUCUUAACCAAAGUUGUAGAUAAGUUUGAGCUCUACAAUUCAUAUUUAAACUCUUGCCCAAGAUUUUCAUUCAUUUGUUGGCAAUUUCAAAAUGUUUGGCCUCAGGUGACUGAAUUCCAUUGAAUUCCGAUUCAUUUCGUCAGUCACUUGGUCAUGGUCAUUUACCCUACUUUGUAAAUCAUUUCAGUGAUCCAAAUCCUUUCCUUUCAGUCCAACUUCUUCCCAUUUGUGUUCUACAACAUUCAAAGGUUCCAUUUCGCCCAUAAACACUUACACCUUUUGUUCUACAGUUUUCUGAAAUUAGCUCCAAAUUCAGCCACAUAUUGCUGUUUUCAGACUUAGUCAAUUUCAGCAAUGCAGUCUACCGUGACAAUGUGCUGACUUUGAGCUCAAAUUUGAAUUUGUUCCCCUUACUGUUCCUGAUCAACAACACCCAAAUAUAUAUGUCCAAAGUCCAUACUGCAUCACUAUGUAGUUGUCUUAGUCCACUUAUUUGGAAAAUUGGUCGGAAAUUAAUUUCCAAAAUGGACUCUGCUGCUGUUUUUCUGAACUCCUUAUUGUCGGAUGGUGAACAGUAUUUGGGUUUUUAAUUUCUUUCUUUGAGUUUUCUUGAGGUAUUUGGGACCAUGUCUUGUCCCAAAUCUUGAUCUUCAAGUUCUAAUCACCCUUACACCUCCAUUCCAUAUUUUUGCUGAAUUUUUCUGAAUUUCGAAUUCAAAAUUCAAAUUUCGGUCAAAUUUGACCCGAAUUUGAUUUUUAGCCAAUUUCUUCUCCUCUUCUUCAUGAAUUGCUUCUUUUUCUUCAGAGCUACUUUGAUGACUAAAAAUGGUAGGUAUUACAGCCUCUCCCCCUUAACAGAAUCUCGUCCCGAGAUUCCCGGGGUUAAACCCUCGGCUUUGAGAAUGGAAAGGAAACUGCGUCAGGCCAACUAUCUUUCUGUUUUCUGUACAAGGAUAGUGGGGUGGUGGCUUUUGUUCAUCUGAUCCUGAUGGUUUCAAAUAACUCAGGAUAUUUAGACUCUAGGUCUUCAGCCUGUUCCCACGUAGCUUCCUUCGAAGUAUGAUUUUUCCAUUGUACCUUGUAAAAUGUAAUACUUCGAGUUCGGGUAUCUCUUGUCUUUUGAUCCAGAAUUUUAAUAGGCCUUUCUUCAUAGGUUAGAUCUGAUUCGAGCUCAAUUUCUUGAUCUUCUAGAAUCUCUUCUGGAACUCUUAAGCACUUCUUAAGCUGGGAUACAUGAAACACAUCAUGUAUAGAAGUAAGUUGGUCUGGUAAUGACAGCUUGUAUGCUACCGGACCCUUUCGUUCCAGAAUUUCAUAAGGACCAAUGUACCUUGGACUAAUUUACCCUUUAUUCCAAAUCAUUGUAUUCCUUUCAUCGAGGAUACCUCCAAGUAUACAAAAUCUCCGAUAUGAAAUUCCAAGGACCGUCUCCUUUUAUCUGAAUAACUCUUUUGUCGAGACUGGGCUAUUUCCAAAUGUUUACGAAUUUUCUAGACCUUUUCCUCGGUUUCCAUAACCAAGUGUGAUCCCAAAUGUGUCCUUUCUCCUAUUUCCGACCAAUUCAAUGGGGUUCGACAUCUUCGACCAUACAAGGCUUCGAAAGGUGCCAUUUUGAUACUAGCUUGAUAACUAUUAUUAUAGGAGAACUCAGCUAGGGGCAAACAUUCAUCCCAUAGCUUAGAGAAGGUAAGGACACAUGCUCUUAACAUAUCUUCCAAGAUUUGGUUUGUUGGGAUACGAGGUAGGCUACGCUAGCGCAAAUCAAAAUUUCUACCGCGUAUAACCAGGAAGAACUGCCGUAUAAGGAUCACGGGAUUACCACUCGACGCACUACUGGUGCGGAAGAUGUAGAUAUGCGUCGGUGCAGUGAAGACGAUCACGUAGUCGUUCGUAGUCGAACAACGUAAUCGUACGUAGUCGAUCACGUCCAGCGGCUCCUCAGCAGCUCGUCCACGUGCACAGCAAGAUCGCCUCCGGUGCCGCGGCUCGUCGUCGGCUCGUCGUGGCUCGUCGGCGGCUCGUCGAUGGUUCGUCCAAGUGCUGCAGGCGCAACACCUCCAAGGUAUCCACACGUGCAGGGAGGAAGCGUCGCAAGCUGGAUUGCUAGAUCCGCGAGUUGCAACAGGCGAGGGCGUGGGAGGCGCGGCAAGUGUGUUCAGCCAAAAGGUGUGAAACCCUAGGGCGCCCCCACCCCUCUAUUUAUAGGGGUUCCUGAUGAGCCUCUGGAUCCGAGGCCCAUUAGUACUCCUAAACCUAAUCCAACUCGGAUCAGAUCCGAAUUGGGCUUCCAGCCCCUUAAGUGUGUGACCCUAUGGGUUCGGAUACGUAUAGACAUGGCCCGAGUACUCCUACUCGGCCCAAUAGUCGGUAGCGGCCUCUAGCAAGACGUGCCAACUCCUAUACGCAUACGAAGAUCAUAUCAGACGAACCAUCACAACAUAAUAUACAUGCUAUUCCCUUUGCCUCACGAUAUUUGGUCUAGCUUCAAGCCGACCGCUCUUUCUCGAUCCUGUGAUUCGGAAUCCCUUUGUAGGUUAACUCUUAACCGUACGUAGCAUGGCCAUGCAUUUUCGGAUCCGAUCACUCGAGGGGCCCAGAGAUAUCACUCUCAAUCAGAGAGGGGCAAAUCCCAUCUUGAUUGACCAUGUCUCAUAGCAUGCUUCUUGACAAACCCGAAAGCUACCUUUAUAACUACCCUGUUACGGCGUAGCGUUUGAUAGCCCCUAAGUAGGUCGAUCCACAUCUAGAAUACAUGCGACAAUCUCAGGUCUAAGGACAAAGCGUAUAUGUUGUUUAAAGAGAGAACUACUUCUCGUGCUGGGUCAGUCCUAACACAUGUCUCCACAUGUGUCCACAUUAUUAGUUCAACAUCUCCAUGUCCAUGACUUGUGAAACAUAGUCAUCAACUAAUACAUGUGCUAGUCUAAUAUUCAUGUGUGUCCUCACAUGAACUCCGACUAGGGACAACUUUAGAAUAACCAUACAAGUAAAGAGUUUCACAUACAAUUCACAUAAUUGCAAAUCAAUUCAAGUAGCCUUUAAUGGAUAUUCAAUGAACACAAUAUACAAAUCAUGGAUACAAAUGGAAUAUCAUCAUCUCUAUGAUUGCCUCUAGGGCAUACCUCCAACAGUCUCCCACUUGCACUAGAGUCAAUCUAGAAGGUACCUAAUACCCAUAGCUCUUACAUGCGCAUCAUGCUUAGCCUGCGGGAGUGGUUUUGUCAACGGAUCAGAAAUGUUCAGAUCCGUGUGUAUCUUGCAUAUCUUGAUCUCACCCCGGUUAACGAAGUCUCGAAUGAGAUGAAAUCGCCGCAUUACGUGUUUGUUCUUCUGGUGGUUCCUUGGCUCCUUUGCUUGCGCAAUUGCCCCAUUGUUAUCACAGUAGAGAUUCAAUGGGCUGGACGCAUUUGGGAACACACCAAGCUCAAUGAGGAAAUUCCUUAUCCAAACACCUUCCUUCGCGGCUUCCGAAGCCGCGAUGUACUCGGCUUCUGUCGUAGAAUCGGCCACCGUCUCCUGCUUGGAACUCUUCCAACUAACAGCACCACCAUUUAGCGUGAACACAAAUCCUGAUUGUGACUUUGAAUCAUCUCUGUCGGUUUGGAAACUAGCAUCGGUGUAACCUGUUACAACGAGCUCCUCCUGACCUCCAUAGACGAGGAACAUAUCUUUAGUCCUUCUCAAGUACUUAAGAAUGUUUUUCACCGCUGUCCAGUGACUCUCACCUGGAUCAGAUUGGUGUCUGCUUGUCAUACUUAGCGCAUAUGAAACAUCUGGGCGAGUACUUAUCAUUGCAUACAUGAUAGAUCCAAUAGCCGAGGCAUAUGGCACUCUACUCAUGCGAUCCCGCUCAUCAGCAGUCGAAGGACACUGAGUCUUGCUGAGAUGUAUGCCAUGUGACAUAGGCAAGAACCCUUUCUUUGCCUCUUCCAUGCUGAACCGCUUCAACACUUUGUCAAUAUAAGUAUCUUGGCUCAAACCUAUAAGCCUUCUCGAUCUAUCUCUAUAGAUCUUAAUACCCAGAAUAUAUGCCGCUUCCCCUAAGUCCUUCAUCGAAAAACUAUUUUUCAGUGAAGUCUUUACGGACUCAAGCAUAGGAAUGUUAUUUCCAAUCAGUAAUAUGUCAUCCACAUAUAAGAUUAGAAAUACUACAGAGCUCCCACUAACCUUCUUGUAAACACAAGACUCUUCUUCGUUCUUGGUGAAGUCAAACCCUUUGACUACUUCAUCAAAACGAAUGUUCCAACUCCUAGAUGCUUGCUUCAAUCCAUAAAUGGAUCUCUGAAGCUUGCAUACCUUUCCAGCAUUUUUCGGAUCGACAAAACCCUCGGGCUGUAUCAUAUACACGUCCUCAGCUAGGUUUCCAUUCAGGAAAGCUGUCUUGACAUCCAUCUGCCAUAUCUCAUAAUCGAAAUAUGCAGCUAUAGCUAGAAUAAUCCGAAUGGACUUAAGCAUCACUACGGGCGAGAAGGUCUCGUCGUAGUCAACUCCUUGAACUUGUCGAAAACCUUUUGCGACAAGUCGUGCUUUGUAGAUGUGAACAUUUCCAUCCAUGUCCUUUUUCUUCUUAUAGAUCCACUUGCACUCUAUGGCUUUAACACCAUCAGGCGGGUCAACCAAGUUCCAAACUUGAUUGUCUCCCAUGGACUCUAUUUCGGAUUGCAUGGCACUCUGCCAUUUUUCGGAGUCUGGGUCCAUCAUUGCUUCUGCAUAUGUCGCAGGCUCAUCAUUGUCCAACAAUAAUAUUUCCCGCAUUUCGCGGAGCCUUGCCGACCUUCGUGGUUGUGGCGGUGCUUCUCUUGCCAUGGGUAUCUCAACUUGUUCUGCUACGUUAGCAUCACUCAUUGAUUCUUGCCCGAUUGGCUCAUCUUGAACUUCUUCAAGAUGCACUGUCUUUCCACUCUUUUCUCCUUUGAGAAACUCUUUCUCUAGGAAAACCCCGUUCCGAGCGACAAACACUUUGCCUUCUGAUCGGUUGUAGAAAUAAUAUCCCAAAGUUUCCUUUGGAUAUCCCACAAAAAUGCACUUAUCCGACUUGGGUGUGAUCUUGUCCGACUGAAGUCGCUUGACAAACACUUCACAUCCCCAAAUCUUUAGAAAAGACAAACUAGGAACCUUUCCAGUCCAUAUCUCAUAUGGUGUCUUAACUACGGAUUUAGAUGGUACCCUAUUUAGUGUGAAAGCUGCUGUUUCUAGAGCGUAUCCCCAAAAUGACAAUGGUAGGUCCGACUGGCUCAUCAUUGAUCGAACCAUGUCUAACAAAGUUCGAUUACAUCGCUCGGACACACCGUUUCUCUGAGGUGUUCCAGGCGGCGUAAGUUGUGGAACAAUUCCGCAACUCUUUAGAUGAUUGCUAAACUCGUGGCUCAAAUACUCGCCUCCAUGAUCAGAUCGUAAGGCCUUAAUUUUCUUGCCACGCUGAUUUUCAACUUCAUUCUGAAAUUCCUUGAACUUUUCAAAGGUUUCAGACUUGUGCCUCAUCAAGUAGACAUAGCCAUAUCUACUAAAAUCAUCAGUGAAAGUUAUGAAGUAUUGGAAUCCUCCUCUAGCCGUCGUGCUCAUUGGUCCGCAUACAUCACUAUGUACGAGUUCCAACAAGUCUACUGCUCUCUCAGGAAAUCCUGUGAAAGGCGUCUUGGUCAUCUUGCCUAGCAAGCAAGCCUCGCAUGUCUCGUAUGAUUCAAAAUCAAACGAAGUUAGAAGUCCAUCAGAAUGGAGCUUCUUCAUGCGCUUUUCACUUAUAUGACCCAAACGACAAUGCCACAAGUAGGUAGGACUCAAAUCAUUAGGCCGAGGCCUUUUAGCACUUACAUUACAGACAGGUGAACCAUCAAGAUUUAAAACAAAUAAUCCAUUCACAAUGGGUGCAAAAGCCAUAAACAUAUUAUUCUUAGAGAUCACACAACCAUUGUUUUCACUCGCAAAUGAAUAACCAUCCUUCAUCAAACAUGAAGGAGAUAAAAUAUUUCGACUUAAACUAGGAACAAAAUAACAAUUAUUCAACUCCAUAAUAAAUCCUGACGGGAGGUGGAGUUGCAUCGUCCCGACGGUCAAAGCAGCAACUCUUGCAUUAUUGCCCACGCGGAAAUCAACUUCUCCUCUUUCCACGCUUCUACUUCUUAUCAUUCCCUGCAUCGAAUUGCAAAUAUGAGCAACCGAUCCGGUAUCAAAUACCCAAGAAUUAAUAACUGUAUCAGCGAGAAAUAUGUUGUCUAUAACAUAAACAACAAGCGUACCUGAGGUAGAAGUACUCUUACUUCCGCCGUUCUUCAACGAAGCUAGGUACUGCUUGCAGUUUCUCUUCCAGUGACCAAGUUCAUGACAGUAAAAGCACUCUUUAUCUGGAGCAGGUCCAGGUCCAGCUUUAACCUUGGGCGGUGGGUUUGGCUUGGACGUUCCAGCCUUGCCCUUCUUCUUCCAAGAAUUGCCCUUCUUCUUAAAGCUGGGCUUGUUCUGUAUCGCCAUCACAUGGCUGGUACUAGCGCUUUUCUUUAUGUCAGCCUCUGCUGUUUUAAGCAUGCCACACAGCUCAUUCAGACCCUUCUCCGUCCCAUGCAUAUGGUAGUUCGAGAUGAAGUUCCCAUAGCUAGGAGGAAGAGACGAAAGAAUGAAAUCAGUGGCCAACUCUUGGCCCAGUGGGAAGCCUAGCUUCUCCAACCGUUGAGUGUAACCAACCAUCUUGAUUACGUGUGGUCCUACUGCUGCGCCUUCUGCUAGCUUGCUCUCAACAAAGGCCUUAGACACAUUGAACCUUUCAGUCCUGGCCUGUGUUUGGAACAUGUCUCUAAGCGCCACGAUCAUAUCGUGCGCCUCAUGGUUUGUUUCGAACUGCAUCUGCAGCUCGGGUUCCAUGCAAGCAAGCAUAAGGCAGCUUACUUCGAGGUUAGCAUCACAUGCUUUCUUGUAAGCAUUCUUAGCAGCAGCGGGUGCAUCCUCAGCAGGUUCUUCUGGUAGUGGGUUGUCUAGAACAUCUUCCUUUUUCUCAGCCCUGAGAACAAUUCUCAGGUUACGGAUCCAAUCCGAGUAGUUUGUUCCAUUCAACUUGUCCUUCUCAAGGACCGAACGCAAAGCAAACGAUGUGGUGGUGUUGCUAGGUGCCAUUUAAUCUACAACAAAAGUAAUGCAAAAUACACUAAGACAAACGUAUCCAUGAUAGAGCAAAUUACAUUAAACUAUUUUAACAGAAUCUACUCCCACUAAAAUCAAUAUCCCUCUAUUGAAACUUAGUGAUUCAGGAUCCACAACUAACAAGUCCACUAGUGAGCUUUAGCAUCACCGCUAGCAAACGAGGUAGAUCGGUAAGCAACUUUUGCUAAUCAUAUCACAUAUGACUCCUGUUGUUGGGUGACAUCUCUAUGUCUCGGCGCCCAACCUUUAUGCCCCAAGGUCCUUAACCGUUAAGAUGACCUCGUUAAGCAAACCAACCCUUAUGCGUGUAAGUGUCCGACACAAACCCGUCUAGUCAAGGAAAACUAGUGGUACCCUAAUUUCAUAGACCCACCACUAAUUGUACAAGACAUGGGACAGUGCAAGUUUUAGUUGGGAGGGCAUACUAACUUAAACUUUGUGAGGGAUCGUUCUACUUCUAACAUCACAGCAUGCAGAAAGUAAAACAUAAACAGAAUAGCAUUCACACAGUUGUGACACAGUAUGGCCCGUUUUUCUUAUGGUGAUCUCCGUCUCCAUAGAACCUGUUCACCAUGGUGAUCUCCAUCUCCAUGUUCCAUGUGCGCCAUCCUCCUGGUGAUGAGUCCUCCAAGAACUAGAGCAUGCUAUUACGCCUAAUAGCUAGUAAAGAAUCUAGUAAUGAAGAUUACAUAGUUGCUUGGAUCAUCACAGAUUGGUACGCAGACCAUUAAAUACAAUAAAGUGACAACACAUAUGGCUCCUGCCGUGUUGCCGUACGUGCGACACGCAGGUCACGAAUUAGUUACACACAUGCAUCACAUACACAAGGGGGCCAUACUGAUCACAAGAUACAUGCAUACAUCCUGCAAAAUAGAGUUAGGCGUCCUAACGUUCCAAACUUCGGAGGCCCGAAACUCCAUCUUCCAAGCCAAAUUUGGGAAAUCUAAUCUCACCGAAAACGGCGAAGCGGUUGAAAUUCACGUGUAACUUUUUCUGUAGAUCAAUUUUCGUAUAGAAAUCGCCUCGAUCCGAGAUCGUACCGAAAAGUUACGGCUGAUUUACCGAAGCAUACGCAUACGGCAAAAUCCCGACCCCGACAGUAGAUCCCAUCUACCAUUGCACAUCUAAUGCGCCUGGCGUAUGACCCUGGAUCUCGAUUCGACCAAUCAUAUUGAUCUUCGCUCACUGCAACUGGAUUUACGUGUAUCACUUAACUCCGAUGGCGGAAACCGACCGGUAGGAGUAUGUCGUUACACUACCAUUGCAGCAAGGGCACGAAAUCAGGACAUAGAUCAAACAGAGAACUCGCAUAUCUCCAUAUGCACACAUCCCGAAUCCAAAACUAAGCAGCUACGGCUCUUGAUACCACUGUUGGGAUACGAGGUAGGCUACGUUAGCGCAAAUCAAAAUUUCUACCGCGUAUAACCAGGAAGAACUGCCGUAUAAGGAUCACGGGAUUACCACUCGACGCACUACUGGUGCGGAAGAUGUAGAUAUGCGUCGGUGCAGUGAAGACGAUCACGUAGUCGUUUCGUAGUCGAACAACGUAAUCGUACGUAGUCGAUCACGUCCAGCGGCUCCUCAGCAGCUCGUCCACGUGCACAGCAAGAUCGCCUCCGGUGCCGCGGCUCGUCGUCGGCUCGUCGUGGCUCGUCGGCGGCUCGUCGAUGGUUCGUCCAAGUGCUGCAGGCGCAACACCUCCAAGGUAUCCACACGUGCAGGGAGGAAGCGUCGCAAGCCGGAUUGCUAGAUCCGCGAGUUGCAACAGGCGAGGGCGUGGGAGGCGCGGCAAGUGUGUUCAGCCAAAAGGUGUGAAACCCUAGGGCGCCCCCACCCCUCUAUUUAUAGGGGUUCCUGAUGGGCCUCUGGAUCCGAGGCCCAUUAGUACUCCUAAACCUAAUCCAACUCGGAUCAGAUCCGAAUUGGGCUUCCAGCCCCUUAAGUGUGUGACCCUAUGGGUUCGGAUACGUAUAGACAUGGCCCGAGUACUCCUACUCGGCCCAAUAGUCGGUAGCGGCCUCUAGCAAGACGUGCCAACUCCUAUACGCAUACGAAGAUCAUAUCAGACGAACCAUCACAACAUAAUAUACAUGCUAUUCCCUUUGCCUCACGAUAUUUGGUCUAGCUUCAAGCCGACCGCUCUUUCUCGAUCCUGUGAUUCGGAAUCCCUUUGUAGGUUAACUCUUAACCGUACGUAGCAUGGCCAUGCAUUUUCGGAUCCGAUCACUCGAGGGGCCCAGAGAUAUCACUCUCAAUCAGAGAGGGGCAAAUCCCAUCUUGAUUGACCAUGUCUCAUAGCAUGCUUCUUGACAAACCCGAAAGCUACCUUUAUAACUACCCUGUUACGGCGUAGCGUUUGAUAGCCCCUAAGUAGGUCGAUCCACAUCUAGAAUACAUGCGACAAUCUCAGGUCUAAGGACAAAGCGUAUAUGUUGUUUAAAGAGAGAACUACUUCUCGUGCUGGGUCAGUCCUAACACAUGUCUCCACAUGUGUCCACAUUAUUAGUUCAACAUCUCCAUGUCCAUGACUUGUGAAACAUAGUCAUCAACUAAUACAUGUGCUAGUCUAAUAUUCAUGUGUGUCCUCACAUGAACUCCGACUAGGGACAACUUUAGAAUAACCAUACAAGUAAAGAGUUUCACAUACAAUUCACAUAAUUGCAAAUCAAUUCAAGUAGCCUUUAAUGGAUAUUCAAUGAACACAAUAUACAAAUCAUGGAUACAAAUGGAAUAUCAUCAUCUCUAUGAUUGCCUCUAGAGCAUACCUCCAACAUGGUUGACCCUUUCCGUCUGUCCUCCGGUCUGGGGAUGAUAGGCAGAGCUUCUGAUUAAAGUAGUGCCCAUGUCUUUUCGCAGUUGUUCCCAAAAUCUGGAAACAAACUGGGAGCCUCGAUCGGAGAUAAUUGUCUUUGGUAUUCCAUGCAAGGAUACGAUCUGGGCUAUAUAGAGUUUCGCAUAUGUCGACACUGGGUAGGUAGUCUUGCCGGGGAUGAAAUGGGCUGACUUAGUGAGUCAGUCGACAAUAACCCAUAUGGAAUCAUAUCCUUUUGAAGUGGUAGGCGAUCCAACUAUAAAGUCCAUGGAAAUAUCCUCCCAUUUCCAGACAAGGAUUUUUAAAGGUUGAAGCAAACCUGCCGACUUUUGUAGUAUGGGUUUAACUCUCCGGCAGGUAUCACACUCGGCUACAUAUCUUGCAAUUUCAAGUUUCAUUUUGGCCCACCAAAAUCUUUGCUUUAAAUCUUGGUACAUUUUAUUGCUUCCGGGAUGAAUGGUGAGCUUAGAUAGAUGUGAUUCAUCUAAGAUCAAUUUUCUUAGGCUUUCAUCCUUAGGAACUACUAUCCUUUUUCUGAAAUACAGUCCCCCAUCCUCUUCUUGAGUAAGUUCAGAAAUCUUCCCUUCUGCCUUCUGUUGAUGAAGCACCUUGAUCCAAGGAUCUUCUUUUUGGGCUGUUAUGAUUCUCCCCUUUAGAGUGUCUUGCACAACAAUGUUCUGGAGGGUGCCUUGUUUCACUAUUUCCAAGUUUAAAUCCUCUAAUUCUUCACAUAAGGUCUUAAGAUUAGGCUAAACAGUGGUACAUUGGCACUGGGCCUUUCUGCUCAAAGCAUCAGCCACCACAUUAGCCUUACUAGGAUGGUAGUGAAUCUCUAGCUUAUAAUCUUUUAUUAGCUCCAACCACCGUCUUUGCCUCAUAUUCAAGUCCAUUUGAGUGAAGAUGUACUUUAAGCUUUUGUGAUCAGUAAAGAUACGACAUUCACUACCUAGAAGAUAGUGUCACCAUAUCUUUAACGCAUGGACUACAGCAGCAAGCUCUAAAUCGUGGGUAGGGUAAUGCUCUUCAUGACGCUUUAGUUGACGAGAAGCAUAAGCAAUAACUCUGCCUUCUUGCAUAAGAACACACCCUAUCCUUGUUCCUGAGGCAUCACAGUACACGUCAAAGGGCUUCUCUAUAUCAGGUUGAGCUAGCACUGGGGCUGUAGUCAGUAGCUUCUUUAGGGUUUGAAACGAUUCUUCACAUUCGGGUUUCCACUCAAAUUUCACUUCCUUCUUUAAUAACUCUGUGAUUGGUUUGGAAAUUUUUGAGAAAUUGGGGAUGAACCUACGGUAAUACCCGGCCAUUCCCAAGAAACUUCUUACUUCAUGUACCGAAGUUGGUGAUUUCCAAUCCAAUAUAUCUUUGACUUUUCUGGGGUCUACUUCAAUUCCUUUUUCGGACAGUAUGUGCCCAAGGAAUGGAAUUUUCUUUAACCAGAAUUCACAUUUACUGAACUUGGCAUACAACUAGUGUUCCUGGAGUCUACUUAGAACAAUACGCAGGUGUUGCGCAUGUUCCUCUUCAUUUUCAGAAAAGACGAGGAUAUCAUCUAUAAAGACGACCACAAAUUUAUCUAAUUUUGGCAUGAAUACCGAAUUCAUGAGGUACAUAAAAUGUGCUGGGGCAUUUGUCAGUCUGAAAGACAUAACCAAGUACUCAUAUAAUCCAUAUUGGGUUGAGAAGGCUGUUUUAGGUAUGUCUUCGGAUUUUAUCUUAAUCUGAUGAUAUCCUGACCGGAGGUCGAUUUUGGAAAAGACCUUGGCUCCAGCUAGUUGAUCAAAUAACAAGUCAAUCCGUGGCAACGGAUACUUGUUUUUAAUGGUUACCGCAUUCAAAGGGCGGUAAUCCACACACAACCUUAAUGUGCCAUCUUUCUUUUUAACAAAUAAAGCAAGGCAGCCCCAUGGUGAAGUGCUAGGUCGGACAAAACCUUUAUCCAGCAAUUCUUGGAGUUGUACUUUUAAUUCUGCUAACUCCUUAGGCGGCAUCCGAUACGGCCUUCUCGAGAUAGGAGCAGUACCCGGUUCUAACUCGAUGGUAAACUCUACCGCUCUAUCAGGUGAUAGUCCAGGAAGAUCUUCUGGAAAUACAUCUACAAACUCAUUAACCACAGGAAUAGAUUCUAGAGUUACUGCUCUAGUCUUUUUAACCAUCUGGUCCAGACAGGGAUGAGCGGGUAAUUGGAGCUCAAAAGUAUGGCCUUGGUCAUCUCUCAUACUAACAACCCGGUUAUUCAUAUCGAUUUGAACUUUAUGUUCCUUCAUCCAAUUUACCCCCAAAAUAAUAUCUAUUCCUUGAUCUUCCAGAAUUAAAGGAUAAGCACCCACCUUAUUUCCUUCUAAGUUCAAAAUCACAUUGCGAGCUACCUGAUUUGUAUUUUGAGUAGCCCCAGUAGCUUGAAUAGCAUAUUUGACAUUUAAGAUGUGCACUUCAAGUUGGUGUUGUGUAACAAACUUUCUACUUAUAAAAGUAUGUGAUGCACCCGAAUCGAAUAAAAUCAUGGCAGGAUAAUCAUUGACAAGGUACAUACCUGCCAGAAUAGGCUCUCCUUCCGGAAUCUCCUCCACAUUCAUAUAAUGAGCCUGCCCCAUUUUGGUGUUCAGAAAUUUGCGACGAACAAACUUCUAUCCGGUGCCCUGACCAGAGGUUUGAGCCCUUAAAUUCACGUUUCCCCCAACCUUGGGAAAACGGAAGUCCCGGGCAAAGUGUCCCGGCUUCCCAUAGUUAAAACAAACCUGUGGAUUCCCUGGAGGAGUAGGGUUACGAAACCCAACAGGUGGUGCAUUUCCAGGACGAGGAGCAUUAAUAGGAGCUCUGACAUUCCAGAGCUGAAAGGGCCUCUGUUGAAAAGAAGGCCGAUAUGCGGGUCGAGGAGGACCUCGGUAUACCACCUUCAUUCUCUGUGGGGCGCUUCCGAAGGUUCCAAAAGGAAUAUUCUUCCUCUUCAAGGAUUCCUCUCUCUUCAAAGUUUCAUCUAAGAUUCUCAUCUUCUCUUCUGCAGUAAUGGUUGUGCUUACCGCAGAGCUAUAAUCAGCAAAGGUGCAGGUAGAUAGCUUCUCCUGCAUUCGUGCAUUAAGCCCACAAAGAUAACAAUCUCUUUUCCUGGACUCCGUAUUGACAUGUUCUCGUGCGUACUGGGCCAAGUGAUCAAACUCAUUGGUGUACUCCUGAAUGCUACGGGUUCCUUGCUGCAGCCCUAGGAAUUGUUCCAGCUUCAUUCGCAUGAUACCUUCUAGCACAAACUGUGUCCGGAAGGCUUCCUUGAAGUUCUCCCAUGUAACUUCCCUUCCAACUAGUUGCCUUGCCAGAUAACUGGUCCACCAGGUCCCAGCGGGACCUUGGAGCUGGAGUCCAGCAAACUCCGCCUUCUGGGCGGUGGUGCACUGGGGAAUCACUCGAAAUUUCUGCUCCAUCGUCUGAAGCCAUUCAUUAGCUUCUAGUGGGUGCUCAGCUUUCAAGAAUAUUGGAGGACGAGUUUCCAAGAACUGGGUGUAGGAUACACCCUGUUCUGGGUCUCAUCGGUUUCCACCAUUUCCGGUGUUUUGUACGAUCAUCUGAAGCAGUCGAGCCUGUUCGGCUCCUGAAUUCAUGAGGCUGGCUAUGGCAUCAGCCAGCGUUGGGGCUCUAGGUAAAUUCUCCUCGUGGCCCCCUGACCCUAAAGCUCGAGGACCUCUCGGAUCCAUCAUGCUGCCAAAACCAAACAGAGUAUUAAUAUCUAAGUUACAUUUCACCAACAGUUCUCUAUGCGCACUAGUAUUUCACACAUCACAUCACGACUAUUGUAAUUACACACAAAUCACACUUAUAUACAUAUUUAUUUAUUUACAUGACUUGAAGUUACUUUUUACAAAACCACCGUACUACUUCAUCCACUGCAUUUAUCUUACAUAUCUACAUCACAACAUCUCUUGGUUAAGAUCUUUCUUCAACCAUCGUAGGGGUAGAUGCCUAGCUCUUCGGCAUUCAGUCCUAGCCGGGCCAUCGCAGCCUGCAGAACAUCUUGGUCCACUGUCAUCAAUGUCUGUCCCGGAGGAGCGAUAGGUGGGGCCUGAUUCACUGAGUUCUCACUUUCUGACUCUGGCCCGGGGUCACUUGAAGUGUAGGAAGUGUAGGAUGCAGAGGUACUGACUCCGGAAUUUCCCUCCAUUUCUUCGGGGUCUUAUUCUUCUUCCCCGUCUUCCUGCUCAGCUUCACCCCACUGUUGCAUUGGUCCGUAGCCUUGUGGAUCUAGCCCAUCGGCGUUUGCAUUGGCCUAGGCAAAUUGUUGGUUUCCCAUGGGAGCUUCACCCAGAUCAUCUUCCAUGUCGACAUCAAUCCCUUCUAAAUUCUCGUGAGCGUAUAAGUCGAUCUCAGGAGCUGCAGGUGGAGCAAUAUCACCCUCCAUUCCUACAACGUCCACCAACUGAUCUGCUUCUUCUGGGUUCGGCGGCUGGUGUUCUUCCAGUGGUGGAGGCGGUGGAACAUUGACUAUGUUCUGAGCAGGUACCUGGGCCUGCAUUUCCUCCAAAGCCAGACGAAGAGAUAAGAUUUCGUCCAGCUGCUGGAAUCUUUCUGCCUCGAGCCUAUUAACAUUGGAUUCAGGUUGUUCUCUUGCCCUGUCUGCCAUACUCCUACUGGCAUCCAUGAAUCCCUGCAUUACCCUGAGCUUCUCUUCAUAUUCAUCUAUUCUUCUGGACUGCUCUCUCAUGAUUUUCUCCAUGUCGUGUUCCCUUGCUAAUGCCGCCUUCUUGUACAACUCCUUAUCGUGUCUGGCACCCAUUAAUUCCAUUUUGGCAUCCUCAUUUUUCUUUCUCUGAUUAUAGUAUUCCCUAAUGCAAGACUGGUGCAGGUUGUACAUGGCCGUCAUAUAGUCGGAGGCAGCAGCAACCAAAAUAUCAUGCUCUACACGAGAAGAGUUCUUUAGGGCUUUAAUCCUUCUCUUCCAGAUUCCAUCAUCUUGAUGUUUUAUAGGAUAGAAUCGAGCACAGCUCGACCCUAUUUCUACCUUGUGCUUCUCACACAGGUCUGUGAGAGCAGUCAUAGCUGCCCUUUCAAUUGUGUCGUUGAACUCGAAGCCUGACUCCAUCACUUCUUCUAGAUGCCAAUUGGGGUUGGUGUCUUCAUGUAGGAUAUGCACAUAAACAGUACAGUACUGCUUGUGACACGUGUCCUCCUUCCUCCAAUAGUACUCUGGAGGGUUGUGGAAGCCUAACUCCUGCAGCGUUUUCCACAGCAGCUGCGCAAACCCUGGCUUGUCCAGGUAAUGCCCUCGGGUCCAUCCGUCCUGGUCGGUGUAGCCUUCUUGGAACAUCCUAUAAAAGAAACGAGGUCAGGUCUAACGACACUCACCAAACCCAAAAGUUUUUAAAACAUGCUUAUGCAACAUGAUGCAACGACUCCUACGUACUCACAGACUCAUAUACACACUCGUAGAGAAAUUUGUGGCAUCGUAAUCUCUCCCUAAUAAUAUACUACCGAAUACUAGCGACACGCAGCAAUCAGUUAGCAACUGCAAAACAAACAACCAGUUAACACUACUGCCACCUGUGACUCACGUUUUCUUUGUUUAAAAUAGAGUCUCAAUGUUCAAAUGGUAAUAUCUGUUGAUUAUACCAACCUACGGCUCUGAUACAAGCUGUGGCAGAACCGUCCAACUUAAACUGGUUUAAAUGCGCCUAAUCGCUGCUGACGCAACAAUUAUCCGAAACGCACUUAAAACAGUAUAAGUCCGAUCGUCCGUCGAAUGUCCCUAGGACUCCUCGAAGAUCCACGUCGUGUCUCAUAGCCAUACAUCAGGAUUGUAUCCGCGAUAGGAUAGCAUCAACAAAUAUUACAUUUUUACAUACAUACACGAGGUACGAGUUAAUACAAGACAUAGUUUGAAGCAAACUUAACAGUGCAGUGUUAGAUAGAGUUUCGUAGCCAUACAUCAGGAUUGUAUCCGCGAUGGGAUAGCAUCAAGAAAUAUUACAUUUUUACAUACAUACACGAGGUACGAGUUAAUACAAGACAUAGUUUGAAGCAAACUUAAUAGUGCAGUGUUAGACAGAGUUCUAGGAUUUAAAACAUAAACGGUUUGGGUUGAGAUGAGCAUUAUAAGCCUUCUUCUAAGGGUAUUGUGAGAUUCAUAACAAUACCCUAGGGUUUCGGGGCUUCUUCCUCGGUGGACUCCUGCGGUGUUUCUAAAAAUAGCCACAAGGGAUAACCCUGAGUACGAGGUACUCAGCAAGGCUUACCCGACUAACCAAUAUAAUAGUUUUUCUUGGAAGUAUAUGAUAGCUUUUUCGGUGUGCUAGGCUGACACAUUUUUGCCAAAAAGCUUACUAAAAAAAAGAGACCUUAGCUUUAUCUUUUAUUCGGAUUAAGUCAUUACCUAACCAUUUUAGGUGAUGAUAAAAGAUUAUUUGUAAACAAUAAGGUAUUAAGUCAUACACCAAACAUUAUUAGAAAGAUAUGGCAUUCAUGAAUUUAUGCUACGAUGCUCAACAGUGAUCAAGUACAUUCAAAACCGAGAAUUGCGGCGAUCCGGAUCAAAUAACAUCCUGCAGGAGACUACCCUGAUCACCAGCUAUAUACGACUGUCCAGGUCGUACAUAACGACUUUUCGAUUAGCAAAACCCAUGAUUGGGAAUAAGACUACCCGGACCCAGGGACGCACCCCCACAUGGGACCCCACGUCUGGCCCGAUCACCAUGUGAGUUUCAGGCUACGCCCCUGCCAAUCUCCAGCACGUCAAGCGCGGGUACGAAGUAUUCCCGAUCAGAGGGUUUACUAACCUACUGGGCUUUACUGGUCCCAUACCGAGUAAGUGAUCAGAUGUCUUUCACUUGAUUAAAGGUUAAGACAACGAAUCGGGCCUUAACCAGAUUAAUCUAGUAGACAGAACUACAUCCUUAGCUUCUGUUCGCUUCUUAAUUUCCAAGUCAUCUUUCCAUAAUUAACAUGCAAGACUCAAAAUUUACCUUAAGGUUUGGUAAAGCAAGUAUUUAAGCAACUAAGCCAUUCUAGACUUGGGUUAUCUACUAAAGGUUUGAACAAGUGGCAAAGAUGUCCUUAAAACAAGGUAUGAUCAUGCACAAGAAUGGGUUUCAAGCAACUCCUAGACUUAGUGCAUAUAUUUAGCAAAUAACUGAUAAUGGAAUAUUGACUCCAAAUAAUAGGUAUAAUGCACCGGGGCUUGCCUUGUUCGCCAAAAAAGUUAGCACUAUCCGAAGGGUUGGCCUCGUAGGGGACCAAUUCAAAUACUUCCUCAAAUUCCGGAGAUCCUUCUGAAUAUUCCGAGAAAUCUCCUUCUGGUGCUUAGGUGUCUAUAACACAACAUAUGCAGGGGUUAGGAAUGCAAAUUUUUGAAUACAAGACUAUACAACUUUCCUUCAUGAUAGAGUUGCAAGCCAACAAGGACUAUACAAUUUGUCAUGAUAAAGUUGCUAACCAACACACGAAAACCCGAAAAAAUUAACCCAACAAUUUUAUUUCCUUAACUAACCUUACUUAGGGCUUUUUCUUUUAUUUAGAACAUGUUAUAAUUAUUUUCUAGCUUUAAAACCUAAUUUCCUAUGAGUUAAUACUAAUUUGUGAUUAUGAAAAUGUUAUUCCAUAUUUUAUGCAUUUAAUAAAGAUUAAGUAUUUAUUUAAAUACCUUUGAAAUAAAGGCAUUAAAUAAAUACCUAAAUUUUUAUUAUUUUCCUAGGGUAUAAAAAUUUUAAUGCAUAAAGGAAAAUAAAACAAGCCUAACAAAAUUGGUUUCACUAAUUUUGAACACUCCUAGAAAUUUCUGUAAUUUAAAUGGUGAGAUUCGGAUUUAAACUAAUUAUUCUAUAAAGGAAAUCUAAUUUUUCGCAAAAAACACCCCCGGAAACUUUUCUCACGCGACCCUAUUCUACCCCCUCUCUCUUACACUGGGCCCGCGACUCGGACCUACCCCUUCUCCUAUUCAUCCUACCCGCCGGCCUACCCCGUCCUCUAACGGGCUCUCUAGGCCGAUUCUUCUUUUCCUUUUCUCUUCUCGGACCGGCACCGGCCCAACGGCCCACUCCUUCUUUUCUUUUUCUCCCGCAAAACCUGGCCUGCUGAAAGCCUGGGCCUCCGGCCUUUCUCUUAACGGACGACCGCACCGGCUCCUUGGGCCUCCGGAACGCUGGCCCAACUGACACCCGCGCCCGACCGGCCUGCCUCCUUUUCUCCCCCGCCUCCUCUGACUUGCGGGCCCGCGGCUCCAGUACCUUCUUCCUCCUCCCACCAAAAACCGGCACGACAGGGGGUGGCACGGCUUGCCGGUCGGCACCCUACCGGCGACGGGGCUAAGCCGGGGAAGCAUCCCGAUGCCCUAGUGCACCCGUGCGUGGUGAUAGCUUCCCGGGAGAUGGCCGGAGUUACUUCCUCCACGGCGGCGGGCGGCGACGCCUACGGCCGGUUGUGGCUAGGCAAAACGAUGGCGCAACCUACCCCGACAACCACUGCUAUAGCUUCCUAGAACCCUAAGGACUCGCCUACGACUACCCAAGAAGAAAGAGAACAAGAGCAAGGAGGUGCUCACUGUGAGCAGGAGGUGCGGCGACGGCGGAUGGAAACGACGGCGGUGCAGGGUAUUCCGGCAAGGAUGUUGGACAACAACUCGACUCGGGUGUAGCUGGGGUAUCUGUGGAGGAGUGGGAGAGAGGAAUCGACGGGAGGUGAGGCAUGGCAGAGGAAUUUGGCUGGCGGCGAUGGCUUGGACAGAAGGGCGGUGGCGGUAAAAAGAACAGGCAGUAGAAACGGUCGUCGGGAGCGGUAGUUAUUCAAGGCUUUCACCACGCGCAUGGGUGACACCGUUGUCUACUCGUAGGCUUGCGUGGUGAGGAGGUGGCGUAGCUGCCGCGCUGGUGGGUGACCGAGAACGCCGGCGGCGACACGUCGAGCUCGGCUCUGUCAUCCUCCCCCACUUUAUUUCUGACGCUCGAAAUCUUCAGAGCUCAAUCACGGUCGAAAGUGCAUCCGACGGCCCACAAGUGUCUUAACCAAAGUUGUAGACUAGUUUGAGCUCUACAAUUCAUAUUUAACUCUUGCCCGAGAUUUUCAUUCAUUUGUUGGCAAUUUCAAAAUGUUUGGCCUCAGGUGACUGAAUUCCAUUGAAUUCCGAUUCAGUUCGUGAGUCACUUGGUCAUGGUCAUUUACCCUUCUUUGUAAAUCAUUUCAGUGAUCCAAAUCCUUUUCUUUCAGUCCAACUUCUUCCCAUUUUUGUUCUACAACAUUCAAAGGUUCCAUUUUGCCCAUAAACACUUACACUUUUUGUUCUACAUUUUUCUGAAAUUAGCUCCAAAUUCAGCCACAUAUUGCUGUUUUCAGACUUAGUCAAUUUCAGCAAUGCAGUCUACCGUGACAAUGUGCUGACUUUGAGCUCAAAUUUGAAUUUGUUCCCCUUACUGUUCCUGAUCAACAACACCCAAAUCUAUAUGUACAAAGUCCAUAAUUCAUCACUAUGUAGUUUUCUUGGUCCACAUAUUUGGAAAAUUGGUGAAAAUUAAUUUCCAAAAUGGACUCUGCUGCUGUUUUUCUGAACUCCUUAUUGUCGGAUGGUGAACAGUAUUUGGGUUUUUAAUUUCUUUCUUUGAGUUUUCUUGAGGUAUUUGGGACCAGGUCUUGUCCCAAAUCUUUAUCUUCAAGUUCUAAUCACCCUUACACCUCCAUUCCAUAUUUUUGCCAAAUUUUUCUGAAUUUGGAAUUCAAAAUUCAAAUUUCGGUCAAAUUUGACCCGAAUUUGAUUUUUAGCCAAUUUCUUCUCCUCUUCUUCAUGAACUGCUUCUUUUUCUUCAGAGCUACUUUGAUGACUAAAAAUGGCAGGUAUUACAGAUACACCGUUGGCCAGGGAGUUGAUUACGGCAUUGUAUACCGUGUUGGCCAUCACUGGGGAUUGAUCGAUGAAAGCCUGGUAGACGGAUUGCCGAACCAUAUCGGACAUCUUGCCCGAGUCUUCAGCAAUGGUGAUCUGGCGGGGAGCUGGGAAAGGAGCUUUCUUGACGGUCUCCCCGCUCCUAGUACGACUAAAAAAUUGCAGGCAUGUUUUCCGGUAUUGUUCUAUCUGCUUUUCCAACUCUUCUUUCUGGUCGUCCUUGAGAUCUGCUUCCGUCACUUCGAUGAUGUUGUCUUCGGAGAUUUCGGCAACUUUCGACAAGUUAGAGGUUGUAUUGGUCCCACCGAUCAUGCCAAAAGUGUGUUGGCGCUAAAAGUCAGCCGAUUGACCCUCAGCGUCGGACACACGACCCGGGAGAAUCUGCUUAGCUUCUGUUCGGGUGAUUGCCCUGGUGCGGUUCGUACGGCAUGCCAGCCAAUCUGACCUAUUGAUUGGCAAGGAAGAACAAUGUGUCAAAUUCCAGGGGUUACGAUCGACUAAAGGUUCUGAUCUCAAAAAGCGUAUCAGCGAAUCGGCUGAUUUGCUAUAUGAAGAUACUCGGCUAUAAUACAGCCGACAAUCACGUAACGAUUGCGAAGGAAACUACUAGAGUAAACUGAACAAGGCUACGAAAGCAACACUUGAAAUGGAUCUAAUCGGCUAUAUGAUGAAUGAAAAUAACAAUAACAAAGCUAACAGCUCAAGUCCCAAGCUGGAUAACUGGUGAUAAAACUAGAACAACAGAUAAAACCUAUAAUUCUAGUAAAUAUCGAUAACUUGUGAACAAAUCUAAAUGAAACAACAGCGAUGCGCCCGAAGUUAAAGCUUAAAUAUUACUCGAUAAAUGAAACUUACAGAAUCGGCCGGAGAUCAUGUUGAUGCAGCCCUGCCAACCCAUACGAACUCGUUAAAGAAGAAAAGUAUUGGCGAAGUCGCCGACUUGAAAGUAAAGUGUGAUGAAAAAGUAGAUUUGUUUGUAUUGAUUGAUGUGUUCUUUACAAAUCUCUAAAGGCGGCUAUUUAUAUCCUGUUACAACCAAUUUCCUAACUGACUAGGAUCUAUCUCUAAUCUUAAACAAAAACGAAUAUUUACAAACACAACUCGUAUCGGAGUUGGUUAUUAUACUCCCGCGGGCCAAUCUUUCUCUAUCUUCUUUUCCUAAUCCACUUUAAGCCCAAUUGGCCCAAUCGCUCCAGCCUUCCAGUCGGCCGAUCUCCACCAACUCCAUCCGCCAAAAUAGUGUAGCGCCAAUCGGCCGAUUCCCAAUCGUGACCUUUUAAUCUGCAGCGUCGGCCAGCCCUCUCCUUCCUUGAUGUUGAUGCCAUACGUGUCACAAUCCGGCGUCAACACAUUUUUAUUGUUUCACCCCAUCUAUAAUUUCAUAUUCAUUAUCACUAUGUACUAAUUAACAAAUCUUGAACUGUUAGCCCUCUGGAUCGAUGAAGCGAAAUAAACUACGAGGUCGUACAAAGAUAAUGGAGGGAAAGCUUCACAUCACAGAAGUGAUAGAUGAGGGCAAGCCAAUUGCUCCCAAACAUGUGGCUAGAAAGUUCAUGAGUUAGAUGAGGGCUAUUGUAAGGGACAAUGUGCCCAUCAGCAUUAGAGAAUGGAAGGGUAAACAAGAUGAGCCAUACAUGCUCCCGCAGGCUCAAAAGGAUAUCUUGUGGGCAGAUGUCAAGAAACACUUCACACUUCCUGAAGGUGUUAAAGAAAAAUAUGUGAAAGAGUGGACAUUGAAGAAGAUGGCAACCCAAUUCCAAACCUUCAAGAAGAAUCUGGAUGCCAACUUUAUCAAGGAGGGCUGAACUCCAGAUUUUGAUUAGUGGCCAAAGUUAAGGGACCACUGGAACUCAUUUGUCCAAUACAAGAUGAGCGAAGGUAGUGCGAAUAAGGUUGGCAUCAAUGUUGCCAAUGCUAGCAAGGAGUACCAUCAUCGUCUAGGGCAAGGUAGUUACAUGAGUGCAAUUCCCAAAUGGAAAAAGAUGGAACAAGACAUGUUCGAUCGAGGUAUCAUACCAGCAACUAUUGAUUGGCCCGAUCGAUCAAAAAAUUAGUAAUACGCUCAUGGAGGCAACUUGAGCCAAGAGGAUAGGACACAUAUGUUCAAUGAAACAAUAUGUGAGAAGGCCGAAAGGCUUAUCAAAAAUAUUGAAGAUGCUAAAGCUAGGAAGUUGAAGGUUGAUAGAGAGAACGAUGAGCUCACUUUGGCACUCGAGAAUCCCGAACACCCAAGAUAUUGCCGAGGCUAUAGGGUCAUUCUGUGGAAGUUUGCUUUUCGUAGGAACAUCGACUCAUACAGAAGCCGCAAGCGAAGAAAGGAACAGCAAGAGGAGAGCAAGCGGUGCAUGUUAGAGGCCAAAGUGCAUUCACAAGAAGUAAGAAUGCAGGAAGAAAUUAAUCGUCGAGUGGCCCUAGCAGUUAUUGAGAUGGCCCAAUCUGGAGCACUACCGGAUCCCAACGUCGUCAGCCCUUCUCAACACCGAAGCAGCUAUGCUUCCACAGGGGUCCCCGAUGAGCACAUGUCAAGAUUACCCGUGGACAACCAACGGUUCCCUAUGGAUGACAUCACUCAUCGCACCUCAUGUGAGUUGCAUAGACCAUUCGGCAACAUCACUAUUAAGGUAUACAUAUAUAUAAUUUAUGCAAUCUUCUCAAUUGAUCCAUGCCUCAGGAGUUUAAUAACUUCUUUAUUUCUCCUAUAUGUACAGGUGGCGUACGGGAGUGCUUUACCAAUCCUGCCAGGGCAAACAAGCCAUGGCAUGGAGAUUCCACUUGGCUACUCCAGCGUUGGCCUAGAGCAUAUUGUUGAUAGUCAAUAUGAAGGCCUAGAGCUCAACCUCCCAACAGGUUAUGGGGAAAGGACACUAGGAUAUGCACUUAACGGGAUCAUUCUAUGGCGCAAACGCUACAUGAUCAUCCCCGGUAAGGAGGCAUCAUUACUCCUCGUAGAUCCCCCGUAGCGACCAUCUCCUCAAAACUCAAGACCGUCAUCUCCAGUACAUCCACCUCUAGGAUCAUCAUCACCACUGGGACUGUCACAUCCUGCUCGAUCACCGUCUCCAUCUCCAUCAAAUCGUGGUGGUGCGAGCGACGACGACCACAACACCCCUCCCCGAUCACCGUCGCCGGGCCUAAGACCCGCAGUGAGCAAGGAACCUGCAGCACCUCUGAAGAAGCCAUGACCACCACCUUCCAAGCCAAGGCAGCCAAAGAAAAUAAAGAAGUCUGAACCCAUUCAGAAGGUACUGGCCGAUAUGACUACGGAGGAAUUGCGGGAGCUAUCGCAUGCAACAGUGAAGGAGUUCUUCAAAAAAUGUGCUGAACAAAGAAAAGCAAAGCAGAUGGAGCCAAAGCUAGUAGAUUGAAGCGUCCCCACAUAAGUAGAGACUAAAUGUGAUACAAAUAUCAGUCCCAGGAGGCUGAUAACACAUUUAUUCGAUAGGUAAUUCAAUUACCGUACAACUCCCGAGGGAGUGGGCGUGAGAGCCACGCAGCAAUAAGAAGUAAAUAAACAAUAGCGGCUAACCAAGCAACUGCCAAAAGACAGCACUCGGGACUACACGGCAGCAGCAGCAUCUUGGAAAGGGCCAACACCACAGGCAGCGUUGGGUGCAGACACAACCUCUACUCAAGGUCGUCGGCGAUGAAGUUCGUGUCUUCCUCUGUAGCAACGAAGCAAGGGUGAGUACGAACGUACUCAGCAAGUCCAACCCCAUCCACGGAGGGGGAUACAAACAAGUAUAUGCACAGGAUACAACAAGGAUAGGCUAGAGUUUAUUUGCAAUAAAGCUAAAUUUUUCAACACGUGCAUAGGCUCGUUUGCAAACAAAUUUUUGUAAAGCUUUUCUUUAGUAACCGAACAAAAAGUAGGGUUGAUCCUACACAAAGGAUCCAUGUUUUUAUCGCUAUCGGACUCCCCGUCCGCCAUAGCGCACGGCACAACUGCCAGACUCUUCCAAAAUGCAACCCACACACACAAACACACACCAUCCAUGCCCAAGUGCUAGUUAUGUGACCAAGCUGUAACUCGUCCAAUGCUGUGGACACGGCUACCCGGAUAGGUUUUAACUCUGCAGAGGUUGUACACUUUUCCCACAAGCAGGGUACCGCAGUACGAUCACUUUAGUGCUGGUGCGGAUCCUAACAAAGCCAUUACCCACCUUAGCUAAGACUGGCUAGCCCUCACGGAAGCACCCAAGGGGUUCACGGCUCAUCCUCGAGACCGUAACCAGGACCUAAGUCACCAAGAUCUUAUUCCUUUUCCAUGGGCUCCCGCUGCUCACCAGCACCCCUGAAGACUAACAGUUCAGCUAGUGGGAUUUAUGCUAAGCCGUUGCCCAUACAACGGUCGAGUGGUUGCACGAUGGUUGAAUUAGGCAAGAUGACACAUCAACUCGGUCCUUAACCAUGACAAGAUGGAUAUCUCACGACAUUGCUCAACCACCAAGGUACGAGCACAACACCCUGGCAUCCCACACAAGGAAUACCCAUCCAUCCUAUCUACACAUCCUUUCCCUUGAACCCAGAAAGUCAUUUUCCCUUAUUUGCACACACACACACAUGUUUAUUUUUCGAAAACAUAAUUGUAGUGAUGAUUGUAUUUGAGUAGUAAUUUCCUAAGCAUUCUAGCGGUGGCUAUCGACCAAAUAGAGUGAAUCAUAUUUAGAGACAACCAUAGGAUAACAAGGAAUGUUCAUAACAAUCAAGGGGUGGCUAUCCAACCAUGUCUUGCAAUAAAACAAUAUGCAUUUUAUAAAACAGGCCAAUAGGUUGUGUUUGAAAAACUGGGUAUUAAGUAUGCAUCAAAGGGUGAGAUUGGACUUGCCGUCUUCAAAGUCUUCCGGGAGUUCCGGCUCAUGUUGCUGAUCCUCGGGCUUGGGCUCACGGUCAAACUCCUCCUCGGGAUCCUCCUUGGGCAAUCCGCGAUCUACGGCACACACAAACGGACACACAAAUAAAUAAAAGAAAUAGCGGUUUUUAACUGUGAGCUCCGAACAGAAAAUGUGAAUGGAAAAUAGGUAGAAAGAUUACUUUUCAGAAAUUUGGAUAUAGAUCGGCGGAAGUAUUUUGGAGGAUGAUGUGGUAAAAUUUGGGAUUAAUUGGAGGAAGUUUGGCGCAUGAAAUGACGGGUUAAACAUGAAUUAGGGGCUUAAACGGAGGUUUAGGACUGAGUUAUAAUAAACCAGGGACUUAUUUGCGAAUACUUUUGGAGGUGGAGGGGUCGAUCUGCGAAAUAGCCUUUGAAAGAGUUGGAAGGACCUAUGUGUAAAUUGGGGAAACUUGGGGGUCGGAUCGAGAUUGGAGGACUUUAGCUUUUCUUCUUCCAGGAAGGGAGAGAGAGUGGGGAGUUGGGGAUCCGGCGGCGGCCGGCCGGCGGGGCUUCGCCGGCGGCGAGCCAUGGGCCGGGGGCGGCGGAGGGAGGGGGAUCCAUUUGGCCCCUUACCUUGGAGUUUCGGAGAGGGAAAAAGGGGGGCGGCCGGCGGUGGUCCGGUGGAGGCAGCGUUUGGGCGGAGGAGUUUGGGUGGUGGCGGCGCUAUUUGCGGCGGCGGGGCUCGGCGCGGGCACCCGGGUGGCGGUGGCGGGGGUUGGGUGUGGAGGAGGUGGCCGAGGCGCCCCUCCUUUUAUAGGCCGGCAGUGGCGUACUAACCGGCGGGAAGGGUGGGGGUCCGGGUCCGGCGGCGUACGGCGGAGGUAGGGGUCAGACAGGUCGGGCCGGCGGCGUGGGCGCUGGGUGGAGUCGUUGCGGCGGUCGGCAUGGCAAGGGGCGGGACCGGCGGCGUGCGGGAGGUGGGGGUCCGGUGGUGGCGCGCCGGGCAGAGUGGCCGAUGGGCCAAACCGGCCGGGGAGCCGGCGCGGGGCGGCGGCACGUGGCCCAAGUGCGGGCCUAAGGUGGCUGGGCGGCGUGGCGCCUGGGGGCGUGGGCACCGGCGGGAGUAAUGGCACCGGGCCGAAUGGAGCAGUGGCGCCAGUGGAAGUGGUGCCGGGUGCCAGGGAGAAGAAAGGAGGAGAGAGAAGAAGGAAGGAAGAAGAAAGAAGGAGGAAGAAAGGAAAGAGGAAAAAGAAAAGAAACGGGGAGGGAAAAAGAGAAAGAAAAAGAGAGGGACCGGCGGCGUUCGCGGCACGCGGUUAGAGCACGCGCGCGGCGUCUGGUGACGGCACGCGGCGGAAAAUACGGGCACGGAUAAAGAGAUAGGGGUCGGCUUGGGUGCCGGGACGGCGAAAUCGCCGGGAAGGUUUUGGAAUUCCGGGAGCUCAGCGGUAAAAAGAUUUUAAAGACGAUUUUUAACGGGUGAUUUUAGUUGGUGAUUUUCGCGGAUGUUACAAACCUACCCCACUUAAAUUGAAUCUCGUCCUCGAGAUUCGGCUGAGUCCUGAAGAGGUGGGGAAAUUCCUUCUUUAAUGUGUCCUCACGUUCCCACGUGGCCUCUUCUUCGCCAUGUCUACUCCAUUGCACUCUGCAGAUCCGGACUGCUGUAUUUCUUGUCCUUCUUGUGACGGUGUCCAAAAUCUUGACGGGCACUUCUUGAUACUGAAGGUCCUUUUGUAGGUCUAUUGUCUCCACCGGUACUUGUUCCUCCGGUACUCUCAACCAUUUCCUCAGCUGAGAGACAUGAAAUACCGGGUGUAUAUCCGACAUUUCUUCGGGCAGUUGGAUACGGUAUGCUACGGCUCCAACUCUCUUUAACACCUGGUAUGGUCCAAUAUACCGAGGGGCUAGUUUUCCUUGCACUUGAAACCUUCGAGUACCCCAAAUCGGAGAGACCUUGAGGUAGACAAAAUCUCCCUCAUUGAAGCACAAUUCCCGUCUUCUUUUGUCCGAGUAGCUCUUCUGUCUGGACUGUGCAGGCUUCAGCUUCUCUCGGAUUUCUGCCACAUGGUCUUCUGCUUCCUUGAUGAAAGCUGGUCCGACCAGGGAGCGUUCUCCCACUUCUGACCACAUCAAAGGGGUCCAACACUUUCUACCAUAAAGGGCCUCAAAUGGUGACAUGCCUAGGCUGGCUUGAUAACUAUUGUUGUAUGAGAACUCUGCAUAGGGUAAACUUUGUUCCCAAUCCUUGCCACAGGUGAGGACACAUGCUCUCAACAUAUCCUCCAUGAUUUGAUUUACCCGCUCUGUUUGGCCAUCGGUCUGGGGGUGAUAGGCUGAACUAAAGUCCAAUUUAGUGCCCAUGGCUUUAUGCAAACCUGUCCAAAACCUGGAGGUGAAUUGGGUCCCUCUAUCCGAGACGAUCCUGCUGGGCACACCAUGCAGCUUUACUAUGUUAUCGACGUAGAGUCGGGCUAGCCUUUCUCCACCAUAAGUGGUCCGUACGGGUAAAUAGUGAGCAACUUUAGUGAGUCGGUCUACUAUUACCCAUAUGGAGUCAUUUCCCUUCUGAGUUCUAGGCAAGCCUACUACAAAAUCCAUGCCAAUCUCAUCCCACUUCCAAACCGGGAUAGGCAAGGGUUGCAGCAAGCUGGCUAGCUUCUGGUGCUCGGCCUUGACCCUUUGGCAAGUAUCACAACGGGCGAAAAACUGAGCUAUGUCCUCCUUCAUUCCAUUCCACCAGUACUUCUGUUUCAAGUCCAUAUACAUUUUGGUGGACCCGGGGUGAAUGGAGUAUGCCUAGUUAUGGGCUUCGUCCAUGAUGGUCUGCUUGAACUCUUCGUCCUUGGGGACACAAAUUCUAUCCUUGUACCACAGGGUUCCUUUGUCGUCCACCCUGAAAUCUGGGGCUUUAUUUUCUCCGGUCUGCUUGCGGAUUUUUACUAAGUCCUGAUCUGAACUCUGGGCUUCUCAGAUUUUAUCCUCCAAGGUGGGCUGGACACUUAGCUUGCGGCUAGUAUUCUGGGGAACUAUGUGUACAUUUAGCCGAGUUAUCUCCUCUUGUAGGCGGGUGUUCUCGGGUCCGGGCUGUCCAUAGGACUUUCGGCUUAAGGCGUCAGCCACAACAUUAGCCUUACCGGGGUGAUAGUGGAUUUCUAGGUUGUAGUCCUUUACCAGUUCUAACCACCUCCUUUGCCUUAAAUUCAGAUUGGGCUGGGUGAAAAUGUACUUUAGGCUCUUAUGGUCGGUGUAGAUUUCACACUUAUUCCCAAUCAGAUAAUGUCUCCAGAUCUUGAGGGCACGCACUACGGCUGCAAACUCUAAGUCAUGGGUUGGGUAGUUCUGUUCAUGGGGCUUAAGUUGUCGGGAAGCGUAUGCCACAACCUUCCCAUCCUGCAUGAGGACACACCCUAAUCCUUGUCGGGAUGCAUCACAGUAGAUGACGAAGUCUCGCUGGAUAUCAGGUAAGGUUAAUACUGGGGUUGUCGUCAACCUCUUCUUCAGCUCUUGGAAGCUCCGCUCACAUGACUCAGUCCAGGUGAACUUCUUAUCCUUCCUGAGCAGCUCUGUCAUGGGCCGGGCUAUCUUGGAGAAUCCCUCAAUAAAUCUCCGGUAGUACCCAGCUAAACCCAGAAAACUCCUGAUCUCACUAACAUUGGAGGGUUGCUGCCAGUUGGAGAUGGCUUCAAUUUUCUCAGGAUCAACUGCAACUCCUUCUGCGGUCAGGAUAUGACCAAGGAAUGCCACUUUCUCGAGCCAAAAUUCACACUUGCUGAAUUUAGCAUAGAGUCGGUGGGCUCUCAAUUUCUCUAACACCACCCGUAUGUGUUGUUCAUGCUCCUGAACACUCUUGGAGUAAAUAAGUAUGUCGUCAAUAAAGACUACGACAAACUUAUCUAACUCAUCCAUAAACACCUUGUUCAUGAGAUUCAUGAAAUAAGCAGGUGCAUUGGUCAAUCCAAAAGACAUCACGGUAAACUCAAAUUGACCAUAAUGGGUGACAAAAGCCGUCUUUGGGAUGUCGCUCUCCUUGAUCUUGAGCUGAUGAUACCCUGACCUUAGAUCUAUCUUAGAGAAAUACUUGGCUCCUUUCAGCUGGUCGAAUAGGUCAUCUAUUAUGGGGAGGGGGUAUUUGUUCUUAAUGGUGACCUCAUUCAGUGCGCGAUAAUCUACGCACAUCCUCAUACUCCCAUCUUUCUUCUUGACAAAAAGUACGGGGGCUCCCCAUGGGGAUGAGCUAGGCCUGAUAAAGCCACUCUGCUGCAAUUCCCCCAACUGCUUCUUCAGGUCGGCUAACUCUGAGGCUGCCAUCCUAUAGGGUCUCUUGGCUAUAGGGGAGGUUCCGGGGACGAGGUCAAUUACGAACUCUAUGUCCCUGUCAGGGGGCAUUCCAGGUAGUUCCUCAGGAAAGACAUCCGGGUAUUCACUCACUACCGGGACCUCUUCUAUGGUCUUGGUCUCCAUGCUAAACACCAUGGGGUCUGGACCACUUCCUCGGGUGUGACAGGUCGCUUGCACACCAUCCCUAUUGGUCAGGCGUACUACCUUAUCAGCACACCCUAUAUGACCGUCAUGCAGGCUCAACCAGUCCAUACCAAGAAUCACAUCUAUCCCCUUAGACUUAAGUACUACUAGAUCUGCUAUAAAUUCUACCCCACUUAAAUUAAUCCUUACCCAGGAACAACCUAGUCGACACUGGAUGUCGGCCCCAGGAGUCCGGGUUAAUAGGGGUAACUUUAGUAAUACUGUGGGUAUAUGGUGUUCUUCCACAAAACUUGAGGAUAUGAAGGAAUGUGAUGCUCCAGAGUCAAAAAGUAUUGUUGCCAAGACUGAGCUGACUAAAAACUCACCGAGUACCACGCCCUGAGCUUCGCGAGCCUCUUGCGCGCUGAUGUGGUUGACAUGGGCUCGUCCAAAUGAUUGCUGGGGCGGCCUCAUCUACUAACUGUUGUUGUUGCUGGGCUUGUUGUUGCUGCGGCCCUGGAGAAGGCUGCUGGCUUGUUGGCAUAGAGGCAGUUGGCGAUGAAAUGACCUGGCUCUCUGCAGUUGAAGCAUGCCCUGCCGUUGCUGGUGAUUUGGCUGGCGCUGCUCUGUGGGGUCUUGGCAGGGUUCUGGCUCCUGAACAGGGCAGCGGUCUGGUGCGAACCGGGUGUUUGGGACUGGGUCCGGUAAUGCAUGGGAGCUUGGGACCUAGGUAAGGGGUGACCGAAGCUCCUUUGCUUCUGGAAUCGGUCCUACUGGUGAGUCUUGCUCUCCAGGAACCGGCACUUGUUGUCCCUCCGUUCUUCUGCCUUGGCCCUCUCGGUCAAGAUGGCCAUGUUCAUCAAGGUGUUGAAGUCGGGGUAGAUCUGGGGAGUGAGUAGGGUCCUCAGUUCUGCGUUCAAGCCUUUCUUGAACAUGUCCUGCUUCUUCUCAUCCUUAUCCACCUCCUCUAGAGCAUAACAGGCCAGCUCCAUGAACUAGAAGGUGUACUCCUCCACAGAUCUGUUUCCUUGGCGGAGCUCGUGGAACUCAUCCGCCUUGCGCUUCAUGGUGGCUGUGGGGAUAUGGUAGCGACGGAAUUCCAUCAUGAACUCAUCCCAGGUGAUCGUGGAGGCAUCCUGGGCGGCAGAGCAGUAGUUCUCCCACCAGGCUAGGGCAGUUCCAAUGAGCUGGUGGGCCGCCAAGAGAACUUUGUCCCUGCCCUCGCAACCAAAUGGCUCCAGCUUCCUCUGGAUGAUGCACAACCAGUCAUCUGCGUCCAGCGGGUUGACGGACCCACCAAAAGUGGGUGGCUUGGUCCAGAGGAAGUCCGUCAACUUCUCAUUCAUGUUCUGCCCGCAGGGCCUCUGGUGGGUAACGGCGUUGGCCAGAGCUUCCAGUAGAAGGGUCUGGUUGUUCAUUACUUGAACCAGAUCAAUAACUGGUGGGGGUGGUGGCUGCUGUGUUCCCACUUGGCUUUCUCCCCUUCCUUCUGGCUGGCUUACUUCCUGUUCCUCAGGAAGCACUGCCGGAGGUGGUUCUUGCCUUUUUGGCUGCCUCUCAGCACUGGGGGUGGCAUGGGCCUGACUUGGGGAAGUCCUGGUGGUACACUUGGGCGGCAUCUGCAGAUUGAGUGAGACUUUAUGAGAGUGGGAUUUGGAUUUUAGUGAUCUUUAAAGUGGUUAUUUCGUAUUUUUGAAGAGACAGAAUCCACCUCCUGUCGACAAACACACAGACUAACAAGCAACAAACACAAGCGAUUUUAUUUAUUUUGCCAUGAGGGGGGGUACAACACUGCUGGGGUAAGGCCAAAACACGUACUACACGACCGGUUACAACAACACAACUGGAGGGGGUACAACUCUAAACUAUGGACCAUGUCGGCUUCAUUCUCUGGACAUCUUUGGGCGGGGCAUACUACUCGCGGGGCGAGUCUUCUCCCUGGACUAAGUGGUCUUCUAGCGGGAUGAGGAGGGCCAGCACCUCAUCCUUCAAAGUCCCGCCCGCUGGAGGGGUCUCGGGCGCCUCUCCAUCCGACACCUCAGAGUUCCUUUCCGAGGGCGGUGGCGCUGGGGUGGCAUCUGGGCUCUUCCGUUUACUGGACCCUGGGGCGAUGGGAAUUCCUUCAAGGAUCGGGGCCUCUUCAUCCUCGGUGGCCACCAUCCUCCUCCUGGCACGAAUGGUGAGGUGGGCAUCCUUCAGUUCCUUGGAGUGCUGAUCCUCAGCCUCCUUGAGAGCCUCCACGGCAAUGGCCUCGUUGCUUUGAGCGGCUGCGGCUCGGGCUUCGGCGGCGGCUAACUUCACCUGAAGCCUUCUCACCAUAACCUCUGCAUCCUCGGCCCUACGAGUCUACUGCUUCAACUUAGCAGCCUACUCGUCGUAGAGCUCGUCCAAGGUGAGAAGGUAGGCAGCCAUGUGGAGUACAAUGGGAUCGUCCUCGCGCUGUCCACGUCCUUCCAAGGUUCUCACCCGGGCCAGCCAUACCGGGCGGUUCUUCUUGAUAGGCGGGUAGAACCUCAUCGGAGUGCGGCCGAUGUGCCUCUCGUAGAUCUGGCAUAGGAAACGGAGGGCCUUCCGAGCUGCCACUUGAUAAGUAUCCUUGUGUCGGAAGCCGGUGGCAGUCACAUUCCAAGGCUGGAUGUCGGGGUAGCGGCUACUCCGCCCGAUGUAGAUAAUCAUCUCACAUCGAGGGGUUCCGCGGUCCUCGUAUUCCCUGCUGGUGUACUCCGGACGCUCGUAGAUUCCGAGGCGGUCCAUGCAAGCGAACAAUAAUCUAGGAAAACCGGGCUCCUCCAGGCAGUGGCUGUUGACCCAUCCUUCCUCGGCCAUCUGGAAAAGAUCCGGGCAUAAAUUAGUUUCGCAAUAGAGCAGAGGUAGGCAAAAAUUUUAUAAAUCUUUUAUUUUGGUCAAAAAGGGCUAAUCCAGUCCUAAGGUCGCGUCCUACAGCCAACGAUGGCUCUGAUACCACCUGAAGCGUCCCCACUUAAGUAGAGACUAAAUGUGACACAAAUAUCAGUCCCAGGAGGCUGAUAACACAUUUAUUCGACAGGUAAUUCAGUUACCGUACACUCCCCAUGUAAGUAGAGACUAAAUGUGACACAAAUAUCAGUCCCAGGAGGCUGAUAACACAUUUAUUCGACAGGUAAUUCAGUUACCGUACACUCCCGGGAGUGUACGGUAACUGAAUUACCUGUCGAAUAAAUGUGUUAUCAGCCUCCUGGGACUGAUAUUUGUGUCACAUUUAGUCUCUACUUAAGUGGGGACGCUUCGUAGAUUCAGGAAAAUUAAAAAAAUUUAUUGGCAUGUCAAAAGAAGUAAAGAGGAUUGUACUAUCGAACUACGAGUGUUCGUUAGUUAAGUCUGAUUAGAAGAAAAAAUGGCGAGGAGUGUCGUUUUUUAGUCGUACUGCCCCCAGCUCAGGGAUCUAGCAGAUAAAGAUGCUCAAACUAUAGCAGCAAUGCCCUUAGAACAACAAAUCAGAGUCAUUGGAUUUAUGCAAGAUACAUGUAUGUCGCUUGCUAAUGUUCUAGGGCAAUUUGAACUGCUAGCUCCAGAGCCAAUUGUAUCUUAAUGGUGCUUUGAGGUAGGCAAGCGUCUAGUAAGGCUGAAUUGGUAUGGAAGCUCUCCACGAAGAUAUACGAAUUCCAUGAAUGGUACAUGGAGCAAGCUGCCAACGAGAGGCUCAUGUUCGCUCUUCGGGUUAAACCGAUUGAUUUUUUCGAUGAAGGUGAGAAACUCCUAUGGAUGGAAUUCAAGGCCUUGACGUCUCUCUCAUGAGCACCUGGUUCUGUAAGUGUCUCUUUAUCAGUAUGUAAAUUUUUGCUCAGGUCAUUAUUUUUUAUGUGUGCGUCAUCCUACUAAAUUCGUCUUCCAUUGUAUGUAGAAUGCAAAUUCAGAGGUGCCACAGAGAAUCAUACUUUAAUGUUGGCUUCAUAGAUCCAUUGUUCGUUAACCAAAAUCAAAUACGGGAUCAGCCAAAGAAAACAUUGGAGGCAGUAUACAAUUUUUUGGAGAAACAAAAUUACAAAGAAUACAUACUACUACCAUACAACUUUAAGUAAAUGUGGGUACCAUCUAUUUUCAUUUUCUUAUUCCUUACCUAAUUAAUGGUAGUUAGAUCUAAUAUGAACAUUUAUGUACGCAGUUUUCAUUGGAUCCUCCUAAUAAUUAUGAUUGAUAAAAGCCAUGUCGUUGUGUUCGAUUCAUUGAGGAUUUCGAUUCAUUGAAGAAACCACCGGUGAAGUACCAAGACAUUCAAGAUAUGCUAAACUCUUGGAGAAGGGGAAUAUUUUGGCAAUAUGUGAAGGUCUCAUAGGAUUCCUGGUGGACGAGGUGAUAAAUCCCGCGGGAGAAUUUUAUUACGACGGACGUUCAAUAGCCGCACCGAGCAACACCACGACAGGACGAUGCUAGAAAUGAAGUGGACAAAUUAUUGUAUAUAUAGUAAUUAUACAAAUACUAGUUUGAUGUGUAUAAUAUACUAAUAAUUGUAUUUAUAUAUAUUACUACUAUGAAAUAUAUAUACAACUUGCAUACAAUAUUAAUAUGACUUGAAUACAAUAUUAAUAUGGAAAAGAAUUUUUUUAAAAAAAUCUGUUGGCGCUAAAAAUCAGCCGAUUGACUCUCAGCGUCGGACACACGACCUGGGAGAAUCUGCUUAGCUCCUGUUCGGGUGAUCGCCCUGGUGAGGUUGGCGUGGUGUGCCAGCCAAUCUGACCUGUUGAUUGGCAAGGAAGAAACAUGUCAAAUUCCAGGGGUUGCGAUCGGCUAAGGUUCCGAUCUCGAGGAAGCGUAUCAGCGAAUCGGCCGAUUUGCUAUAAAAAGAUAAUCGGCUAUAAUACAGCCGACAAACACGCAGCGAUUAUAAAGAAAACUACUAGAGUAAACUAGAUAACGCUACAGGAGCAACACUUGAAAUAGAUCUAAUCAGCUAUGUGAAGAUAAUGAAUGAAAAUAACGAUAAUCAAGCUGACAGCUCUAAUCUCAAGCUGGAUAACUGGUGAUAAAACUAGAACAACAGGUAAAACCUAGAAUUCUAGUAAAUAUCGAUAACUGGUGAAUAAAUCUAAACGAAACGACAGCAAUGCGCCCAAAAUUAAAGCUUAGAUAUUACUCGAUAAACGGAACUUACAGAAUCGGCCGGAUAUCGUGUCGAUGCAGCCCUGCCAACCCGUACGAACUCGUGAAAGAAGAAAAGUAUUGGUGAAGUCGCCGACUUGAAAGUAAAGUAUGAGGAAAUAGUAGAUUGUUGUAUUGAUUGAUGUGUUGUUUACAGAUCUCUAAAGAUUGCUAUUUAUGGCCUAUUACAACCAAUUUCCUAACCGACUAGGAUCUAUCUCUAAUUUUAAACGAAAACGAAUAUUUACAAGUACAACUCGUAUCGGAGUUGGUUGUUGCACUCCUGCGGGCCAAUCCCCCUUCGUCUUGUCUUUCUGAUCCACUUUAAACCCAUAUUGGCCCAAUUGCUCCAGCCUUUCAAUUGGCCGAUCUCUACCAACUCUAUCCAUCAGAAUACUGUAGCGCCAAUCGGCCGAUCUCCAACUGUAGCACCAAUCGGCCGAUUCCCAAUCGUGACCUUUUAACUUGCCGUAUCAGCCAAUCCUUUCCUCCUUGACGCCGAUUCCAUACGUGUCAAAAUCUGGCGUCAACACAUGCCCCCCAGUUUCGGAGUAAAACAUAAUCUUUACUUCGAAAUUCCUUUUCAACUUCUCCUCCGAAACAAACGCAUUAAAAAUAUCCUUCCAUUUCGCGGUCUUCUGCCUGAUGAUUGCAAUCUUUUUGAAACGGGUGCCUGAGACAAGAACUCCCUCCUCAGGGUCUUCCUCCUCCUCCGGGGCGAUAUGCUCAUCUAGCUGCAUUUCUAAAGCAUGGAUAGCAUUGACCUCGGCAUGGUGCUCGGCCAAGUGUGCAUUAGCAACUGCGAGCUCCAUCUCAACCCCUAGCUUUUCCUCCGUGAGCAGCACCAUAUCAUGCUCCAUGUUCGUCACUUCUUCUUCGAGCUCGGAAAUCCUGGUCUGCAUAUUGGAGACCUGUAUGGCCCUUUGGAUAAGCUGAUAUGACUGUUCUGCCAAGUCUCUCUUGGUGGUGUUGAAAUGCUCCUGGGUGUCUACAGCUAUCCGAGCCAAGACAGCCAUAGCCCGUCCUUGAAGCUCAAUCAGUCGGUACAAAGCUGACAUGCACCUUGUCGUGGUAGAAAUAGUGACCAGCGAGUGUGAGGCUGCCAACACCUCCAUGUUGUUGACGCGGUCAAGCCAAGCCAGGUCCAGCCGAUCCCUAGCAGGGAACAAACUCAUCGGGUCCAAAAGGACCUCAAACGGGUGUAGCCGGCAAAACUGAGUGAGAGCUUGCAAGGCAGCUGACUCCCAAGUGUCCUCAAGGGUAUGACCGUAGGUCGAGACCUCAAGCUGGGGCCACUCGGGCUGCACAGCGGAUGGAGGUACAACCACUUGCACAUUGCACCGUUGUACUCCGUGUUCUUGGUACUCACGUCCCGCGUAAAGAGGCGGUGACUGGUACCCGAACCACCUCAAAGUAUCCCACAAAAUAGCAGGAAAGCCCUCGAAGUGUAGGCAUGUGGAGUGGGAAGUGCCAUCGACGCCACGAAACACAUGUCCGGAAGCAGCCAUCUGGAACUAAGAACCAAAACAAGCGUGAGAUAGAAACCUCAAAAGAGAAUAGAUCGGGCAGGGUGAGACACUCAGAUUUCUAACCAGAGCGCAAACUAAGAAGGUAACUAGAAAUCCUUAAAGUGAAGAAGAGCUUAAAACCAGGGCAAGGUUGUUUUAGGGAUGUGGGUUUACAGAUUUUUGUUCAUGAUGCAUGCACGACCUACAUCGUUCUCUCAACCAAAAUAACUGCCAAAAGCCUUGGUCUUACGCAGUCAGUGUCGGUGGCAAGGCAACAAUUACGUCACUCCCUAUAGUAGCUAGUCAGUUGCUAACAUCGUUUUCCUUUGCGAACGCGGUUAGUGUACCUGCAGAAAACACAACCACAUGAACCUUUCAUGCCAGCACUCAUGAAAGCGUCCCCAAGCAUUACCGUUCACUAUAGAAACGGUACCCAUGCGUUUAACGCUGCAUGGACAGUGCAACAACCGUGGAAAUAGGUCCCCUUUGAAUAGGACCAUAUAACCCUUCGCAUACUCGCGAUGCGGAAUCUGCACACGUAUAAUAGACGUGGGCGAACAACCGUGACGAUAGGCUUGUUGGAAUCGAACCAUACCACCCUUCGUAUCAGUUAACAUAUGGAACCUGCGCAAGUAUAACAAAUGUGGGUGAAAACAACCACGAUGAUAGGGUCCCUUGAAUAGAACUCCCUAUCAACCCUGCAUACUCGUGAUGCCGAAAUCGGCACACGUAUGAUACACGUGGCGAAGUGCUGGUGGUUAGCAAAAUAACUAAUAGAUAGUAGCCACCUGAAAUAACCCCAAAAUUCCCCUAGGGCCUCUCGUACUAAGGUCAUCCUUAACAAUCGUACGAGAUUUUUCAACACAUUUCUUGCAAGUUUUAAUUUUUGAAAAGGUGUUUAGGACCUAUUGUGUUCUCUGUCCUGCUAAACCUGGUUCUGAUACCAGCUAUGGUGGAACACCUCAGAUUAACUUAGCUAAAGCACAUUUGAGUCGCCUAACACGCGAUCAUAUCCUUUAAUCAAGUUAACUCGACGAUCCGUUGGAUUUCAUCCGAUAAAACCACUUUACAGGACCGGGUUAGCAUAGCCUACCCGAGGGUGAGUGGUUCCAGAGAAAACAACAGAUCAACCUCUUAAACAAGUUCAAAUUGUAUUCCAACAUUGGUUUGAAAAUCAGAGUUUUAACAAGGUUCAAAAGCAAUGGAAAAAAAAGAUAAACAGAACAGCGGAAGCUAGAGCCGGGUUGGAUGUCCCUAAUGAGGCCGAUCAGGACAUCAAUGAUCCCUCUCCUCGCCGUCCGAGGAGGGAUCCCACUCAACCAUCCACCCAGGAGGAAGCUGGGGAGGCCAAGUGCCAACAGCAGCACACUCCAAAGCUUCAACAUCACCUGAAAGAUGUGCCACAAACAAGGCUGAGUUACUAAGCUCAACAAGACUUAACCAACAGGUGGAAAAACUACUCUGCCACUUCUAGACAUGCAAGGCUCUUUGGUUGAGGGGUUUAUUUUGCCAAAAGUGACUACAGUAGGUCCUUACUUUCAAUAUUUUAGCUCCGGUUCUAAGUUCACUAACCAGUCUACAUUGGCACUUAGGCUAAACAAACAUAGUUUCCAAACAACAUAUAUAUAGAACAAGCAUCAAGUUCAUAUCAUCAUCAUGUUCCAUCUUUACUCAGUGUAGCAUAGCGAUCAAGCAGUCUCAAGCUGUGAGAGGCAGAUGAAUCGAUUUGAAUUUCUUAACCAUGCAUGGCGAACCUAAUCUCACGACAUCUGCGCACCACCGAGGGUCGCUUCCUGUGUGGCCCGUCCCCAUCGAUCCCCUAACCCGUGUCGGGCCCACUUCUCUUGGUGCAAUGUUCCACAGACCUGGCCUCUGCUGUUCUGUGACCACACUUGCCACCACAUGCGUCCGCAAGGGAAAACUCCAUUCCAGAGAUAGUGGAUCGAACCGCUCACAUCCAGGUUCAAUCAGGUACUAGGCUUCCCCAUCCCAUACUAGGUAUAAGAUUAGUACUUUCAAACACAUGAUCACGAACACCAUCACUUUUAGAACUUAAUUAGAUUCAAGUAGACAGACGGGGCGAUCCACCGACCACCAAAAAGAGUUCACAAGGCCCUGCCCCGUCCACCGUCCUUAUAGUUUUAACCAGAAGGAGAACAACCAACUCCUAUAACUCGCGAGUGACAGGAAAUCACUCGACUUUUACCGAGUCCUCUUAAGCACUACAACUACUCGGACUUAUCAUGCUAGUGUUCAGAUCAAGGGAACUGAGUCAUGCAUCUAUGGUUUCAAACAACUCCUAUAACAUAAAUGCACAUACAUACAAAAGAAGGCAUGCGCAAGUUUAGAAAGAUUGGGUUAUGCUCCGGGGCUUGCCUUUGAUCGGGGUGGAAGCAAACUAGUCUUCAGCGCACUCGGCUUCAGCUCCUGCAGUCGGCAGCUCAGCUACCGCUCCGUCUUCAGGCAUCGGGUGCAGCUCAUAGGUGCCAUCAGCGAGGUUUAGUUCUACACAGAAAUGCAAAUGCAGAGGUUAAACACUUAGACGGUUAUUUCAACAACACUUGCACGCUUUAGCUCAGAAACUUGUAGCAAAGCUACAUGAAAAGGUGUGGAAUCCCAAGCUUCUGUUGAUAGAGAACAAGAUAAAGGGGUCGGGUCAGGAAAACUCAUGAUCUGACCCUCAGACGUAAGGAAUAACUGUACCAGGGUUCUCAGACUUGACACAGAGAAGUCCCGAAUUUUUAAACAGAUACCCUUGGUCAAAAGAAAGGAUACAGCCGAGCCCUCGGGCGAGGCGGACAAGGGUUGGCAAAACAGACAGGGUCGGACAAGAUGGAAAAGGGUUUGGGCGAAACGAGAAGGGUCAGGUGAGAGGGAAAGGGUUUGGGCGAGAUGGAAAGGGGUCAGGUGAGACGGAAAGGGGUCGGGCAAGAUGGAAAGGGGUUGGGCGAACCGGACAGGGGUCGGCAGCUUACCUUUAGGCCUACUGAUGAAGUCUUGGGGUCAGGAAGGAACAGACUCAGGUGGAAAGACUUUGGGCGGCGGCGGGGUUCGAUAGUGCUUCAGCGGUGGCAACGCUUCUUGUCAACAACAAGCAAGCUCUAGCACCGUGCAGAGGACACAAGUGGCUGGUAGGUUGGGAAAAGCGGGUGUUGAGCAGAGAGGGGGGGUUUCUCAAGAGCUUAUGCGGCAGUGCUUGAGUGUGAAACAGAGAAAGGUGCGGCAAGGCAACGAUGGUGAAGGGAACUCUGAUAGAGGCUCUGGUACUCCCAUUUAUAUCUGCGCGGAAGAGAAGGAGUUCGGGCAGCACGAGGAUCAGGUCGAAGAGGAUGGAGUGCUCUGCCGAGGUGGCGAUUGGUCAACACCUCCAUUGGCCGGCAAAGCGGAGCUUCGGGGAUAGGGUCUUCGGUCAUUGGGCACUAGAGACAGAGCUUGUGCAGGCGCGGUUUUGCCGGAAGGAAGGAUUGGUGAGGGUGAGCGCGGGUCUGGUUGCGUUAAGCGGCGGAUUGGGGGCGGCGGCUCAGCUAGCGUGCGGCAGGAAGGAACGAAGGCGCACUGCAGGCAAGGGCGCUGCAGGCGAGUUGACAGGGCGAGCGGCGACGCUAGUAGGCGCAGACCAGCGGCUUUAUCAGGGCAUGCUACUGGCGAGGCGGAAAAAGGAGUUGUCACUGCCGGAGAUGGGGUUGGCGAGGGUGGUAUCGUCACGGUGCGUGCGCGGGGGCAGCGCAACUGAGGGGACGACAGAAAAGAUGGAAGGCAUUGGGACACGGCCGGGGAUCCAAGUGAGAUGAUGAGCACGGGAGGUGAGCUGGUCUGGCGCGGCAGCGGCCAAUCCUUGGUCACAGCGGCGACAGGGCGCCUGGCGCGGCUGGCGAGGUUUCGGGCGAGACGAGACGAGGCAGAAAGGGCUGCAGGGCGCUUCCGCGUGCGAUUGGGAAGGAGGCGAGCUGAUCCAUCUUGUCGCGGCCGGCGACUUGGCGAGGCGGCGCUCGUCGGGGAGGUGGAGCCACGCGGCGGAGAGGCUCUAAAACCGGGCGCACGCUUGCUCGGGUGCGCUUGACCCGAGAGAUCCGUGGGAUCUAUUUCUGGGUCCACCUUCCAGUCUCUCGCUCUCCCAAACCCCCCAAGUUUGGAGGAACACUAGUUUUUGGGACAUAGAGAGAAAAAUGGCGGUUUGGCUGGGUUUCAAGGGUCGGGAUUGAGUCGAACGGCAGAUUUGGGAACUUGUCUCAAGACUAAGCUCGGCUGAUAAACCUAAGUCGUUACACCUGGGCUUCGCGUUUGGCCUUGCCCUUGUCCUAGCCGCCGUUGAAGACCACCCCGACUGUCUCCUUGCCAGAGGUGUGGUUUGUGGUGAUGUCAAGCAAGUCACAGGUGGUCCGGGGUUUGAUGCAGCCGAGCUUGUGGAUUAAAGAUUUGUAGGUCAUCCUAGAGAGGAACGUGCUGACAACGUCAGGGAGGGAGUUGCAUUGCUUGGAGAACCUGCGGACCGCAAGGACUCAUUGGGCUCCUAUUUACAACUUUUGAUGUCCUAGGAGUUCCUAGGGCGGACGUAGGUCCCCUAGAAGUUCCCUAUGAAGACCUUCUUGAGGUCCGCCUAGUCGCAGAUGCUUUUGGGUAGAAGGAACUCGAGCCAAGCUCAAACGAACUCCCCUACAUAGAUGGGGAUGUACUGGAUGAUAAAGUAAUCAUCAUCUACGCCAUCGGCUCGGCAGGCGAGCUGGAAGUCUUCCAACCAUACACCAGGUUUCAUCUCCCUAGUGUACUUGGCGAUGUUGAUGGGCGGUUGGAAGCGCUGUGGGAAUGGCGCUUUCAAGAUGCGGCAACCAAAAGCCCGUGGUCCCGAUUCAUUUGGGCUAGGACUCCGGUCGCCAUUCCGGUCACUCGGUCGGCCACCACACCUAGGGUGCACCUCCUCGCGUUCCUCGUCGGACCGGUCAUGGCCCGCGCCGCCUGCGCUCGCCACCAUUCGGUGGAUGUUGGUGUCAUGUCGAGCCAGGCGUCUCACGUGGAUGACACUGUGUGCGUCACGAUUUGGCCCAAGCUGCUCAUGCACGCGCUGGCACCAUGGAGCUAGUGCCGGGUUAAGCUGCGGCGUGGAUGCAGCAUUCCAUCCUGCACGAUGCGGCUGCGGGGGCAACCGGAUGGAGCGAUUCGGCUGGUGCGGCCCUAAUCCCUCGGUCGGGCAAAAGGCCGUGUGCCACUGUCGUGAUGCGGAGCUUUCUGCCUGCUAGAUGGCGGUGGUCUCUAUCAAUGCCCGGAGGUUCCGGUGGAUUGCCUGCUCCUGCGGGUCUAUUGCGCAAGCAAAGGAGCCAAGGAAUCACUAGAACAACAAACACGUAAUGCGAUGAUUUCAACUCAUUCAAGACUUCGUUAACUGAGGAAAGAUCAAGAUAUGCAAAAUACGCAUAGAUUUAAAUAUUUUGAUCCUUUGACAAAGCCUCUCCCACAGUCUAAGCAUGAUGCGCACAUAAGAGCUAUGGGUAUUACAUAUCUUCUAGAUUGACUCUAGUGCAAGUGGGAGACUGUUGGAGGUAUGCCCUAGAGGCAAUCAUAGAGAUGAUGAUAUUCCAUUGUAUCCAUGAUUUAUAUUGUGUUCCUCGAAUAUCCUUUAAAUGCUACUUGAAUUGAUUUGCAAUUAUGUGAGUUGUGUGUGAAACUCUUUACUUGUAUGAUUAUUCUAGAAGUUAUCCCUAGUCAGAGUUCAUGUGAGGACACACAUGAAUAUUAGACUAGCACAUGUAUUAGUUGAUGACUAUGUUUCAUAAGUCAUGGACAUGGAGAUGUCAAACUAAUAAUGUGGGCACGUGUAGAGACAUGCGCUAGGAAUGACCCAACGCGAGUUACAUAGUUCUCUCUUUACACAACGUGUAUGCUUUGUCCUUAGACCUGAGAUUGUCGCAUGUACUCAAGAUGUGGAUCUACUUACUUAGGGGCUAUCAAACGCUACACCAUAACUGGGUAGUUAUAAAGGUAGCUUUUGGGUUUGUCAAGAAUCAUGCUGUGAGGCAUGGUCAGUCAUGAUGGAAUUUGCCCCUCUCAACUUGAGAGAGAUAUCUCUAGACCCCUCAAGCAAUCGGAUUCGAAAAUGCAUGGCCAUGCUAGGUGAGGUUAAGAGUUAACCUAGAGAGGGAUUUCAAAUCACAGGAUUGAGAAAGAGAGGUCGGCUUGGAGCUAGACCAAAUAUCGUGAGGCAAAGGGAAUAGCAUGUACGUGAUGUUGUGAUGGUUCGUUUGAUAUGAUCUUCGUGUGCGUACAGGAGUUGGCACGUCUUGCUAGAGGCUACUGCCAACUAUUGGCUGAGUAGGAGUAGGGCUGGAAGCCCAAUGAGGAUAUGAUCUGAGUUGGACCAGGUUUAGGAGUACUAAUGGGCCUCGGACCUAGAGGCCCGUCAGGAACCCCUAUAUAUUGAGGGGUGGGGGCAGCUUAGGGUUUGAUCUCUUUUACACGAGCAGCAGCCACGCCUCCCACGCCCUCACCUUAUUGCACUCGUGGACCUAGCAGUCCAGCUUGUGACACUUCCUCCCCGCACGUGUAGAUACCUUGGAGGUGUUGCAUCUAUAGCACUUGGAGGAGCCACCGCACAAGAGCUUGACGAGCCAACGAGGAGCCUGACAAGCCUACGAGGAGCUUGACGAGCCAGCGCACGAGGAGGAAGUCGCUGCACAUGGACGAGCUGUUGAGGAGCUAUUGGACAUGGAGGUUUCGACCACGCUACCCUAACAAAGUGAUCGACUACACUACUCGACACGGUUCAUCAACUUCCGCAUCUGCGGGUCUAGUGGUAACAACAGUAUUCCUGGUUUACGUGGUAGAAAAUUUUGUUUUUGGCACUAGCGUAGCCUACCUACUAACCCUUCAGUGGUAUCAGAGCCGAUGCUAUUUAGUCAUGGGUUCAGGAUGUGUGCAUAUGGUGAUAUGCGAUUUUCAGAUUGAUCUAUGAUAUGGUUUUGUGAUCUUGCUGCAAUGAUCGUGUAACGACAUACUCCUACCAGUCAGAUUUCUGCCAUCGGAAUUAAGUGAUGCACGUAAUGUCAGUUGCAGCGAGCAAAGAUCAAUGUGAUUGGUCAAAUCGAAACCUAGGUUCAUACGCCAGAUGCAUAUGUGUUGGAGGUAUACCCUAGAGGCAAUCAUAGAGAUCAUGAUUAUAGGUAUGCCCUAGAGGUAUGCCCUAGGUCCAUUUGUAUCCAUGAUUUAUAUUGUGUUCCUUGAAUAUCUCUUAAAUGCUACUUGAAUUGAUUUGCAAUUAUGUGAAUUGUAUGUGAAACUCUUUACUUCUAUGGUUAUUCUAAAGUUGUCCCUAGUCGGAGUUCAUGUGAGGACACACAUGAAUAUUAGACUAGCACAUGUAUUAGUUGAUGACCAUGUUUCACGAGUCAUGGACAUGCAGAUGUUAAACUAAUAAUGUCGGCACAUAUGGAGACAUGUGCUAGGACUAACCCAACACGAGAAGUAGUUCUCUCUUUACACAACAUGUACGCUUUUGUCCUUAGACCUGAGAUUGUCGCAUGUACUCAAGAUGUGAAUCGACUUACUUAGGGGCUAUCAAACACUACACCGUGAUAGGGUAGUUAAAAGGUAGCUUUCGGGUUUGUCAAGAAGCAUGCUGUGAGAUAUGGUCACUCAAGAUGGGAUUUGCCCCUCUCUGAUUGAGAGUGAUAUCUCUGGGCCCCUCGAGUGAUCGGAUUCAAAAAUGCAUGGCCAUGCUACGUACGGUUAAGAGUUAACCUACAAAGGAAUUCCGAAUCAAAGGAUCGAGAAAGAGCGGUCAGCUUGAAGCUAGACCAAAUAUCAUGAGGCAAAGGGAAUAGCAUGUACAUAAUGUUGUGAUGGUUCGUCUAAUAUGAUCUUCGUGUGCGUAUAGGAGUUGGCAUGUCUUGCUAGAGGCCGCUACCGACUAUUGGGCCGAGUAGGAGUACUCCGGCCAUGUCUAUACGUAUCCAAACCCAUAGGGUCACACACUUAAGGGGCUGGAAGCCCAAUUUGGAUGUAAUCUGAGCUGGAUUAGGUUUAGAAGUACUAAUGGGCCUCGGACCUAGAGGCCCGUCAGUAACCUGUAUAAAUAGAGGGGUGGGGGCGCCCUAGGGUUGACACCUUUUUGAAAAAACACAUCUGCCGCGCCUCCCACGCCCUCGCCUAUUGCAACUCGCGGACCUAGCAGUCCGGCUUGCGACGCUUCCUCCCUGCACAUGUGGAAACCUUGGAGGUGUUGCGCCUGCAGCACUUUGACGAACCGCCGACGAGCCACGACGAGCCGCCGAUGAGCCGCGGCAUGAGGACGACCUUGCUGCAUGUGGACGAGCUGCUGAGGAGCUGCUCGACGUCGACGUGAUCGACUACGUGUUCGACUACGCUGAUCGACUUCACUGCCCCAACUCGAUUCUACAUCUUCCGCACCAGUACGUUGAGUGGUAAUCCUGUAAUCCAUAUACGGCAGUUUUCCUAGUUUACACGGUAGAAACAAUUUUGUUUUGUGCUAGCGUAGCCUACCUCGUAUCCCAACAGUGGUAUCAGAGCCAUAGCUGUUUCAUUUUGGAUUUGGGAUGUGUGCAUAUGGAGAUAUGCGAGUUUUCAGUUUGAUCUAUGUCCUGGUUUCGUGUUCUUGCUACAAUGGUUGUGUAACGACAUACUCCUACCAGUCAGAUUUCCGCCAUCGAAGUUAAGUGAUACACGUAAUGCCAGUUGCAGCGAGCGAAGAUCAAUGUGAUUGGUUGAAUCGAAAUCCAGGUUCAUACACCAGGCGCAUGAGAUGCACAAUAGUAGAUUGGAUCUACUGCCGGGUUGAAAUUUUGCCGUGUGCGUGUGCUUCAGUAAAACAGCCGUAACUUUUCGGUACGAUCUCGGAUCGGGGUGAAUUUUAUAUGAAAAUUGAUCUACAGAAAAGGUUACACAUGAAAUUCAACCGCUUUUCUAUUUUCGGUAAAAUUAAUUUUCCCAAAUUCGGCUUGGAAGAUGGAGUUUUGGGCCUCUGAAGUUUGGAACGUUAGAACACCUAACUCAGUUUUGCAGACUGUAUGUAUCUUGUGAUCAGUAUGGCCCUUUGUGUAUGUGAUGCAUGUGUGUAACUCAUUCAUGACCUGCAUGUCACGCGUACGGCAACACGGCUGGAGCCAUAUGUGUUGUCACUUUAAUGUAUUUAAUGGUCUGCGUACAAAUCUGUGAUGAUCCAAGCAACUAUGUAAUCUUCCUUACUAGCUAUUAGGCAUCAUAGCAUGUUCUAGUUCUUGGAGGACUCAUCACCAGGAGGAUGGCGCACAUGGAACAUGGAGAUGAAGAUCACCAUGGUGAACAGGUUCUGUGGAGAUGGAGGUCACCAUAAGAAAACGGGCCAUAUUGUGUCACAACUGUGUGCAUGUUAUUCUUUAUGUUUUACUUCCUGCAUGAUGUGAUGUUAGAAGUAGAACGAUCCCACACAAAUUUUAAGUUAGUAUGAAAUUAGGGUGCCACUAGUUUUCCUUGACUAGACGGGUUUGUGUCGGACACUUACACGCAUAAGGGUUGGUUUGCUUAAAAAUGUUACCUUAACGGUUAAGGACCUUGGGGCAUCAAGGUUGGGCGCCGAGACAUGGAGAUGUCACCCAACAACAGGAGUCAUAUGUGAUAUGAUUAGCAAGGAAUUGCUUACCGAUCUACCUUGUUUGCUAGCGGUGAUGCUAAAGCUCACUAGUAGACUUGUUAGUUGUGGAUCCUGAAUCACUAAGUACCAAUAGAGGGAUAUUGAUUUUAGUGGGAGUAGAUUCUGUAAAUAGUUUAAUGUGAUUUACUCUAUCAUGGAUACAUUUGUCUUAGUGUAUUUUGCAUUACUUUUGUUGUAGAUUAAAUGGCACCUAGCAACACCAUAUCAUUUGCUUUGCGUUCGGUCCUUGAGAAGGACAAGUUGAAUGGAACAAACUACUCGGAUUGGAUCCGUAACCUAAGAAAAGUUCUAGACACCCCAUUACCAUAAGUGCCUGGUGAUGAUGCAUCUGCUGCCGUUAAGGCUGCUUACAAGAAAGCAUUUGAUGCCAAUCUUGAGGUUAGCUGCCUUAUGCUCGCUUGCAUGGAACCUGAGCUACAAAUGCAGUUCGAAACGAAUCAUGAGGCACAAAAUAUUAUCGUGGCGCUCAAGGAUAUAUUCCAGACACAGGCUAGGACCGAAAGGUUCAAUGUGUCCAAGGCCUUUCUGGAGUGCAAGCUAGCAGAAGGCGUAGCAGUAGGACCACACGUAAUCAAAAUGGUUGGUUACACUCAGCGAUUGAAGAAGCUGGGCUUCUCAAUGGGCAAAGAGUUGGUCACUGACUUCAUUCUUUCAUCUAUUCCUCCUAGCUAUGGGAUCUUCAUCUCGAACUACCAUAUGCAUGGGACGGAGAAGGAUCUGAAUGAACUGUGUGGCAUGCUCAAGACAGCAGAGGUUGACAUUAAGAAAAGCGCUAGUAGCAGCCAUGUGAUGGCUAUACAGAACAAGCCUAGCUUCAAGAAGAAGGGCAAUUCUUGGAUGAAGAAGGGCAAGGCUGGAGUGUCCAAGCCAAACCCAGCGCCCAAGGCUAAAGCUGGACCUGCUCCAGACAAAGAGUGUUUUUAUUGUCAUGAACUUGGUCACUCGAAGAGAAAUUGCAAGCAGUACCUAGCUUCGUUGAAGAAUGGCAGAAGUAAGAGUACUUCCACCUCAGGUAAGCUUGUUAUUAAUGUUAUAGACAACUUUCUCACUGAUACAAUUAUUAAUUCUUGGGUAUUUGAUACCGGAUUGGUUGCUCAUAUUUGCAAUUCGAUGCAAGGAAUGAUAAGAAGUAGAAGCGUGGAAAGAGGAGAAGUUGAUUUCCGCGUGGGCAAUAAUGCAAGAGUUGAUGCAUUGACCGUCGGGACGAUUCAACUCCACCUCCCAUCAGGAUUUAUUAUGGAGUUGAAUAAUUGUUAUUUCGUUCCGAGUUUAAGUCGAAACAUUUUGUCUCCUUCAUGCUUGAUGAAGGAUGGUUAUUCAUUUGCGAGUGAAAACAAUGGUUGUGUGAUCUCUAAGAAUGAUAUGUUUAUGUCUUUUGCACCCAUUGUGAAUGGAUUGUUUGUUUUAAAUCUUGAUGGUUCACCUAUCUGUAACGUAAGUGCUAAAAGGUCUCGGCAUAAUGAUUUGAGUUCUACCUACUUGUGGCAUUGUCGUUUGGAUCAUAUAAGUGAAAAGCGCAUGAAGAAGCUCCAUUCUGAUGGACUUCUAACUUCGUUUGAUUUUGAAUCAUACGAGACAUGUGAGGCUUGCUUGCUAGGCAAGAUGACCAAGACGCCUUUCACAGGUUUUCCUGAGAGAGCAGUAGACUUGUUGGAACUCGUACAUAGUGAUGUAUGCAGACCAAUGAGCACGACGGCUAGAGGAGGAUUCCAAUACUUCAUAACUUUCACUGAUGAUUUUAGUAGAUAUGGUUAUGUCUACUUGAUGAGGCACAAGUCUGAAACCUUUGAAAAGUUCAAAGAAUUUCAGAAUGAAGUUGAAAAUCAGCGUGGCAAGAAAAUUAAGGCCUUACGAUCUGAUCGUGGAGGCGAGUAUUUGAGCCAUGAGUUUAGCAAUCAUCUAAAGAGUUGCGUAAUUGUUCCACAACUUACGCCGCCUGGAACACCUCAGAGAAACGGUGUAUCCGAGCGACGUGAUCGAACUUUGUUAGACAUGGUUCGAUCAAUCAUGAGCCAGUCGGACCUACCGUUAUCAUUUUGGGGAUACACUCUGGAAACAACAGCUUUCACACUUAAUAGGGUACCAUCUAAAUCCGUAGUUAAGACACCAUAUGAGAUGUGGACCGGAAAAAUUCCCAGUUUGUCUUUUCUAAAGAUUUGGGGAUGUGAAGUGUUUGUCGCGACUUCAGUCGGACAAGAUCACACCCAAGUCGGAUAAGUGCAUUUUCGUGGGAUAUCCAAAGGAAACUUUAGGAUAUUUUUUCUACAACCGAUCAGAGGGCAAAGUGUUUGUCGCUCGGAUCGGGGUUUUUUUCCUAGAGAAAAAGUUUCUCAAAGGAGAAAAGAGUGGAAAGACAGUGCAUCUUGAAUAAGUUCAAGAUGAGCCGAUCGGACAAGAAUCAAUGAGUGAUGCUAACAUAGCAGAAUAAGUUGAGAUACCCAUGGUAAGAGAAGCAUCACCACAGCCACGAAGGUCGGCAAGGCUCUGCGAAAUGCGGGAAAUAUUAUUGUUGGAUAAUGAUGAGCCUGCGACAUAUGCAGAAGCAAUGAUGGACCCAGACUCCAAAAAAUUGCAGAGUGUCAUGCAAUCCGAAAUAGAGUCCAUGGGAGACAAUCAAGUUUGGAACUUGGUUGACCCGCCUGAUGGUGUUAAAGCCAUAGAGUGCAAGUGGAUCUAUAAGAAGAAAAAGGACAUGGAUGGAAAUGUUCACAUCUAUAAAGCACGGCUUGUCGCAAAAGGUUUUCGACAAGUUCAAGGAGUUGACUACAACGAGACCUUCUCACCCGUAGUGAUGCUUAAGUCCAUUCGGAUUAUUCUAGCUAUAGCUGCAUAUUUCGAUUAUGAGAUAUGGCAGAUGGAUGUCAAGACAGCUUUCCUGAACGGAAACCUAUCUGAGGACGUGUAUAUGAUACAGUCCGAGGGUUUUGUCGAUCCAAAAAAUGUUGGAAAAGUAUGCAAGCUUCAGAGAUCCAUUUAUGGAUUGAAGCAAGCAUCUAGGAGUUGGAACAUUCGUUUUGAUGAAGUGGUCAAAUGGUUUGACUUCACCAAGAAAGAAGAAGAGUUUUGUGUUUACAAGAAGGUUAGUGGGAGCUCUGUAGUAUUUCUAAUAUGAUAUGUGGAUGACAUAUUGAUGAUUGGAAAUAACAUUCCUAUGCUUAAGUCCGUAAAGACUUCCCUGAAAAAUAGUUUUUCGAUGAAGGACUUAGGGAAAGCGGCAUAUAUUCUGGGCAUUUAGAUCUAUAGAGAUAGAUCAAGAAGGCUUAUAGGAUUAGGCCAGGAUACUUACAUUGACAAAGUGUUGAAGCGGUUCAGCAUGGAAGAGGUGAAGAAAGGGUUCUUGCCUAUGUCAAAUGGCAUAUUCUCAGUAAGACUCAGUGUCCUUCGACUACUGAUGAGCGGGAUCGCAUGAGUAGAGAGUCAUAUGCCUCGGCUAUUGGAUCUAUCAUGUAUGCAAUGAUAAGUACUCACCCAGAUGUUUCAUAUGCGCUAAGUAUGACAAGCAGACACCAGUCUGAUCCGGGUGAGAGUCACUAGACAGCGGUGAAAAACAUUCUUAAGUACUUGAGAAGGACUAAAGAUAUGUUCCUCGUCUAUGGAGGUGAGGAGAAGCUCGUUGUAACAUGUUACACCAAUGCUAGUUUCCAAACCGAUAGAGAUGAUUCAAAGUCACAAUCAUGAUUUGUGUUCACGCUAAAUGGUGGUGCUGUUAGUUGGAACAGUUCCAAGCAGGUGACAGUGGCCGAUUCUACGUUAGAAGUUGAGUACAUCGUGGCUUUUGAAGCCGCGAAGGAGGGUGUUUGGAUAAGGAAUUUCCUCAUUGAGCUUGGUGUGUUCCCAAAUGCGUCCAGCCCAUUGAAUCUCUACUGUGAUAAUAAUAGGGCAAUUGCGCAAGCAAAGGAGCCAAGGAACCACCAGAAGAACAAACACGUAAUGCGGCGAUUUCAUCUCAUUCGAGACUUCGUUAACCGGGGUGAGAUCAAGAUAUGCAAGAUAUACCCGGAUCUGAACAUUUCUGAUUCGUUGACAAAAUCACUCCCGCAGGCUAAGCAUGAUACGCAUGUAAGAGCUAUGGGUAUUAGGUACCUUCUAGAUUGACUCUAGUGCAAGUGGGAGACUGUUGGAGGUAUACCCUAGAGGCAAUCAUAGAGAUGAUGAUAUUCUAUUUGUAUCCAUGAUUUAUAUCGUGUUCCUUGAAUAUCCAUUAAAGGCUACUUGAAUUGAUUUGCAAUUAUGUGAAUUGUAUGUGAAACUCUUUACUUGUAUGGUUAUUCUAAAGUUGUCCCUAGUCGGAGUUCAUGUGAGGACACACAUGAAUAUUAGACUAGCACAUGUAUUAGUUGUUGCCUAUGUUUCACGAGUCACGGACAUGGAGAUGUUAAACUAAUAAUGUGGGCCACGACGAGCCGUUGACGAACCACGACGAGCCGACGAUGAGCCGCGGCACGAGGACGACCUUGCUGCACAUGCAAAAGCUGCUGAGGAGCUGCUCGACGUCGACGUGAUCGACUACGUGUUCGACUACGCUGAUCGACUUCACUGCCCCAACGCGAUUCUACAUCUUCCGCACCAGUGCGUCGAGUGGUAAUCCUGUGAUCCAUAUAUGACAGUUUUCCUAGUUUAUGUGGUAGAAAAAAUUUUGUUUUGCACUAGCGUAGCCUACCUCGUAUCCCAACAAUAUGAUGCGCAGUAGUCGAUUCGAUCAACUACUAGAUCAGAUUAUUUACCGAGAUCAUGUGUUUUGGUAAAACGGACGUAACUUUUUGGUACGAUCUCGGAUCAAGGCAAAUUUUAUAUGAAAAUUGAUCUACAGAAAAAGUUACACAUGAAAUUCAAUCACUUUGUCAUUUUAGGCGAUAUUAGAUAUCCCAAAAUCGACUUGCAAGAUGGAGUUUCGAGCCUUUUAAAUUUGGACGAUAGAACGUCUAACUCUGUUUUGCAGGAUUUUGUGAUCGGUAUGGCCCUUGUGUAUGUGAUGCAUGUGUGUAACUAAUUCAUGACCUAUGUGUCAUGCGUACGGCAAUUCGGCUGGAGCCAUAUGUAUUGUCACAUUAAUGUAAUUAAUGACCUGCGUGUCAAUCUGUGAUGAUCCAAGCAACUAUGUAACCUUCUUUACUAGUUGAUUAGAUGUAAUAGUUUGCACUAGUUCUUGGAGGACUCAUCACUAGGAGGACGGCGCACAUAGAUCAUGAAGAUUGAGAUCAUCAUGGUGAACAGGUUCUGUGGAGAUGGAGAUCACCACUAGAAAUCGGGCCAUACUGUGUCACAACUGUGUGAAUGCUAUUCCUUUUGUUUUACUCCUUCAUGAUGUGAUGUUAGAAGUAGAACGAUCCUUCGCAAAUUUUAAGUUAUUAUGCCCUCCCAACUAAAACUUGCACUGUCCCAUAUCUUGUACAAUUGGUGGUGGGUCUAUGAGAUUAGAGUAUCACUAGUUUUCCUUGACUAGAUGGGUUUGUAUCGGCUACUUACACGCAUAAGGGUUAGUUUGCUUAAACAAGGUCAUCUUAACGGUUAAGGACUUUGGGGCAUGAAGGUUGGGCGUCGAAACAUGGAGAUGUCACCCAACAAUAGGACUCAUAUGUGAUAUGAUUAGCAAGGAGUUGCUUACCGAUCUACCUUGUUUGCUAGCGGUGAUGCUAAAGCUCACUAGUAAGCUUGUUAGUUGUGGAUCCUGAAUCACUAAGUAUCAAUAGAGGGAUAUUGACUUUAGUGGGAGUAGAUUCUGUUAAAUAGUUUAAUGUGAUUUGCUCUAUCAUGGAUACGUUUGUCUUAGUGUAUUUUGCAUUACUUUUGUUGUAGAUUAAAUGGCACCUAGCAACACCACACCAUUUGCUUUGCAUUCGGUCCUUCUCUCGUCCUCACCCCACUUCAUUCUCUCCAAUGGCGGCUCCAUCAGCGACCAUGAACUUCAUCCCAGAGGUAAACAUCUAAAGCUUUACCUUUUACUUUUUAGUGCUCAUGCGUCUUUUAUUCUUAGUUUUCCCUUUUUCAUCUUCCUUAGGCGAUUAGGCAGCGAAUUACCAUCCCUUUCUCAGACGCACCUGGUCUCAUCGGCCUUGGCCCUAUGGGAAACCCAGAUCCAACCGACUUCAUCAAUUUGGAAACCCACAGAAUUCCUUUCAAGCAAUCACCCAUGGAUCUGGAUCAAUGGACGGGCGCAUUUAGAUCUUGGCCGAACGAGACCCUUGGUUGGAAGGAAUGGUUUCAAAGGAUGGCCGAUUCUAAGAGGGUUCUGGGGGAUGAAUAGAAAAUUGGCCAUUGCAUAAACUUGUCUUUAUCUCAGAUGGAGAAGAAUGAGCCCCUGGUUAUGGCAGCGUCUUAUUUCUGGUCUGACACCCUCAACGCAUUCCUCUUUGGCCAUGGGCCCAUGACUUCGACUCUAGCCGACGUCAUGUUAUUGACCGGCCUUGACAUUUCUUCACCCGACAGACCCUUCGACUUCCAGAUCAAGCCCACCCAUCGCCUUGAAAUGAAAGGAAUCAGCAGAUGGAAAGGCUAUAUCGAUAGGAAUAUGAAGACCGGAACCAUCGGCAACAGAGAGCACACAGCCUUCCUGAUGACGUGGCUAGAAAACAUUUCUUCUGUGGCCAAGCAGUCGGCCCUUCGUCGAACACGCAAGCUUUGGAUGAAGCAUUAGCGAGGGGUUCCAAUGUUCCUCUAGGAAAUCACAUGUUGGGAUCGGCCUACCAUAUGCUACAACAAAUUUCCGUAAAGUUGUCGACUGGAGAGGCGAUUGGAAACCCCAAUGGCCCUUGGUGGUUCAUUACCCUUUGGCUCAAUCUAUACAUGAUCAAAGUUUCUCGGGAACGAAUUGAAACCCAAACAUUUCCCAAUAUUGAGUUAAGGGAAAAUCCAACAGUUUGCUGGCAUUGCACUUCUUUUGGUGAAGCAGCGUCGGUGCUCCCCGGUAGUAAAUUCACUCCCACCAAGACCGCUGAGUACUUCAGGUGCUUCUAUGCUGGCUUCAGUGAAGAAGCCAUAAGCUGGUAUCCAUAUCAAAGAACUGAGCCACUCUUUGAAAACCUUGCCUGUUUUAAUUCAACCACCAAUUCUUUUGACAAUGAACUUAUGGAUAUCUUGAUCAAGCCUAGGAUUCUGCCAGCGAACUCCUUUUCGGGGAAAGACUCCCCGACUUAUGAGUUUUACAACCCAUCAGUGGCAGCAUGACAAUUCGGCCUUGGACAAUUGCCGAUUGGGAUUUAUUUUGGUGGCCGCGUGAAAUUUCGGGACGAGCUUACCAUGGGGCUCGAAUAUAAUCGGCUAUCCAGUUGGCACCAGAUUCCAACACCAUUGACUUGGCCAACUGGGUGGUGGUUCCCUUCACCGUCCAACAAUUCAUGUUAUGGUGGGGCGAAUGGAAACAACAUCUCUUCUGCAUGUACCCCGCAACAUACUGCAACGACCUGGAUCCCGCCAACAUUGAUCCAAAUGUAGCGGUACUACCCCUUUUUUAGCCGAUUUUAACAUAAUUCCUUUGCACUGCAAGAUUACCACUGACUUUCUUUUUCUUCUGCAGUCUGGAAGUCAUCUCCCCCCAACGCGCAGUCGCAGCGGAAGGCCGAUAGAUAAUCGCCAUCCUUAUACUUCAUUUCCAAUUAUUGGUUUCCAGGCUCCGUCCAUCAAAGAUAUCUCAAUUGAAACAGAAGCUAAAGAUAUCUUCUUUAAAGAAAACGAGCCGUCGGGUGCGCGCUCGUAUAGAAUCGGCGGACCAAUCAGCGGCGGCACCGGUUGAGUCUUUGGCCAUACCGACCCCGCCGAUUGUCGAAGAAGUCGACCCCCAAGCUGCUGCAGAAGCCGGAUCAGCGGCCGCAUCUUUACUGCUAGAAGCUGUUCAGGUAACUUCAUACUCUUUGAAUUUUUCCAAGUACACUGUCAGUAUUAAUUUCUUCUUUCUGUUAGGCUGCACAAACCAUCCUAGAGCAAUCUCCACAGCAAUCGGCCACACUCCAGGUAGAGACUGAGAUGCCAGCAAUCCCUCCCACCGAGGAAGAGAAUAUUUGUUUUACUCAAAUCUCUUAAUCCUUAGUCGAAAUCUGACCGAUUUCUAAUGCAGGCUACUUUGGGUGCGUCGAUUGUGCCCUUCCAAUGAUCGCCGGCUGGACGACUCGUAGAGGUAGAGCAGUUAUUAUUCAUCAUCAGAUUUAACCAUUGCUUCAUACUUAUAGAGAUCCAUUUCAUGUAACUUUCCAGGAGGCUGGCCCGAGUACGGCACCGAUAAUCGUGGAAUCUUCUUCUUCCAAUGAGCCAGCUGCGUCGAUUCCCGAAAUGAGGGUAGCACUCCCACCAACACAAAUAGAAGAAAUCCGUUUUAAAGAGGUGAGAAACUUGAUGUCCAAAUCGGCCGAUUUUUUGCUACCGUCGGCUAAUCCGUCUCUUUAUUUUAUCAGGAGCAGGACACUCCCAACAACAGCCAUUUUUCUUUUGCGGUCGCAAUUUCUGAUGAUGAGGAGGUCACCUCACACCAGGUUGCUCUGAGUUCAAUCCCUGAUGAAGUUCACACCAAGCUCCAGAGCAUACGAACCCUUCUCCAGGAUGAUAUCGGCCGACUGGUGGAAGAUGCCUCGCCGAUUUGGCAGCUCUUCAGUGAAAUCAGAGGCCGAGUUCCAGAAGAAGCAGAAGAAGCCCUAGCACCCGCAGCAUAUAUCGAGUCAAUGCGAAUCCCGAUGUUCAGAGUUUUACAACACAUGGUCGAUCGUGCCAAACUAGCAAAAGCAUGUGAAGAGGAGGAUUCCUACAAACACCAAGCUCAAUAAGUACACCAGCGAAUCAGCUUUCUCGAAAACUCUCACCCAGACAUCGUUGGCACCAUAGACCGCUCAAACGGCAAAGGGCAGAGCUCGCCAAGGAAAUGGAGGAGGUGACCAAAGCUAUAACCGCCGAAGAGAAGAAACUCCAUGAUCUCCCAUCUGUUAUCGCCGAUCUGAAGCAGGAGAGGCAAAACCUUGCCCAUGAAGCCAUCAGACUUCAUCGCAACAUGCCAGAAGUCCCUGGAUCAGCUGACGACGACCAAAGAACCUUAGAUUCGGCCGAUCAGAUCUGGGAGCGAGCGAUCGCGGUCAUUAAUGCUCUCCUCGGGUGAACCGUAGAAACACUAAAUGCUUUUGUACAAACAUUUAAUGCUCUUUUUCCAUUGCCGUGCGAAUUUAAACUUGGACGGUCUUUUGUUGCAGCAUUUAAUGGCCCUUUACUCCGACGGGACGUGUUUUACCAACCGUUACCCUUCAUCUUUUCCCUCUAUAAGUAUGAGACCCCUGAGCUGCUUCUAGGGGCAUUCGCACCUUGCCCAGCCUUCCAUCCUUAAGUUGUCUUAUUUCCAUACUCUUAAGCUAGGUGCCAAGAUGUCUUCCUCUUCCUUCGUCAAUCAAGUUUGAAAUCCCCCUUCGUUCCUCUGCCAGAUGCUCAUCAAUCUGACGACGGGCGAUUAUUUGUUAUUUUCCCAGCUGAGACGCCUUAGCCCUGGCCUGGAACGGGCUAUCAAGAUUAUGCACUCCGAGGAAUCACUGACGCAGGCGGAUAAAGAUCUGAUCAAGGCCCAUCGCGAAGAACUCAAAGAUCACAUCCCCGCUCAUAUCCACAAGAUCUUGGAUCAUAUUGAAGCCAACUGCUCCAGGCGGCCGCCAACCGAGAAGAGCCACCAGCUACCUUGUCAGAUCGUUCUUGAGGAUGCCAUGGCAGGAACAUCCCAACCACCUCUCAACAGAAGCCACCAACUUCCUCGUCAAGUUGCCAUUGAAGCCGCCAUGGAGGAUUUGGAGGAAAAGAGCACCCGUCUCUUAAUAGAACUAGGCCGGGUCGAAAGAGAGAUUAAAAAGAACAAAGCUCAGCUGAAACAUGGUCAAUGAAUGUAUUGGUACUUUUGGUCUAAGGGCGACUUGUACCGUGUCAGCCAUGUAUCCUAUUGCUAUACCGAAUAAUAAAUCGGCUAGACUGGUCAAAGGUUCCAUCCUCAAGGCGAUGUCUCCUUGCACUGGCUAUAUGAACACGAGUCAAUAGGAGUCGGCCACAACGUCUCAAUACGCCAUAUCGUCGGCUACGCAUCCACCCAUAUGCAAGGAUAAUAUCUCUUCAGAUACCUUCCAUUUAAAGCUCUUGUGAAUUCCUCUCCUUCGAUAGUCUCUAAUAUGUACGCAUUUCCUGGAGCGCAUCAGCUGAUUCUAUACGGCCCUUCCCAAGUAGGCGACCAUUUACCAAAUUUGGGAUCUUUAGACCCUAUCGGCAGCACCAGCUUCCAUACCAAGUCUCCUUGAGAGAAUUGCUUGACCUUGACCUUCUUGUCGUACCACCUAGCCACCCUUUUCUUAUUUUCUUCGACACUGAUCAAGGUCCUUAAUCGCUGACCCGCCAAAUCAUCAAGCUCCCCCUUCAUGAGGAGGGAAUAAUCACCGGCUGUCAACUGAUCUUGAAGUGACGUGCGUCUAGACCCGAUCCUUAAUUCCUAAGGCAAUACUGCCUCGUGACCGUACACCAAUUGAUAAGGAGAUAUUUUAGUAGCUCCAUGGCAGGCCAUCCUGUAGGCCCAUAAAGAUUCAGUCAAGGAUGCGUGCCACAUCUUGGGCUGCUCCUCUAUCUUCCUCUAGAUCAACUUGAUUAUCCCCUUAUUGGAUAACUCGGCCUGACCGUUAGCUUGAGCAUAAUACGGAGAAGAAUUCAACAAUUUAAUUCCCAUAUCGGUGGUGAACUCUUCAAACUCUCCCGAAGUGAACAUUGUCCCUUGAUCAGUUGUGAUGGUUUGAGGGAUACCGAACUGAUAAACAAUGUGGUCUCUCACAAAAUCGAUCAUAGCGGCCGAUGUCACGAUUUUCAGGGGAACUGCCUCCACCCACUUGGUAAAGUAAUCAGUGGCUACUAAUAUGAACUUGUGUCCCUUGCUUGAUGCAAGAUAAAUCUAUCCCAUGAGGUCUAUUCCCUAACCCCUAAACAGCCAUGGAUUAAUUAUUGGGUUCAUAGCUGAGGCUGGUGCAUGCUGCACGUUGCCGAACUUCUGGCAAUCCUAACACCCUUUAUUAUAUUUAAAGCAAUCCUCGAGUAUCGUCGGCCAAUAAUAACCAUUGUUCCUGAUCAUCCACUUAAUUUUGUAAGCUGAUUGAUGAGCCCCGCAUACGCCAUCGUAAAAUUCUCCCAUCAGAACCUUCGCCUCUUCCAUUCCAAGGCACUUGAGCAGAACCCCAUCAAUCGUCUAGUAAAACAAAUCAUCCUCAAGUAACACAUACUUCGUGGCCUGAAAACGUAUUUGCCGAUCCACUUUCUUGGACGGAUCUUUUAAGUAAUCGGCGAUCUCCUUUCGCCAAUCGUCAGCCGCAAGCUCCAGAGUCAUGGCACCUUGAAUCGGCCGAUACCCGGAAGCAUGUUGGGCAAGCCUGUUGGCCUCUUCAUUGUAAUUUCUAGGAAUAUGCUCAAUAACCGCAGACUUGAAUUCUUUUAACAACCGAAGGCAAUAUUCGUAGUAAAUCCUUAAGACAUCAUCUUUGCAUUCAGAUUUCCCCGUCAAUUGAUCGACAAUGAGCAUGGAAUCCCCAAAAAUCUCCACUCCAUCGGCUUUGAUCUCUCUCAAUAAUUGGAUACCUUUUAGGACAGCCCGGUACUCUGCCUGAUUAUUGGUGGCGGACGCCUCUAUCGGCAGAGAGAAAUCAUAACUUGCCCCCCGAGGCGAUAUGAGGAUGAUGCCGAUUCCUGAUUCGGCCCCACAUGAAGAACUAUUGAAGUACAGUGUCCAUGGAGCUGGCUCGACGAUGGCGAUUUCCGAUCCACGAUGCUGGGCCACAAAAUCGGCCAUAACUUGCCCCUUGACAGCUUUGGCCGAUUCGUACCUCAGGUUGAACUCUGAUAGAGCUAGAAUCCAUUUUCCAAUUCUUCCUUUCAAAAUCAGCAAUGACAGCACGUACUUUACCACAUCAUCUUUGCACACGACUACGCACUCCGCUGAUAACAGGUAGUGUCUGAGUUUGGUACAUGAAAAAUACAGACAAAGGCACAGCCGUUCCACUGGGGAAUAUCUAGUCUCAGUGUCUAGGAGCCUUCUACUGACAUAAUAGACUACCCUUUCUUUUCCUUCAAAUUCUUGUACCAGCGCCAAUCCGAUAGCUUGUUCUUCGGCCGACAAGUAUAGUCUGAACGGCUUGUCAGCCUGUGGCGGGACCAACACCGGUGGUGAGAUCAGGUACUGCUUGAUGUCUUCCAACUCUUUUUGUUGUUCUUCUCCCCACACGAAUUCCGGGUCGGGUUUCAAUUUCAACAAAGGGGUGAAGGCUUGAAUACGCCCGGACAAGUUGGAUAUGAACCUUCUAAUAAAGUUAACUUUGUCGAUUAGGGACUGCAGCUCAGUUUUGUUCUGUGGGGCCACAACUUUAUUGAUGGCAGCUAUAAUCUUCCGGUUGACUUCUAUCCCGCGCUCAUGUACCAUGAAUCCUAGAAAUUGUCCAGCUGAAAUGCCGAAGGCACAUUUGUUUGGGUUCAUUUUCAAUCCAUGCUUUCUCAUGCACUCCAACACUUCUCACAAAUCAGCUAGAUGCUCCUAAUGUCCUUUUGACUUGAUCACGAUGUCAUCAAUGUAAAUUUCCACCAGGACACCAAUAAGCUUGUGGAAAAUAUAAUUCAUAGCCCGUUGAUAUGUAGCUCCGGCGUUUUUUAAACCGAAGGUCAUCACCACCCACUCGAACAAACCGAGGUGGCUUGGACACCUGAAAGCCAUCUUUGAAAUAUCUUCUUCGGCCAUUAAUAUUUGAUUAUACCCAGCAUUACUGUCCAAGAAACUGAUGACUUUAUGUCCUGAGGCGGCGUCUAUCAAAACAUCAUCUGUUGGCAUUGGAUACCCAUCCAUCGGCGUAGCCUGAUUAAGAUUCCUGAAGUCAAUGCACACGCGUAGCUUUCCAUUUUUCUUGUAUAUGGGUACAAUAUUAGAAAUCCACUCGGCAUAACGGCACUGCCGAAUAAAUCCUGCUUCAAUCAAUCUUGUAAUGUCGGCCUUUAUAUCAGGUAGGAUUUUAGGGUUGCACCGUCAUGCGCGUUGCUGAUACGGCCGGUAUUCUGGUUUUAUAAGCAACCGGUGCUCGACCAUGGAUCGGUCUAGACCGGGCAUCUCAUGGUAUUCUCAAGCAAAACAAUCUUUAAACUCUUUUAAUAAACUUGUCAAUUUACGCUUGUACUCGGGGUCUAAACUAGCACUAAUAUACGUCGGCCUUGGCUUGCUGCCAUCUCCUAAGUCCACCAUUUCCAACGAAUCGGCCGACGUAAAUCCGUGCCCAAGCUUCCAGUCUUCUCGGAUGAACUGAUCCAUCUAGUCCGAUUCUUCAGAGCCGACUGCUUGGAUCGGCUGUAGACCAAAAUCGGACACCCUUAGGAAAUCGGUGUCCCAGAUUCUGCCAGAUAUGCACCUGACGUGUUCGCAGCUCCACUGUUGCACAUCGGUCACGGCAACACUGUAGGCGGAAUCGGUAGUGACUAUCUCGAUGUUGUCGCUGACCCACUGGACGAGGCACCGGUGCAUUGUAGAUGGGACACAGCAAUUCGCGUGUAUCCAAUCGUGCCCGAGCAACAUGUUGUAGGACCCUUUGCUAUUAAUGAUAAAGAAAGUAGUGGUAGGGUCUUACUGCCGAUGGUGAGGUCGACGCACAGUGCUCCACGGGCCGGGGACACGUUCCCUUCAAAAUCCUUGAGCAUCAUAUCUGUCUUGGUCAGAUCUUCAUCAUUUUUGCCCAAUUUCCGGAACAUAGCAUACAGCAUGAUAUUGACCGCAGCGCCUCCAUCUACCAGUAGCCUAGUGACUGGCCGUCCGUUGACGUGUCCUUUGAGGAAUAGGGCUUUGAGAUGUUGUCGUUUUUCAUCGUCGGGUUUCUCAAAAGUGGUUGUCAUUGGCUCCAAAGCCAAUUGUGCCAUUUGCUCCUCUAUUGUUGCAUCGUCCCGAUCGGCGGGAGUCAUGAACUCCAUCAGCAAGAUGAACACCAAGCUGACAUCAGCUACCGAUCCCUAAUUGUCGUCGUCCUCAUCGGUUUUUCUUCUAGGGAGCCAGACUCGAGGCCUAUCCUCCUUCUUAUCCAUCGUCUGCCUCUGUUCUUCUUCUUCUUGUUCCCAUUGGCGCAGACGCUGGAUUCUUCAUUUCUGGGAUUUGGUCAAGCCGUCUGGGCACCAUCUGGGGUUCACCGGUUUGACCGGUGGUUUUGCACGCUUCCAGUCUGGUUCUCAUCCUAGGGGGUUUUCAUCAGCCGCUCUGGCAUUGGCCAUCUUCUCCAGUCGAUCAUGUGUGCUGGCCUUGCCCCCCAGUCAAUCACGCUGGUCAACUCUGCCCCCAGCUGAUCACGCACUGAAAUGCGCUUAUCCUCUUGUUCACGCUAGUAUCUGCUGAUCGGCUCUGAUCCUCGAUCCCUGGAUCGUGACCUCUUGAACGGGCGACCGCUAUGAUACUGACCGUUGCACUCAGGGCAAUUAUUGACUGAUGGUAACCUGAGGUUGUUUUCCCAGCAGUGGAUGAAGAAUAGGCACCGCCAGGGAUCUUCGUGUCGGCAUAUCAUCUCUUCAUGGCAUCUCGAACUUUCUUGCUACCGUUGAUACUUGCUGAGUAAGUAUUGGGUGGUGAUAGGUCGACGUGAUCUCUCUGAUCUUUUGCCCUCGUCUUCAAUCCGUCCUUUUCCUUUGAUGUCCUCGACCGUGGCCUGAUUUCUAGGGUCCACGGUGCCGCUUCUCCUGGCCGAUUCUGAUGUUAGCACCUUGGUCUGGGGUACGUUCCUUCCUGCAUCGACCAUGUUAGUAGGGAAAGGAUGCUGAUCAAUCUUCAUUAGCUUUACUAGCUUUGUCGGAACUUCGAACUUGAGUCUACCUUGCUCAAUGGCCGAUUGUAUCUGCUGUCGGAAGAUUUUGCACUCGUUCGUGUCGUGGGACGUGGCAUUGUGCCAUAUGCAAUACUUCAUCUUUUUGAGCUGCUCGGCCGAUGGAAUCGUGUGAUAAGGUGAAAGCUUGAUCUGCCCCUCUUGGAGAAGUAAAUCGAAGAUUUUGUCGGCCUUUGAUGUGUCAAAGCCAAAUGCUUCUAGUUCUUUCUUUCCAAACGGGCACGAUAUCGAUUUUUUCCCUUUUACCCAUUCUGCUAGGCCGAUUUCCGCCUCUUCCUCCGAUUCAGACCCCUCCAAGUAUGCCACUUUUUUUUGAAAAUUCCUCCGUUGGUCGAAAGGGUGCACCUCUUGACUGAACAGUCAGUGGACGAUCUGACUUAAGCUUUCAAACUCCUGGGAGGCGUACUUCUCCUUGAUGUGUGGCAAGAGACCUUGGAAGGCGAUAUCGGCUAGCUGAGCAUCAGUCAGGACUAGGGUGUAGCACUUGUUCCUGACCUCUCUAAAUCUCUGUACGUAACUUGUCACUGGUUUGUCGCUCCUCUGCCUAAGGCUGGUGAGAUCUGAGAGCUUCAUCUCAUGGAUUCCUGCGUAGAAGUACUUAUGGAACUGCUUCUCCAGAUUGGCCCAAGUGACGAUGGAAUUGGGCGACAGCGUAGUAAAACAUUAGAAGGCCGAUCCGGAUAGGGAUGAUGAGAAUAAUCGCACUCGUAGAGCAUCUUGUGUGGCGGCUUCCCCACACUAGAUAAUGAAUCUAUUCACAUGCUCCACAGUUUAUGUGUCGUCCAGUCCUGAGAACUUGGUGAAUCGGGAACCUUGUACUGAUGGGGAAAUGGCAACAGGUCGUAGGCAGGCGGGUAUGGCUUCUUGUACAUAUAGGUUUGCACCUUUGGUUUCAACCCGAAUUGAUCUUGAAUUACUUCUGCUAUCCUUGUGGUCCAAUCCAUCUGCUGCUGAUGUAUGACCAGUUGAGGAAUCAGUACAUGCUGCUGGACCGGCGGUGCCAUGGCUGGGUGAUGGAUAAGAGUGUGCUGCAGAUUUUGCGGUUGCGUAGUCGGCUGAACAGCCGAUAGUUGGUGGCGCAGGGGAUCUGACGCCCCAUCGUAUAGCAUCAUCGGCGUCGCACCCCUGAGUGUUUUUGCAGUGUCUGCCCCCCGCCAAUUUCUAACGAAGCCGACUGAUAUUGUGGGACCAUCGGUCGGAUGGCCGAUUGGAAUGAUGCUUGGACCAGAGACUUCCCAUAACUGGUUGACUGAUCCGGCCCGGCUAUCGUCGCUGGUGCCCCCUAAGGCACUGAGUUUGAAGGCAGUGACUGUACGGAGGAAAUUUGAGCAGGCUGAGAUGGCGCUUGCGAUUGGUAGCAUGGCACGCCGUUGUACCCUAUGGGCAUUGAAGUGUUGUAUCCUUCAUGUUGCGUCGGUAUCGGCUGAGGAGCUGACUGAGAUGUGCUUGGUAACGCUGAGGAGCCUCUGAUUGGAGCUACGAUGGGUGGGGGUGUACGCUGGUCCCUGGUACCCCUGAGCUACUCCGAUGACCAAGGAACUGAUGACGGUGUUGUAUACCGUGUUUGUCAUUACUGUGGACUGGUCGAUCAUAGCCUGGUAAACAGACUGCUGAAUCAUGUAAGACAUCUUCCCCGAGUCCUCAGCGAUGGUGAUGUGGCGGGGAGUUGGAAGAGGAGCUUUCUUGACGGUCUCCCUGCUUCUGGUACGACUAAAGGAUUGCAAACAUGUCUUCCUGUACUCUUCUAGGUGUCUUGCCAAUUCUUCCUUCUGGUCAUCCUUGAGAUCUGCUUCAGUAACUUCGAUGACGUUGUCUUCGAAGAUCUCGGCAGCCUUCGACAUGCUGGAUGUUGUUUCUAUCCCACCGGGCGUGCCAAAAGUGUGUUGGCACUGAAAAUUGGCCGAUGACCCUCAACGUCGAACACACGACCCGAGAGAAUCUGCUUAACUCCUAUUCGGGUUAUUGCCCUGGUACGGUUCGCGCGGCAUACCAGUCAAUCUGACCUGUUGAUUGACAAGGAAAGAAAAGUAUUAAAUUCUAGGGGUUUCGAUCAGCUAAGGUUCCGAUCUGUCUUGAAAAGAGUAUCAGCGAAUCGGCCGAUUUACUGUAGAGAUGACCGGCUAUAGAGCAGUCGAUGAUCACGUAGCGAUUGUAAAGAAACUACUAGAGCAAUUUAAACAACGCUACAAAUGCAACACUUGAAACAGAUCUAAUCGGCCAUAUGGCAAUAAAUAAGAAUAAUAAUAAUGAAGCCGAUAGUUCGAAUCUCAAGCUGGAUAACUGGUGAUAGAACUAGAGCAAUAUAUGAAACCUAUAGUUCUAGCUAAUAUCGAUAACUGGUGAAUAAAUCUAAAUGAAACAACAACGAUGCGCCCGAAGUUAAAGCUUAGAUAUUACUCGAUAAGCAGAACUUACAAAUCGGCCGGAGAUCGUGUCGAUGCAGCCCUGCCAACCCGUACGUACUUGUGAAAAGAAAAGGUUUUUGGCGAAGUCGCCGACAUAAAAGUAAAGUGCGAGGAACAAGUAGAUUUGUUGUAUUGAUUAAUGUGUCCUUUACAAACCUCUAAAGGUGACUAUUUAUAGCCUGUUACGAUUGAUUUCCUAACCGACUAGGAUCUAUCUCUAAUAACAAUAAAUAUUUACAAACAUAACUCGUAUCGGAGUUGGUUAUCAUAUCUCACGGGCCAACCUUCCUCUCUAGCUAAUCUUUUCUCUGGCCCACUUUAGGCCCAUACUGGCCAAGCCACUCCAGCUCCCAAUCGGCCAAUCCUUGCUGACUCCUUUUGCCAAUCGGCUGAAACACUAUAGCUUCAAUUGGUCGAUUCCCAACUGUAGCUUUUAGCUUGCCGCAUCGGCCAAUCUUUUCCUUCCUUGACGCCAAUUCAAAAUACGUGUCAAAAUCCGACGUCAAUAGUAUCAAUAGAGGGAUAUUGAUUUUAGUGGGAGUAGAUUCUGUUAAAAGUUUAAUGUGAUUUACUCUAUCAUGAAUACUUUCGUCUUAGUAUUUUGCAUUAUUAUUUGUUGUAGAUACAUGGCACCUAGCAACACCACACCAUUUGUUUUGUGUUCAGUCCUUGAGAAGGACAAGCUGAAUGGGACAAACUAUACGGAUUGGAUCCAUAACCUGAGAAUUGUUCUCAACGCUGAGGAAAAGGAAGAUAUCCUGGACACCCCAUUACCAGAAAAACCUGCUAAUGAUGCACCUGCUGCCGUUAAGAAUGCUUACAAGAAAGCAUGUGGUGCUAAUCCUUAAGUAAGCUGCCUUAUGCUUGCUUGCAUGGAACCCGAACUGCAGAUGUAGUUUGAAACAAAUCAUGAGAUGUAUGAUAUGAUCGUGGCGCUUAGAGACAUGUUCCAGACACAGGCCAGGACUGAAAGGUUCAAUGUUUCUAAGGUCUUUUUUGAGAGCAAGCUAGCAGAAGGUGCAGUAGUAGGACCACACAUAAUCAAGAUUGUUGGUUACACUCAACGGUUUGCAAGCCACUAAUUUUAUUCUUUUGUCUGUUCCGUCUAGCUAUGAGAACUUUAUCUCGAACUACCAUAUGCAUGGGAUGGAGAAUGGUCUGAAUGAACUAUGUGGUAUGCAUAAAACAGCAAAGGCUGACAUUAAGAAAAGUGUUGUUAGCAGCCAUGUGAUAGCAAUACAGAAUAAGCCUAGCUUUCAAAAGAAGGGCCAUUCUUGGAAGAAAAAGGGCAAGGCUAUCUCCAAGCCAAACCCAGUGCCCAAGGUUAAAGCUGGACCUGCUCCAGACAAAGAGUGCUUUUAUUAUCACGAACUUGGUCACUGGAAGAGAAAUUGCAAGCAGUACCUAGCUUCGUUGAAGAAUGGCGGAAGUAAGAGUACUUCCACCUCAGGUACGCUUGUUAUUAAUGUUAUAGAUAACAUAUUUCUCGCUAAUAUAAUUAUUAAUUCUUCGGUAUUUGAUACCGGAUCGGUUGCUCAUAUUUGCAAUUUGAUGCAGGGACUGAUAAUAAGUAGAAGCGUGGAAAGAGGAGAAGUUGGUUUCCACGUGGGCAAUAAUGCAAGAGUUGCUGCAAUGACCGUGAGGACAAUGCAACUCCACCUCCCGUCAAGAUUUAUUAUGGAGUUGAAUAAUUGUUAUUUUGUUCCUAGUUUAAGUCGAAACAAUAUGUCUCCUUCAUGCUUGAUGAAGGAUGGUUAUUCAUUUUCGAGUGAAAACAAUGGUUGUGUGAUCUCUAAGAAUAAUAUGUUUAUGGCUUUUGCACCCAUUGUGAAUGGAUUGUUUGUUUUAAAUCUUAAUGAUUCACCUAUCUAUAACAUAAGUGCUAAAAGGCCUCGGCCUAAUGAUUUGAGUCCUACCUACAUGUGGCAAUGUCGUUUGGGUCAUAUAAGUGAAAUGCGCAUGAAGAAGCUCCAUUCUGAUGGACUUUUAACUUUGUUUGAUUUUAAGUCAUACGAGACAUGUGAAGCUUGCUUGCUAGGUAAGAUGACCAAGGAAAAUUUCACAGGUUUUCCUGAGAGAGCACUAGAUUUGUUGGAACUCGUACAUACCAAUGUAUGCUGACCAAUGAGCACGACAGCUAGAGGAGGGUUCCAAUACUUCAUAACUUUUACUGAUGAUUUUAGUAGAUAUGGCUAUGUCUACUUGAUGAGGCAUAAGUCUGAAACCUUUGAAAAGUUCAAGGAAUUUCAAAAUGAAGUUGAAAAUCAGUGUGGCAAGAAAAUUAAGGCCUUACGAUCCGAUCGCGGAGGUGAGUAUUUAAGCCACGAGUUUAGCAAUCAUCUGAAGAGUUGUGGAAUUGUUCCACAGCUUACGCCGCCUAGAACACCUCAGAGAAACGGUGUAUCUGAGCGACAUAAUCGAACCUUGUUGGACAUGGUUCAAUCAAUGAUGAGCUAGUCAGACCUACCGUUAUCAUUUUGGGGAUACACUCUAGAAACAACAGCUUUCACACUUAAUAGGGUACCGUCUAAAUCCGUAGUUAAGACACCAUAUGAGAUGUUGACUAGAAAGACUCCCAGCUUGUCUUUUCAAAAGAUUUGGGGAUGUGAAGUGUUUGUCAAGCGACUUUUGUCCGUACGCUCAAAUUUCUAAGCCCUCAGAUAUGAAACAAACGGUUGAGAUCAUCCUCUCUUCCUCCUUUUGUCUUCUAACUUGGGCAUUCUUAUCCACUCGUUAGCGUGGCCCGUCCUCCCUCCUCCUUCUCCCUUCGUCGUUCGUUCAUGUUGUCAAGCUCACCUUCAGCAGCAUUCGUGUUAUGAAGCCUCUACGGCCAGUGUUGGCCUACCCAUCUCCGACUGCUAGAUCCACCACCUCUAUCUCAACCACCGCCACACCAACUCAUUGUUGCUGCUCGCCCCCACCUCUCCACGGCCCAAUCGAGGGGUCCACUGCUACCUCGGUGGGUGGCUACGCCGUCGCCUCAACCGGCGUCUCUAUCGCCACCACCGCCUACUAUCUUUCUAUCCCGAAGCUUUGUCUUGGUGCGUUGGAGAUAGGUAAGACCCAUCCCCGAACCCCGAACUCUAUUGGCAUAGUUUAGCUUUUCCUGAAGGUAAACUUUGCCAUAAGUUUUUUGAGAAAAGAUAGAGAAAAUCCUAAAAAAAUUUGGGGCUUGCUGGGCCGGUGCGCGAGAGGUGGGCCGCGGGCUUGUCAAGCCAAGCGCAACGCCUGGGCCAUCUUGGCUAGGACCCACCCGCCAGCCAGACUUCGCCAUCCCUCUCCUCUCCCCGCCUAUAUAACGGCCGUGCCCUCCACCUGUUGCCCGGAACGGAAGCCAAAACCACCAGAGAGCAGAGAGGCGAGACCGCGAGCGCCACCGCUAGCCGCGCAGCAGCACCGAGAGCCCGGUGAGGGAGGGACACAUCACGCCGGCGACCCGAUGGCGACCGGGAGUGGUGUCCGCGUCGUCAACACGGAGGGGCGGGACGAGGGCGACGCCUACAUGGCCGCCGCCGCCGCCGCCGCCGCCGCCGCCUCCGCCGCCUCCGCCGCCUCCUCCGCCGCCUCCGCCGCCGCCUCCGCCGCCUCCGCCGCCGCCUCCGCCGCCGCCGCCUCCGCCGCCGCCGCCUCCGCCGCCGCCGCCGACGACGACACCGACGCCGCCGACGACGACGCCGACGCCGACGCCGACGACGACACCGACGCCGACGCCGACGACGACACCGACGCCGCCGACGACGACGCCGACGCCGACGACGACACCGACGCCGCCGACGACGACGCCGACGCCGACGCCGCCGCCGCCGAUGCCGCGCCUGGGGGCCAGCCGCACGAGGACGAGGACGGAGACGCGACCCCUCCUCCUCCCUCGCUUCCUCGCCACACCGUCGAUCACCGCAGGCCGGGCCCGGCUUCUUGGAGCCCGUUCUUCUCGCGGGUGCGGGCGGCGCUCCUCAUCAUGGGCACAGCCGCCGCCGCAGCCGCCGCGCGCGACCUGUUCCCUUCCAUGGUCCAGGUCCCGCCACUGGACUCCCGCCCCAUCAGCGCCGUACCAGGUGUCUAUUCUUCUUUUCCUUUUUCUUGUUUUCUUGUUUAUGUCCUUAAUAGUCCCAACUUCUUGAUUAUGAUGACUGAAGCAUGAUCGAAAUAGAUCAGCACAUAAUCCUAUGCUCUGAUUAAACCAAACAUUCUUGAUUGCGUUGGCAAUGAAUUACAAUCUGGACCCUUGUUGCAUAAAAAAAUAUACUGUUGCUCCAAAUCUUGUUUUUAAAGAUUAGCAUAAACUUCUUUUGAUGCUCUGUAUUACUUAUCAUCAUGUGUUAUGACAAUUGUAUUUGUAUCUUUCCGUACUUUGGUUACUGAAUCUUUUAAACUGAACUCAGGGGUUUUACCAAACCUGCUUGAGCACCAGUUGGUGUGGUCCAACAUCCCCCGUGGCGGAACCUCCAUUGUACUAUCCCAUGCUCCGGGUAUGACUACAGAAGAUGAACUCAAUUUCCGACUUUCUUCUGAUAAUCUAGAAAAGUAAAUAAGCUUAUAAUAAUGUACAGUUACCGCUUGUUGACAUUGCCAAAUAAUCUGUAUCUCUCAACAUAUUUUGUUGUUACAGUCUGUGUUAUGUGAGAUUGCAAAAAUACAACCUGAAAAGUAGUCACUUGACACAAUACUGGUGCCUGUUGCCCAAAGCCCUCUUUGAAUUUUCAUCUACUCACUGUUCUUUAUUCUGCUAAUGAACACUUGUCUGGUGAAAAAUAUUUGUUCAUAGUUGCUGCAAUCCCUGAUUCUGUGUAUGCAUUAUUCUCUAUUUGGUGCUGAGUUCAAUUGAGUGGCAUUUAUUAUUUCAGAUCAACUUUCACCUGGUAGGUGGUUAACACAUUCUGUGGCCCUAGUGUUAAUGAAAUGCAUUAGAGUAUUUUCUGGACAUUUAUGUAUUUGUUGUUCCUUGGAAGGACUGUUUUCACCAUCCAUAGAGUUGCUGCUAGACAAAUCUUGUUUUUCUAGAUUAGCAUAAACCUUGCUUUGAUGCUCUGUAUUACUUAUCAUGAUGUGUUAUGACUGUUGUAUUUGUAUCUUUUCGUACUUUGGUUACUGAAUAUUUUAAACUGAACUCAGGGGUUGUAGCAAACCUGCUUGAGCACCAGUUGGUGUGGUCCAACAUCCCCCGUGGCGGGACCUCCGUCGCACUAUCUCAGGAUCCAGGUAUGAUUACCAAAAGAUGAAAUCAAUUUGCAACUUUGUUCUGACAAUCUAGAAAAGGAGAUAAGCUUAUAAUAUUGUACAGUUACUGUUUGUUGACAUCUUGCCAAAUAAUCUGUAUAUCUCAACAUAUUGUGCUGUUACAGUCUGUUUAUGCGAGAUUGCAGAAAUGCAAACUGAAAAGUAGUCACUUGACACAAUACUAGUGCCUGUUGCUCAGAGUCCUCUUUGAAUUUUCAUCUACGCAUUGUUCUUUAUUCUGCUAAUGAACACUAAUCUGGUGAAAAAUAUUUGUUCAUUUUGCCGCUAUCCCUGAUUCUGUGUAUGCAUUAUUCUCUAUUUGGCUCUGAGUUCAGUUUAAUGACAUUUAUUAUUUGGUCUUACUUGACAGCCACUGUGCAUUUCUGUUGAGAUCUGUUAGUUUGUUGUCCUUAUGAUCUGAUAAAUUUAUGUGUCAAACAGAAAUUCAUGUCAGUCCAGAGGCCUUGCCUGUAGAUCAGAUUUCUCCUGGUAAGUGGUUAACACAUUCUGCGGCCAUAGUGUUGCAAAGAACUGGAUCAGAUUAUUUCCUGGAUAUUUAUGUAUUUGUUGUUCCCUUGGAAGCAGGACUUUCUGCCCCUCCCAGUCUCAUCAUGGAUGAUCCGGUGCCACGGGCUAUGCAUCAUACUCGUAGAGGAACUUCAAUUGCAGUGCUAAGUGACAUCCAACAAUCAGGUAACCUUGGCAUAUAAAGGCAUUGCCAUAUGCAUGCCUCCUAGUAAACACUGGAGGCCUUUUGGUUGACAAAAAGAAACUGUCACUUACGUUUGCCAUAAUAAGCAGGUACACUGGCAUCGGAGCCUGGGCCUGCAUCAGCAACUGUAGGACCUUGGUCAGCCUCUUGGGCGCAAGGCACUAUCUACUUCCUCAACUUCAUGAUAGUCAUGGUACUUUUUUCAGCAGUGGUGGCUAUGUUACAGGAGCCUUGAGAGAAUUGGAUCCUUUGGUCCUCAUGGCUUAGAGGAAGAUUCAUGUUCCUGUGGUAGUUACUGAAACCAGGGAUAACACUAUACUCUGUGGCAGCAUAUGCAGAAUCCUCUAGAUUUUCUCUGCCUGCUUAGCUUCUGAGGACAAGUCAUCUUGUGUGGUCCUUUGAAUGGUGAUUGAUGGUGGAGAUUUGGAUUUGUGCAGUACCUGCUAGUAGGAUGAUGUGCUGCAUGUGGAAUGGAUAUUGUGAAGUACACUUGGCGCCUUUUGUGGUUUUGUCUGAAAAUGCUGAUGCUUCUGCUUUGAGUCCUAAAGUUCAGUUGUUUUGAUAUUGCCUUUAUUUUGGGUGUGUCCAGAUGAAAUUAAGAAGAGAGGGGAACAUAGUUGAGUAACAGUCCUGGAAUAUGCAGUGUUAUAAAGGAAAAUACAGAAUAGUACAAGAUCUUGGGACAAAAGCAACUGUCUGACAACCUAAGGGUUCAAGUGAAUUGAUGAUACUUUCAUGCAUAUCUGAAAUCUGUUGAAUUGAAUAAGUAAUACAGUAUGGAUUCUUGAUAAAUCAAUCACAGGCGUCAUUGCUUCAUUUUAUUUGAAGGUGCGCUGGGGGGAUGAAACCCCCUCCUGUAUUCAAUUAAACCACAGACUUCUGGCUACUGAAUUCAUCCUGUUGGCUUCGCAGCCUCUGCGCCAUGGGACAGGCCCGUGUUGCUUUGUAUGAUGAUUGAUGGUCAACGUUUGGAUUUGUGCAGCACCUGCUAGUAGGAUGAUGUGCUGUAUGUGGAAUGGAUAUAGCGAAGUACACUUGACGCCUUUUGUGGUUUUGUCUAAAAAAUGCUGGAGCUCCACUUUGAAUCCUAAAGUUGAGUUGUUUCAAGAUUUCCUUUAUUUUGGGUGUCUUCAGAUCAAAUAGAGGGAGAAAAUAGUUGAGCUACAGUGCUGGAAGAUGCACAGCCGUAUAAAGGAAAAUACAGAGUAUUACAAAAUCUGGGGACAACAGCCACUGUCUGCCAACCGAGUUCAGGUGAAUCUACAAGAAAUGUGGUGCGGGUACUUGAUCUAUCCAUCGCAGGCAGCAUUCCUUCCUGUUUGCAUUCAGUUGUAGACUACAUCUGCCCCUUAGGUAGAUUUCUGGCUACUGAAUUCCUCUAGUUCUCCUUCCAGCCUCACUAUGCCAUCGGAUGGGCCCAUGUUGCAUGCAAGCUUCUGCUAGGUGACAGUGACACUCCCCCACGGCCACGUCUCCUCUCUGGUGCAGUGUUUUCCGUUGAGAUCUUAGUGCUGUUCUAGAUUAUUUGUCAUUUGCAUCAGUGUUUUUUAUGUGCAGCCACACCAAUAUUUUCUGCGCUUGCAAACUUCUCAUUAUACUUUCUCCCUAUGCACUAUUCUAUACUCUGCCAGCGUACUCUGUCGUAGUAAACACUUGAGUUACAUGCUGAUCAUAUGUCUGUUGCAGAUGUUGUCCCUGAUUGGCUGAGUCAGUAUCCACACCGAUGGAGGAGGUUCCACCAGCCUCUGUUCUAGCCCGGUCAGACAUUCCAGUGCCUGGUCCUCAAUUAUCUGAAGGUUAAGUGGUUAAUGACACAUUUUUCCUGUUGUGCUAGAGUAAACCAGCACGUGCCUUUGUUUGACUUACUAAUUUCAUUUUUAUGUCUUUGUUGUUCUAUCUUGAACUCCAAGGACCGUCGGGCUUGGGCUUUGGUCAAUCAGUCAGAGUACUACAGAGACUCAGCCACUCAGGUACAAUUAGCAUGAAAAAGCAUUUGGAUCCAGUCACUCUGGUGAGGACUAAGAAGUCCUCAAUACAGCUAGUUUGCUUCUCUGUGUUUGUUGAGUUGGUUUUUCAUCCUAACCAAUGAUCUGAUAAAAUAAAAUAGUUCAGCAGAUUGUGCAAGCUUGAGUCCCCACUCCCCAACAUGAUAUACCAUCAUUUAUCUCUUUAUGGUUACCUUUCUGAAAUAGAGAUCGAGGUCACUCCAGAAUACUCAUCUACUUCUGAAAUGUCUGAAGGUAGGUGUCCAACAUAUUUCUACUGCUCCAGGGUUUCAGUGAACCAGCAGAACUCUUGGGCAUGAUCUUUUUGUCUUUGUUGUUACCACGGAAACCGAGUUCUACUUUGAUUGAAUCUUGCAAUGCUUGAUUCAUCUCUGCUGCACUCAGUCAGGUCUGAUACUUUGCUAGAUUUGUGUCCUUAGACUCUUAAGCAAAAUCUUGUUGUAGUCUUUCUGAAGCAAAAUUGAUUCCUGUUUUGCAGUCUACUUAGACUCUUAGACCGCUGUUAGUUGAAACUGACGAAUCAUACUGGCACCUAGGUGGUAUCUUGUAUCACAAGUAGUGUUUGCCUUGGCUUGGUGCAGCGUUGUUUCUUGAGUCAGUGUCCAUGCAGAUGAUAGACGAGGUUGCACCAGCCACUCCGCUGUCCCAGUCAGGAAUUCCAAUGGAAUGCCUGGUCCUGGUCCAGGACUUUCUAAGGGUUAAAUGUUAACAACACCAUGUCCAAAUACUAACACUGCUUUUGUGCCUUUAUCCUUGCCAUGGAAACAGGGUUUGCUUCACUUUCUAUCCUAAACAAUCACAUUCCUUGGGCUUGACUUUGCAUAAUUAGCCAUGGUACAACAAAUAGUGUUAGGUAAUUAGCACCUAAAAAACAUUUAGGUUCAGUCUGAUUACUCUGUACAUACGUUAUAUUGGUGGUCUUACCUGGUAGUGCAUAUUGUGCAAGCUCGAGUACUGUACACAAUUCAGCAAACCAGCACAACUUGUUUGGCCAUCAAUUUAAUUUGUCUCUUUGGUCUUAACAUAGAAAUAGAAUUCUCUGCUGCGAUUCAGUGUCACCGUGCACGGCACCAGGCACUAGUGCCACCAGAACAGCCAACGUACACCGUUGUCCUCAAAUUUGUUCAGGGGUGUCACAUGCGUCCUACACUUUUAAAUUUGCAGAUUAUGUCGCUCAAGUUCCAAACAUCAGUAAUUAGCAUAUGCUUGCCUUUACCAUGCCAUUAAGUUGUUACACUCGCUUUCCUUUAGUCACUUGGUCUAUUUUGCAAAUUUUUACCGCUUUCGAUUGUGUUGUCAUCAGUCAUAAAAAAUAGGGAUAUUACUGAAAGUAGUUCCAUUAGGCUAUUGUCUUGUGAUUUUGGUGGUUGAGUGGUUUUGUAAUCACUAGGACUAAUAUGUUUGUAAAGUAUAUGUUUUGGAAGGGUUUCCUAGCUCUCAAGAUGAAAUACAAGUGAAGCAAGCAACCAUGGCGCAAAGAAUGGAGCAAAACAAGCAAAGAUGUACACUGGAGUGUUUGGUCGGUCACUGUGACUGAAAAAUAGUAUGUGGGACUGAAAUAGUUGAAGAUACACUAAAGAUAUACAUGUGGGACUGAAAAAUAGUAUUACAGAAGGGCGUAUACUCUGAUGUUUCAAGUGGGAAGUUAUGCAGAAAAGAAGAUUCUACAUGCCAGAUGAUCCAGCGUUGGUAAAAAAAAAAUAUAUAAACUACACGGCAUUGUAUUCACUACAUUACUGACGACUCAGACUAUCUGUAUAAUCGAUUUGAAUAGAAUGAAAUUAAUUCAAAGAGCAAAAAAAAAAUACCGAAAUUCAAGUAAGGAUUUUGGGAUUCGAUAUUUCGGGGGACAACUCCGAUUUGAAUUUUUGGUACUCAACCUGUAUCCGGAUAGGAUAAAUAGACGACCCCAAGGUUGAAACUGACGAAUGAGGAUUAGCUCAUGGCUUUGAGUGUGAACUCAACUUGAGAUAAUGAGCUCUGACUCAGCGGGAUUCUAAAUUGGAGAUGACGUGGGAAAUUGAUAAGGACUCGACGUUUAACAUUGAAGGGAAUUUGUAUUGACAAGUUAUAUAGGGAUAACGGCUUAAAUUCUGAGCUAGGUUUAAAUUUAAACCCGCACACAAUUAAUAUCCAAGAAGACUUGAACAAACCCAGAGAAACCCAAAACAAAAACAAUCAACACCUUACCUUAUUAUUAGCUAGCAAGAUUCACAUGUAAAUAAUUAGAAUAAAGUUUUAAAUGAAUAGAAAUAUCCAUAGUCCAUUCCUUUGCUAUCUACUCUACCCAUUUAAAUACAGGUGCUCUUUGCUCGGUAGCAACCCGCGGGCAUGUUUGCCUAUUAUGAAUAAAAUAUAUGUUCCUUAAUAAUGUAUUAUUUUAUCUAUUUAUUUUGUUUAUUUAUUUAUUCUAUCACACCUGUAAUAUUUUUCUCACACGUGUAGAGAAAUGCUUCUGGUAUUUUUUCUCACACAUGUAGAGAAAUGCUUCUGGUAUUUUUCUCCCCAAAUAGUACGACCAUAAAGAUACUUAGACUUUUUUAAAAUCAUUUAGGUGAAAACCUUGCAUGUAGGGAACUUUUUUUUAUUUUUAACCCUUUUUUUUCUUUAUUUUUAAAAAUAACCUCAGCUGGGUUUUAUUUGCGGGGCUGACCCUUUUGGCCUUUUGGCCGCGCCAGACCGCCUGGCGCGGCAGGAAGAUGCUGCCGCGCCACAUGCACUGGCGCGGCAGCCCCCUGCCACGCUGGCGCGGCGAGUCGCGUCGCCAGGCGGGCGCUGACGUGGGCGUGCGUUCGCCGCGCCAGCCCGCCUGGCGCGGCAGGGCCAACACUUAGGCCGCGCGCCGGUCCCUUCCUCCUCCCUCCCUCCUUUCUUCCUCCUCCAGAAACACCACACAGCAGCACCUUGCAGCGCCGGCCCCCGCCACCCCACCCCCAAAUCCACCAAAAAUCCGGCGUUUUUGGUGGGGGAAAGUAGUGGGAAUCGAUCCCUGCUUCGUGUGGAAGGUAUUCCCCUACUUAUUCUCGUGUUUUACCGUUGCAUUUGGUAGAUCGGAGGAUGUUUAGGUGACUUAGGGUUAGGUUAGUGAUUUGAAAUUUCAAUAAAAUGCAAUGGUGUUUUGUGUUAGAUGAUACGUAGUUCAUACGCAAUUGAGUCUCUGCCCGCGAUAUUGACGUGUAGAACUCGUUGAAUGCUUCGAUUAAGGUAUAUAUUCAUCCAAUUGUGUGGUUUACAUGACAUGUAUUUUUUUAUAUGUUCAAUUAAUUAGUCUCAUUUCUGUUUCAGUGUUUGUAUUUUGUAGAUCGAUUGUUUACAUUUUAUCAAAAUGAUGUAUAUAGCUAGUAUGGAUUACGUGUGUAAAGUUUAUUUGUAUAUUAAAUUUGUUGCACUUGAUUUCCAGGUGAGAUGGCGUCGUUUGGUUGUGAAUACAAACGGUGUAGGUGGUAUGUGCGUUAUGUCGGGGAGUCCAACGUUGCUGGUCCCGUACCUCCUGCUCUUCUGGUACCACUUUGUAGAUGUGGCGCGCAAGCAGAGGUGAAACAAUCAAGGCAUCCAAAGACAGCCGGAAGAGCCUUCUAUGUAUGCAAAUGGACUUUUGAUCCAUUGCCUGCCGCACCUUGCGAUUUCUUUCAGUGGAUCGAUGGACCCGACAAAUAUGAUCCUAGGAUCCGCCUAUUCCCAUAUCAUAGCACAGAGCUUAAACCAUACCAUUAGUUUAGGCGUUGGGUUCCUCCUUCACCAAACCCACCUAGGAUGACCGAUGAGGAGAAGCAGGAGGCUGCUUGUAGGCGUGUGAGGGAUCCUCCCAUGUGCAAGUGUGGUGUUCCUGCUAAGCUUAUGCGUCCUAACUUAGGGGAUCCACCUAAAUUUACUCCAUUCUUUCGAUGCUCCCUAAAGACUCAUGUAAGUAUAUUACGAGAAUAUUAGUAUGUCGUUUAGCUAGCAGUUAUAAUUUUGCAGUAUAUUGUUCAUACUUUAAUUUGAUGUUAUUGCUUGGAAGUUGGAGUAGCGUUUUGUAGUUACUUUACAUAUGAGUAGUUCACGUCGUGGGUUUUUUGCAGGAUGGGUGGCCGUUGUGUGAUUUCAAUGAGUAUAUAUACGGCCCAAUGGCAAUGUGGCCAACAGAGGAGGAAGUGCAGGAGUUUGAAAGUGAAAAUGCACCGUGGCCAUGUGUGUCCUCUCCUAGUGAUAGAUGCAAGUGUGGUAUAUUGGCAACAGAAGGUGUGGUGCCUUCUGAACUUGGAUAUGGUUCGUUCUGUGGAAAUGCACAUGGCGAUUACUGGGUUAGUAACUACUCGUCUCCUAUGUUUUAUGAAGGUUGUAACUUGAUUCAAAUUUGUAAGAAUAUUUAAUUGUUGUUGCAGGAGGGAAGGACAUGUGAUUGGGAAGAUUUUUGUGGUCGAUAUGAUUUGUUAUUAAAGUUGGGAAAUACAUCGGAACCAUGGAAGUCAAGGAAACAACAAGAAAUUAAAGAAAAGAUUAGGAAGAAGUAUGAUGUGCCUAUUCCUGACGACGACUUGCUUUGGGGAAAAAUAUAUCAAGAUAUGGUGCAUGAGACUGGAGUGGAACCUAAAGGACUUUAUGCAAGGGAAACUAUUAUUAAGUAUUGGAGGCAAAAUAGAUCCAAGUAUCCACGACCUCUAACUGAAAAUGAGAAGAGAGAAAAUAGGAGGAAGUUGCAGGAGGAGAGGGAGUUGGAGAAACAAAGGUUGAUGGAGGAAAGAGAUCGCUUAGGUUAUGUGGUUGAUCCGAAUGUGAAAUACCCUGAGGGUUCAUGGGAACAAUAUUUGCAGCAAGUUAGGGCAAGAAAAAGAAGGCUUGAAAUGGAAGAGUUACAACAAAAAGCGGAAGAGGCACAGAUGGAGACGAUGAAGGCUCUUGUUGCCGAUUUACCUGUUGGUAAGGUUAAUGUCGAUAAGAAAGGCAAGGGAGUUGUUGUUGCCGGAGAUGAUGAUGAUGAUGAUGAUGACGACGAGUUACUAUAUGAAGGUGAAUCGGACUAGAUGAACGUGUUGAUGUAGCUGGAUCAUGUUUCUCUGUAGCUGUGAAAACUAUGUAGAACAUUAUGUUUAUGUUUAUUCUGGAAACUACAAUUAGUUGUCAAAAAUUAUUUUCAUUUCCGAGAGAACUAUGUUCAAACGCAUCAAAGUUUCCAAAGGUAGACCUGAAUGGAAACAAAGGCAAACCGACGAAACAUCCCGACUAGACGACGACGUAGUGAACUAUGCGAGAGAGGCCAGGCCGUGCACAGGCCGUGCACAGACCAGCGUCCAAUUUCCACGCGUUUCCUUGGGUCGCUUGUAGGAAACCGGACGGUGGAUUCCUUGGUUCCUUUUUAUUUCAUCUUUUUUCUGUUUCUCACAUACAGCACUUCUCAGGCAGCUGAUCUGAUUUGCUACCUACUCCUAGUAUUCUGUACUACUAGCUGAUCGAGUGCGUAGAGAGUGAGGUAGUGGAGUGAGAAUCACUGUAAACGUGUCGAACGUUUCGUAACCCCCUAAUUUUCAACUUUUGCAAAUUAAUAAAAUUUGUUAGAAUUUACAAGAAUUUAAUUACUUUUGCUUAAAGAUUUAAGGAAUUUCUAAGGUUUUAUUUAAUUUCUUGGGCAUUUAAAUCUUUUCUGAAAUGAAUCAUAGGAGUUAAUCAGGCGCAUUGAUUUUGGUCGUUUGAAUUCAAAUUAGUAUUUGAAUUGAUGUUUGAAUCCUUUUCAACCAAUAGGAAAAUCUUUUCAGUAGGGUUGGCCUUGCCGCGCCAGGCGGCCUGGCGCGGCAGGGGUGAGCUGCCGCGCCAGCUGCAACCUACUUUCAGUGGGUUUCGGGGCGGUGGCCGGCCGUGCCACGCCAGGCUGCCUGGCGCGGUAGGGGUGAGCUGCCGCGCCACCUGGAACCUACUUUCAGUAGGUUUCGCCGGGUGGGAGGCCGGCCUUGCCGCGCCAGGAGGCCUGGCGCGGCAGGGGUGAGCUGCCGCGCCAGCUGCAACCCACUUUCAGUAGGUUUCGGGGCGGUGGCCGGCCUUGCCGCGCCAGGCGGCUUGGCGCGGCAGGGGUGAGCUGCCGCGCCAAAUGCAACCCAAUUUCAGUAGGUUUCGCCGGGGGGGAGGGGGUGGCGCUCUUGCCGCGCCAGGCGGCCUGGCGCGGCAGGGGUGAGCUGCCGCGCCAAAUGCAACCCAAUUUCAGUAGGUUUCGCCGGGGGGUGGUGGCGGCAAGGGUGCGCGGCCGAGCCAAUUUUAGUAAACUUUCAUUAGGUUUCGGCCCAGGGGGGUGGGGCAUCAGGAGCGCGCUGCACAAUCCGAAACGUAUUUUUGUGCUAAACAUUUAGGGAAAAAUACACGAAAUACAAGUACAUCAUGGAGCAAACAUAUAACAUUGUACGGACAUAAAAAACGUAACAACCAACUUAGUCUUUUACAAACGUGACAUGAAUAAACCUAACAUGCUUAGUCUUUUACCAACUUAGUCUUUUACAAACGUGACAUGAAUAAACGUGACAUGGAAUAAUUGGGCACAUGAUAGGUUCAGUGGCGUGACCGCCGCUCAUCCGGAGGGCUAAAAGGAUCUCUUGGGCGACGCUCCCUCCUUGGAUGCGUGGGCAGCACAUUGGCGCUGCCAACAUCGGUGUGGUCCCGGGAACGACGACGUCGGCGUGGCAACCGGGUAUGAGUUGCAGGUUCCUAUUGAAUAAUUGGGCACAAAUCAUAAAAUUUGUAUGACACUUCGGGAGCGAACAUUAAAAUGUAUAAUUGAAAUUAGAGGAACUUCUGAAUAUACCUGGCUGGACUCUCCCUGCGUCUGAGUCACAGGUGGAGCAUCGUGAGAAAUCUCGAGUUCCUCACCAUACGUAGGGUCAUCAUCCUCAGACUGCUCACCUUCCGAGUCCUCGCUUUCCUGAGGGGAUGCGGGUUCCUUACCUCGCGAUCUCCUGCUAGGACCUGCCGCAGUGGACGGUGUUGCAGCCCUGGGGGUAGUCACCAAUGCAGUCCGACGUGAUCCUGAAGAAGUACCCUGGACAUUGGCCCCGUCGUGCGCAUCUGAGGAUGUCAUGCAGUUCAUCCUCUGCGCCAUUCGCCUGCAACUUUUACGAACCCUCUGCCAUAUAUUCACGACUAUGUUAUUGAUGGUUACAAAGAUAGUACGAGUAUAAGUGAAAAUUUGUUUGGGCUUCUACCUCUGCAAAAGCACGAAGCAGACUAUCACCUUCCCCAACAGUGUGCUCCAUAAUCACGCCCGCCUCGUUAGAGAGCCUUGCAAGCUGCUGUCCCUGCACGCAGUAGUUUUCAUUCCAUAAGUGAUCAAUGUGACGAUACUAUAAUUACAAACCGAAAGCUUACCAUGUAGUCGUGGAGAGGUGCACGCUCAGGCUGUGUCCCAUGGCGUGUCACGGUGUCGUACGCGUCAGCUAUGUCAGCAUCAUCAUCAGACGGUGCAUCCUCAAUGGGCACAUUAGUCCAAGAUGGUUUCACUUUGGUUCUCGUCGAAGUACAGUACCAUCUUAUGUACUCAUUGUUGGGUCGCCAGUACAGUCCACCUUUAGGAUCGCAUCCUUCCUUGUUCUGCCACAGGUGGAUGUACCGGUCAUGCUUCACCCUCCAAUCAUUUUCCUUGUACCACUUUCUGCGGUCGAUACUGCAUCAGAAAUUAGUGAAGUAUUAGUAUAACACGUUAAUUGCGUUAAUUGAAUACCCUCCAAUAGUUAUUUAUUCCUGCGUACCUGUGCAGCUGCUGCGAAGUCGAUAAUUCCAAAGGAGGGCACGGUUGCAUCCUCCCAAACUGCCGCAUCACCCUAUGCGGCAUAUGAAACUCUACCACGUAGUACAGUAUCAUUGGGGUCGUGCACUUCCACAGCUCUCUGUCUCUAUAGCACGUCGGUGAAAAGACGAUCUCGCUAAGCUGCUGACGGUCAUACGGUUUCCAUUCCACCUUCAAAAAUUUUCACGCAAUACUUAUUUCAUCUACCAUUAUACGCAAGUUAGCUUAAAAAACUAUUAUGGUUACCAAAUUACCUGGUACUCUGCGUGAGAACAUCAAACUCGUUCGUGUAGGCCCUGUAGCGCCUAUCCGGAUUGCCACGAACGGGCCGCACAUGCUUCCACACGUGAUAGAACGUGGGAAGAGCAUCGUCUCGAUGCCAUGGCUGAAAUUGCAAGUAAGUCCAAUUGGUCACAUGAUACAAUAGUUUUUCGAACAUUAACGUAGAAAAAGGAAUUAGCCGUUGUGACUUACAUCAACACGGAGGCGGGAAGGUCGACCCACGGGCAUUCGCUCCCAAAUCCAUAUCUGGAGCAUAUAAGUGCACCCUCCAACAUUAGAAUCUCUCGCUGUGCGCCGGCAAGCCUCACAUAACUGUCUGUACAGCCAGGCAAGAGCCGCUGAGCCCCAACUGUAAGUGGCUAUGUUUUCCCAAACUUGACCUAGAAUGGGGAGAACCAUCCACGAUACUGUGUUCCCAGCUGCAUCUGGAAGGAGGAAUGUACUGACAAAGUGCCAUAGCCACACUCGAGCAAAGCGCUGCACGACCUCGUCAUUUGCUCCCGGAGGACACACCUCGAAGUGCUCCCUCAACCAUGCCGAGCUAACACCGGACGUCUUCUUCGAGCUAUCUCCGCCCUCUGGCUCUGGCGGCCUAAUCCCAAUAUGCAUCUCGACCAUAUCACGCCAAUUCUCAUUCUGGAUAAUACCUGUCACUGGCAGCCCAUGCAGUGGAAGGCCGAGUAUCAUAGCCGCAUCCUGCAUUGUGAUGGUCAUUUCUCCGAAGGGCAUGUGGAACGUGUGAGUCUCCGGACGCCACCUGUCGACCAUAGCGGUCAACAGUGGUCCGUCCAUUGGAGGGAGACCCCCCACGACCUGAACAGCGAUAUCCAAGAAACCUGCUCUCUGCAGGUACUGGGCGUACCGCUCAUCCCACCUAAGUGGUGAGUGCACCCUAGCCCUGAGUGGUGUCAAAUUCUGCAAAACAUUAUAAGAUUAUUACCAAAAUGAGAAGUCAAUCCAAUUGUGAAUAACGGGCUUCUAAAGUGGUAAGUAACACAAAUAUGAUACAAAUGACAUUUGCAGUAUGAAAUUGUUUACACUCUACACAAGCGAAUAGUAACGAUAGGCACAUCCUUAAUUAAUUUAUAAGAACAUUUCAUACGAAAAUCUUGCAAUUCUCAUCCUAAGGUAUGCAUUCAUCAGCAAAAAUUAGCAACCAUUGUUAUACCUCAUUCAUGUCCGCGAGGUGGUGGGCACGGUAGUGCAAGUCGUAAGCAGCCUCAAGAAGAGGGUACCCCGGGGCCGCCAUCCUAAAGAAACAACAUAAAUGAUCGUUAGUAAAAAGCUUCAUUACAUGAUAAGUACGGAAAAUAUGAUAAUGUACUACUAUAAAAAAGAUAAAAUAAUAGCCACGCAUAAUACAAGCAACGCGCAUACCCAAUUGUUCGAAGUACGCGGCCUAUUACUGCUCGGUCUAGAUUUAGUGCCUUUUGAUUUUCUACUGUGGCAUGUGCAAUUCCUGAUGAUCUUGUGGCACUUGGAGCAACGAUUUUCCGACUUGUCAAUAUCAAAAUCACCAGUAUCAUAAUCUGCAGAAAGCCUCCCUUCCGACACGUCCAUCUCGCCUGUGAAAUGCUUCUUCUGCCGCCUUCCUACUUUAUUUCUCAUUAAACUGGGGUUAGGCACGUACCCUACCCCUUCAUAUGCCGGCCAUUGUGACGGAUCUAGGUAAGGUUGAAAGCUUGAUUCCCAAAUUUUGAUGGUGUGCUCCCUAGAGUACAACGGUGACAUGUACAUGGGGCUUUCAAAGUUAAGACCUCUUGCCUUGCAAGCUGUAAUGAAGUGUGAACAUGGAAGGUGCAACAAUUGAGGAACAUUGCAGGUGCACGAAACUUCGUGCAGAUCCACUCUAUAGUGUCGGCCUCCAUGACUCUCACCCCCAAUGUUAGUCGUACCGUAACUUCUUAUAGAAUACACCAUCCUUUCUGGCCCGUACGGUUCUGCUAAGUGGUGCACGGAUCUAAGCUCAGCCUCUGAUAAAUAAUUAUCUGCAACUUGCCCAAUUCUAUAGCCUUGAUCUAACAUUUCACGCGCCUUUCCCCAUCGGUUCACAAAGUAGGCGUUGCAUUUUUCGAAUGUGUAUUCAAUAAUUCCAGCAACGGGCCUACUUCGGAUGCCUUUGAAAACUCCGUUGAGUGAUUCCGAGAAGUUCGUGGUCAUAAUACCCCACCGCAUCCCUCCCUCAUCGAAAGCCUGCGCCCAUUUAUCCUUGUCCCCCAUUUCACCCUUCAACCAUUCUUUUGCGUCGUCGUUCAAGUCCUUCACUAAAUCUUCUAACUUCUCACGAAAUUCUCUCUCUGUAUGAACCGUGCAUAAUAAUUUCAAUUUUCCAAUCACACGAUUGCUCUUCUACCGACGCGACAUGUUGGCAGCAAAAUGCCUCAUGCACCACCUAUGCACAAGCGGUGGAAAACCAUCAAUGUGGUCCUUUGCACAAUUUAGAAGCCCAUGAUGCCUAUCUGAUAUCAUACACACUAUCCGUGAAGGUCCAAGAACAUUUACCCGAACAAGUUUCAUAGACCAUGACCAACUCUCAUUAUUCUCACUCUCGACCAAGGCAAAAGCAAGAGGCACAAUCUGUUGUUCUGGAUCUACAGCAACUUCCAUCAUUAAUGUACCCUUGUACUUGCCAGUCAAGAAUGUACCGUCCACCAGUAUCACAGGACGGCAAUGUUGAAAUGCCUCACUACAUUGAGGGAAGCACCAAAAUAACCUUUGCAGUAUAUGCUUCAACACUCCAUUGUCAGGAACCAUCAUGCCACAUGAGUCGAUCCACCAUUUAACUCCGGGAUUGUAGUAGGUUAUAGCUGAGAGUACCCUAGGAACCAUGCCGUACGACUCCUUCCAGUCGCCCCAAAGCAGGGCAACAGCGUGUUGCUUCGCCCGCCAAGCCUUCGAAUACUUCACACGGUACCCACUAAAGAUAAAGAUGGACUCCACGAGUGAUGGCACCGAUGUCUCGCUGUCUUUACGGAUAAUGCCUAGGAUACGCCGUCAAAGGUACUUUGCUGUGCACUGUACAUGCUCUCGCUUCGGCUGUGACGACCGACAAGUAUGCGGUUGCACAACAUUUGAAAUUCUCCAUUGUGCGGUGCUUGAUAUUAGCCGAGACCAUACACGCCAAUGGCAUCCUUGCUUGCACAUCACAUUGUAUCUUAAGUUCUUGUCAGAGUGAACUACGCUAAAAGGUCUAUGUAACCUCACCGCGUAGUCAGCCAAGAAAAACUUCAGCUCCUCAAGACUAUUGAACUUCAUCCCCUUCUUAAUCACUGGACUCUCACCAAUGGACGUCCCUUCGGCAUUCACAAUACUAGAUUCACAUAUUGCUUUGUGAACCAUACUUAUGUCCUUAUCAUUGGGAACGGAUGGCAGUUCGACAUCACGUUCUUUUAACAUCCGCAACUCACACUGGGUGUAAGAAAAACAAUCGUCCAUACGACGAAUGCCUUCUACAUCAUGUACGGUUGCGGUGUCAAAUUGCAGUCCAUCCUCUUCAUUUUCUACCCUGACGUUCUCAUAUUCAUGCCCACCACUCUCAAAUAGUGAUUCCUCCUCUACCUCCUCACCUACUACCCCAUCUUCCUCCAAUUCACAAUCUUCGGAACCCAUAGAGACAUUAUCAACAUCUAUAUUUGCUUCAUCCCUCUCAAAAAUGUUAUUGGGAAAAUCAUCAUUGGCAAUAGCCAAGUCAAAAUCACGUUCUGUUUCACCUAACACGUGAUGCAACAUUUCUGACUCCUGGGUACCAUUAUGGUUCACUACCGUCACUUCCUCCCUCAUGACAACAUUUGGGCCAGGCAUACGAACAAUUUCGACUAUAACCUCCAAACAUGCAACAUUAGCUUCGUGCACAACAUCCUUAUAGUGCUUCCAAUUCGCAUCGGAUGCUAACUUCAUGAGAACAUAAUGAGCUCUAGCUUUCCCACAAUCAAAACAACCUCUCAAACUGAUCUCAUCCACUCUACAUCCAUACUUCGUCAUUACACGGUCAACUAAAUCACUAAAACUUGGAGGACCAUCAAAUAUUUCAAUUGACUCAUUCAUAUUCUCUAACUCCCCAUUUUGUUUCACAACACCACCAUGAAAAAAUCGAACUAAACGAUCCAUCUACAAAAUACAAACAUUUCACCAUGUCAUAUACACUACACAUUGCACAUAUUCGACAUAUCAACUACACACAUUACAUAUAUUGGACAAAUUGCAAACAAAAAAUACACAUAUACAUUGCACUAUACGAUUCAAUGAAUAUAUCCUUAAAUCAAUAAGUUCUACACGUCAAUAUCGCGGGCAGAGACUCAAUUGCGUAUGAACUACGUAUCAUCUAACACAAAACACCAUUGCAUUUCAUUGAAAUUUCAAAUCACUAACCUAACCCUAAGUCACCUAAACAUCCUCCGAUCUACCAAAUGCAACGGUAAAACACGAGAAUAAGUAGGGGAAUACCUUCCACACGAAGUAGGGAUCGAUUCCCACUACUUUCCCCCACCGAAAACGCCGGAUUUUGGGUGGAUUUGGGGGUGGGGCGGCGGGGGGCGGCGCUGGAGCUUCGGGCUCGGGCGUUUCUGGAGGAGGAAGAAAGGAGAGAGGGAGGAGGAAGGGAGCCGGCGCGCGGUCUAAGUGUUGGCCCUGCCGCACCAGGUGGGCUGGCGCGGCGAACGCCCGCCCACGUCAGCGCCCGCCUGGCGCUGCGCCUGGCGCCGCGACUCGCCGCGCCAGCGUGGCAGGGGGCUGCCGCGCCAGUGCAUGUGGCGAUGCAGCAUGUUCCUGCCGCGCCAGGCGGUCUGGCGCGGCCUAACCGGCCGCGCAAAUAAAACCCCGCUGAGGUUAUUUUUAAAAAUAAAGAAAAAAAAGGGUUAAAAAUAAAAAAAGUUCGCAUGUAGGUUGGGCAGCUAAGCAAAUUGUUGUGUGGAAAGGUAUUAGCGUUUCAUCAUAUCUAUUUUUUUUUGCGGGCAAGGCUUUCAUCGUAUCUUUAAGGUGAGAGAAUCACCAAGUCAUCAUUUUAUCGUUAUAUCUCAUAGUUUCGAUAUUAUUGCAGCCAAAUGUUAGUACCAGUGUCUUGGUCCAGUACAGUAAAGCAUGGGGAGUUUUGGCACUAAUUCUACAGAUUUUUGUUUUUUUCUACCUAAAAUAUUGAAAUGAUUGUUUAUCAGUUCUAUUGAGCUCCAUCUCGUACGCAAAAAAAAAGACAAAGGAACAAUCGGUCCACGACACUGGUUGUAAAAGAAAGCAGACAUAUAGCGCACAUAGGGCAUAUCACUAGGAACAUCUCAGCCGUCAAGAUUUGAGUGAGAGUGGGCAGUCUAGAGCCCACUCGAGCAUUUUUAGGCCAGUCCACACCCGAAUUUCCAUCCAUCCAUUUAAUCCAAGUCCAUCCCCUACCCUAGUCUCUGCAUCAUGGUCAUCUUCACGCACGCGAAACGCAGCAGCCGCACGCCCGCAAGCAAACCUUGUAGGUUGCAGCGCCGAAGCACCCAUAGCUUGCUCCACCGAUUUCGGCGAGGCCCCGUGGCAGCAAUCACCACCAGCCUCCCAUUUUUCGACUCUGGCGAACUUGUUCAUUGUGUUGCCAUCCCCACCCCGCCCUCCUUCCUCGUCUCUAGCGGCUCUCGCCACUGGAUACGACCCUGCCGUCCACCCCCACGCUAAAUCACCGUUGGUGCUCUCCCUACUAGUAGGGUGCUUUUGUCCCGGUUAACUUUGGAUUCAUGACUAAAGUGCCUUUAGUACUGGGCCAAAAAUGUGCCACCGAAGGCCACCGCCAGGGGGGGUUGUCGUUGUCAAGAAUCACAGGUCAAGACCGUGCAAGUGAAUUUGUCUUCUAUGCGCGUAAGGCUCGGAUGGUUGCACGAGAGGACACGAGGUUUAUACUGGUUCGGGCAGGUAUAGCCCUACGUCUAGUGUGGGAGACUGCUUGUGUUACUCAUGCAGAGUUUGCAGUAGGGGUUACAAACGGGGGAGAGAGGGAAGCUAGUCCCAAAUCUCUUUGGGUGUGCACUGAUGCUCGUGUGGAAGGGUUGUGGGUGGAGAGUAGCUCUGGUUUGCUUGAGAGCCAUCCUUGUCUCGGGCCUCCUGGUCCUCCUUUUAUAGCGUAAGGAGGGCACAGGAGUUAUAAUUGAGCCAGGAGCAGAAGGGGGAGUGAAGAAGGUAAGCAGGGAAGUAAGGAGGGAGAAGGAUCGAGCCCCCGGGGUUGCCGCCUUCCCUUCCGGUCUCUGUCUCCUGUCAGCAUGACCACUGGAGGGAGAUGGUUGUCGUUGGGCCCCAUCGACGAUCCUCCGGUUGGCCGUCGUAGCCGAGCGCACGAGAUAUGCAUGGCGACCGAUCGCUAUAGCCAUGCAUGAUGAUGAUGAUGACUGGUCGCCGUAGUUGUGCACUCGUGGAGGACAGUCGACCUCUGUAGCCUCACGUAUUGACCGGGAGGCGCGGCUAACACGCCCCUGCCGCCAGGUCGAGCGGGAGACCGGGCGGCGCAUCCUCCUUUGUCAGGUGGCGUGGGCGAUGAGUGCCCUAUAACGAAUGUUACAGGGGAGGAUUAGGACGGUGCAGCUGUAGCCCUGUGCAGUCGUGGCUACAGUGUGCCACCCAAAAACUUUGGCCGGUCACGUCGAAGAGCGCGGGCGUCUUUCUGCGUGCUAGAGCCGUAUCGCAUUUAUGGAGAGAUCGGUGGGGGCCUACCAGAUCUGCGCCCUCAUCUGCUAAUCCGCGCCCGCCCUCCGACGAGGCGAAGCUCUGUCGUGUGAGUCCGGAUGUGCCCAACCUCUAGCACCUGGGGUCAUGCGAGAUGGAGCCUUGCGGCGAGGGGUCGGGCGCGUCCGACCCCUCGCGCCCGACCCCUUGCACCCGGGGUUAGGCGAGGCGGAGCCUUGCGGCGUGGGGUCGGGCGCAUCCGACCCUUGGACCAUGGGUUGGGCAAGACGAAGUGGAAUAUUCCCUAGCCGUGACAAGUCGGUGGAGGUUACUGUCGCUGCAGGUGGGCCCGGGCCCUUAUGAUCGUUGUUUAAGGAAUAUAAGGAGGUCAUUAAUAUUUCCCCCUAACAGUAGCCCCCGAGCCAUUGGUGGAGCAAAAAUGCUCCUCCAGAGGCUGCAUUCGUUGUUUGUCAAGGACCUUUGUUUGUUCUGCAACCUUUAUUUGAUCAGGGAGAAAGAGUUUUGCUCGUUUGGUUUGGCUGUGGAGUUUGGGUAGGCAAGGUGCUCCGAGGAUGGCUCAGCUCGGGAAGAUUCCCUAUCGUUCCGACGACCACUCCUACUCCAAGACUCCAAAUUGUGACCACACGCGUGGUCGUUGGUUGUGAUGCCAGCCCCCGAGCCCCCGCACAUUGCAGGAGACUGAUCAAGUGGUUAGAUCGACUUUUGAUCGUUACCCCUCAAGCGCCCGUUCGCUGGGAUGGAGGGUGUGAGCCGUGCCACGUUAUCCUCGUUGGAUGAACCGUGGUGCUCGUUGAGCUGCGAACGGGUCAGUUGGAGUGGAGUCCCGGUCCCCGUUCGGGGGGGGGGGUCCGGCUCGGGCCAAGCUGGUGGCAUACUCCAGAUUCCGGAUGACCAGUUCAUAUAGUUCCCGGGUCCAUUCGAUUGGAUCUGGGGGCUCGUUGCCUUUCUUCAGGGAAAAACCAUGAACUUAAAUGCCAGUGGGUCCUGUGGGUCCGGAUGUGCCCGACCUCUAGCGCCUGGGGUCGGGCGAGACGGAGCCUUGCGGUGAGGGGUCGGGCACGUCCGACCCCUUGCGCCCGGGGUCGGGCGAGACGGAGCCUUGUGGCGAGGCGUCGGGCCCCUCCGACCCCUUGCGCUCGGGGUCGGGUGAGGUGGAGCCUUGCGGCGUGGGGUCGGGCGCGUCUAACCCUUGGACCAUGGGUCGGGCGAGGCGGAGUGGAAUAUUCCCUGGCCGUGCCAAGUUGGCGGAGGUUACUGUCGCUGCAGGUGGGCCCAGGCCCUUAUGACCGUUGUUUAAGGAAUAUAAGUGUUGAUGCUAGAUUUCAACACGUAUGGAAUCGGCAUCGAGAAAGGAGAAGAUUGGCUGAUGCGGCAGAUUGGAAGGUCACGAUUGGGAAUCGGCCGAUUGGUGGUACAAUUGGGGAUCGGCCGAUUGGCGCUACAGUGUUUUGGUAGACGGAGUUGAUGGAGAUCGGCCGAUUGAAAGGCUGGAGCGAUUGGGCCAAUAUGGGCUUAAAAUGGGUCAGAGAAAGAAGAUGGAGGAAGAUUGGCCCAUGGGAAUACAAUAACCAACUCCGAUACGAGUUGUACUUGUAAAUAUUUGUUUUCGUUUAAAAUUAGAGAUAGAUCCUAGUCGGUUAAGAAAUUGGUUGUACCAGGCUAUAAAUAGCCACCUUUACGGAUUUGUAAAAAACACAUCAAUCAAUACAACAAUCUACUAUUUCUUCGUACUUUACUUUCAAGUCGGUGACUUCGCCAAUACUUUUCUUCUUUCACCAGUUCGUACGGGUUGGCGGGGCUACAUCGACACGAUCUCUGGCCGAUUCUGUAAGUUCUGCUUAUCGAGUAAUAUCUAAGCUUUAACUUCGGACGUAUCGCUGUCAUUUCAUUUAGAUUUAUUCACCAGUUAUUGAUAUUUACUAGAAUUAUAGGUUUCAUCUGUUGUUCUAGUUUUAUCACCAGUUAUCCAGCUUGAGAUCUGAACUGUCGGCUUUAUUAUUCAUUAUUCAUUAUUUUCAUAUAGCUGAUUAGAUCUAUUUCAAGUGUUGCUCCUGUAGCGUUAUCUAGUUUACUCUAGUAGUUUUCUUUAUAAUCGCUAUGUGGUUGUUAGCUGUAUCAUAGCCGAUUAUCUUUUUAUAGCAAAUCGGCCGAUUUGCUGAUACGCUUUCUCGAGAUCGGAACCUUAGCCGAUCCGAACCCCUGGAAUUUGACACGUUUUCUUCCUUGCCAAUCAACAGGUCAGAUUGGCUGGCACGCUGCGUGAACCGCACCAGGGCGAUCACCCGAACAGGAGCUAAGCAGAUUCUCCCGGGUCGUGUGUCCGACGCUGAGAGUCAAUCGGCUGACUUUUAGCGUCAACACACUUUUGGCACACCCGGUGGGACCAAUUCGACCUCCAACAUGUCGAAAGCCGCUGAAGUCUCCGAAGACAACGUCAUCGAAGUGACGGAAGUAGAUCUUAAGAAUGACCAGAAGGAAGAGUUGGAAAAGCAGGUAGAACAAUACCGGAAGACAUGCCUGCAAUCUUUCAGUCGUACUAGGAGCGGGGAGACUAUCAAGAAAGCUCCUUUGCCAACUCCCCGCCAGAUCACCAUCGCUGAGGACUCGGGCAAGAUGUCCGAUAUGGUUCAGCAGUUCGUCUAUCAGGCCUUCAUCGAUCAAUCCCCGGUGAUGGCUAACACGGUGUACAAUGCCGUCAUCAGCUCCCUGGCCAAUGGUGUAUCUCAAGGAUAUCAGGGGCCAGCAUACACCCCACCCAUUACGACCCCAGUCAGGAGCUUUCCAAGCACAUCUCACUCGGCUCCUCAGCCGAUGCCAGCUCAACAUGGAGGAUCCAGCACUUCCCUGCCUUCAAUGCAUCCAGGAUACAACAGUGCGCCAUACCUUCAACCACAAGCACCACCACAGCCUGCUCAAGUUUCCUCUGUGCAAUCAGUGCCAUCGAACUCAGCACCUUGGGGGGCACCGUCGACAACAACCGUUCUAGAUCAAUUGGCUGGCUAUGGAGGCCCUCCAUUCCAGGCACUAUUCCAAUCGGCCAGUCGGCCGACGGUUCCACAGUAUCAAUCUACCAUGUAAGAAAUCGGCAUGGGGGCAGACGCUACUGAGGUGCUCCGAGGUGCGGUGCCAAUGAUACUAUACGAUGAGACGGCCGGUUCACUGCACCACCAGAUGUCAACCGCUCAGCCGGCCACAUUACCACAGAAUCCGCCGCAUGCAUUGAUUAAUCACCCGGUUAUCCCAACGCCGAUCCACCAACACGCGCCAAUUCCCCAGCCAGUAAUUCGUCAGCAGCAAGUGGAUUGGACGGCAAGGAUAGCUGAAGUAAUUCAAGAUCAGUUCAGGUUGAAGCCGAAGGUACAAACUUACACAUACAGGACGCCAUACCCGCCUACCUAUGAUCUACUGCCGUUUCCCCAUCGAUACAAAGUGCCCGACUUCACCAAAUUUUUGGGGCUAGAUGAUACUUCAACUGCGGAGCACGUGAACAGAUUCAUUAUCCAAUGCAGGGAGGCGGCUGCACAAGAUGCUCUACGGCUGCAUCUGUUCUCAGCGUCCCUGUCCGGGUCGGCUUUCGAGUGGUUCACUACGCUACCGCCCAACUCCAUAGUUACUUGGGCCGACCUGGAGAAGCAGUUCCAUAAAUACUUCUACGCGGGGGUCCAUGAGAUGAAGCUUUUGGAUCUGACCACCCUCAGGCAAAGGAGCGACGAGCCAGUGUCCAAUUAUGUGCAGAGGUUCAGAGAGGUCAGAAACAAGUGCUACACCCUAGUCCUGACCGACGCGCAGCUGGCCGAUAUCGCCUUCCAAGGCCUCCUGCCGCAUAUCAAAGAGAAGUACGCUUCCCAGGAGUUCGAGAGCCUGAGUCAAAUCGUUCACCGAUUGGCCGGUCAGGAAGUACGCCCUUUUGAUCAGCGGAGAAAUUUUCAGAAGAAGGUGGCAUAUCUAGAGGGAUCUGAAUCUAAGGAGGAAGCGGAAAUCGGUCUAGCAGAGUGGGUUAAAGGAAAAAAGCUGAUAUUGUGUCCUUUCGGGAAAAGAGAACCGGAGGCGUUCGGUUUUGACACGUCAAAGGCCGACAAAAUUUUCGAUCUACUUCACCAAGAAGGGUAGAUAAAACUCUCACCCUACCAUACGAUCCCGUCCGCAGAGCAGCUAAAAAAGAUGAAGUAUUGCAAGUGGCACAAUGCUACGUCCCACGACACGAACGAGUGCAAGAUCUUCCGUCAGCAGAUACAAUCGACCAUCGAGAAGGGCAGGCUCAAGUUCGAAGUCCCAACAAAGCCAGCAAAGCCGAUGAAGGUUGAUCAGCAUCCUUUUCCCACUAACAUGGUUGAUACGGGAAGAAACGCGCUCCAAACCAAGGUGCUAACGUCGGAAUCGGCUAAAAAGAGUGGCGCUGUGGACCCCAGAAAUCAAACUUCUGUGGAAGAUGUCAAGGGGAAGCGACGGGUUGAUGACAAGGGUGAAGGAUCGAAAAGGCCGCGUAGACCUAUUACUUUCCAAUUUCUGCUCAACAAAUAUCAGUGGCAACAAGAAAGUUCGAGAUAUCGCGAAGAGAUGAUACGACGACAUGAAGAUCAUUGGCGAUGCCAGUUCUUCAUCCAUUGUUGGGAAAAUAACCUCAGGUUGCCAUCGGCCUAUAAUUGCCCGGAGUGCAGCGGUCCAUAUAGCAAUAAUCGCCCAUUCAGGAGGUCUCGCUCCAGGGACAGAAGAAUAGAGCCAAUCAGCAAAAACUGGCGCAAACAAGAAGAUCAGCGCCUUUCAGUGCGUGAUCGGCUGGGGGGCAGAAUGGCCUGAUAUGAUCGGCCAAGCGAUAGAAGCGAGCAAUAUGAUAGGCCGGGGGGCAGGUGUGGUGAAGCACCUCGGAUUAACUUAGCUAAAGCACAGUUAAGUCGCCUAACACGUGAAUCACAUGCUUUAAUCAAGUUAAUUCGACGAUCCGUCGGAUUUCAUCUGAUAAAACCACUUAGAUAGGACCGAGUUAGCAUAGCUCACACAAAGGUGAGUCGUUUAAGAGAAUACAACAGAUCAAAUAAACAGUUCAACGAUUUAUUACACACUGGUUCGAAAAUCAGAGUUCUACAAGAUUCAAAAGCAGCGGAAAGAUAAAAUAGUGGAAGCUAGCGCCGGGGUCGGAUGUCCCUGAUGAGGCCGAUUAGGACAUCAAUGAUCCCUCUCCUCACUGUCCGAGGAGGGAUCCCACUUGACCGUCCACCCAGGAGGAAGCUAGGGCGGCCAAGUGCCAAUAGCAACACACUCAGAAGCUUCAGCUUCACCUGAAAAGAGAUGCCACAACAAGGCUGAGCUUCUAAGCUCAACAAGACUUAACCGACCAGUGGGAAAAACUACUCCACCACUCCAAGACAUGCAAGGCUCUUUGGCUGAGGGGUUUGUUUUGCCAAAAGCGACUACAGUAGGUCCUUACUUUCAAUAUUUUAGCACAGAUUCUGAGUUCAUUAACAAGUCUACAUUGGCAACUUAUCCGAAACAAACAUAGUUUCCAACAUCAAUAUAUAGAACGAGCAUCGAGUUCAUAUCAUCUUCAUGUUCCAUCUUUACUCAGUGUAGCGUAUAAAUCAAGCAGUCUCAAACUGUGAGAGGUAGACAAAUCGAUUCGAGUUUCUUAACCAUGCAUGGCAAACCUAAUCUCAAGACAUCCGCGCACCACAAAGGGUCGCUUCCUGCGGUCGGCGGCUCAACUACUACUCCGUCUUCUCGCACCGGAUACAGCUCGUAUGUGCCGUCGGCGAGAUUUUGUUCUACACGGAAAUGCAAAUGCAGGGGUUAAACAUUUAGUCGGUUAUUUGAACAACACUUGCACGCUUUAGCUCAGAAACUUGUAGCAAAGCUACAAUAAAGGUGUGGAAGUCCAAGCUUCAGUUGAUGGAGAACAGACGAAAGGGUCGGGUUGGGAGAAACUUAUGAUCUGACUCUCAGAACUAAGGAAUAACUGUACCGGGGUCCUCAGACUUAACAUAGAGAAGUCCCCAAAAUUUUACAUAGAUACCCUCGGGUCAAAGAAAAAGACACAGCCGAGCCCUCGGGUGAAGCGGACAAGGGUCGGCGAAACAGACACGGUCGGGUGAGACGGAAAAAGGGGUCGGGCGAAUCAGAAACGGGUCAGCAGCUUACCUUUAGGCCUACUGGUGAAGUCUUGGGGUCGGGAAGGAACAAACUUAGGCGGAAGGACUCGAGGCGCUAAGGCUUGGGUAGCGGUGGGGUUCGGCAUUGCUCCAGCGGCGGCGGUGCUUCUUGUGGACAACAAGCGAGCUCUAGCACCAUGCGGAGGAACAGGCGGCUGGUGGGUUGGGAAAAGCGGGUUUGAGCGGAGAGGGAAAGUUCCUUAAGAGCUUAAGCGGCAGCGCUCAAGUGCGAGCAGAGUAAGGUGCGGCGAGGUAGCGAUGGCGAAGGAAACUCCGGUAGAGGCUGUGGUACUCCCUUUUAUAGUUGCGUGGAAGAGAGAGAGAGAGAGAGAGAGAGAGAGAGAGAGUCCGAGCAGCGCAAAGUUCAGGUCGAAAAGGAUGGAGUGCUCUGCCGUGGCAGCGAUUGGGCGGCGCCUCCAUUGGCUGGUGAAGCGGAGCAUCGGGGCGCGCGGUCAGGGAUCCGGGUGAGAUGAUGGGUGCAUGAGGCGAGGCGGUCUAGCGAGGCAGCGGCCAAUCCUCUGUCGCAACGGCGACAGGGUGCCUUGGCGUGGCCGGUGAGGGUGCUAGCGAGACGAGGUGAGGCGGAAAGGGCUGCAAGGGCUUCUGCACACGAUUGGGAAGGAGGCGCACUGAUCUAUCUUGUCGCGGUCGGCGACUGGGCGAGGCGGCGCUCGUCGGGGAGGUUGAGCCACGCGGCGAAGAGGCUCUGAAGCGGGGCGCACGCGGGCUCUGGCGUGUCUGACUCGAGAGAUUCGUAGGAUCUGGUUUUGGGUCCACCAUUCAGUCUCUAGCUCUCCCAUAGCUCCAAGUUUUGGAGGAACACUGGUUUCGGGACUUAGAGAAGAGCUGCCAUUUGCUGGGUGGGUGCGAUUUUGCUGGGUUUCAGCGGUCGAGCUGAUGGAGACUGUAGAUUUAGGAUUUUCCUGGAGAUUAAGUCGGCUGAUUAAACCAAGGUCGUUAUAGCCUACCCGUCUUAAAAAGAAUCUCAUCCUGAGAUUCGGGUGUAAGGGCAAUCGGUGGGGGUGUGCGGUUCUUACCUUCUCAGCUGAAAAGAAAACCUCUGAAGUGCUUGUUCAGAUACUCCUUUGUUUCCCAGGUUGCUUCCUCCUUCGUGUGGUUGCUCCAUAGUAUCUUGUACAUUUUCAUAACCUGCCGUCGGGUGUGUCUCUCCUUAUGGUCGAGGACUUUGGCCGGGUACUUGGCGUAGGUCAGGUCGGGCUCGAUUUGAAGCGGCUCCUGUUCCAAGACCUCAGUUGGGACUUGGACACAUUUCUUCAGUUGGGAAACAUGGAAAACAUCAUGAAUGGCCAAAAGCUGUUCUGGUAGUUGGAUCCGGUAAGCAACGGGCCCGCAAAUUUCCACAAUCUCGUAAGGGCCAAUGUAACGGGGAGCCAAUUUCCCUUUUACUCCAAAUUGUUGCACUCCUUUGGUCAGGGAGACUCGAAGAUAUACGUGAUCACCGAGGUUAAACCGCAGGGGUCUCCUUCUCUUGUUGGAGUAACUCUUUUGUCGACAUUGGGCUGCCUUGAGAUUUGCCUGAAUCACCCUAACUUGUUCUUCAGCUUCUACUACUAGAUCAGGACCGUAGGUUUGUGUUUCUCCAACUUGUGACCAUCUCAAUGGUGUCCGACACCUCCAACCAUAUAAGGCUUCAAACGGUACCAUCUUCAAGCUAGCCUGGUAGCUGUUGUUGUAGGAGAACUCUGCCAACGGUAAGCACUUAUCCCAAUUCUUAUCAUAGUGGAUGACACAAGCUCGUAGCAUGUCUUCAAGGAUCUGAUUUACUCUCUUAGUCUGACCAGCGGUUUGAGGGUGAUAGGUCGAGCUACGAAUGAGCUUGGUGCCAAGUGAUGCUUGUAGCUGUUCCUAAAAACGUGCUACAAACUAAACACCUCGAUCAGAUAUGAUCGUCCUAGGCACACCGUGCAGAGAAACAAUGCGGUCAAGAUACAACUCUGCAUAUUUCUUGGCCGGGUAGGUGGUGUGAAUAGGAAGAAAGUGGGCAGACUUGGUGAGGCGGUCCACGAUAACCCAAAUGGAGUCAUGCCACUGAAAUGUAGGGGGCAGUCCAACAAUGAAAUCCAUGCUGAUGUCCUCCCAUUUCCAGGAUGGGAUAGGUAGCGGUUGCAGGGUACCGGCUACCUUCAAAUGGCUGGCCUUAACACGUUGGCAGGUGUCACACUCCGAGAUAUAGCAUGCAAUUUCUAGCUUCAUUCUACCCCACCAAAAAGUUUGACGGAGAUCAUGAUACAUCUUAUUGCUGCCAGGGUGGAUUGAGAACUUGGAGAGAUGGGCUUCAUCGAGGAGUUGCUUCUUAAGAGUGGGGUCGGAUGGGACAACAAGUCGGUUCCCAUAGUACACUCUCCCAUUCUCAUCCUGUCGGAAAUGCUUGUACCCUUCAUCUUUCCAGGAAAUCUUCCUUUUAAUUUGCUUUAUUUCCUCAUCCUCUAACUGUGCUGACCCAAUUUGGUCUUCCAAAGCAGACUCAAGGGAAAUAUGAAUGAGGGUUCCUUGGGAAAUAAUUUCCAAACUAAGUUUUCCCAUCUCAUGACACAGAGUUUCGGUGAAGUUGAUUACCGACAAGCAAUUGCAAUGGGUCUUGCGGCUGAGAGCGUCUGCUACUAUGUUGGCUUUGCCGGGGUGAUAAUGUACCUCCAAUUCAUAAUCUUUGAUCAACUCCAACCAUCUUCUUUGGGGCAUGUUGAGGUCGGCUUGAGUGAAGAUGUACUUGAGGCUCUUGUGAUCGGUGUAGAUGUUGCAGUGGGUGCCCAUCAGAUAGUGUCUCCAUAUCUUUAAGGCAUGAACCACUGCUGCUAACUCAAGAUCAUGGGUCAGAUAGUUCAGCUCAUGAGGUCGCAACGCCCGUGAGGCAUAGGCAAUGACUCAGUUGUCUUGCAUAAGAACACACCCAAGUCCAGUGCUAGAGGUGUCACAAUAUACGUCAACCAGCCUGGAAGGGUCGGGUUGAGCUAAAACUGAGGCAGAAGUCAGCAAGCGUUUCAAGGUGUGGAAAGCUUCUUCGCAUUCGUGACUCCACAUAAACUUGACUUCCUUUUUCAGUAGCUCGGUCAUCGGCUUAGCUAUCUUUGAAAAAUCCGGAAUGAAACGCCGAUAGUAGCCUACUAGUCCACAAGAUCUGUGUUCUCAUCGGCUGGUCAGCACACAACCUUGGGCGAGUCAAAACCUCAGCCAGUGGGUCCCACUAUGUCCGACCUUAAGUGUCUGGGUCGGGCGAAGCAAAACCGUGCAACAAGGGGUCGGGUGAGGCGGAGACCUGCCGUGAGGGGUCGGGUGCGUUCGACCUCAUGACCCUGGGUCGGCCAUGCUUGGACAGACCCAAAGGAACAGAAACCUACGUGCGGUCACAGCACAAAAACUCACACAACUUUGGCAUCAAAGGCGUGUCCCAAAAAGGAAUUGAUUUUACCAAGAUCAUUACAUUGCUGGUCCUUUAACACAGAGGGAGUACUCAACUCAACGCUAACCCAUUACAUUGCUACCCAAAAUUUAGGUUGCCGAGGAGUACAACAAAAGAUUAGCUUCCUACAUCCUUCAACCUAAAAAUCAUCUAGGUUGCCUACUGAGGGAACACUAUGCAUCGGAGAAGGGGCAUCGCCAUCUUCAAUGUCCAUACUAGAGACUCCCCCUACCUCCUCAGGGUCUUCCUCCUCCUCCGGAGCCAUUUGCUCAUCUAGCUGCAUUUCCAAAGCAUGGAUGGCAUCGAGCUUGGCGUGGUGCUCGUCCAAGUGUGCAUUAGCAACCGCGAGCUCCAUCUCAACCUCCAACUUCUCUUCAGCAAGCUAAGUUAUGUCAUGCUCCAUGUCUGUCACUUCUUCUUUGAGCUCGGAAAUCCUAGUCUGCAUGUCGGAGACCUGUAUGCUCCUUUGGAUAAGCUGAUAUGACUGUUCCACCAAGUCUCUCUUGGCAGUGUUGAAAUGCUCCUGGGUGUCUACAGCUAUCCGAGCCAAGAUAGCCAUAGCCCGUCCUUGAAGCUCAAUCAGUCGGUACAAAGCUGACAUGCACCUUGUUGUGGUAGAGAGGGUGACCAACAAGUGUGAGGCUGCCAACACCUCCAUAUUGUUGACGUGGUCAAGCCAAGCCGGGUCCAGCUGAUCUCUGGCGGGAAAAAAACCGAUCGGGUCCAAAAGGACACCAAACGGGUGUAGCCAGCAAAACUGGGUGAGAGCCUGCAAGGCAGCUGACUCCCAAGUGUCCUCAAGGGUGUGACCGUAGGUCGAGACCUCAAGCUGGGGCCACUCGGGCUGUACAGGGGAUGGAGGUACAACCACUUGCACGUUGCACCGCUGCACUCCGUGCUCCUGGUACUCCCGUCCCGCGUAAAGAGGCGGUGACUAGUACCCAAACCACCUCAAGGUAUCCCACAAAAUAGCAGGAAAGCCCUCGAAGUGUUGGCAUGUGGAGUGGGAAGUGCCAUCAGCGCCGCGAAACACAUGUCCGGGAGCAGCCAUCUAGAACCAAGAACCGAAACAAGUGUGAGAUAGAAACCCCAAGGAGAACAGAUCGGGCAGGGAAAAGCACUUGGAUCUCUAACCAUAUCGCAAACUGAGAAGGUAUCUAGAAAUCCUUAAAGCAAAGAAGAGCCUUAAACCAGGGCAAGGUUGUUUUAGGGAGGUGGUUUUACAGAUUUUGCUCAUGACUCAUGCACGACCUACCUCGUCCUCUCAACCAAAAUAACUGCCAAAAGCUUUGGUCUUACGCUGUUAGUGCCGGUGGCAAGGCAACAAGUACGUCGCUCCCUAUAGUAGCUAGUCGAUUUCUAGCAUCGUUCCCUAAGCGAACGCGGUUAGUGUACCUGCAGAAAAGACAACCACAUGAACCUUUCAUGCCAGCACUCAUGAAAGCAUCCCCAAGCAUUACCGUUCACUAUAGAAACAGUACCCAUGCGUUUAAUGCUGCAUGGACAGCACAACAACCGUGGAAAUAGGUCCCCUUUGAAUAGAACCAUAUAACCCUUCGCAUGCUCGCGAUGCGGAAUCUGCGCAUGUAUAAUAGACGUGGGCAAACAACCGUGAUGAUCGGCUUGUUGGAAUCAAACCAUACCACCCUUCACAUGAGUUAACAUGUGGAACCUGCGCACGUAUGAUAAACGUGAGCGAAACAACCGCGAUGAUAGGGUCCCUUGAAUAGAACUCCCUAUCAACCCUCGCAUACUCGCGAUGCAAAACUCGGCACACGUAUGAUACACGUGGCGAAGUGCUGGAGGUUAGCAAAAUAACUAAUAAGUAAUAGCCACCUAAAAUAACCCCAAAAUCUCCUAGGGCCUCUCGUACUAAGGUCAUCCUUAACGAUCGUAUGAGAUUUUUCAACACCUUUCUUGCAAAUUUUAUUAAAAAAAGGAAGUGUUUUAGGACCUAUUGUGUUCUUUGUCCUGCUAAACUAGCUCUGGUACCAGCUGUGCCGGAGCACCUCGGAUUAACUUAGAUAAAGCACAGUUACGUCGCCAAACACGCGAAUCACAUGCUUUAAUCAAGUUAAUUCGAUGAUUCGUCGGAUUUCAUCCGAUACAACCACUUAGACAGGACCGAGUUAGCAUAGCUCACACGAAGAUGAGUGGUUUCAGAGAAUACAACGGAUCAAAUAAACAGUUCAACGAUUUAUCACACAUUGGUUCGAAAAUCAGAGUUUUACAAGAUUCAAAAGCAGCGGAAAGAUAAAAUAGCGGAAGCUAGCGCCGGGGUCGGAUGUCCCUGAUGAAGCCGAUCAGGACAUCAAUGAUCCCUCUCCUCGCCGUCCGAGGAGGGAUCCCACUCGACCGUCCACCCAGGAGGAAGUGGGGCGGCCAAGUGCCAACAGCAGCACACUCAAAAGCUUCAACUUCACCUGAAAAGAGAUGCCACAGCAAGGCUGAGCUUCUAAGCUCAACAAGACUUAACCGACCGGUUGGAAAAACUACUCCACCACUCCUAGACAUGCAAGGCUCUUUGGCUGAGGGGUUUGUUUUGCCAAAAGUGACUACAGUAGGUCCUUACUUUCAAUAUUUUAGCUCAGAUUCUAAGUUCAUUAACCAGUCUACAUUGGCAACUUAUGCGAAGCAGACAUAUAUAGAACGAGCAUCGAGUUCAUAUCAUCCUCAUGUUCCAUCUUUACUCAGUGUAGCGUAGCGAUCAAGCAGUCUUAAACUGUGAGAGGCAGACGAAUCGAUUCGAGUUUCUUAACCAUGCAUGGCGAUCCUAAUCUCAUGACAUCUGCGCACCACAAAGGGUCGCUUCCUGUGUCGGCCAUCCUCAUCAAUUCCCAGGCACGUGUCAGGUCCAAAACUUCCCUUGGCAUGCAAUACUCCAUAGUCCCGACCUCUUGUCGUACUGUGGCUGCACUUGCACCCACAUGAUGCACCAUGGGAACCUCAUUCCAGGGACAGCAGGGGUAUAAGCCACGCCCUAGUUCAAUCAGGUACUAGGCUUCCCCAUCCCAUACUAGGUAUGAGAUUAGUACUUUCAAACACUGGAUCAUGAACGCCACCACUAUCAGACCUUAAACAGAUUCAAGUAGACAGACAAGGCGAUCCACCAACCACCAAAAAAGUUCACCAGACCCUACCCCGUCCACCGUCCUUAUAGUUGUAACCGGAAGGAUAACAACCAACUCCUAUUGUUGGAGGUAUGCCCUAGAGGCAAUCAUAGAUAUGAUGAUAUUCCAUUUGUAUCCAUGAUUUGUAUGUUGUGUUCAUUGAAUAUCCAUUGAAGGCUACUUGAAUUGAUUUGCAAUUAUGUGAAUUGUAUGUGAAAAUCUUUACUUGUAUGGUUAUUCUAAAGUUGUCCCUAGUCGGAGUUCAUGUGAGGACAAACAUGAAUAUUAGACUAGCACAUGUAUUAGUUGAUGACUAUGUUUCACAAGUCAUGGACAUGGAGAUGUUGAACUAAUAAUGUGGACACAUGUGGAGACAUGUGCUAGGACUGACCCAACACGAGAAGUAGUUCUCUCUUUAAACAACAUAUACGUUUUGUCCUUAGACCUGAGAUUGUCGCAUGUAUUCUAGAUGUGGAUCGACCUACUUAGGGGCUAUCAAACGCUACGCCGUAACAGGGUAGUUAUAAAGGUAGCUUUUGGGUUUGUCAAGAAGCAUGCUAUGAGACAUGGUCAAUCAAGAUGGGAUUUGCCCCUCUCUGAUUGAGAGUGAUAUCUCUGGGCCCCUCGAGUGAUCGGAUCCGAAAAUGCAUGGCCAUGCUACGUACAAUUAAGAGUUAACCUACAAAAGGAUUCUGAAUCACAGGAUCGAGAAAGAGCGGUCGGCUUGAAGCUAGACCAAAUAUCAUGAGGUAAAGGGAAUAGCGUGUAUAUUAUGUUGUGAUGGUUCGUCUGAUAUGAUCUUCGUGUGCGUAUAGGAGUUGGCACGUCUUGCUAGAGGCCGCUACCGACUAUUGGACCGAGUAGCAGGACUCGGGCCAUGUCUAUACGUAUCCGAACCCAUAGGGUCACACACUUAAGGGGCUGGAAGCCCAAUUCGGAUCUUAUCCGAGUUGGAUUAGGUUUAGAAGUACUAAUGGGCCUCGGAUCCAGAGGCCCGUCAGGAACCUCUAUAAAUAGAGGGGUGGGGGCGCCCUAGGGUUUACACCUUUUUGGCGAAACACACCUGCCGCGCCUCCCUCGCCCUCGCCUGUUGCAACUCGCGGAUCUAGCUGUCCGGCUUGCGAUGCUUCCUCCCUGCACGUGUGGAUACCUUGGAGGUGUUGCGCCUGCAGCACUUGGACGAGCCGCCGACGAGCCACGACGAGCCAACGACGUGCCGCGGCACCGGGGGCGAUCUUGCUGAACGUGGACGAGCUGCUGAGGAGCUCCUGGACGUUGACAUGAUCGACUACGUACGACUAUGUUGAUCGACUACGUACGACUACGUGAUCGUCUUCACUGCAUCGACGCAUAUCUACAUCUUCCGCACCAGUAGUGCGUUGAGUGGUAAUCCCGUGAUCCUUAUACGACAGUUAUUCCUGGUUUUACGUGGUAGAAAUUUUGAUUUGCGCUAGCGCAGCCUACCUCGUAUCCCAACAGUCGUAUCAGAGCCGUAGCUGCUUAGUUUUGGAUUCAGGAUGUGUGCAUAUGGAGAUAUGCGAGUUUUCCGUUUGAUCUAUGUCCUGGUUUCGUGCUCUUGCUGCAAUGGUAGUGUAACAACAUACUCCUACCGGUCGGUUUCCGCCAUCGGAGUUAAGUGAUACACGUAAAUCUAGUUGCAGUGAGCGAAGAUCAAUAUGAUUGGUCAAAUCGAAAUCCAAGGUCAUAUGCCAGGCGCAUUAGAUGUGCAAUAGUAGAUGAGAUCUACUGCCGGGGUUGGGAUUUUUGCCGUAUGCGUAUGCUUCGGUAAAUCAGCCGUAACUUUUCGGUACGAUCUCGGAUCGGGGCAAAUUUUAUAUGAAAAUUGAUCUACAGAAAAAGUUACACAUGAAAUUCAACGGCAUAGCCGUUUUCGGUGAAAUUAGAUUUCCCAAAUUCGGCUUGGAAGAUGGAGUUUCGGGCCUCCGAAGUUUGGAACGUCAGGGCGCCUAACUCUGUUUUGCAGGAUGUAUGUAUGUAUCUUGUGAUCAGUAUGGCCCCCUUGUGUAUGUGAUGCAUGUGUGUAACUCAUUCGUGACCUGCGUGUCGCGCGUACGACAACACGGCAGGAGCCAUAUGUGUUGUCACUUUAUUGUAUUUAAUGGUGUGCGUACCAAUCUGUGAUGAUCCAAGCAACUAUGUAAUCUUCAUUACUAGCUUCUUUACAAGCUAUUAGGUGUACUAGCAUGUUCUAAGUUCUUGGAGGACUCAUCACCAGAAGGAUGGCGCACAUGGAACAUGGAGAUGGAGAUCACCAUGGUGAACAGCUUCUAUGGAGAUGGAGAUCACCAUAAGAAAAACGGGCCAUACUGUGUCACAAUUGUGUGAAUGUUAUUCUGUUUAUGUUUUACUUUCUGCAUGCUGUGAUGUUAGAAGUAGAACGAUCCCUCACAAAGUUUAAGUUAGUAUGCCCUCCCAACUAAAACUUGCACUGUCCCAUGUCUUGUACAAUUAGUGGUGGGUCUAUGAAAUUAGGAUGCCACUAGUUUUCCUUGACUAGACGGGUUUGUGUCGGACACUUACACGCAUAAGGGUUGGUUUGCUUAACAAGGUUAUCUUAACGGUUAAGAACCUUGGGGCAUAAAGGUUGGGCACCGAGACAUAGAGAUGUCACCCAACAACAGGAGUCAUAUGUGAUAUGAUUAGCAAAAGUUGCUUACCGAUCUACCUAGUUUGCUAGCGGUGAUGCUAAAGCUCACUAGUGGACUUGUUAGUUGUGGAUCCUAAAUCACUAAGUUUCAAUAGAGGGAUAUUGAUUUUAGUGGGAGUAGAUUCUGUUAAAAUAGUUUAAUGUGAUUUGCUCUAUCAUGGAUACGUUUGUCUUAGUGUAUUUUGCAUUACUUUGUUGUAGAUUAAAUGGUCGUGGCGCACGAUAUGAUCGUGGCGCUUAGAGACAUGUUCCAAACACAGGCCAGGACUGAAAGGUUCAAUGUGUCUAAGGCCUUUGUUGAGAGCAAGCUAGCAGAAGGCGCAGCAGUAGGACCACACGUGAUCAAGAUGGUUGGUUACACUCAACGGUUGGUGAAGCUAGGCUUCCCACUAGGCCAAGAGUUGGCCACUGAUUUCAUUCUUUCCUCUCUUCCGCCUAGCUAUGGGAACUUCAUCUCGAAUUACCAUAUGCAUGGGACGGAGAAGGAUCUGAAUGAGCUGUGUGGCAUGCUUAAAACAGCAGAGGCUGACAUUAAGAAAAGCGCUAGUACCAGCCAUGUGAUGGCUGUACAGAACAAGCCUACCUUCAAGAAGAAGGGCAAUUCUUGGAAGAAGAAGGGUAAGGCUGGAGUGUCCAAGCCAAACCCAGCGCCCAAGGCUAAAGCUGGACCUGCUCCAGAUAAAGAGUGCUUUUACUGUCAUGAACUUGGUCACUGGAAGAGAAACUGCAAGCAGUACCUAGCUUCGUUGAAGAACGGCGGAAGUAAGAGUACUUCUACCUCAGGUACGCUUGUUGUUAAUGUUAUAGACAACAUAUUUCUCGCUGAUACAAUUAUUAAUUCUUGGGUAUUUGAUACCGGAUUGGUUGCUCAUAUUUGCAAUUCGAUGCAGGGAAUGAUAAGAAGUAGAAGCGUGGAAAGAGGAGAAGUUGAUUUCCGCGUGGGCAAUAAUGCAAGAGUUGCUGCGUUGACCGUCGGGACGAUGCAACUCCACCUCCCGUCAGGAUUUAUUAUGGAGUUGAAUAAUUGUUAUUUUGUUCCUAGUUUAAGUCGAAACAUUUUAUCUCCUUCAUGCUUGAUGAAGGAUGGUUAUUCAUUUGCGAGUGAAAACAAUGGUUGUGUGAUCUCUAAGAAUAAUAUGUUUAUGGCUUUUGCACCCAUUGUGAAUGGAUUAUUUGUUUUAAAUCUUGAUGGUUCACAUGUCUGUAAUGUAAGUGCUAAAAGGCCUCGGCCUAAUGAUUUGAGUCCUACCUACUUGUGGCAUUGUCGUUUGGGUCAUAUAAGUGAAAAGCGCAUGAAGAAGCUCCAUUCUGAUGGACUUCUAACUUCGUUUGAUUUUGAAUCAUACGAGACAUGUGAGGCUUGCUUGCUAGGCAAGAUGACCAAGACGCCUUUCACAGGAUUUCCUGAGAGAGCAGUAGACUUGUUGGAACUCGUACAUAGUGAUGUAUGCGGACCAAUGAGCACGACGGCUAGAGGAGGAUUCCAAUACUUCAUAACUUUCACUGAUGAUUUUAGUAGAUAUGGCUAUGUCUACUUGAUGAGGCACAAGUCUGAAACCUUUGAAAAGUUCAAGGAAUUUCAGAAUGAAGUUGAAAAUCAGCGUGGCAAGAAAAUUAAGGCCUUACGAUCUGAUCGUGGAGGCGAGUAUUUGAGCCACGAGUUUAGCAAUCAUCUAAAGAGUUGCGGAAUUGUUCCACAACUUACGCCGCCUGGAACACCUCAGAGAAACGGUGUGUCCGAGCGACGUAAUCGAACUUUGUUAGACAUGGUUCGAUCAAUGAUGAGCCAGUCGGACCUACCGUUGUCAUUUUGGGGAUACGCUCUAGAAACAGCAGCUUUCACACUUAAUAGGGUACCAUCUAAAUCCGUAGUUAAGACACCAUAUGAGAUAUGGACUGGAAAGGUUCCUAGUUUGUCUUUUCUAAAGAUUUGGGGAUGUGAAGUGUUUGUCAAGCAACUUCAGUCGGACAAGAUCACACCCAAGUCGGAUAAGUGCAUUUUCGUGGGAUAUCCAAAGGAAACUUUGGGAUAUUAUUUCUACAACCGAUCAGAAGGCAAAGUGUUUGUCGCUUGGAAUGGGGUUUUCCUAGAGAAAGAGUUUCUCAAAGGAGAAAAGAGUGGAAAGACAGUGCAUCUUGAAGAAGUUCAAGAUGAGCCGAUCGGGCAAGAAUCAAUGAGUGAUGCUAACGUAGCAGAACAAGUUGAGAUACCCAUGGCAAGAGAAGCACCGCCACAACCACGAAGGUCGGCAAGGCUCCGCGAAAUGCGGGAAAUAUUAUUGUCGGACAAUGAUGAGCCUGCGACAUAUGCAGAAGCAAUGAUGGACCCAGACUCCGAAAAAUGGCAGAAUGCCAUGCAAUCCAAAAUAGAGUCCAUGGGAGACAAUCAAGUUUGGAACUUGGUUGACCCGCCUGAUGGUGUUAAAGCCAUAGAGUGCAAGUGGAUCUAUAAGAAGAAAAAGGACAUGGAUGGAAAUGUUCACAUCUAUAAAGCAUGACUUGUCGCAAAAGGUUUUUGACAAGUUCAAGGAGUUGACUACGACGAGACCUUCUCACCCGUAGUGAUGCUUAAGUCCAUUCGGAUUAUUCUAGCUAUAGCUGCAUAUUUCGAUUAUGAGAUAUGGCAGAUGGAUGUCAAGACAGCUUUCCUGAAUGGAAACCUAGCUGAGGACGUGUAUAUGAUACAGCCCGAGGGUUUUGUCGAUCCAAAAAAUGCUGGAAAGGUAUGCAAGCUUCAGAGAUCCAUUUAUGGAUUGAAGCAAGCAUCUAGGAGUUGGAACAUUCAUUUUGAUGAAGUGGUCAAAGGGUUUGACUUCACCAAGAACGAAGAAGAGUCUUGUGUUUACAAGAAGGUUAGUGGGAGCUCUAUAAUAUUUCUAAUCUUAUAUGUGGAUGACAUAUUACUGAUUGGAAAUAACAUUCCUAUGCUUGAGUCCGUAAAGACUUCACUGAAAAAUAGUUUUUCGAUGAAGGACUUAGGGGAAGCAGCAUAUAUUUUGGGCAUUAAGAUCUAUAGAGAUAGAUCGAGAAGGCUUAUAGGUUUAAGCCAAGAUACUUACAUUGACAAAGUGUUGAAGCGGUUCAGCAUGGAAGAGGCAAAGAAAGGGUUCUUGCCUAUGUCACAUGGCAUACAUCUCAGGAAGACUCAGUGUCCUUCGACUGCUGAUGAGCGGGAUCGCAUGAGUAGAGUGCCAUAUGCCUCGGCUAUUGGAUCUAUCAUGUAUGCAAUGAUAAGUACUCGCCCAGAUGUUUCAUAUGCGCUAAGUAUGACAAGCAGACACCAGUCUGAUCCAGGUGAGAGUAACUGGACAGCGGUGAAAAACAUUCUUAAGUACUUGAGAAGGACUAAAGAUAUGUUUCUCGUCUAUGGAGGUGAGGAGGAGCUCGUUGUAACAGGUUACACCGAUGCUAGUUUCCAAACCGACAGAGAUGAUUCAAAAUCACAAUCAGGAUUUGUGUUCACGCUAAAUGGUGGUGCUGUUAGUUGGAAGAGUUCCAAGCAGGAGACGGUGGCUGAUUCUACGACAGAAGCCGAGUACAUCGCGGCUUCGGAAGCCACGAAGGAAGGUGUUUGGAUAAGGAAUUUCCUCAUUGAGCUUGGUGUGUUCCCGAAUGCGUCCAGCCCAUUGAAUCUCUACUAUGAUAACAAUGCUAUGAUUACAAUGGGGCAAUUGCGCAAGCAAAGGAGCCAAGGAACCACCAGAAGAACAAACACGUAAUGCGGCGAUUUCAUCUCAUUCGAGACUUCGUUAACCGGGGUGAGAUCAAGAUAUGCAAAAUACACACGGAUCUGAACAUUUCUGAUCCAUUGACAAAACCACUCCCGCAGGCUAAGCAUGAUGCGCAUGUAAGAGCUAUGAGUAUUAGGUACCUUCUAGAUUGACUCUAGUGCAAGUGGGAGACUGUUGGAGGUAUGCCCUAGAGGCAAUCAUAGAGAUGAUGAUAUUCCAUUUGUAUCCAUGAUUUGUAUGUUGUGUUCAUUGAAUAUCCAUUGAAGGCUACUUGAAUUGAUUUGCAAUUAUGUGAAUUGUAUGUGAAACUCUUUACUUGUAUGGUUAUUCUAAAGUUGUCCCUAGUCGGAGUUCAUGUGAGGACACACAUGAAUAUUAGACUAGCACAUGUAUUAGUUGAUGACUAUGUUUCACAAGUCAUGGACAUGGAGAUGUUGAACUAAUAAUGUGGACACAUGUGGAGACAUGUGCUAGGACUGACCCAACACGAGAAGUAGUUCUCUCUUUAAACAACAUAUACGCUUUGUCCUUAGACCUGAGAUUGUUGCAUGUAUUCUAGAUGUGGAUCGACCUACUUAGGGGCUAUCAAACGCUACGCCGUAACAGGGUAGUUAUAAAGGUAGCUUUCGGGUUUGUCAAGAAGCAUGCUAUGAGACAUGGUCAAUCAAGAUGGGAUUUGCCCCUCUCUGAUUGAGAGUGAUAUCUCUGGACCCCUCGAGUGAUCGGAUCCGAAAAUGCCUGGCCAUGCUACGUACGGUUAAGAGUUAACCUACAAAAGGAUUCCAAAUCACAGGAUCGAGAAAGAGCGGUCGGCUUGAAGCUAGACCAAAUAUCGUGAGGCAAAGGGAAUAGCAUGUAUAUUAUGUUGUGAUGGUUCAUCUGAUAUGAUCUUCAUGUGCGUAUAGGAGUUGGCACGUCUUGCUAGAGGGCACUACCGACUAUUGGGCCGAGUAGGAGUACUCGGGCCAUGUCUAUACGUAUCCGAACCCAUAGGGUCACACACUUAAGGGGCUGGAAGCCCAAUUCGGAUCUGAUUCGAGUUGGAUUAGGUUUAGAAGUACUAAUGGGCCUCGGAUCCGGAGGCCCGUCAGGAACCUCUAUAAAUAGAGGGGUGGGGGCGCCCUAGGGUUUACACCUUUUUGGCGAAACACACCUGCCGCGCCUCCCUCGCCCUCGCGUGUUGCAACUCACGGAUCUAUCAGUCCGGCUUGCGACGCUUCCUCCCUGCACGUGUGGAUACCUUGGAGGUGUUGCGCCUGCAGCACUUGGACGAGCCGCCGACGAGCCACGACGAGCCAACGACGAGCCGCGGCACCGGGGGCGAUCUUGCUGAACGUGGACGAGCUGCUGAGGAGCUGCUGGACGUUGACGUGAUCGACUAUGUACGACUACGUUGAUCAACUACGUACGACUACGUGAUCGUCUUCACUGCAUCGACGCAUAUCUACAUCUUCCGCACCAGUAGUGCGUCGAGUGGUAAUCCCGUGAUCCUUAUACGGCAGUUAUUCCUGGUUUUACGCGGUAGAAAUUUUAAUUUGCGCUAGCGUAGCCUACCUUGUAUCCCAACACCUAUAACUCGCGAGUGAUAGGAAAUCACUCGACUUUUACCGAGUCCUAUUAAGUAUUGCAACUACUCGGACUUAUCAGACUAGUGUUCAGAUCAAGGGAAUUAAGUUAUGCAUCUAUGGUAUCAAAAAACUCCUAUAACGUAAAUGCACAUACAUACGAAAGAAGGCAUGUGCAAUUUUAGAAAGUUGGGGUUAUGCUCCAGGGCUUGCCUUCGAGCAGAGCGGAGGCAAACUUGUCUUCUGCGGGUUUUGCUUCAGCUUCUACGGUCGGCAGCUCAGCUACUACUCCGUCUUCUAGCACCGGAUGCAGCUCGUAUGUGCCGUCGGCGAGAUUUAGUUCUACACGGAAAUGCAAAUGCAGGGGUUAAACAUUUAGUCGGUUAUUUCAACAACACUUGCACACUUUAGAUCAGAAACUUGUAGCAAAGCUAUAGGAAAGGUGUGGAAGUCCAAGCUUCAGUUGAUGGAGAAUAGAUGAAAGGGUCGGGUUGGGAGAAACUUAUGAUCUGACUCUCAGAACUCAGGAAUAACUGUACCGGGUCCUCAGACUUAACACAGAGAAGUCCCCAAAAUUUUACACAGAUACCCUCGGGUCAAAUAAAAAGAUACAGCCGAGCCCUCGGGCAAAGCGGACAAGGGCCGGCGAAAUAGACAGGGUUGGGCGAAAUGGAAAAAGGGGUCGGGCGAACCGGAAAGGGGUCAGCAGCUUACCUUUAGGCCUACUGGUGAAGUCUUGGGGUCGGGAAGGAACAGACUUAGGCGGAAGGACUCGAGGCGCUAAGGCUUGGGCGGCGGCGGGGUUCGGCAGUGCUCUAGCAACGGCAGUGCUUCUUGUGGACAACAAGCAAGCUCUACCACCGUGCGGAGGAACAGGUGGCUGGUGGGUUGGGAAAAGCGGGUUUGAGCGGAGAGGGGAAGUUCCUUAAGAGCUUAAGCGGUAGCGCUCAAGUGCGAGCAGAGUAAGGUGCGGCGAGGCAGCAAUGGUGAAGGAAACUCCGGUAGAGGCUGUGGUACUCCCUUUUAUAGUUGCGCGAAAGAGAGAGAGAGAGAGAGAGAGAGAGAGAGAGAGAGAGUCCGAGUAGUGCGAAGUUCAGGUCGAAAAGGAUGGAGUGCUCUGCCGUGGUGGCGAUUGGGUGGCGCCUCCAUUGGCCGACAAAGCGGAGCUUCGGGGACAGGGUCUUUGGUCAUGGGGCACUGGAGAUAAAGCCGGCGCAGGCGCGGUUUUGUCGGGAUGAAGGGUUGGCAAGGGCGAGCACGGUAUGGUCACGUCAAGUGGCGGAUUGGGUGCGGCGACUCGACUAGCGUGUGACAGGAAGGAAGGAAAGGCACUGCAAGCGAGGUUGCAGCAGGCGAGGUGACAGGGCGAGCAGCGACGCUAGCAAAUGCAGAUCAGCGGCUUUGCCAGGGCACGUUACUAGCAAGGCGGAAAAAGGAGCUGUCUCUACCGGAGCCGUGGUUGGUGAGGGCGGUAUCGUCAUGGAGCGCGCGCGUGGGCAGCGCGACUGUAGGGGAGACGAAAAAGUCGGAAGGCAUCGGGGCGCGCGGCUGGGGAUCCGGGCGAGAUGAUGGGUGCGGGAGGAGAGGCGGUCUGGCGCGGCAGCGGGCAAUUCUCUAUAGCAGCGGUGACAGGGCGCCUUGGCGCGGCCGGCGAGGGUGCGAACGAGAUGAGGCAAGCCGGAAAGGGCUGCAGGGGCUUCCGCCCGCGAUUGGGAAUGAGGCGCGCUAAUCUAUCUUGUCGUGGCCGGCGACUGGGUGAGGCGGCGCUCGUCGGGGAGGUUGAGCCACGUGGCGGAGAGGCUCUGAAGCGGGGCGCACGCAGGCUCUGGCGCGUCUGACUCAAGAGAUCCGUGGGAUCUGGUUUUGGGUCCACCAUUCAGUCUCUAGCUCUCCCACAGCUCCAAGUUUUGGAGGAACACUGGUUUCAGGACUUAGAGAAUAGCUGUCGUUUGCUGGGUGGGUGCGAUUUUGCUGGGUUUUCAGGAGUCGUGCUGAUGGAGACUGCAGAUUUGGGAUUUGCCUGGAGAUUAACUCGGCUGAUUAAACCAAAGUUGUUACAGCAGGUCUGAUCAGCAUGACUGACCAGAGAGCAGAGUCAGCGCACACGAUCGACUACAAGAGAUGGCCGAUGCUCGGGUGUCAGAUGAAAAUCCCCUGGGAUGGGAGCCAGACUGGGAGCGCGCCAGACCGCCAGCCAAAUCGGUGAACCCCAGGUGGUGCCCUGACGGAUUGACCAAAAUCCCAAAAACGAAGAAUCCAACGCCUGCGCCAAUGCGAACAACAGGAAGAAGAGCAGAAGUAGAUGGUGGAUAAGAAGGAUGACAGGUCUCGAGUCUGGCGCCCCAAAAGAAACAACAAUGAGGAAGAUGGCAACCAGGAAUCGGCAGCUGACGUUAGCAUGGUGUUCAUCUUGCCGAUGGAGUUCAUGGCUCCCGCCGAUUGGAAUGACACGACGAAGAUGGAGGAACAAAUGGCGGAAUUGGCUUUGGAGCCAAUGACAGCUACUUUUGAGAAACCAGAAGAUGAAAAAUGACAACACCUUAAGGCACUGUUCCUCAAAGGGCACGUCAACGGUCAGCCCGUCACCAGGCUACUAGUAGAUGGAGGCGCUGCAGUCAACAUCAUGCCGUACGCCAUGUUCCGAAAGCUGGGUAUAAGCGAUGAGGAUCUAACCAAGACGGACAUGAUGCUCAAGGACUUCGAAGGCAACGUAUCCCCCACCCACGGAGCACUUUGCGUCGACCUCACCAUCGGCAGUAAGACCCUUCCCACUACCUUCUUUAUUAUUAAUGGCAAAGGGUCCUACAAUAUGUUGCUCAGUCACGAUUGGAUACAUGCAAAUUGCUGUGUCCCAUCUACAAUGCAUCAAUGCGUCGUGCAGUGGGUCGGCGACAACAUCGAGAUAGUCAUCGCCGAUUCCGCCUACAGUGUUGCUGCGGCCGAUAUGCAACAGUGGAGCUGCGAACAUGUCAAGUGCAUAUCCGGAAGAACUUGGGACACCGAUUUCCUGAAAGUGUCCGAUUUUGGCCUACAGCCGAUUUGAGCAGUCGGCUCUGAAGAUUCAGAUUAGAUGGAUCAAGUCGUCCGAGAAGAUGGGAAGCUGGGGCACGGGUUUACGUUGGCCGAUUCAUUAGAGAUGAUAGAUCUAGGUGAUGGCACCAAACCGAGGCCGACGUCCAUUAGUGCUAACUUGGAUCCAGAAUACAAGUGUAAAUUGACAAAUUUAUUGAAAUAAUUUAAAGAUUGUUUUGCUUGGGAAUAUCAUGAGAUGCCUGGUUUAGACCGGUCCACUGUUGAAGACCCGUUGCCUAUAAAGCUGGGAUAUCGGCCAUAUCAGCAGCCCGCGCGAUGAUGCAAUCUUAAAAUUCUACUUGACAUAAAGGCCGAAAUUACAAGACUAUGUGAGGCAAAAUUUAUUCGGCAAUGCCGUUACGCUGAGAGGAUCUCUAACAUUAUACCCGUAUACAAGAAAAACAGAAAACUGCGCGUAUGCAUUGAUUUCAGGAACCUUAAUCAGGCCACGCCGAUGGAUGGAUAUCCGAUGCCGACAGCAGAUGUGUUGAUAGAUGCCGCCGCAGGAUGUAAAGUCAUCAGUUUCAUGUACGGAAAUGCCGGGUACAAUCAAAUAUUAAUGGCCGAAGAAGACAUCUCAAAAAUGGCCUUCAGGUGUCCGGGCCACCUCGGUUUAUUCGAGUGGGUAGUAAUGACCUUUGGAUUAAAGAAUGAUGGCGCUACAUAUCAACGGGCUUUGAAUUACAUCUUCCACAAGCUCAUCGGCGUCCUGGUGGAAAUCUACAUCGACGUCGUCGUGGUCAAAUCAAAAGGGCAUCAAAAACAUCUAGCCGAUCUGCGAGAAGUAUUGGAAUGCACGAGGAAACAUGGGUUGAAAAUGAACCCGAACAAGUGUGCAUUUGGCAUAUCGGCCGGGUAGUUCCUAGGAUUCAUGGUCCACGAGCGCGGGAUAGAAGUCAACCGGAAGAUCAUAGCGGCCAUCAACAAGGUUGUAGCCCCACAGAACAAAACUGAGUUGCAAUCUCUAAUUGGCAAAGUUAACUUUAUCAAAAGAUUCAUAUCCAACUUGUCUUGGCGUAUUCAAGCCUUCACGCCGUUAUUGAAGUUAAAGCCCAACCAGGAAUUUGUGUGGAGAGAGGAACAACGGAAAGCAUUGGAAGACAUCAAGCAAUACCUGAUCUCGCCACCUGUAUUAGUCCCACCACAAGCUGACAAACCAUUCAGACUAUACUUAUCGGCCGACGAAUGGGCUAUCAGAUCAGCGCUGGUACAGGAGUUCGAAGGGAAGGAACGGGUGAUAUAUUAUGUUAGCAGAAGACUUCUGGACGCCGAGACAAGAUACUCACCGGCAGAGCGGCUGUGCCUAUGUCUUUAUUUCUCAUGUACCAAGCUUAGGCACUACCUUUUGUCGGCAGAAUGCAUAGUCGUAUGCAAAGACGACGUGGUAAAGUACAUGCUAUCAUUGCCAAUUUUGAAAGGACGAAUCGAAAAAUGGAUCCUGGCACUGUCAGAGUUUGACCUAAGGUAUGAAUCGGUCAAAGCUGUCAAGGGUCAAGUCAUGGCUGAUUUCAUGGCCCAACACUGCAGACCAGAAAUCAUUGUCGUGGAGCUGGCUCCAUGGACUCUAUACUUUGAUGGUUUGUCAUGUGGCGCCGGAUCAGGAAUCGGCAUCGUCCUCAUAUCGCCUCGGGGGGCAAGCUAUGAUUUCUCUCUGCCGAUAGAAGCUUUCGUGACCAAUAAUCAGGUGGAAUACUGAGCUGUCCUAAAAGGCAUUCAAUUAUUGAGAGAGAUCAAAGGUGAUGCUGUGGAGAUUUUUGGGGAUUCCAUGCUCAUCAUAGACCAGCUAAUAGGAAGAUCAGAAUGUAAAGAUGACGUCCUGUGGAUUUACUACAAAGAUUGCCUCCAACUUUUAAAUAAGUUUAAGACUGCAGUUAUUGAGCAUAUUCCUAGAGAUUAUAACGAAGAGGCCAAUAGGCUCGCACAACACGCGUCCGGGUAUCGGCCAAUUUAGGGCGCCCUGACUCUGGAACUCGCAGCCGACGAUUGGCGAAAGGAGAUCGCUGAUUACUUAAGGGACCCGUCCAAGAAAGUGGAUCGGCGAAUACGUUUUCAAGCCACAAAGUACGUGCUACUCGAUGAUAAUUUGUUUUACCGAACGAUUGAUGGAGUUUUGCUCAAAUUCCUAGGGACGGAAGAGGCACAGAUCCUGAUGGGAGAAAUCCACGAAGGGGUGUGCGGAGCCCACCAAUCGACCCAUAAAAUGAAGUGGAUGAUUAGGAAUAACGGAUAUUAUUGGCCGACGAUACUCAAAGACUGCUUCAAAUAUUAUAAAGGUUGUCAAGACUGUCAGAAGUUUGGCAACGUGCAACGUGCACCAGCAUCGACUAUGAAUCCGAUAAUCAAGCCAUGGCUGUUCAUGGGUUGGGGAAUAGACCUCAUCGGACAAAUUUAUCCUCCUUCAAGUAAGGGGCACAAGUUCAUAUUGGUAGCCACUGACUACUUUACCAAAUUGGUGGGGCAAUCCUACUAAAGGCUGUGACAUCGGCCGCUAUGGUCGAUUUUGUAAGAGACCACAUUGUUUAUCAUUUUGGGAUUCCUCAAACCAUCACAACCGACCAAGGGACGAUGUUCACUUCGGAAGAGUUCGAGGAAUUCACUGCUGAUAUGGGGAUCAAGUUGCUAAAUUCUUCCCCAUAUUAUGCUCAAGCUAACGGCCAAGCUGAAUCGUCCAAUAAAGGGAUAAUUAAGUUAAUCAAAAGGAAGAUCGAAGAACAACCUAAGAAGUGGCACUUGUAAUUGACCGAGGCUUUAUGGGCUUACAGGAUGUCCUACCACGGGGCUACUAAGAUAUCCCCUUAUCAAUUGGUGUAUGGUUACGAAGCAGUGUUGCCUUGGGAAUUAAGAACAGGGUCAAGACGUACAUCGCUUCAAGAUCAGUUGACUGCCGACAACUAUUCCUCACUCAUGAAAGGAGAACUCAAUGAUUUGGCAGGUAAAAGAUUGAGGGCUUUGAUCAGCAUCGAGGAGAAUAGAAAGAGAGUGGCCAGGUGGUACGACAAGAAGGUCAAAGUCAAGCAAUUCUCCCAAGGAGAUUUGGUAUGGAAGUUGGUGCUGCCGAUAGGGUCUAAAGAUCCCAAAUUUGGUAAAUGGUCGCCCACUUGGGAAGGGCUGUAUAAAAUCGGCCGAUGCGCUCCAAGAAACGCGUAUAUACUGGAGACAAUCGAAGGAGAAGAAUUCACAAGAGCCUUGAAUGGGAGGUACCUAAAAAGAUACUAUCCCAGUAUAUGGGUCGAUGCAUAAGUAGUUACAGAGUAUAUCAAGAUGAUGCGGCUAGCUCCUAGUAGAUCUUGUAGCCGGUGCAAGAACAACAUCGCCUCAAGAACAAUACAUUCGUUCAAGUUGUCCGAUUUAUUAUUCGGUGCGAACGAUAGGGUACAUGGCCAACACGGUACAAGUCACCCUUAGAACAAAAAGUACCAACACGCCUACUGACCAUGCUUUUUCUUAAUUUUCCUCUCUACCCGAUCUAGUUCUAUCAAGAGAUGGAUGCUUUUCUCCUCCACAUCCUUCAUCGCGGCUUCAGCCUCAACUUGACGGGGAAGAGGAUGGCUCCGGUCAAGCAGUGGUUGAGAUAUUCCCGCUGCAGCGUCUUCAAGGGCGAUUGGGCGAGGGAGCGGAUGACUCCUUUCUAUUGGCGGCCGCCUAGAGCAGUUGGCGUCGAUGUGAUCCCAGAUCCGCUUGACUUCUGCAUGAACAUGAUCCCUGAGUUCUUCAUGGUGAGCUCUAAUCAAAUCCUUGUCCUCCUGCGACAACGGUUCAUCGGAGUGCAUGAUCUCGAUUUCCUUGUCCUUUCUAUUGGGGAUUGUUUAAAUGGUAUUCUGUGAGUUUCUAAGUUUAUCAGAUUGAUUGGGUCUGGACUUCCCAUAGGGCCUAAGCAAAUGAGACCGGGAGCUUCGGAAAGGCGAAUGGUGCUUUGGUGCCUAACCGCCUAAAAAGGUAAUAAGGGAAGAACUAAGAAUGGAUCUAAAAGCCAAUGCCUGGGCGGUAAAGGGUAAAAAGAAAAGUUCCGGGUAAAUACCUCCGGGAUGAAGGUCAUCGUCGCUGACGGGGCUGCUAGUAGAGCUGCCACCGCCGAAGCCGCUGGUGGGACCUAGGUCGCCGAUGGAGCUGCUGCCGCCGCCGUUGGAGCUGCCUCCGGAGUUUCUGUUGCUGGAGGGGUUGCCGAUGGUGUCGCCAUUGGGAAGAUGAGGCGAAAUGUGGAUGAACUAGGGGGUCGCCGGAGGGUUUGCUUGGAAGUCAAGAGGGCGCCAGAAGAAGAUGGAAACUAGUGCGCCAAAGAAAGGAAGUUACUGGCUUGUGAAGAAGUGCGGGACGUGCUAGUAUUUAAGGACGGUUCGAGAAGGGGUAAAGUCAGGAUUUUUACCGCGCCGUCUACACAAAUUUUGGGGGAGUGGUUGUCCUAGGCGCCCAUUUCGAAACGAUUGCAAUCAUCAGGUAGGAGACCGCGAAAUGGAAGGAUAUUUUUAAUGCGUUUGUUUCGGAGGAGAAGUUGAAAAGGAAUUUCAAAGUAAAAGCUAUGUUUUACUCCGAAACGGGGGGGCAUGUGUUGACGCUAGAUUUCGACACAUAUGGAAUCGGCGUCGAGAAAGGAGAAGAUUGGCUCAUGCGGCAGAUUGGAAGAUCACGAUUGGGAAUCGGCCGAUUGGUGCUACAGUUGGGGAUCAGCUGAUUGGCGCUACAGUGUUUUGGCAGAUGGAGUUGAUGGAGAUCGGUCGAUUGAAAGGCUGGAGCGAUUGGGCCAAUAUGGGCUUAAAAUGGGUUAGAGAAAGAAGAUGGAGGAAGAUUGGCCCAUGGGAAUACAAUAACCAACUCCGAUACGAGUUGUACUUGUAAAUAUUUGUUUUCAUUUAAAUUAAGAGAUAGAUCCUAGUUGGUUAAGAAAUUGGUUAUAACAGGCCAUAAAUAGCCGUCUUUAGGGAUUUGUAAAAAACACAUCAAUCAAUACAACAAUCUACUAUUUCUUCGUACUUUACUUUCAAGUCGGCAACUUUGCCAAUACUUUUUCUUCUUUCACGAGUUCGUACGGGUUGGCGAGGCUGCAUCGACAUGAUCUCUGGCCGAUUCUGUAAGUUUCACUUAUCGAGUAAUAUCUAAGCUUUAACUUUGGGUGCAUCGCUGUCGUUUCGUUUAGAUUUAUUCACCAGUUAUCGAUAUUUACUAGAAUUAUAGGUUUCAUCUGUUGUUCUAGUUUUAUCACCAGUUAUCUAGCUUGAGAUCUGAAUUGUCGGCUUUAUUAUUCAUUAUUCGUCAUUUUCAUAUAGCCGAUUAGAUCUAUUUCAAGUGUUGCUCCUGUAGCGUUAUCUAGUUUACUCUAGUAGUUUUCUUUAUAAUCGCUACGUGGUUGUCGGCUGUAUCAUAGCCGAUUAUCUUUUUAUAGCAAAUUGGUCGAUUCGCUGAUACGCUUUCUCGAGAUCGGAACCUUAGCCGAUCGGAACCCCUAGAAUUUGGCACGUUUUCUUCCUUGCCAAUCAACAGAUCAAAUUGGCUGGCACGCUGCGCGAACCACACCAGGGCGAUCACCUGAACAGGAGCUAAGCAGAUUCGCCCGAGUCGUGUGUCCGACGUUGAGAGUCAAUCGGCUGACUUUUAGCAUCAACAAUAAGGAGGUCGUUAAUAUUUCCCCCCAACAGGGGGGUAGUAGGGUGGCGGCUUUAGUCCCGGUUGUAAAGACCAACCGGGACUAAAGCCCCUUUUAGUCCCAAUUGUAACGGCUAUAAAAAUCGCACCGACGCCCCCCUUGUCCCGGUUGGAAAUUCCAACCCAGACAAAAGACCCCCUUUUGUCCCAGUUGGUAAUUCCAACCGGAAUAAAAGGGGGGUCUUUUGUCCCGGUUGGAAAAAUCACCAACCGCGACAAAGGGGGGAUACUUUGUCCCGGUUGGAAUUUCCAACAGGGACAAAAUCUCCUCCCCUAUAAAUCCAACCAGCCUAAAACUCUUCUUCCUCCCCCAACCAGAGCCACUCCACCAGAGACCGAGAGCUUCAUCCUCCUCUCCAUGGCGAGCAAGCAACCUUAGGGGAGGUGCUGCCCGAAUUUUUUUCCUCAUUUUCAUGGGGAUUUCACUCAUCCAAAGUGUUGUGAAGGUUAGCUACUUCAUCCUUCCUUCAUUUAUUGUUAUUAUGCUUUGUUUUAUGCUUUCUAGAGGGAGAAAAAUAAGUUUUUUAGAAUGAAGGAGAAUGGAGAGGAUUUUUAUUUAUACAUAUUUUUGAGCUAGAAUUUGAUGGAUAGCUUGUUAUAUAUGAUUCAUAUUAGUUAAAAGAACUUGAUCAAUAUUAGGUAUGUGAGGAAACAUAAAGUAAAUGUAUUUUUAAUAUUUAGUCAUUGCAAUAAAAUUAAGGUAAAUAAAUUUUAGGUGUAAGAAAUAGAAUUUGGUCAUUGCUACAAUUUUUCAUGUCACUGUAAUUUAACAAUAAUUGCAUUUAUUUGACCAAUAAUUUAUUUAUCUCAGGUUUAUUGCAAUAAUUAAAUAUUAUAAACACACUUACUCUAUUUUUCACGUAAUAUGAUGCAGAUAGACUGGCAAUGGAUGUACCACCACCGUUUCUCCAAUCCCAGAGAAUAGUGUUUGCACAUGGCAUGGAUGUGCUUACACUAUUCUCUACAUAUAACUCAAUCUUCUACAAAGUCUAUGGAGAGUUACCUCCGCUCCUCCAGUACCAGAAAAUAACUGUAGAACAGAAGAGCUUUGAAUCCACAAACUCGGGCUGAAUACCAUAAAAUAAUCUUGAAAUAGUAUUCCAAACGCCUUUCGGAGCUUAAUUCUCAUAAUAGAAGUCCAAUAUCCUGUUCAGGAAGAGAUUUGUUCACUAACCUUGAUCCAUAGCUUUUAGUUGGUUUUGCCUCGCUAAAAUAAGCCAUGCUCAGUGUGUUGGGAUAUGAGGUAGGCUACACUAGCGCAAAUCAAAAUUUCUACCGCGUAAACCAGGAAGAACUGCCGUAUAAGGAUCACGGGAUUACCACUCGACGCACUACUGGUGCGGAAGAUGUAGAUUUGCGUCGAUGCAGUGAAGACGAUCAACGUAGUCGUACGUAGUCGAUCAACGCAGUCGUACGUAGUCGAUCACAUCAACGUCCAGCAGCUCCUCAGCAGCUCGUCCACGUGCAGCAAGAUCGCCCUCGUGCCGCGGCUCAUUGUCGGCUCGUCGUGGCUCGGCGGCGGCUCGUCCGACUGCUGCAGGCGCAACACCUCCAAGGUAUCCACACGUGCAGGGAGGAAGCAUCGCAAGCCGGACUGCUAGAUCCGCGAGUUGCAACAGGCGAGGGCGUGGGAGGCGCGGCAGAUGUGUUUCGCCAAAAGGUGUGAACCCUAGGGCGCCCCCACCCCUCUAUUUAUAGAGGUUCCUAACGGGCCUCUGGGUCCGAGGCCCAUUAGUACUUCUAAACCUAAUCCAACUUGGAUCAAAUCCGAAUUGGGCUUCCAGCCCCUUAAGUGUGUGACCCUAUGGGUUCGGAUACGUAUAGACAUGGCCCGAGUACUCCUACUCGGCCCAAUAGUCGGUAGCGGCCUCUAGCAAGACGUGCCAACUCCUAUACGCACACGAAGAUCAUAUCAGACGAACCAUCACAACAUAAUAUACAUGCUAUUCCCUUUGCCUCACGAUAUUUGGUCUAGCUUCAAGCCGACCGCUCUUUCUCGAUCCUUUGAUUCGGAAUCCCUUUGUAGGUUAACUCUUAACCGUACGUAGCAUGGCCAUGCAUUUUCGGAUCCGAUCACUCGAGGGGCCCAGAGAUAUCACUCUCAAUCAGAGAGGGGCAAAUCCCAUCUUGAUUGACCAUGUCUCAUAGCAUGCUUCUUGACAAACCCGAAAGCUACCUUUAUAACUACCCUGUUACGGCGUAGCGUUUGAUAGCCCCUAAGUAGGUCGAUCCACAUCUAGAAUACAUGCAACAAUCUCAGGUCUAAGGACAAAGCGUAUAUGUUGUUUAAAGAGAGAACUACUUCUCGUGUUGGGUCAGUCCUAGCACAUGUCUCCACAUGUGUCCACAUUAUUAGUUCAACAUCUCCAUGUCCAUGACUUGUGAAACAUAGUCAUCAACUAAUACAUGUGCUAGUCUAAUAUUCAUGUGUGUCCUCACAUGAACUCCGACUAGGGACAAUUUUAGAAUAACCAUACAAGUAAAGAGUUUCACAUACAAUUCACAUAAUUGCAAAUCAAUUCAAGUAGCCUUCAAUGGAUAUUCAAUGAACACAACAUACAAAUCAUGGAUACAAAUGGAAUAUCAUCAUCUCUAUGAUUGCCUCUAGGGCAUACCUCCAACAGUCUUCGACUUGCACUAGAGUCAAUCUAGAAGGUACCUAAUACCCAUAGCUCUUACGUGCGCAUCAUGCUUAGCCUGCGGGAGUGGUUUUGUCAACGAAUCAGAAAUUUUCAGAUCCGUGUGUAUUUUGCAUAUCUUGAUCUCACCCCGGUUAACGAAGUCUCGAAUGAGAUGAAAUCGCCGCAUUACGUGUUUGUUCUUCUGGUGGUUCCUUGGCUCCUUUGCUUGCGCAAUUGCCCCAUUGUUAUCACAGUAGAGAUUCAAUGGGCUGGACGCAUUCGGGAACACACCAAGCUCAAGUAGGAAAUUCCUUAUCCAAACACCUUCCUUCGCGACUUUGGAAGCCGCGAUGUACUCGGCUUCUGUCGUAGAAUCGGCCACCGUCUCCUGCUUGGAACUCUUCCAACUAACAGCACCACCAUUUAGCGUGAACACAAAUCCUGAUUGUGACUUUGAAUCAUCUCUGUCGGUUUGGAAACUAGCAUCGAUGUAACCUGUUACAACGAGCUCCUCCUCACCUCCAUAGACGAGGAACAUAUCUUUAGUCCUUCUCAAGUACUUAAGAAUAUUUUUCAACGCUGUCCAUUGACUCUCACCUGGAUCAGAUUGGUGUCUGCUUGUCAUACUUAGCGCAUAUGAAACAUCUGGGCGAGUACUUAUCAUUGCAUACAUGAUAGAUCCAAUAGCCGAGGCAUAUGGCACUCUACUCAUGCGAUCCCGCUCAUCAGCAGUCGAAGGACACUGAGUCUUCCUGAGAUGUAUGCCAUGUGACAUAGGCAAGAACCCUUUCUUUGCCUUUUUCAUGCUGAACCGCUUCAACACUUUGUCAAUGUAAGUAUCUUGGCUUAAACCUAUAAGUCUUCUCAAUCUAUCUCUAUAGAUCUUAAUGCCCAGAAUAUAUGCCGCUUCCCCUAAGUCCUUCAUCGAAAAACUAUUUUUCAGUGAAGUCUUUACGGACUUAAGCAUAGGAAUGUUAUUUCCAAUCAGUAAUAUGUCAUCCACAUAUAAGAUUAGAAAUACUAUAGAGCUCCCACUAACCUUCUUGUAAACACAAGACUCUUCUUCAUUCUUGGUGAAGUCAAACCCUUUGACCACUUCAUCAAAACGAAUGUUCCAACUCCUAGAUGCUUGCUUCAAUCCAUAAAUGGAUCUCUGAAGCUUGCAUACCUUUCCAGCAUUUUUCGGAUCGACAAAACCCUCGGGCUGUAUCAUAUACACGUCCUCAGCUAGGUUUCCAUUCAGGAAAGCUAUCUUGACAUCCAUCUGCCAUAUCUCAUAAUCGAAAUAUGCAGCUAUAGCUAGAAUAAUCCGAAUGGACUUAAGCAUCACUACGGGCGAGAAGGUCUCGUCGUAGUCAACUCCUUGAACUUGUCAAAAACCUUUUGCGACAAGUCGUGCUUUAUAGAUGUGAACAUUUCCAUCCAUGUCCUUUUUCUUCUUAUAGAUCCACUUGCACUCUAUGGCUUUAACACCAUCAGGCGGGUCAACCAAGUUCAAAACUUGAUUGUCUCCCAUGGACUCUAUUUCGGAUUGCAUGGCAUUCUUCCAUCAUUGCUUCUGCAUAUGUCGCAGGCUCAUCAUUGUCCAACAAUAAUAUUUCCCGCAUUUCGUGGAGCCUUGCCGACCUUCGUGGUUGUGGCGGUGCUUCUCUUGCCAUGGGUAUCUCAACUUGUUCUGCUACGUUAGCAUCACUCAUUGAUUCUUGCCCGAUCGGCUCAUCUUGAAUUUCUUCAAGAUGCACUGUCUUUCCACUCUUUUCUCCUUUGAGAAACUCUUUCUCUAGGAAAACCCCAUUCCGAGCGACAAACACUUUGCCUUCUGAUCGGUUGUAGAAAUAAUAUCCCAAAUUUUCCUUUGGAUAUCCCACGAAAAUGCACUUAUCCGACUUGGGUGUGAUCUUGUCCGACUGAAGUCGCUUGACAAACACUUCACAUCCCCAAAUCUUUAGAAAAGACAAACUAGGAACCUUUCCAGUCCAUAUCUCAUAUGGUGUCUUAACUACGAAUUUAGAUGGUACCCUAUUAAGUGUGAAAACUGCUAUUUCUAGAGCGUAUCCCCAAAAUGACAACGGUAGGUCCGACUGGCUCAUCAUUGAUCGAACCAUGUCUAACAAAGUUCGAUUACGUCGCUCGGACACACCGUUUCUCUGAGGUGUUCCAGGCGGUGUAAGUUGUGGAACAAUUCCGCAACUCUUUAGAUGAUUGCUAAACUCGUGGCUCAAAUACUCGCCUCCACGAUCAGAUCAUAAGGCCUUAAUUUUCUUGCCACGCUGAUUUUCAACUUCAUUCUGAAAUUCCUUGAACUUUUCAAAGGUUUCAGACUUGUGCCUCAUCAAGUAGACAUAGCCAUAUCUACUAAAAUCAUCAGUGAAAGUUAUGAAGUAUUGGAAUCCUCCUCUAGCCGUCGUGCUCAUUGGUCCGCAUACAUCACUAUGUACGAGUUCCAACAAGUCUACUGCUCUCUCAGGAAAUCCUGUGAAAGGCGUCUUGGUCAUCUUGCCUAGCAAGCAAGCCUCACAUGUCUUGUAUGAUUCAAAAUCAAACGAAGUUAGAAGUCCAUCAGAAUGGAGCUUCUUCAUGCGUUUUUCACUUAUAUGACCCAAACGACAAUGCCAUAAGUAGGUAGGACUCAAAUCAUUAGGCCGAGGCCUUUUAGCACUUACAUUACAGACACGUGAACCAUCAAGAUUUCAAACAAAUAAUCCAUUCACAAUGGGUGCAAAAGCCAUAAACAUAUUAUUCUUAGAGAUCACACAACCAUUAUUUUCACUCGCAAAUGAAUAACCAUCCUUCAUCAAGCAUGAAGGAGACAGAAUGUUUCGACUUAAACUAGGAACGAAAUAACAAUUAUUCAACUCCAUAAUAUAUCCUGACGGGAGGUGGAGUUGCAUCGUCCCGACGGUCAACGCAGCAACUCUUGCAUUAUUGCCCACGCGGAAAUCAACUUCUCCUCUUUCCACGCUUCUACUUCUUAUCAUUCCCUGCAUCGAAUUGCAAAUAUGAGCAACCGAUCCGGUAUCAAAUACCCAAGAAUUAAUAAUUGUAUCAGCGAGAAAUAUGUUGUCUAUAACAUUAACAACAAGCGUACCUGAGGUAGAAGUACUCUUACUUCCGCCAUUCUUUAAGGAAGCUAGGUACUGCUUGCAGUUUCUCUUCCAGUGACCAAGUUCAUGACAGCAAAAGCACUCUUUGUCUGGAGCAGGUCCAGGUCCAGCUUUAACCUUAGGCGGUGGGUUUGGCUUGGACGUUCCAGCCUUGCCCUUCAUCUUAAAGCUAGGCUUGUUCUGUAUAGCCAUCACAUGGCUGGUACUAGCACUUUUCUUGAUGUCAGCCUCUGCUGUUUUAAGCAUGCCACACAGCUCAUUCAGACCCUUCUCCGUCCCAUGCAUAUGGUAGUUCGAGAUGAAGUUCCCAUAUCUAGGCGGAAGAGACGAAAGAAUGAAAUCAGUAGCCAACUCUUGGUCCAGUGGGAAGCCCAGCUUCUCCAACCGUUGAGUGUAACCAACCAUCUUGAUUACGUGUGGUCCUACUGCUGCGCCUUCUGCUAGCUUGCUUUCGACAAAGGCCUUAGAUACAUUGAACCUUUCAGUCCUGGCCUGUGUUUGGAACAUGUCUCUAAGCGCCACGAUUAUAUCGUGCGCCUCAUGGUUUGUUUCGAACUGCAUCUGCAGCUCGGGUUCCAUGCAAGCAAGCAUAAGGCAGCUUACUUCGAGGUUAGCAUCACAUGCUUUCUUGUAAGCAUUCUUAGCAGCAGCGGGUGCAUCAUCAGCAGGUUCUUCUGGUAGUGGGUUGUCCAGAACAUCUUCCUUUUUCUCAGUCCUGAGAACAAUUCUCAGGUUAAGGAUCCAAUCCGAGUAAUUUGUUCCAUUCAACUUGUCCUUCUCAAGGACCGUAGUGCUGCUAGGUGCGAUUUAAUCUACAACAAAGUAAUGCAAAAUACACUAAGACAAACGUAUCCAUGAUAGAGCGAGCAAAUCACAUUAAACUAUUUUAACAGAAUCUACUCCCACUAAAAUCAAUAUCCCUCUAUUGAAACUUAGUGAUUCAGGAUCCACAACUAACAAGUCCACUAGUGAGCUUUAGCAUCACCGCUAGCAAACAAGGUAGAUCGGUAAGCAACUUUUGCUAAUCAUAUCACAUAUGACUCCUGUUGUUGGGUGACAUCUCUAUGUCUCGGCGCCCAACCUUUAUGCCCCAAGGUCCUUAACCGUUAAGAUAACCUUGUUAAGCAAACCAACCCUUAUGCGUGUAAGUGUCCGACACAAACCCGUCUAGUCAAGGAAAACUAGUGGCACCCUAAUUUCAUAGACCCACCACUAAUUGUACAAGACAUGGGACGGUGCAAGUUUUAGUUGGGAGGGCAUACUAACUUAAACUUUGUGAGGGAUCGUUCUACUUCUAACAUCACAGCAUGCAGAAAGUAAAACAUAAACAGAAUAGCAUUCACACAGUUGCGACACAGUAUGGCCCGUUUUUUCUUAUGGUGAUCUGCAUCUCCAUAGAAGCUGUUCACCAUGGUGAUCUCCAUCUCCAUGUUCCAUGUGCGCCAUCCUUCUGGUGAUGAGUCCUCCAAGAACUUAGAACAUGCUAUUACACCUAAUAGCUAGUAAAGAAUCUAGUAAUGAAGAUUACAUAGUUGCUUGGAUCAUCACAGAUUGGUACGCAGACCAUUAAAUACAAUAAAGUGACAACACAUAUGGCUCCUGCCGUGUUGCCGUACGCGCGACACGCAGGUCACGAAUGAGUUACACACAUGCAUCACAUACACAAGGGGGCCAUACUGAUCACAAGAUACAUACAUACAUCCUGCAAAACAGAGUUAAGCGUCCUAACAUUCCAAACUUUGGAUGCCCGAAACUCUAUCUUCCAAGCCGAAUUUGGGAAAUCUAAUUUCGUUGAAAACGGCAAAGCCGUUGAAUUCAUGUGUAACUUUUUCUGUAGAUCAAUUUUCAUAUAAAAUUCAUCCCGAUCCGAGAUCGUACCGAAAAGUUACGGCUGAUUUACCAAAGCAUACGCAUACGACAAAAAUCCCAACCCCGGCAGUAGAUCCCAUCUACUAUUGCACAUCUAAUGCGCCUGGCGUAUGACCCUGGAUUUCGAUUCGACCAAUCAUAUUGAUCUUCACUCACUGCAACUGGAUUUACGUGUAUCACUUAACUCCGAUGGCGGAAACCGACCGGUAGGAGUAUGUCAUUACACUACCAUUGCAGCAAGGGCACGAAAACAGGACAUAGAUCAAACGGAAAACUCGCAUAUCUCCAUAUGCACACAUCCCGAAUCCAAAACUAAGCAGCUACGGCUCUUGAUACCACUGUAGGGAUACGAGGUAGGCUACACUAGCGCAAAACAAAAUUUUUCUACCGCGUAAACCAGGAAAACUGCCGUAUAAGGAUCACGGGAUUACCACUCGACGCACUACUGGUGCAGAAGAUGUAGAUUCGCAUCGAUGCAGUGAAGUUGAUCAACGUAGUCGUACGUAGUCGAUCACGUCGACGUCCAGCAGCUCCUCAGCAGCUCGUCCACGUGCAGCAAGAUCUCCCUCGUGCCGCGGCUCGUCGUCGACUCGUCGUGGCUCGUCGGCGGCUCGUCGUGGCUCGUCGGCGGCUCGUCCAAGUGCUGCAGGCGCAACACCUCCAAGGUAUCCACACGUGCAAGGAGGAAGCGUCGCAAGCCGGACUGCUAGAUCCGUGUGUUGCAACAAGCGAGGGCGUGGGAGGCGCGGCAGAUGAGUUUCGCCAAAAGGUGUUAAACCCUAGGGCGCCCCCACCCUCUAUUUAUAGAGGUUCCUAAUGGGCCUCUGGGUCCGAGGCCCAUUAGUACUUCUAAACCUAAUCCAACUCGGAUCAGAUCCGAAUUGGGCUUCCAGCCCCUUAAGUGUGUGACCCUAUGGGUUCGGAUACGUAUAGACAUGGCCCGAGUACUCCUACUCGGCCCAAUAGUCGGUAGCGGCCUCUAGCAAGACGUGCCAACUCCUAUACGCACACGAAGAUCAUAUCAGACGAACCAUCACAACAUAAUAUACAUGCUAUUCCCUUUGCCUCACGAUAUUUGGUCUAGCUUCAAGCCGACCGCUCUUUCUCGAUCCUGUGAUUCGGAAUCCCUUUGUAGGUUAACUCUUAACUGUACGUAGCAUGGCCAUGCAUUUUCGGAUCCGAUCACUCGAGGGGCCCAGAGAUAUCACUCUCAAUCAGAGAGGGGCAAAUCCCAUCUUGAUUGACCAUGUCUCAUAGCAUGCUUCUUCACAAACCCGAAAGCUACCUUUAUAACUACCCUGUUACAGCGUAGCGUUUGAUAGCCCCUAAGUAGGUCGAUCCACAUCUAGAAUACAUGCGACAAUCUCAGGUCUAAGGACAAAGCGUAUAUGUUGUUUAAAGAGAGAACUACUUCUCGUGUUUGGUCAGUCCUAGCACAUGUCUCCACAUGUGUCCACAUUAUUAGUUCAACAUCUCCAUGUCCAUGACUUGUGAAACAUAGUCAUCAACUAAUACAUGUGCUAGUCUAAUAUUCAUGUGUGUCCUCACAUGAACUCCGACUAGGGACAAUUUUAGAAUAACCAUACAAGUAAAGAGUUUCACAUACAAUUCACAUAAUUGCAAAUCAAUUCAAGUAGCCUUCAAUGGAUAUUCAAUGAACACAACAUACAAAUCAUGGAUACAAAUGGAAUAUCAUCAUCUCUAUGAUUGCCUCUAGGGCAUACCUCCAACAGUCUCCCACUUGCACUAGAGUCAAUCUAGAAGGUACCUAAUACCCAUAGCUCUUACAUGCGCAUCAUGCUUAGCCUGCGGGAGUGGUUUUGUCAAUGGAUCAGAAAUGUUCAGAUUCGUGUGUAUUUUGCAUAUCUUGAUCUCACCCCGGUUAACGAAGUCUCGAAUGAGAUGAAAUCGCCGCAUUACGUGUUUGUUCUUCUGGUGGUUCCUUGGCUCCUUUGCUUGCGCAAUUGCCCCAUUGUUAUCACAGUAGAGAUUCAAUGGGCUGGACGCAUUCGGGAACACACCAAGCUCAAGUAGGAAAUUCCUUAUCCAAACACCUUCCUUCGCGACUUCGGAAGCCGCGAUGUACUCGGCUUCUGUCGUAGAAUCGGCCACCGUCUCCUGCUUGGAACUCUUCCAACUAACAGCACCACCAUUUAGCGUGAACACAAAUCCUGAUUGUGACUUUGAAUCAUCUCUGUCGGUUUGGAAACUAGCAUCGAUGUAACCUGUUACAACGAGCUCCUCCUCACCUCCAUAGACGAGGAACAUAUCUUUAGUCCUUCUCAAGUACUUAAGAAUAUUUUUCAACGCUGUCCAUUGACUCUCACCUGGAUCAGAUUGGUGUCUGCUUGUCAUACUUAGCGCAUAUGAAACAUCUGGGCGAGUACUUAUCAUUGCAUACAUGAUAGAUCCAAUAGCCGAGGCAUAUGGCACUCUACUCAUGCGAUCCCGCUCAUCAGCAGUCGAAGGACACUGAGUCUUGCUGAGAUGUAUGCCAUGUGACAUAGGCAAGAACCCUUUCUUUGCCUUUUCCAUGCUGAACCGCUUCAACACUUUGUCAAUGUAAGUAUCUUGGCUUAAACCUAUAAGUCUUCUCGAUCUAUCUCUAUAGAUCUUAAUGCCCAGAAUAUAUGCCGCUUCCCCUAAGUCCUCAUCGAAAAACUAUUUUUCAGUGAAGUCUUUACGGACUCAAGCAUAGGAAUGUUAUUUCCAAUCAGUAAUAUGUCAUCCACAUAUAAGAUUAGAAAUACUAUAGAGCUCCCACUAACCUUCUUGUAAACACAAGACUCUUCUUCGUUCUUGGUUAAGUCAAACCCUUUGACCACUUCAUCAAAACGAAUGUUCCAACUCCUAGAUGCUUGCUUCAAUCCAUAAAUGGAUCUCUGAAGCUUGCAUACCUUUCCAGCAUUUUUCGGAUCGACAAAACCCUCGGGCUGUAUCAUAUACACGUCCUCAGCUAGGUUUCCAUUCAGUAAAGCGGUCUUGACAUCCAUCUGCCAUAUCUCAUAAUCAAAAUAUGCAGCUAUAGCUAGAAUAAUCCGAAUGGACUUAAGCAUCACUACGGGCCAGAAGGUCUCAUCGUAGUCAACUCCUUGAAGUUGUCGAAAACCUUUUGCGACAAGUCGUGCUUUAUAGAUGUGAACAUUUCCAUCCAUGUCCUUUUUCUUCUUAUAGAUCCACUUGCACUCUAUGGCUUUAACACCAUCAGGCGGGUCAACCAAGUUCCAAACUUGAUUGUCUCCCAUGGACUCUAUUUCGGAUUGCAUGGCACUCUGCCAUUUUUUCGGAGUCUAGGUCCAUCAUUGCUUCUGCAUUUUUCAGAUAGCAUGCUUCUUGACAAACCCGAAAGCUACCUUUAUAACUACCCUAUUACGGCGUAGCGUUUGAUAGCCCCAAAGUAGGUCGAUCCACAUCUUGAAUACAUGCGACAAUCUCAGGUCUAAGGACAAAGCGUAUAUGUUGUUUAAAGAGAGAACUACUUCUCGUGUUGGGUCAGUCCUAGCACAUGUCUCCACAUGUGUCCACAUUAUUAGUUCAACUAAUACAUGUGCUAGUCUAAUAUUCAUGUGUGUCCUCACAUGAACUCCGACUAGGGACAACUUUAGAAUAACCAUACAAGUAAAGAGUUUCACAUACAAUUCAUAUAAUUGCAAAUCAAUUCAAGUAGCCUUUAAUGGAUAUUCAAUGAACACAAUAUACAAAUCAUGGAUACAAAUGGAAUAUCAUCAUCUCUAUGAUUGCCUCUGGGGCAUACCUCCAACACAGUGAACAUAUCUUUUGCCUGGACAGGCUAUUGUGUGCGGCUAUUGUGUGCUACCAUACUUCUAUUAUGAGAAUAUAGCACUUGCUCCAAAAGAUGUUUGGACAAUGAUUUCUAGAUUCAUUUAUGAUAUUCAGCCCGAGUAUAUGGAUUCGAAGAUCUUCUAUUGUACCAUUAUUUUCUGGUACUGGAUAUGUGGAGGUGACUCUCGAUAGACUUCUUAGAAGAUUGAGUUAUGUGCAGAGAUGUCUUGGAGGCCGAACAUUCUACUAUAUUGUACCAUUCUUUUAGGAUAAUUGACUACAUGAACUAAAGUACGGAGCGUCUGUAAUCUUUAGUGUAUAUGUAUCUUUAUUGUCUUGUUAUGAGUGUAAUCUUUAUAUAUAUCUUUAGUGAAUGUUAUGAAUAUUGAUUGGUGUAAUUUUCAUGUGAAUUGUUUUUAUCGUUGAUUGGUGUAAAUUAUGAAUAUUGAUCAAUUUCUUUAUCUAAUACGAAGACCGAUGUCCAUUUCUCAUGUAAUAAUUGAUUCAUCUAAUCUUGUUUGCAAGGACUAAAUAUUAUAAUCACAUUAGCUCUAUUUCCCCCCUACCUAAUAUUGAGCAAGUUAUUUAUCUAAUACAAAGAUCUAUGUCCAUUUCUUACGUAAUACGAUGCAGAUGGACGGGCAAUGGAUGUAUAACAUAGAAAGAUGGACCAAGAAAUUUGUUGAUGGCUUGCAUUAUUUUUUUGAAGUGGCCAAAGCCAACAAGCUAGAGAAUAGAUUCAUAUAUUGUCCAUGCUUCCACUGCAGUAACAAGAAGGACUACUCUUCCUAGGGACUGUUCACGACCACUUAUUUAGAUAUGGUUUCAUGCCUAACUACUUGGUUUGGACCAAGCAUGAUAAAAAGGGGUUAUAAUGGAAGAUGAUGAAGAAGAGGAGGAUGAUAACAAUAUUCUGGAGUGGGCUGUAGGCCAAACUUUUACAGAUACUACAAUGGGCGAGGCUGAUGAAGAUGAGUUUACAGAAGAUGACCCUACUGAUGAUCUUGGUUAGGUGCUAUGGGAUGUACAGAGAGAUUGCAAAACUAAGAAGGAAUCAAAAAAGUUGCAACGUAUGAUACAUGAUCACAAAAAAAUUGUUGUACCCAGAUUGCAAGCAAGGGUAUAAAAAAAACUGGGUACCACACUAGAACUGCUACAAUGGAAGGUAAAAAAUGAUGUGUCCGAUAAGGCAUUUGAGGGGAUAUUGAAAAUUGUAAAGAAUAUUUUUCUUGAGAAUAAUGAAUUGUCGUCCACAACAUAUGAAGCUAAAUAGAUUGUUUUCCCUCUAGGAUUGGAGGUUCAAAAGAUACAUGCAUGCCCUGAUGAUUGUAUCCUCUAUUGUAGUGAUAACUAUGAGAAAUUGGAUGCUUGUCAUGUGUGCGGAUCGCUGCGGUAUAAGAUCAGGCGAAAUGAUCCUGAUGAUUUCGAGGGGAAGCCUCCCAAGAAGAGAGUUGCUGCGAAGGUGAUGUGGUAUUUCCCUAUAAUACCACAUUUGAAGCAUUGAUUCAGAAACAAGGCGAAUGCUAAGUUGAUGCGAUAGCACAAAGAAGAACGUAAGCAAGAUGAGAUGCUGAGGCACCCCAUGGAUGGGUCCCACUGGAGAUCAAUUAAUAGAGCAUUCCCGAGCUUUGAAAGUGAUGCAAGGAACAUAAGGUUUUUUUUAAGUACUAAUGGAUUCAAUCCAUUCCGUGAGUUGAGUAGUGGUCAUAGUACUUGGCCUGUGACCCUAUGUAUGUUCAACCUUCAUCCUUGGCUGUGCAAGAAGUGGAAGUUCUUUAUGAUGCCGAUGCUUAUUAAAGGCCUAAAACAACUCGGCAACAAUAUUGACGUGUACCUAAGAAAGUUGGUUGAUGAACUUUAACUGCUCUGGAAGGAAGAAAGUGUACGUGCGUGGGAUGAGGAUAAACAAGAGAGGAUUUACCUACGAGCAUUGUUGUUCGUAACCAUCAAUGAUUGUCCUGCGCUGAGUUAUCUUUCAGGAUAGACAAACAGCGGAUAUCGAGCCUGCACCCACAGUUUAGACGACACAGACAACAUGUAUUUGAAAUUCUAUAGGAAGGUUGUGUAUAUGGGCCAUCGUCGAUUUCUUCCUGCUAACCACCCGUUAAGAAAGAAAGGGAUGCAUUUCAAAGGGGUGCCAGACCAUCGUAAAAAACCUGCACACCGUAAUGGAAAGCGUGUAUUUGAGAUGAUAAAGGAUGUAAGGGUAGUCUUUGGAAAGGGUCUUGGUAGCGAAUCUGUUAUGAACGACGAUAACGGACGUGCACCCAUGUGGAAGAAAAAGUCUAUAUUUUGGAAGCUACCUUAGUGGGAAAUCCUAGAGGUUCGCAACACAAUAGACGUAAUGCACCUAACAAAGAAUCUUUGAGUGAACAUGCUAGGCUUUAUGGGUUGUUAUGGUAACUCAAAAGUUACAUUGGAAACAUGAUAGGACCUAAAACAUAUGAAGUAACGAGAUGACCUACAUCCGGAAAAAAGAGAUAAUAGACAACACUACUUACGUCUUGUCAGUUACACUCUUAGCAAGGAAGAGAAGGAUAACAUGUUUGAAUGCAUGAAUAGUAUCAAGGUUCCAUUUGGGUAUCCUCGAAUAUAAAGGGAAUAAUAAAUAUGAAAGAAAAGAAGUUCACAAAUCUCAAGGCCCAUGAUUGCCACAUGUUGAUGACCCAGUUGCUUCUGGAUGCACUGAGGGGUAUUCUACUAGAGAAUCUACGAUUAGUGCUCGUAAAGCUAUGUGCGUUUCUCAAUGCAAUUUCGCAGAAGACAAUCAAUCCAACCAAGCUAGUAAAGCUACAGAACGAUGUGGUACAAUGUCUUGUCAGCUUUGAGUUGGUAUUUCCACCAUCCUUCUUCAAUAUUAUGACGCACCUCAUGGUUCACCUAGUCAAAGAGAUUACUAUUCUCGGUCCAAUAUUCCUGCACAAUAUGUGGUCUUUCAAGAGGUUCAUGUGAGUCCUAAAAACUAUGUUCUUAAUCGUGCCCUUCCAGAAGGAAGCAUCCCCAAGGGAUAUGGAAUAAAGGAGGUUAUUGAGUUUUGUGUUGAUUUUAUUGACUCAAUUAAUUCGAUUGGGGUUCCAAUAUUAGGCCACGAGGGGAGACUGCAGGGAACAGGCACCCUUGAAAGGAAAUCAAGUUUGAGAAAUGAUACUAAUUUGUUCCAUAAAGUACGCUUCACUAUUCUACAACAAUCAUCCUUUGUGGCUUCGUAUAUCGAGGAACACAAGCAGAUUCUAUUUUUCCAAUACCCGACGAAAUCCGAUGCCUGGAUAGUGGUGUCCGCAUAGAUGCCAUAGACAACAAUAGGAGCAAGGACUCGUAUUAUGGUUUCAUAGAGGAGAUCUGGGAACUUGAAUACAGACCGUUGAACAUCCCUUUGUUUCAUUGCCAAUGGGUGAAGCUAACUAGAGGUGGUGUAACGAAAGAUCAGUAUGGAAUGACAAUAGUGGACAUGACCAAGACUAGAUAUAAUGAUGAACCAUUCAUCCUUGCCAGUGAUGCGCACUAGGUUUUCUAUGUGAAGGAUAUGUCUAGCAAGCUUAAGAAAAAUUCAGAAGAUAAAGAAAAACCAUGGGAGCCAAAGCGCCACAUAGUUCUUCCAGGUAAAAGAAAAAAUCAUGGGAGUCGAGGACAAAACAAAAUAGUUAGAUGAUUAUGAUUAGUUUGAUGGCAUGCCUCCAAUCGCUGUCAAAGUUGACCCAAGCAUUAUGCUAGCCAAAGAAGAGGCUCCGUACUUACGCUAUGACCAUGACCAAGGAACUUUUGUCAAGAAGUUUUUUAAUGUUACAUUGUAAUGCACUAAAUAUGAUUCAUUUUUAUUAAAUGCUCUAUGGCCAUCAGAACCUUUGAAUUAUAUUGUAAUGCUCUAUGGAGAAAAUUUAUUCGAUCAAUAUAAACAAUGUUAACUUAACCACAUACACAAUUGCAUUUUUUCCACAUUGAAAUUAUUUUGAAUAGUUUGUUGAUGAUAGUAAUGCAUUAAAAUAAUUAUUUUAGAAACUUAAACAACUAGUAUAGAAUUAAUGAUAGAUUCAACCUUAUUUUAAAUAUACUUGCUAAUUUAAUAUAUUUUUGCAUGUUCAAAAUAUAUAAAGUUUUUAUUUUUUUUCUUUAACAAAACCAGUGGAAAACAACUAAAACAUACAUAAAUUAUAAUUGGAAAACAAGCGGGGAAUGAAAAUUUCCACUAAAGGGCCUUUAGUCCCGGUUGGAAAGUCAAUCCGGGACUAAAGGCCCCCCUUUAGUCCCGGUUGCAAUUUGCAACCAGGACUAAAGGGUGCAUUUUCAGCUCCCACGCGUAAAGCACCUGUUGGAUUUAUAAACCCGGCAGUCCACUAGGGGGUUACCCAAGUGGUUGAUUUGUAGGUGGAGGUGAUUGCGAAACCAAGAACUUGAAAGUGAUCGUGAGAACACGAGGGACACGAGGGUUUUAGACAGGUUCGAGCCUCCCGAGCGUAAUACCCUAUGUCCUGUAUGCUUGGUGGCUUGUAUUGCUUGAGAAUCUCGAUGCCCCUGGCCGCCUUAUAUAGGCUGAUGACCUCGGUUUACAACUCAGUUUGAAUCUAAUCUACUCAGUACUUAAUUAAAAGGUGAUCUGAGUUAGACUACAAUACGUAUCACACAAUAUCCGGGUUGGUUUGAACUGCCCGAUCUCCUUGGCGUGUACUCCAAGUAUCUUCAUAUCCAUAGCCCACACGCCCUGGUCAGGCGAGCUCAUUUGUCAGGUCCAGCCAGUAUCCUGGUCGGUAGGGACCCAUGAGGUAUCCAUAUCCCUCAAGCCCUCGAGUGAUGUGUAGGCGAAUAGGAACUUGAGGACAUCGUAGCGAAGCUUGGAAUGUGGUUAGUGUCAUAAUGACGGAGAGGCUGCACAGUGCUCAAAAAGAAGAAAAUUUGAGCGAACGCAGAGCCAUACGCGUAGAGCGAAGUCGAGUGCCAAGUUGAUGGAUGGCAGGCAUCCAGUAAGUUGAAGCGAAGGACAUGGAGGGCGUCGCAAAGAUGCACUCUAUAUGGAGUAGCCCCCGAGCAUUGAAGUGAUUAGUGUAAUCAGUCUAAUGGUUAAAAAGGAAGAAAAAAUUGAUCCCAGUACUCGAGCACAAGAAUAGGCAAAGCCACGGAGGCACACCAACCUGAAAUAGGCACCCAGCCCUUGAGCGUGAGCGCGAGGACUGGCAGAGCCACGGAGGCACGCCAACCUGAAAUAUGCACCCAGCCCCCUAGCAUGAGCGCGAGGACUAACGAAGCCAUGGAGGCAGCCGACUUGAAAUAGGCGCCUAGCCCCUAAGCCUGGGAGCCGGACGAAUCGCGGAAGCACAUCGAGUCGCGUCCCACCCCGAGCCAGAGAGGUUGGCCGGGAGAGAGGAGGCACGCUGAGUUGUUUGCGAAGCCCAACAUCCAAGCUUGGGAGCCGAAUGAGCUGCAGAAGAACGCUAAGUCACCUCCCGCCCCAAGCCAAAGAAGUCGGCUGGGCAACAGGAGGCACGCCGAUUAGUUUUUGAGCUGUAAAAGGACAGUACAAACAUUAUGUAGUGUAGUGUAGAUUAUUUAAUAAUUGAACAACUCAGAAGUUUAAUUCGCUUUAGAAGUAAAUUCUUGCACGUCCUGCUCUUGUAGGUCAUGUAAUUUCCCUAGGUAGUUAGCCUGUUACGUUUAAGCACCUAGACCUGCUAACCACUGCUCACGGAGAGGAUGGCUUAUCUCAGGCUAUAGCGCUAGGGCUGACCUGAUGCUUGCAUAUAGGAGACGUGCAAGAUGAGUUAAGGUUUCACGGAUUAAGGUGUGUGCUACCUGAGUACUUUAGCAACCAUUAAGAGAAGAUGUACAAGACAUGAAGGAGAUCGCAAAAUAGUAGAAACUGUACGAAAAAGUGAGAGUCUACAUUGGACACUCGUAGGUCGCAGUCCUGACUACCCGUGUAGUGGAUGGACCAAGCUGUAUGAGCAAUCGGGGUGGUCGGCAGAAGUCACAGAGACAUAGGAGAGCCAAGACGGGCGGCGAAAGUCAUGGAGACAUGGAGGAGCCAAAACGUAUGUAGGUAUAUGGAAGCCGCAAAAUAUUUAAUUGUAAAUAAGACUUAGCUUGAUUCAUGGCAGAGCUGAAAAGUCAGUGUCAUGCCCGAGUGGGCAACCGUCGGUGAAUAGUUGUUGAUGAAUCCGUUGACGGGUCUGGGUGGUCAAAGUUGUCAUAGGUGUGUCAGCGUCAAUCAUUGAUGCUGCUCUACUAUGGAAGGCAUCCAAGCUGAAGUCGUCGUAGACCCGCAGGCCGAGCCAUGCAAGGAGUAGUCCCAAUUUGCAUGUCAUUGCUAGUGCCAUGCAUCCCGAUCACUCUUGUAGUCUUGUUUAUCCCCGGCGAUAAACAAUCGCUUGGGCUUUUUGUUCCAUGCGGCAUUGUUUUUAGUUAGCCUGAUCCAUGCAUCUGUCAGACUUGAUAGCUCAUCCGUAUCACCAUUAGCCACCCCUCAAAUCUCCCAGUAGAUAACGAGACGGCAAGAGCUGCUAGUGCUAGCCCUCACAAGCAUCCAGGCUAGCACGUAGUAGCAUAUUCUUCCCAGCCAGCCCGGACACGCAAUGCAAUGCAUCGCGUCGACCCUCCUCUCCUUGUACGAGGAACCACCUGUGACGCAUGCCAUGGUAUGCAUGAUUACUCGCAUUCGUAUACGUUGUACCAAUCGCCGAUUGCGUCGCCAGUGCAUUCACCACCACUGCAACAUGCCCGGCGACAGCCAAUCUGAUCUGACUUGGCGACAGCAACGCAGUGGCGUUUGCUCGGUGCAAGGCCAACCUCCCUCCAUCCCCCGAGCUCGAGAACGAAACGGGACAUGCCCCGCGAUUAGGUCGGAGGACGUGGGUGGGUAGGUUGUAGCAAGGAUGUUGGGAAUCAUCUCGGAGAGGGACAGAUCACCGACCUACUGGGCAAGCGGCGUGAUGAUCCUCGGUUGAAGACCUUGGUCUGUCGAAGUAGAUCCGACGGAUGCUGAGUUGGCAGUGGGCGUCGAGUUGGUGGAGGAGGUGAUGGAGUCAGAUUCCAUCAGCAUGCUCCCGAAGCGGAACUAGAUCGGGUUGGCGAGGAAGUCCUUCAUGCCCUCGGGAAGAUGACACCGGGACGGGAUGCCAUCGAGCUCACUGGGGAGGAUCUCACAAUCACCCCAUAGAGCAUGUUGUCAGUGCGAACCCUAGCCCUCUCCAAGCACUCAUUGAGGAGAGUGCAAAAGCCUAUGUAGCGCACUUCGUCUCUAGAAAACGUACACCACUCCUUGGUCGUCAUCUGAAACAUGCAGUUAAGGGUUGUUAGAAAGUCGUAUAAGUCAGAGUAAACAAGGUAAUAACUAUAACAAUUCAAGGAGUUGUACACAGGUAGUUUAGGCUUCUUGAACUAAUGUCCAUUACUAGAGAUCAUCCUACGGUCAAGUAUGGCUCUGAUACUAGCUGAAACGGAUCCGAAUUCCUAUUUCUGAGAAUUCAAGCCUACGCACAUCGGUGAUAGUCCCAAGAAGGCUAUCACAUGCGAAUCCCUAUCUCAGAUAGUACAAAUCCAUACCAACACAGAAAUAGAAGGAGAAAUAGAGUACAAACAUCAUAGAUAACAUGAGUACGAGUACAUAUCAAUAGCACAUGUCGGUACAAGUCCCUCAGGACUAAAUCAGGAAAGGUAAAACAUCUACGCAGUGGAAACAAAAGCUAUGGUGAUCUCCAUCUUCGCUGGCGACUCGAGUGAAGAAUGGUCCCUAGUCCUCCCAACCGUCAUUGUCGAAGUUGUAGUGGGGCUACGAACCUAAAAAGCUAGCAUCUACCCGAGAAGCGGGUAGGCCAUGUCAACUCCCAAAAGUAGUAAAGCUAAAGAAACGGGGGAAUUAUACUAUAUGCAUGAAUAAGACCUAUAUAUGGCUGUAGAGGUUUAUGCAGCAGCAACAACAACAAUCAAGGUAGCAGCAAAGCAACAUCACCUCCGAGGUCAACACCUCAAAUAAGGAAGUUGGUACAAAUCAUCAGAUCCUUCACCCAAGGGUCUAGCACCCAAACACACUAGGCGAUGUAAGAGCUCCAUUCCCUCACAUCUCAAUGGCAAACGCCAGCCUAUCUCAAAAAGGAGAAAAGUAGAAGGAUGAGAAAAGUCUAGUUAGAAGUAGUGGUAGUCAACAGCACUGUCCAUAACCAGUGGACACAGACUAUAGCUAUAGCUUUAUACACUCUGCAAAGAUUUUAUAACUGUACCCGCACGGAUGGAGCCUGAAUGGUAGCGAUCCGUCCAAACCCCACCUAUUAGCCGGAGCCCUAGUAAGUGGAUAGCUCUCUCCUGUUUUAUCAAGUCUAGAACCAUCCUCAGCGGCAAGGCACGCUAUCACCAGUGAGGACCUCGAAGCUGUGGAACGUACCCACACCGGGGUGCAGUCUGGUUAGAGCAAGACAAUGCCUCAAACUCCUAAAAUGAUCCUCCAAUCUGCCUAUAGGCAGAGCACUAUCCACUACUAGUCUCGAACCGAACCCCGCCCAUAACGUAAGCGAGCGGUAAGUACAAAAAGUAGCUACUGUGAUUGGUGGUAAACUGACUCGGUCCUUAAGCUGCUGAGAGCAAGCACUCUACCAACAAGUACAUGCCAAAGCACCUGCAACGUACAAGUACGCCACCUGCUCCUUAGUAACAAACAAGGUACCUGCCACAUGUACGGGGUAUAGAAAAAGUCCAAAAAGCUCUCUCCUGGCUAGGCACUUCUCUGUACCAACCAUGGCUCACACCCACCAAGAACACAUCAAGGAGUCACACUCCCCCAAAACACAUGCAAGAGUGUUCAAGGAAUCCCAUCACCAAAUCCAUGGAAAAUGCACAUCCAUAACUCAAAAGCAUGUAUAUGGAUAAAUGAGCGGUGGACUAGCUAGGGGUCCGUAGCUAGUCCACAAAAGUAGGUGAACAAGGAAAAUAGGAUAAACAAUUAUCAAGGCAUGGCUAGAAACAUUGGCUAUGAAAUCCAUCAUCAUCAAGCAAUAUAAGUAAAAAGCUAGCAACUAAGCAUGCAUAGGAGCUAUAUGAUUGGAAGUAACAUGACACCUUGUUCGUAGUCGAACGGGUCCUACUCAGUGUAGUCGGGGUCUUGAAGGUCUUCCUGGUCGUAGCUUGGGUCUGAACAGAGCGAGAUACGAUGAAGCAUAAAUUAAACAACAAUAAAUCUAGGCAAAAACUCGAAGAAAGCUAAAUUAGAAGAUCCAAAUAACACCAAACUAGCUACAAAUAGCACAGGUUCGAUUUUAUGAAUUUAAUGCAACUAGUUUCAUAUUUUUUGAGUUAAAAUGAAUUACUUAUGACUUUUUAAAGAUUAAAGGAUCGAUUCGAUUAUUUAAUAAUUUCAGAAAACAUUUAUUUAAAGGUGACACAUGUCAGCUCGGGAUUGGUUCAUGUGGCAUCCCUAGGGGGCGCCAUGUGUCCUGCUAACAUCACAUUGACAUUAGCGUUGACUGGUCAACAUGGGCCCCAUGGGUGGGCCCAGCUUGGUGCGCCUGGCCUGGCCACAUCAGCCAUGUGGCACCUGUCGGGAUACGAGGUAGGCUACACUAGCGCAAAUCAAAAUUUCUACCACGUAUAACCAGGAAGAACUGCCGUAUAAGGAUCAAGGGAUUACCACUCGACGCACUACUGGUGCGGAAGAUGUAGAUAUGUGUCGAUGCAGUGAAGACGAUCACGUAGUCGUACGUAGUCGAUCAACGUAGUCGUACGUAGUCGAUCACGUCACGUCCAGCAACUCCUCCACGUGCAGCAAGAUCGCCUUCGGUGCCGCGGCUCGUCGUCGGCUCGUCAUGGCUCGUCGAUGGCUCGUCCAAGUACUGCAGGCGCAACACCUUCAAGGUAUCCACACGUGCAGGGAGGAAGCGUCGCAAGCCGGACUGCUAGAUCUGCGAGUUGCAACAGGCGAGGGCGUGGGAGGCGCGGCAGGUGUGUUUCGCCAAAAGGUGUAAACCCUAAGGCGCCCGCACCCCUCUAUUUAUAGAGGUUCCUGACGGGCCUCUGGAUCCGAGGCCCAUUAGAACUUCUAAACCUAAUCCAACUCGGAUCAGAUCCGAAUUGGGCUUCCAGCCCCUUAAGUGUGUGACCCUAUGGGUUCGGAUACGUAUAGACAUGGCCCGAGUACUCCUACUCGGCCCAAUAGUCGGUAGCGGCCUCUAGCAAGACGUGCCAACUCCUAUACGCACACGAAGAUCAUAUCAGACGAACCAUCACAACAUAAUAUACAUGCUAUUCCCUUUGCCUCAUGAUAUUUGGUCUAGCUUCAAGCCGACCGCUCUUUCUCGAUCCCGUGAUUCGGAAUCCCUUUGCAGGUUAACUCUUAACCGUACGUAGCAUGGCCAUGCAUUUUCAGAUCCGAUCACUCGAGGGGCCCAGAGAUAUCACUCUCAAUUAGAGAGGAGCAAAUCCCAUCUUGAUUGACCAUGUCUCAUAGCAUGCUUCUUGACAAAUCCGAAAGCUACCUUUAUAACUACCCUGUUACGGCGUAGCGUUUGAUAGCCCCUAAGUAGGUCGAUCCACAUCUAGAAUACAUGCGACAAUCUCAGAUCUAAGGACAAAGCGUAUAUGUUGUUUAAAGAGAGAACUACUUCUCGUGUUGGGUCAGUCCUAGCACAUGUCUCCACAUGUGUCCACAUUAUUAGUUCAACAUCUCCAUGUCCAUGACUUGUGAAACAUAGUCAUCAACUAAUACAUGUGCUAGUCUAAUAUUCAUGUGUGUCCUCACAUGAACUCCGACUAGGGACAACUUUAGAAUAACCAUACAAGUAAAGAGUUUCACAUACAAUUCACAUAAUUGCAAAUCAAUUCAAGUAGCCUUCAAUGGAUAUUCAAUGAACACAACAUACAAAUCAUGGAUACAAAUGGAAUAUCAUCAUCUCUAUGAUUGCCUCUAGGGCAUACCUCCAACAGUCUCCCACUUGCACUAGAGUCAAUCUAGAAGGUACCUAAUACCCAUAGCUCUUACAUGCGCAUCAUGCUUAGCCUGCGGGAGUGGUUUUGUCAACGGAUCAGAAAUGUUCAGAUCCGUGUGUAUUUAGCAUAUCUUGAUCUCACCCCGGUUAACGAAGUCUCGAAUGAGAUGAAAUCGCCGCAUUACGUGUUUGUUCUUCUGGUGGUUCCUUGGCUCCUUUUCUUGCGCAAUUGCCCCAUUGUUAUCACAGUAGAGAUUCAAUGGGCUGGACGCAUUCGGGAACACACCAAGCUCAAUGAGGAAAUUCCUUAUCCAAACACCUUCCUUCGCGGCUUUCGAAGCUGCGAUGUACUUGGCUUCUGUCGUAGAAUCGGCCACCGUCUCCUGCUUGGAACUCUUCCAACUAACAGCACCACCAUUCAGCGUGAACACAAAACCUGAUUGUGACUUUGAAUCAUCUCUGUCGGUUUGGAAACUAGCAUCGGUGUAACCUGUUACAACGAGCUCCUCCUCACCUCCAUAGACGAGGAACAUAUCUUUAGUCCUUCUCAAGUACUUAAGAAUGUUUUUCACCGCUGUCCAGUGACUCUCACCUGGAUCAGAUUGGUGUUUGCUUGUCAUACUUAGCGCAUAUGAAACAUCUGGGCGAGUACUUAUCAUUGCAUACAUGAUAGAUCCAAUAGCCGAGGCAUAUGGCACUCUACUCAUGCGAUCCCGCUCAUCAGCAGUCGAAGGACACUGAGUCUUGCUGAGAUGUAUGCCAUGUGACAUAGGCAAGAACCCUUUCUUUGCCUCUUCCAUAAUGAACCGCUUCAACACUUUGUCAAUGUAAGUAUCUUGGCUUAAACCUAUAAGCCUUCUCGAUCUAUCUCUAUAGAUCUUAAUGCCCAGAAUAUAUGCCGCUUCCCCUAAGUCCUUUAUCAAAAAACUAUUUUUCAGUGAAGUCUUUACGGACUCAAGCAUAGGAAUGUUAUUUCCAAUGAGUAAUAUGUCAUCCACAUAUAAGAUUAGAAAUACUACAGAGCUCCCACUAACCUUCUUGUAAACACAAGACUCUUCUUCGUUUUUGGUGAAGUCAAACCCUUUGACCACUUCAUCAAAACGAAUGUUCCAACUCCUAGAUGCUUGCUUCAAUCCAUAAAUGGAUCUCUGAAGCUUGCAUACCUUUCCAGCAUUUUUCGGAUCGACAAAACCCUCGGGCUGUAUCAUAUACACGUCCUCAGUUAGGUUUCCAUUCAGGAAAGCUGUCUUGACAUCCAUCUGCCAUAUCUCAUAAUCAAAAUAUGCAGCUAUAGCUAGAAUAAUCCGAAUGGACUUAAGCAUCACUAUGGGCGAGAAGGUCUCGUCGUAGUCAACCCCUUGAAUUUGUCGAAAACCUUUUGCGACAAGUCGUGCUUUAUAGAUGUGAACAUUUCCAUCCAUGUCCUUUUUCUUCUUAUAGAUCCACUUGCACUCUAUGGCUUUAACACCAUCAGGCGGGUCAACCAAGUUCCAAACUUGAUUGUCUCCCAUGGACUCUAUUUCGGAUUGCAUGGCAUUCUGCCAUUUUUCGGAGUCUGGGUCCAUCAUUGCUUCUGCAUAUGUCGCAGGCUCAUCAUUGUCCAACAAUAAUAUUUCCCGCAUUUCGCGGAGCCUUGCCGACCUUCAUGGUUGUGGCGGUGCUUCUCUUGCCAUGGGUAUCUCAACUUGUUCUGCUACGUUAGCAUCACUCAUUGAUUCUUGCCCGAUCGGCUCAUCUUGAACUUCUUCAAGAUGCACUGUCUUUCCACUCUUUUCUCCUUUGAGAAACUCUUUCUCUAGGAAAACCCCGUUUCGAGCGACAAACACUUUGCCUUCUGAUCGGUUGUAGAAAUAAUAUCCCAAAGUUUCCUUUGGAUAUCCCACGAAAAUGCACUUAUCCGACUUGGGUGUGAUCUUGUCCGACUGAAGUCACUUGACAAACACAUCACAUCCCCAAAUCUUUGGAAAAGACAAACUAGGAACCUUUCCAGUCCAUAUCUCAUAUGGUGUCUUAACUACGGAUUUAGAUGGUACCCUAUUAAGUGUGAAAGCUGCUGUUUCUAGAGCGUAUCCCCAAAAUGACAACGGUAGGUCCGACUGGCUCAUCAUUGAUCGAACCAUGUCUAACAAAGUUCGAUUACGUCGCUCGAACACACCGUUUCUCUGAGGUGUUCCAGGCGGCGUAAGUUGUGGAACAAUUCCGCAACUCUUUAGAUGAUUGCUAAACUCGUGGCUCAAAUACUCGCCUCCAUGAUCAGAUCGUAAGGCCUUAAUUUUCUUGCCACGCUGAUUUUCAACUUCAUUCUGAAAUUCCUUGAACUUUUCAAAGGUUUCAGACUUGUGCCUCAUCAAGUAGACAUAGCCAUAUCUACUAAAAUCAUCAGUGAAAGUUAUGAAGUAUUGGAAUCCUCCACUAGCCGUCGUGCUCAUUGGUCUGCAUACAUCACUAUGUACGAGUUCCAACAAGUCUACUGCUCUCUCAGGAAAUCCUGUGAAAGGCGUCUUGGUCAUCUUGCCUAGCAAGCAAGCCUCACAUGUCUCGUAUGAUUCAAAAUCAAACAAAGUUAGAAGUCCAUCAGAAUGGAGCUUCUUCAUGCGCUUUUCACUUAUAUGACCCAAACGACAAUGCCACAAGUAGGUAGGACUCAAAUCAUUAGGCCGAGGCCUUUUAGCACUUACAUUACAGAUAGGUGAACCAUCAAGAUUUAAAACAAAUAAUCCAUUCACAAUGGGUGCAAAAGCCAUAAACAUAUUAUUCUUAGAGAUCACACAACCAUUGUUUUCACUCGCAAAUGAAUAACCAUCAUUCAUCAAGCAUGAAGGAGAUAAAAUGUUUCGAUUUAAACUAGGAACAAAAUAACAAUUAUUCAACUCCAUAAUAAAUCCUGACGGGAGGUGGAGUUGCAUCGUCCCGACGGUCAAAGCAGCAACUCUUGCAUUAUUGCCCACGCGGAAAUCAACUUCUCCUCUUUCCACGCUUCUACUUCUUAUCAUUCCCUGCAUCGAAUUGCAAAUAUGAGCAACCGAUCCGGUAUCAAAUACCCAAGAAUUAAUAAUUGUAUCAGCGAGAAAUAUGUUGUCUAUAACAUUAACAACAAGCGUACCUGGGGUAGAAGUACUCUUACUUCCGCCAUUCUUCAACGAAGCUAGGUACUGCUUGCAGUUUCUCUUCCAGUGACCAAGUUCAUGACAGUAAAAGCACUCUUUGUCUGGAGCAGGUCCAGGUCCAGCUUUAACCUUGGGCGGUGGGUUUGGCUUGGACGUUCCAGCCUUGCCCUUCUUCUUCCAAGAAUUGCCCUUCUUCUUAAAGCUGGGCUUGUUCUGUAUAGCCAUCACAUGGCUGGUACUAGCGCUUUUCUUGAUGUCUACUUCUGCUGUCUUGAGCAUACCACACAGUUCAUUCAAACCCUUCUCCGUCCCAUGCAUAUGGUAGUUCGAGAUGAAGUUCCCAUAGCUAGGCGGAAGAGAUGAAAGAAUGAAGUCAGUGGCCAACUCUUUGCCCAUUGGGAAGCCCAGCUUCUCCAAUCGCUGAGUGUAACCAACCAUCUUGAUUACAUGUGGUCCUACUGCUGCGCCUUCUGCUAACUUGCACUCCAGAAAGGCUUUGGACACAUUGAACCUUUCGGUCCUAGCCUGUGUCUGGAACAUGUCCUUGAGCGCCACGAUCAUAUCGUGUGCCUCAUGAUUUGUUUCGAACUGCAUCUGCAGCUCGGGUUCCAUGCAAGCAAGCAUAAGGCAGCUUACCUCAAGAUUAGCAUCAAAUGCCUUCUUGUAAGCAUCCUUAACGGCAGCAGAUGCAUCAUCAGUAGGUACUGCUGGUAGUGGGGUGUCUAGAACAUCUUCCUUUUUCUCAGCCCUGAGAACAAUUCUCAGGUUACGGAUCCAAUCCGAGUAGUUUGUUCCAUUCAACUUGUCCUUCUCAAGGACCGAACGCAAAGCAAACGAUGCGGUGGUGUUGCUAGGUGCCAUUUAAUCUACAACAAAAGUAAUGCAAAAUACACUAAGACAAAUGUAUCCAUGAUAGAGCAAAUUACAUUAAACUAUUUUAACAUAAUCUACUCCCACUAAAAUCAAUAUCCCUCUAUUGAAACUUAGUGAUUCAGGAUCCACAACUAACAAGUCCACUAGUGAGCUUUAGCAUCACCGCUAGCAAACGAGGUAGAUCGGUAAGCAACUUUUGCUAAUCAUAUCACAUAUGACUCCUGUUGUUGGGUGACAUCUCUAUGUCUCGGCGCCCAACCUUUAUGCCCCAAGGUCCUUAACCGUUAAGAUAACUUUGUUAAGCAAACCAACCCUUAUGCGUGUAAGUGUCCGACACAAACCCGUCUAGUCAAGGAAAACUAGUGGCACCCUAAUUUCAUAGACCCACCACUAAUUGUACAAGACAUGGGACGGUGCAAGUUUUAGUUGGGAGGGCAUACUAACUUAAACUUUGUGAGGGAUCGUUCUACUUCUAACAUCACAGCAUGCAGAAAGUAAAACAUAAACAGAAUAGCAUUCACACAGUUGUGACACAGUAUGGCCCGUUUUCAUAUGGUGAUCUCCAUCUCCAUAGAACCUGUUCACCAUGGUGAUCUCCAUCUCCAUGUUCCAUGUGCGCCAUCCUCCUGGUGAUGAGUCCUCCAAGAACUAAAGCAUGCUAUUACACCUAAUAGCUAGUAAAGAAUCUAGUAAUGAAGAUUACAUAGUUGCUUGGAUCAUCAGAGAUUGGUACGCAGACCAUUAAAUACAAUAAAGUGACAACACAUAUGGCUCCUGCCGUGUUGCCGUACGCGCGACACGCAGGUCACGAAUGAGUUACACACAUGCAUCACAUACACAAGGGGGCCAUACUGAUCACAAGAUACAUACAUACAUCCUGCAAAACAGAGUUAGGCGUCCUAACGUUCCAAACUUCGGAGGCCCGAAACUCCAUCUUCCAAGCCGAAUUUGGGAAAUCUAAUUUCACCGAAAAUGGUGAAGCGGUUGAAUUUCAUGUGUAACUUUUUCUGUAGAUCAAUUUUCAUAUAAAAAUCGCCCCGAUCCGAGAUCGUACCGAAAAGUUACGGCUGAUUUACCGAAGCAUACGCAUACGGCAAAAUCCCGACCCCGGCAGUAGAUCCCAUCUACUAUUGCACAUCUAAUGCGCCUGGCGUAUGACCCUGGAUCUCGAUUCGACCAAUCAUAUUGAUCUUCGCUCACUGCAACUGGAUUUACGUGUAUCACUUAACUCCAAUGGCGGAAACCGACCGGUAGGAGUAUGUCAUUACACUACCAUUGCAGCAAGGGCACGAAACCAGGACAUAGAUCAAACAGAAAACUCGCAUAUCUCCAUAUGCACACAUCCCGAAUCCAAAACUAAGCAGCUACGGCUCUGAUACCACUGUUGGGAUACGAGGUAGGCUACACUAGCGCAAAUCAAAAUUUCUACCGCGUAUAACCAGGAAGAACUGUCGUAUAAGGAUCACGGGAUUACCACUCGACACACUACUGGUGCGGAAGAUGUAGAUAUGCGUCGAUGCAGUGAAGAUGAUCACGUAGUCGUACGUAGUCGAUCAACGUAGUCGUACGUAGUCGAUCACGUCACGUCCAGCAGCUCCUCCACGUGCAGCAAGAUCGCCUCCGGUGCCGCGGCUCGUCGGCGGCUCGUCGGCGGCUCGUCGAUGGCUCGUCCAAGUGCUGCAGGCGCAAUACCUCCAAGGUAUCCACACGUGCAGGGAGGAAGCGUCGCAAGCCGGACUGCUAGAUCCGCGAGUUGCAACAGGCGAGGGCGUGGGAGGCGUGGCAGGUGUGUUUCGCCAAAAGGUGUAAACCCUAGGGCGCCCCCACCCCUCUAUUUAUAGAGGUUCCUGACGGGCCUCUGGAUCCGAGGCCCAUUAGUACUUCUAAACCUAAUCCAACUCGGAUCAAAUCCGAAUUGGGCUUCCAGCCCCUUAAGUGUGUGACCCUAUGGGUUCGGAUACGUAUAGACAUGGCCCGAGUACUCCUACUCGGCCCAAUAGUCGGUAGCGGCCUCUAGCAAGACGUGCCAACUCCUAUACGCACACGAAGAUCAUAUCAGACGAACCAUCACAACAUAAUAUACAUGCUAUUCCCUUUGCCUCACGAUAUUUGGUCUAGCUUCAAGCCGACCGCUCUUUCUCGAUCCCGUGAUUCGGAAUCCCUUUGUAGGUUAACUCUUAACCGUACGUAGCAUGGCCAUGCAUUUUCGGAUCCGAUCACUCGAGGGGCCCAGAGAUAUCACUCUCAAUCAGAGAGGGGCAAAUCCCAUCUUGAUUGACCAUGUCUCAUAGCAUGCUUCUUGACAAACCCGAAAGCUACCUUUAUAACUACCCUGUUACGGCGUAGCGUUUGAUAGCUCCUAAGUAGGUCGAUCCACAUCUAGAAUACAUGCGACAAUCUCAGGUCUAAGGACAAAGCGUAUAUGUUGUUUAAAGAGAGAACUACUUCUCGUGUUGGGUCAGUCCUAGCACAUGUCUACACAUGUGUCCACAUUAUUAGUUCAACAUCUCCAUGUCCAUGACUUGUGAAACAUAGUCAUCAACUAAUACAUGUGCUAGUCUAAUAUUCAUGUGUGUCCUCACAUGAACUCUGACUAGGGACAACUUUAGAAUAACCAUACAAGUAAAGAGUUUCACAUACAAUUCACAUAAUUGCAAAUCAAUUCAAGUAGCCUUCAAUGGAUAUUCAAUGAACACAACAUACAAAUCAUGGAUACAAAUGGAAUAUCAUCAUCUCUAUGAUUGCCUCUAGGGCAUACCUCCAACAUCCCAGCGCAAAAGCGAGGCGCGGGCGGGGGUCACGGGCACGUGGGUGAGUGUGGAACUGCACUCCAAGAUCUUGACUGAGUUUCUUCAUACUCCAAGGAGUCUUGCAAGUCUAGUGCCUCAGUGUGAACCUGCUCCUUGGGAACCCUUGGACACUUCCUCAGCUGUGAGACAUGAAACACCGAAUGCACUCCAGCCUUGCUCUCCGGUAAGGCAACCUUAUAGGCAAGGUCUCCAAUCCUCUUAAUGACCUGGUAGGGACCCACAAACCUCGGCGCAAGCUUCCCCUUAAUCAGAAGUCUCUUGGUUCCUCGGAGUGGUGAGACCUUGAGGUAGAUGUGAUCUCCAACUUCAAAAGAUAAGUCUCUCCUUCUCUUAUCUGUGUAACUCUUCUGGCAACUAUAAGGAAUCUUUAGGUUCUCUCGGACCUUGCUCAUGUUCUCUUUAGCCUCCUUGAUAGUUGCUGGCCCAAAGUGAGUCCUCUCUCCAAUCUCGAACCACAUCAGAGGUGUCAUACACUUCUUUCCGUAGAGAGCCUCAAAUGGUGACAUCUGAAGACUGACUUGGUAACCAUGGUUGUAGGAAAACUCUGCAAAAGACAAACUGCUCUCCCAAUCAUCUCCAUAGGUAAGCACAUAAGCCCUCAGCAUGUCCUCCAGGAUUUGGUUUACUCUCUCAAUCUGCCCAUCUGUCUGUGGGGGAAUGCUGUGUUGUACUCCAACGUAGUCCCCAUAGCCUUGUGAAAGCUCUUCCAGAACUUAGCAACAAAUUGUGGACCUCUGUCAGAAACGAUACUCUUAGGUGCUCCAUGUAGCCUCAAAAUGUUGUCCACAUACAUCUCUGCAAGAACUCAGUUCUUAAGGUGUUCUUCACUGGUAUGAAGUGAGCUACCUUGGUGAGCCUGUCCAUAAUCACCCAAAUCGAGUCGUUUCCCUUCUAAGUCUUGGGCAAACCCAUAAUGAAGUCCAUGGAGAUGUCUUCCCACUUCCAAACUGGUAUCUCGACUGGUUUAUGCAACCCUGCCGAUCUCUGGUGCUCAGCCUUUACUCGCUUGCAAGUGUCAUAACAGGCGACGUGGUUGGCUAUGUUGACUUUCAUAUCUUUCCACCAAAACCUCUCCUUCAAAUCUUGGUACAUCUUGGUGCAUCCUGGGUGAAUGGAGUACUUUGAGUCAUGAGCUUCCUUCAGAAUAGACUCGUGAAUAGCUUGAUCUUUGGGUACACAGAUCCUGUCCCUCAGCAGAUAGUGCCUUUGUCAUCCAUCCGGUAAUCAGUUGCCUUACCUCUUUUCAUCUGCUUCCGAAGAGGCUCAAUUUUUGAACAUUGCACUUGUGCCUACCUGAUCUGAUCUUCCAAGUUGUAUGCCACUUAUAGUUCACAAAGUUGUCCCUGCUCAACGAUCUCCAGCUUGAGUUUCUCCAACUCCUCACACAGAUCAGGUUGCUCUUCCCUCACCAUCAGGUUGUUGCUAUAGGCUUUCCUACUUAGAGUGUCAGCCACAACGUUGGCCUUUCCGGGGUGGUAGUGGAUCUCCAACUCAUAAUCCUUGAUUAGCUCCAGCCAUCUCCUUUGUCUCAUGUUUAGCUCAGACUGAGUGAAGAAGUACUUCAAGCUCUUGUGGUCAGUUUAGAAUGCACACUUGUUGCUGAUUAAGUAAUGCCUCCAAAUCUUGAGAGCUUGCACAACAACUGCCAGUUUCAGAUCAUGUGUCAGGUAGUUCUCUUCAUGCUUCUUUAGCUGUCUAGACGCAUAGGCCACGACCUUUCCUUCCUACAUUAGCACACAGCCCAAACCCUGCUUGGAAGCAUCACAAUACACCACAAAGUCCUUGAUAUCUGGUAGAGUCAGCACUAGAGUGGUUGUAAGUUUCGACUUAAGCUCCUGGAAACUCUUCUCACAAGCUUCAAACCACUCAAACUUCAUGUUGUUCUUUAGCAGCUCGGUCAUGGGCUUGGCAAUCUUGGAAAAGUUCUCAAUAAACCUCUAGUAGUAUCCUGCCAAACCACAGAAGCUCCUGAUUCCUAUCACGUUGAGAGGCUACUCCCACUCUGUAACUGCUUCAAUCUUAGCUGGAUUAAUAUCUACUACCUUUCCUGACAACAUGUGACCUAUGAAGGCAACUUCCUCCAUCCAGAACUAACACUUGCUGAACUUGACAUAAAGCUGGUGUUGCCAUAACCUCUCUAGCACGAUCCGAAGGUGCUCCUCGUGCUCUUCUACUAUCUCGGAGUAGAUUAGAAUAUCAUCAAUGAACAUUGCCACAAACUUGUCCAACACCUCCAUAAAGAUCUUGUUCAUCAUGUUCAUGAAGUAAGCAGGUGCGUUGGUCAAGCUGAAAGAAACCACUGUGAACUCGUACAACCCGUACCGAGUAGUGAACGCGAUCAUGGAUAUGUCACUCUCUCGAAUGUUCAUCUGGUGGUAUCCCGACCUCAAGUCAAUCUUGGAGAAGUACUUUGCUUUCCUGAGCUAGUCAAGCAGAUCGUCAAUUCGUGACAAAGGAUACUUGUUAUUAAUGGUCAUGGAGUUGAGCGUUCGAUAACCUAGAUAGAUCCUCAUGGACCCAUCCUUCUUCCUCACAAAUAGAACAGGCGAACCCCAUGAUGAAGCACUUGGUCAAAUGAACCCUUGCUCUAGCAACUUCUUCAACUGCUUCAUCCAACUCAUCGGCCGACAUCUUUUGGAUUUAUAAGCCCGGUAGUCCACCAUGGAGUUACCCAAGUGGUUGAUUUGUAGGUGAGGGCGAUUGCAAAACCAAGAACUCGAAGGUGAUUGCAAGAAAAAGAAGGGGACACAAGGGUUUUAGAUAGGUUUAGGCCUUCGGAGAGUAAUACCCUACGUCCUGUAUGCUGGAUUCUAUUGCUCGAGAGUUAUUUGAUGAUAGGGAUACCCUCGUGGGCUGCCCUUGGCUGCCUUAUACAGGCUGACGACCAAGAGUUACAAAUCAAUUUGAAUCUAAUCUACUCAGUAGUUACAUGGAAAGAAAUCUGAGUCGGAUUUUAAUACAUGUUCCAUGAUAUCCGGGUAGGUUUGGACAGUCUUGUUACCUUCACAUGUACUCCAAGUAACUUCAUGUCCUCGGCCCACACGCUCUGGUCAGGCAGGCCUACUUGUUAGGUCCGGCCAGUAUCCUGGUCGAUGGGGACCCAUAGAGUACCCAUAUCCCUCAAGCCCCCGAGCAAUGUGUAGGGGAACAGGAACUUGAUGUCAUCAUAGUGAAGCUUGGAAAGAGGUCGGCUGAAGCUGCUAUGCCGUCAUGGUGACGGAGAGGCUGCGCAGUGCUCAAAAAAGAAGAAGAUCCAAGCGAGCACAGAGCAAACGUGCAGAGUGAAGAUGAGUGCCGAGUUGAUGGAACAUAGCAUCCAGCAGGUCGAAGCAAUUGUCACGGAGGGCGUCGCAAGACGCACUCUAUAGGAGUAGCCCCCGAGCAUUGAAGUGAUUAGAAUAAUUAGUCCAGUAGUCAAGGAUGAAAAAAGUUAUGUGUUGAAUUAGAUCCCAGUGCUCGAGUACAAGGAUAGGCAUAGCCACAGAGGCCUGCUAAAAAAGAGAUAUGCGCCAAAAUCUUCUGAAGAUAAGGACUCGUGCAAUGAUAGGUAAGCGACAAAAAUUCCUACUCAUGGGAGGACUCCACUGUCGGAGCAACUUCACAGGAGUACUGCCCGUCACUAUUUGAAGAUGAAGCCGAGCAUCACAUGAACACUUUAGAGUUGUAUCAGUAUGGAACCUCCUUGUCAUGCAACCUCACGAGUCUACUGUAGCACCUUGGAUGUUAGCUUGUGGCACAGCUAUAAAUAGACCAACGUUUAGCUUUGAGAGUCAUGGCUCGAGUAAUACCGCUCGUAGGCUUGAAGCUUGUAGUGUUUGAUAAGAGUAGCACCCGCCCAGAAGCAUGAUGCUAGAAGAAUUCUCAUGAGGGAGAUCAAGGUGCUCCUUCCCUUCACAGUCUCUACGAUAGAGUCAGGGGGUAACGAUGCUAGACGAAUCCUCGUGAGGAAGCUGUAUCGUGAACGCCGCCAACUUUGUCCAGAACACCGCUAGGGAAGUAUGUCGCACAACUUUCUUAUAUUGUGCCUUUUUCUUUUUCUACAUUCUAGCUUCUUAUCCUAGGAUGUCGGCUACCCCAGAGCUGUUCAUAGUUACUUGUAAUAUGUAAUGCCGAGAAUUUGAUAUUAGCUGAGUAAAAAUAUGCCCUUGCAUCUGUUUAUGGGGAUUUAUAAGGCCACAGAGGUGUGCUUUCCUCAAACUGGGCAACUAGUUCCUGAGAUUGAAGACUGGCUGUGCCACGGAGGCAAGUCGAGUAGAAUUAGGUGCCCAGCUCCCGAGGACGAGGACUGGCAGAGCCGCUGAGGCAUACCGAGUGGAAUUUAGGCGCCCAGCCUCCGAGAAUCAGGACUGGCAGAGCCGUUGAGGUGCGUCGAGUAGAAUUAGGCACCCAGCCCUCGAGUAUGAGGACUGGCAGAGCCACAGAGGCAUGCCAACCAGAAUUUGGCACCCAGCCCCCGAGGGCAAGGACUGGCAGAGCUACUAAGGCCCGCCGAGUAGAAUUAGGCGCACAGCCCCCAAGGAUGAGGACUGGCAGAGCUGCUGAGGCACCCUGACAAGAAUUCAGCGCCUAGCCCCGAGGAUGAGGACUGGCAGAGCCGCUGAGGCGCACUGACCAGAAUUUGGCAUCAGCCCCUGAGGGCGAGGACUGGCAGAGCCGCUAAGGCACGCUGAGUAGAAUUAGACACCUAGCCCCUGAGGACGAGGACCGGUAGAGUUGUUGAGGCGCACCAUUAAAAGUGCAACAGAGAUCCUGCAGAUUCAGUCCCAUGCACAUGGCGCUAACAGAAAAUCCCAUAGAUUACGCCCCACAUACACCACGAUAACAGAAGGCCCGCGAUUUCCAUCCAUGAGUUACGCCGUCAUCCUCCUCAGAAGCACGAUGUCACACCCGAUUUUAAGGACAAAAUCAAGUGCAUUAAAUACAUGUGCGCUAGGAUCAAGUUACACACAUGUACGACAUAAGCGAAUAUCAAAGAUAGUGCCAUAACGAAAUAAAGAGUGUUAACCAUUAUUACAUGACCGAAAGUCACAAAUAAACCACAAAGUCUAUUUAUUACACAACGGAACUCCAAAGAUAGCAACGACUCCAUAGGCAGCUGACUGAAGAACUGUACGCCUAGAACUCCUCAAAGUCGUGCAGGUACUCCUCCAAAUUAGCUUGGUCUGAACAACGGUUUUGCAAGGGUGAGUACACUUAUGAGUGGUACUUAACAAGUCAUGGGGAACAGUGUAGUGUAAGGCAAAUCAAGGUAUGGCUAAGGUUUAAACAACAUCAGCUUUUAAUUUAGUUGGUCAAAUUUUAUUAGCAAUUAAUUAGAUGUAAGUUUAUACCACCCGAAAUUAAACAAGGACAUGAAUAAAGUAAUAACAUAACCAUAAAUGAAAUGAUAACAAUUUAAAUCCAUCUUUCAAUAGCAUUAUCAUGUGAGGGUCCAGGCCGCUCUUAACCGUGAACACGGCUGACCGAUCAGUUUUACACUCUGCAGAGGUUGUACAUCUUUACUCACAAGUCGCGUAAAAGUUCAAAAGAACUUUGGACCCAACCAUGAGGUGUUUUUAAGGCACAUACCACACUUCCGAGGUAUGAUUGCAUAGAGACGCUACGAGGUCUUUACAAAUAUUCAUUAGUCAGUGGUAAUCCGCUAAGUUUCGGUGUCUGGCGUGCACAACCCUUCAUAGGCCGCUAAUGCAACGACUCAGUUCCCCCUCUUGCCUUAUCACAAGUAAGAUUACCCCAGACUAAUGUUUCUAAUUAUUCAGCCAAGACUAGAGCCAUUUAGUCUUGUGGUAGCAUUGUUUUCCAAGGUGGUUCUCAAGGUUCCGAUUAAACAUUCGUGAUCUUGACUUAAUGAAAGGUAUAUCAUAAAUAAUACCAAAUUAAUGAUGUUUCAGAUUAAACCACCAUAACCAUGUUUGAGCACUAAGCACGAGCUACCCGACAUAAAUUUAACCUGGUUGGUCAAGGCAAGGUAGAUAAAGUCUAGGAAAUUCUUAAUUGGGACCCAUCAAGUUUAAAUUAUACUGUGCAUGGCAUUGUUGUAUAGAACAUGAAAGUAAAUGUGAAUAGGACUGAAAAGGAGUGAUCAAGGACACAACUUGCCUUCUUAACCUUGCUCUUGCUAUUCGUACUCCUCGAAAGCUUGCUCUUCGAAUCCUUCGAAUUGCUGACCGUCUACACGCGUCACACGAGCACAUACAAGCAAACAAAUACAACAUAUAAGAAAACAGUACAUCAAUCAUAAUUAAACAGAGAAAACAAGUUUGAAAAGCUAUUCUACGCAUUAAAAUCAAUACACAUAUAUAAAGAACGCCAAAAACGAAGCUAUAAUGCAAAAACUACGCUUAAAAUAAGAUGCAGGGGCAUAACUGUGAGAAACCAAACUUCCAGGGACCUAAUUUAAAAUACUUUAAAACAGCAGGAGGGCAGCUGUGUAAAAACCAAAAACUGCAGGGCUAUAAUGUGAAGGCGCUGCUGCUGAUUCGGCUGACUCAAUGCGAACCGUUGGAUGGAUGUCCGGCGGCUGGUAGCUACUGCGCUGACGUCAGCGAUGGCAAGCGGCGGCGGAAAAAUGGCAGUUCGCCGGAAUCGCCUGGGAAUGCGCGACAAGGCGCAGAAUUGGGCGAGGAUUAGCCCAGGAGAGCAGGGGCUUGAGGCGGACUCGUUCCGGCAGUUGGUGAUGGCCGAAACGCGGUGAGGUGGCGCACACAACGCGACGGUGCAUGGCGGCGCUCCGACGAGGUCUCGCGGGCGAAAGGAACGAGGUACCGCGCGGGAGCAGCUUGGCCGGGUCCUCACCAGGAUGCGAAGCUUCGAGCGGCGCUGUUGGACAUGGAGAGAUGAUGGCGGCGCAGAUCGUCAAUGCACGAGCGGUGGCGCAAGUGCGAGCUUGGAGGAAGCGGGCGGUCUGUAGAUGCAAAAAAACAAGGGUUUGGUGGGGCUCAGAGGCGAUGGUUUUGCAGCGUCUAAGGGCAUGUACAUUGGGUGACUGUGAGCUGUCUACGAGCCGGCGUUUUUGCAAAAGUGUCCUCAUUUGAGCCAAGCAACGGGCACGCCGUCGUCUCGCGGGCUCGUGCUCCAACACUCGGCGACGACCUGCAGGCGCCGUUGUACGAUCCAUCGGCGCACCUCCGGAUCGAGAGCGAAAUCAGCCCGCGCUGCUCCAACCGAUUCCAACCACUUCCCUCCCUGCGUGCGGGACGCCGACGGGAGGCAAGGCCGGAUAGCUUGGCCGCCGCCGCGCCACGCCUCCUCCCUCCGCGCGGGACGCCGAUGGGAGGCGAGGCUGGAUAGCUGGGCUGCCGCCGCGCCACGCCUCCUCCAUCUCCGCGGCGUCACCGGAGGCGAGCCCCCCCUCCCCUGAGAGAGCAGAUCGAAAUCCCCCGUCACGAGCUCCCCUUCAGCAUCCAGAUCCGUGACUCCCUUCUCUCCGUCUCCACAUCGACACGAGCUCACGCUGCUGCCGAAGAGUAGCGCCUUCGUGUACGCGUCGUCGCCGCGGCUCCACAUCAUCUGGGGCUGCUUUGAUUGGGGACUGACGAUGACGCGCCGCCGACGGGCAAACAGAGGGGAAGAGGUGAGCCAUGACUCUUCUUGCCGAGAUUCAUCAGCUGAGCUGUUGUUUCUUUUCUUCCCUUUUGUUCACUUCACUAGUUCACUUCAGUAGAUCAAUCAAAGCACUGUCUCUGAACAUGAGGUGCUCAUGGCUCCGUCGCGAAAGGAAGGGAUGAACAGUGAAGAAGCUAGUUAACUCAAUUAUACUUGUACCUAUUCAGAUUUUUUAGACGACUACAAUAUGACUGUUGCUAUCUUCUAUUGUAUGUUCAUACUAGAUUACACUCAACAUGACUAGUCUGCAGUUUGAUAGUGAAAUUUGAUCGGUGAGGUAUUGGUGUCAAAAUCAUUAGUACUCUUUAGGAUUGGACCAUCGAUUGACGGUGUGAGCAGAACUGCAGAAGACAUUUGAUUGGCACUCAAGAUUACCUUCAGUUUGCUUUAGUUCUCUAAAGAUUCGAUCGUUUGGAAACCUGUCAUUUGUUAUUGGCAGACAUGCAUGUCUCGUUGAGCCAUCUCAUUCUCUAAUGCUCGUUUGGAAGGAAAGUUUGAGAAUGAGUUAGAGUGUGGGCUGAAUUGAGAUUCUGAUAACACUGUAAAUAUUUUGUUGGUCUUUGCAGUCUGGGAGAGCUAGCUUGCAGCUUCCAGUGGAUAUGAUCGAUAAGAUCCUAUCUCCCAUCACUGAUCCUGCCUCCCUAGCAUGCCUUGCUUCACCCUGCAAGUUUGGCGUAAUAUCAUAAAGGGGAGAAGCUUUCUUAAUUGCCUCAGGAAGCAUGCAUUGCAUUCAGCGAAUAAGCAACAAAAUGGCAUGCAUAGAUCAUAUUUAUACCUAAUCAUCUUGAUUUGAAUGAAUUAAAUAACUUGCAGAUAAGUUAAAAGACAAAUCAUUGUAUAAAAUCACUGUCUAUACGUGACUUACCGACGGUAGCUGUCUAAAAUGUUGAAGGUGCUCUAAAUGCGGCCUUGGCGUGCGGCCCCAGAGGCCAAGGUGGAUACAAACGGUUCGUUUCGCGAGUGUGACUCGGACCUGAGUCCGACGCGGAGAAGUCUCGUCAACCAGCUCGCGGAGAAGGAGCGAGGCGUUCGAGUUGGGCGUAAGCAGGCGGAAAGAAGGAGCUGAUGGCAGGGCCCCAGCGGCCAGAGGAAAGGAAUAGCGGUGCGUGAGGGAAAAGGGCAGCUGGGCCGCUGCUUGUUGGGCCGGCACAGGGAUAAACGGAACUGGGCCAGAGGGAGUAGCAGGUGCUGCGCUGGGCUAAAAAAGAAAGGGGCUUUGGGCCGGCGCAGCAAGGAAACAAAACUGGGCCGGAAAGCAAAGGAAACGACAGUCCAAAACAAAAAGGAAACUGCGCCCGCAGCUUGCUCCUGACUCAGAACUGAAAAUAGCAAAACAGGAACAACGCCCAGCAGACAGCAACUCUGAAACCUGACUGAACUUCCAGGAAACUGACAGAACUCCCAAAGACAGAACUGAAGCUCGACAGGAACAAGCAAACUGCAACCGAACUGAAGACAAGAAAACCACAUCAAAGAACUACAGAACUCUGAGCCGAAGAACUGAACCUGGACAAUGGCUUGACUGAAAACAGAAACACCACCAGAACUGAACUAACUGACAGAAAAAAAAAGAAACAGCCACCUAAAGCAAACCACAAGCUCGAAACCAAGCAAACAAGAUGAACACUAUGCAGCGGCAUGAAUGCACAAACAAAAUCCUAUGUUUCAUUAUUAAAUUAGAAAAAUGCUUAAAUGCCUAGUAAAUGCAAAAA